ACAAAUUGAAGGCAAGUCAGAGGUCCAUCUCCAUUAAUCCAUUAAUAGAUAGAGUUCCACUUGCAAACAGCAAGAGCAUUGCCUUUCAAGCAAAAGGUUAUCCCGGGUGCAACUCCCUCUGCCCUUGAAAGUACUCUGGUUAAGUUGCCUGAACAACUUCUGAAGGGUAAACCAAGUCUGGAUACUAACUUAACUGCUGGAGUACCUCCGGCUGAAAUUCUGGCCAGAUGUGGGUUUUUGGAGCCAUUAUCUGAAGCUACAUUGUCAAAUUAUGAGUGGCUGGUUGCUAAUCUACAAAAACCUGCUCCUGUCUUGAUGAAAAGGGUGCAACAUUACAUGUCAUCAUUAAUCCGAAGCUUUCUAGCAAAAGCUACAUUGAAAAGUUAAUGGCACCGCAUGCCAGUCAUUAUAAUGCUGUCAGGGCAAUUGGGUCAGAGCAUAACUUCAUUGGGAAAAGAGGAUUCAGCUAGGUUACCUAUUACAGGACGUACUGAGAUGGCUGAAGUUCUUGAGGUUUUAUGAGAAAUGAAAGAUGAGUGCUUGUUUGAACAAAGUUGUCACCAAUCUCGUAAAGUUCAAGAAGAAAGAUCACAGAGCUAAUGCCACCAAUUUCUUCAUUAUUGCAGCCUCCAUUGUUGAAGUUUCCUCAUUUGAAGCUGUUUAUGCAUAUGCUUCUUCCCUGCUCAAGUACAGGAAAUUGAAGAAUUAGCCAGAUAUGAUAUGAUGAAAGAGGGAAGUUUUCUUCCUUGAAUAUGGCCUUGUAAUUUGUAGUGAAGGAGUAGGAUGAUCACUAGCAAGAACCCUAUCAAGGUAGAUUUUAUGAUGUUAACAUAUUACUAAGCAUUUGUUUCUUUAGCAAUGAUACUUUCAUAGCAUGAAUUUAAUUAUAUGAUCCUGAUUAAUCAAUUAAUUUUCAUGAGUUUUAACCUAGUUAAAACGAAGUACAAUCAUCGUUAACAAAUACUGAAAUUGGGUAAAUAUGAUCUUGACAUUGAAGAAGAAUUUGAAAACACAACCCGCAGAGGAAAUUACCUAUUGCAUGGGGAUGGAGAUGUAUAUUGCAGCGAUAUAGAAUAUGUGCCAGGCGUUGUCUACUGCUCUUUGGGUUAUGGUGUGAUUUGCGAAUUCAAUGUUGCCCUGAAACAAUGGAAAAGAUUAACAUAUCCUCCAAUGAAUGAAAACGGCUUGACUAAUUUUGACUACCUACUUGACUCAGGAUCAGGUGACAAUAAUGGCGGUUUAUUAACAUUGCACGGCCCCAGUACUCUUCCAGGAUCAGAUACGAAGUAGUCUAAAGUUGAUAAUAAGAGUUUUAUUAAAUGACAAAUCAUUGUUGUUGGGUGUUGGUUAUAUACGUCAUUACAACUACAAGUUGAAGAUGAAGGUUAUGCAAGUGAUUUCAGAAAUACAAUACAUUCCAAGAGAUGCUGGUCUACAAUUGCAUGCCCCCAGAUAUAAGAAUCUUUUGAUUGGGGCAUUGAAAAUGAAGAAUUGAAAAUGAAGUUGCAAGUUGCCGCCUAUAGCUGCUGAGUAAUAAUAAAACGAGAUAAAUUAAUUAAUCUCAGACCUCUAUGUAUAUGUUAUCCUAACUUUACUUACCCUUAUUUGUUAUAUUCACUUAAAACUUGAUGCCUAAACCAUUAAAAUCAAAUGACCAUAGGGGUAUUUACAGUAUGUAAAAACAAACAAAAACACGUAAAAAAUUUCAAAAAAUUAAUAAUCACACUCUAAACUUACCACUCAACUCCUAAGAAUAGUCAUAAUCUAAAACAAUUUACAACUUUUGAAGGGAGUAGCUAUGAAGAUGGGGGAAAAUCCUUUUCUCAGUGGAGUGCCAUUGCCCAAGAGUUGCAAUGAAAACGGACCACAUACAGCUGUGCCGGAAGAUUCAACGAGGUAUGAAAAAGAUGAUAAUUUAAGUGAUAUGGGCAGUAAUUGUGAUGUCAGAAAGCAUUAGUAUUCUAUAUGUGAACCAUUAUUGACGACAUCAUUGGUUUUAUCUUAUUAAAAUGUGGAUGACUUCCAGUUACUAUUUUAUUAGAAACAAUCUUAUUCAAUUAACAUAUAGUUUAAAACUAUUAUGUAAAUCAAUCUAUUAAUUUUCAUGGUAUUUAACUGAGUUAAAACUAAGUGCAAUCAAUAAAUCUUUUUUUCUUUAAAAAACUGCUACGCUUUGAUUUUAUUACUUAAUAUUUAUUGAACUCUGGUACAGGAAAUUUGAAAUCAAACUCGUAACUACAGAUUAUCUAAUUGCGAGUUACUGUCCAUGGCUGCUGAUUUGUAGUGAUUGUCUAAUUGACUGAGGUGACAAUAUUUUUUUUUUAAUUUUCAAUAGCACAAUGUGAAAUUCAAUAAUUAAAUUCUCCUGUUUAAUUUGUUUCAAGUUAAAUUAUUAAUUACUUAAACUCUUUUUUAAGUCUUUAAUUUUACGUCAAGUGACUUGGACAUGACGUACAAUGAGAGUGACAGUAAACAAACAUUAAAACGUGUGGACUCCGGUAGCUGACCUACAAGUCUACAAUAAUAAAUUGGGCCGGGGUUAAGUUACAUGAUCACGUAACAAACAUUACAUGAAUGAGGGCCGUUAGAUGUGAACAGUAAAAUCGAAUGGAUGGGAAUGAAAUGAACAGAAAAAAAGAAGUGAUGGGAAACUGGGAAAACUGGUGAACGAAAACCGCUUGGGCCACCGGGUCAAAACAAGGGUUAUUGUUUGAAUUCGAUUCAGGAGGCAAGAAACCUGAUUUUUUGUAAUUCGAUUCAGCGCCAUUAAAGCUGGUUUUCACAGCAACUAUGAUUUUUUUUUUUUAUAAUAGCACCAACUCCUACCCUUAAUUUAUAAUCAAACAUUACAUCUUCAAGAUUUAAUUUAUACCAAUAUUCAGGGGCAGACGACCAUGAAAAGUUCCUUGGAGCUUCCAUUAAUGGAGUUAAAAAUUAAUAUCUCGUUGAUGACUACUCUCAGCACAAGCGGUGAAGUGGCUUUGGCUUUAGCAAAAACCUUCUAUGCAUCUUCAUCUUUUAAAAAGCACACCCUUUCUUGCUCCCCAGUUAGUCCACAUCAAAAUUACAAGCGAACAAGCGAUUCUUUUUUGAGUUAUUUGAUGAAGAGGCAGCAUAAUUCAUAAAAUCCAUAAGUUAUGUCCAGUCCUUUUAAUCAACUCAGGAAAAAAUUAGAAUGAAUCUAAUUAAACUUUUGAUUUUUUGCAUCCAAUACGAGCAGGACAUAAAACUGCAUCUUUCACCGGCUUCAGAUGGUCAGCAAAAACUUUCUUUUUUUAAGCGUUUGGGAGCAAAUCGGAUAAAGCUCUUCAUAAAAAUCAAAAAGUAACCCCAAGGAUCAUCCAGGUCAAUCUGCAUGAGUUUUGCUGUUCAUACAUGAGCCAUAGAAGCAAGUUGAACCGCCAAACCGGGCACUAUGGUAAGACGUGGAAACACCGGAUCCCAUUCGUACCUCGAUCUGUUCGUUUUCUCGUUCAGAACGGGCCGAUAUGCGCAAGUAAGAAGUUUCCUCAGCCUGAGAGUUCAAAGAAAUCAUGUCACUUUGGGUUGCACAGGCUAUAGGAGAAAUUAUUCUUUUCGACUUACUUUUUUCAACCGGCUACAAACCGCUUCAAUCGGUAAAAUUAGAAUUAUAAUAGUUACACGUGUUGUAAUGUUGUUGAUUUAUUUGUCAAUUUCUUUAAUGUUUGUUACAUGUUAUGUAAGGUAACGAGACCCAUAAUUGAGUGCAUAGAAUUUCAAUGAAUUUCUGCCCCGUUGAGUUCACCGACUAAACUUUUGUAAAAUUAAAAAAAAAAAAAGUACAUAAAAUUUCAGAAAGGCUAAUACUAAGUUAUAUGCAUGUAACUUACAACCCUCUUACAUAAAUAAUGAAUAAUAUGAGCCCACUCAUUAUUUAUGUAAGAGCAUUAUAAGUUACAUGCAUGUAACUUAAGGUGAUCCUUUCAGAAAAUACAAAACGCGCGGAAUUAACCAAAAUAUAAUUUAACAAAAAAGGAAAAAAAAAGUAAGAUUUUUAAAAUGUGUGGAAGGUAAUCCAUAUUUUAUUGAAAUGACUUGUCUCGAAUAUUAAAAUGAUUGAUUUUUUUUUUUAAUAAUAUCAACUUCCAUAUUUUCUACCCCAGAACAUGCUCACAUUCAAGUCAAUCUCGCUAAUUUGAAAUACAAAAUCAAAUCAACACCAAAGCAAUGAAAAGUAAAGCUUUUAAAUUUUAACUCCAGCUAGCAAACGUAUUCAGCGUUUUCAAAUUCUUCCCAUUGCAUCUUCCUCCAUCAAUGCAAUAUUUGAACGAUUAAGAAAGAGUUUGAGAACAUAAAAAAUCCCCAAGGCUUAUACGGUAUUAACAAAUUUAAAUUCUCAAUUAUAAUAGAUAAUAAUUAAACUAAUAAUUAUUUAUUUUUUUAUUUUAGUAAUUUCACCUAAGAAUAAUAUUGUAAUUAGAAAAAAAAUCUAAUAAGUAGGGUGGUCUUAUACAAAAUCAACUGCAUAUACAUAUAUAUAUAUAUAUAUAUAUAUGCAGAUGCAAAUGAUAAUUUUUAAUUCUUUUUUUUUAAUAAGAAAAUUGUGUAUUGAGAUGAAUGAGAUGUUUAAUUUAAUUAAUUUCCUUACUUUCAUAUACAUUGUCUUUCUAUCUAAAGAAAGCUUGGUGUUGAGAUCGACAUGAAGUUGCAAGUUGCUGCCCAUGCCUGGCUGCUGAUUAAUAAUAAAACGAGACAAACUAAUUAAACUCUGGCCUCCAUGCGUAUGUCAUCCUAACUUUACUUGCUCUUGUUUGUUAAUAUUCAUUCUUAGAGAGGUGAAAAAAUUACAAGUCUUGAAUAACAAGGAGUUUAAUUGCCUCUAACUUCACUUGGUCUAUCAAUUCCCCUGCAAUUUCGGAAGCCAAGCGCAAAAUCAUACAGAGAAUUAAUUAUCUUUUUAUUAUCAACCCAUCUUCAAGAAGAUUUUCCUCAAUUUGCCCCAGAGGAGUUGGAGCUGUGUUUCUGAUAAGCCAAAGAGAUAGUAGCAAUUAAUAUUGAUAUUGCCUACCCAAGAAAUAUGAGUGAAUUAAGUAUUAGCAAGACUUCAUUCAGAGGAGCAAUUAAACCACUUCCUUAUCAAUUGCGGCAGCCGUCUAUUAACUAAAAUGCCAAUCUAAUACAGGAAGAAACAACAUUUACAGAUUCGGCAAUUGAGUUCAUUAAGAAGUAGCAUCAUAUUCGGGUGAUGAGUUUCAUUUUUUUAAUAAUUUUAGUCUAAUUUCAAUUGUACUGUGACCGCUACUCAAGGGAAGUGAAAGUUACAGAUGUGGCAAAAUAAAUAAUUAAAUUAACAAAAAUGCUAACUAAUUUUCCUGAAUACCUAGGGUUGCACAAUUUCACCAACCUGGAAGAAUUGACAUUAGUGGACUGGUCUCCUCCCCAUAUAAUUAUAAUCCUUCUAGAAAGCUAAUUUUUAUUAAAUAUUUGCUUUUAAGUUAAUUUCAAUUAAAAAAUGUUUUAAGUUAUAUAUACUCUAAUGAGAUUCUGAAUUCCUUUCUUCCAAUAAUAAUGAAAACUUAUUAAAUUAGAAAUGAAAAAAUGGGCGUUGAUGAUUCAUCCUGAUUUGGAUAGAUUACUUGUAUAAAAUUGACAAUUUUGAUUUAAUUUUUGUUUAUUGUUAACUUUCAGGCUAUCUUAAUUUCAAGAAUUUAGAAUAUUAAUUUGGUCAUGGAUUUCAACCCGUGACUGUUAUAUUCUAUACUUAAUGGUACCAUUCUUGAUUGAGGGCAAUGACUCUCACUCCUCUUGUAAAAAAAUAUUUUCAACUAUUUUGAUGACUUAAAAAUUGAUAGAUUUAUUGUUGUCAUGACCAAAUUAUUCAUUCGGCAAAGCUUAUCUUACAUCACCUGUAACAAACAGCCAAUACAUAUGGGUGGUUAGAUUUUGAUAUUUCUUAAUCUAAUGGAUGAAAAUAAUUUUAACGCAAAACAAGGUAUGGGUGUAAUAGCUAUUUACAAAAAAAUUUAUUUUGAAUCACAUAUUACUUAUUUUUUCAAAUAAGUCCUCAUUAAUUUUUUAUAACUAAAUGAUUUUAUCGUCCAUCUCUUUUACAUCUAUUUUUAAAAAUUGUUAAAGUUUUUACUAAAUUUUUAUAAAGAUCUAAAUGAUUAUCAUGUUUAUAAAAAUCUACAAAUUCUAAAUAUAUAUUUGCAUUUACAUUUAUAAUUUUUUGUCUCUCUUAAAAUAUAAACUAGAUUUUUUUUUCUUUUAUAUAAUUCAAGAUGCUAAAUUUAGAUAAGAGAUAUUAUAUGUGAUAAAUAUAUUAUGACUCUAAUAAAUUACUAGAAAGAUGGUAAAAUGAAUAAAUUAUUGGAACCUCUAAUAAUUUCACAAAAUAUAAAAAUUAAUAAAUUAUCACAUUCUAGCUAUACACAAAGAGGAUUUUCGUAUGAAAGAUUAAAAUCCUUUGACCUAAUCAAUGAUUCAGACAUGCGGAGAAAUAAUCAAUUAAAUUAAAUUUCACUAUAUUUAUCAAAUAAAUUAGGAAAACCCAAAUUUAUCUAUAAAUGAUAUAAAAAAAAUGAAAUAUUAAAAAUUAAAAAUUUCAAUGAAGAAAACAUACAACAAAUUAAAAAGUUAGGAGUUCAAAUGAGUAAAAAGUCUGCGCUCUUACCAUUUGAGUUAGCCUUCGCCUCAACUUGAACUUUAUUAUUUUUUUGUAACCCUAAUUGACAUCAACUUUAACUUUAUUAUGUUAUUAUUUCAAUCCCCCAUUAUGCCUUUUUAAUACUCCAUUAUACCAUUUUUAUAGUGCAAAUUUAAUUGCACAUCUAAAUAAAUUGAUUAUUGUUACUCCACCACCAAUAUUUCGAAAAGUCACUAGACCAUUCCUGCCUUUAGUUUCCCUUAAGUUUAACCAUUGACUGUUUUUAGCAUCUUAAAAUAUACAUUUAUUCCUUGAUUAUGUGAUAAAUUUAUGAAAAUAUCCAUUUAACUUAAAUUAAUUGGAAUAACCAUGCGUAACAUAAAUUAAUAGAACAAAAUUAUCAAGUGUAUGUUCUAUCUUACUUUUUGAAGAAUUUAACAUAUAUAAUGCUAUACUAUUAAUUAUAUCCUGAUUUUCAUCGAUUAUAGCGAGAGUUUCUCCAAAUCAACUCCCUUAUUCAAAUAAUACAGAAAAAAUAGUAAUUUAAUUGUAAAAAAAACAGGUGUUGAUUAUAUAUCCUAAGUUUCGUCGAUUAUGUGAUCAAAGCGGCAUUGUUGAUUUAUUUCUUUUUCAAUGUUGAUUUUUAGGUUAUAUAAAUUUCGAGGAUUUAAAAUCUUUGGUCAUGGAUUACAUGCUUAUUAAUUUUUCUGCCAUUGACUGUCAUAUUCUAUACUUAAUGGUACCUUUCUUGAUCAAGGGUAAUUACUCUCUCUUCUCCUCUUAUAAAUUCCUCUUCCAUUAACAUCACUAGGAGUAUGUUGAUCUCUCAGACGUUAACUUGAGUGGAGAGUUUCCAAAUUGAUUGUUAUAAAACAACACAAAAACUAGACAUACUUGAUCUGUCUAAUAAUUCUCAUUCGGUAAAAUUAAUUAAUUUUAGGAGAAUAUUGGGCCAAACUAAUUGCACUCAAUAAAUCUCUUUUCCUUUAAAAAACUGCUACGCUUUGAUUUUAGUGCUUAAUAUUUGCUGAACACCGAUACACGGAAUUUGAAAUCAAACUCGUAACUACAGAUUAUCUAAUUGCAAGUUUCUGUCCAUAGCUGCUGAUUUGUAGUGAUUAUCUAAUUGACUGAGGCGACAACAAUUUUUUUUUUUUAAUUUUCAAUAGCACAAUGUGGAAUUCAAUAAUUAAAUUCUCCUUCAUAAUUUGUUUCCAGUUAAAUUAUUAAUUACUUAAACUCUGUUUUAAGUCUUUAAUUUUAUGUGUUUAUGCAGAAUUGGAUUCUUGAGCGUGUUGGACACGACCAACAAUGAAAUUGACAGUAAACAAACAUUACAACGUGUGGACUCCGGUAGCUGCCCUACAAGUCUACAACUUUACAAAUAAUACUUGAGUAAGCACCUUUGAUUCUCCGGACCCUUCAAUGAAUUUCUAGCCCCGUUAACUCCACCGACUAAAGUUUUGUAAAAUAAAAAAAAAAUACAUGGAAUUCCACCAAAUGCAAAACGCGUGGAAUUUAAUUUUCGGCCGUGUGGACCAAAACAUAAUUUAAUGAAAAAGGAAAAAAAUGAUAAGAUUUCUAAAAUGUGUGGAAGGUGAUCCAUAUUUUACUGAAACGACUUGUUAAAUUUUUUAAGAAUUUAGAAUAUUUGAUCAUAAAUUACAUGCAUGUUAAUUUUUCCGUCAUUGACCAUCAUAUUCUAGACUUACCUUUCUUGAUGAAGGGUACUUAGUCUCUCUUCUCCUCUUAUAAAAAUUAUAUUAAUUGAUUUCUUGUUAUAGUUAAUAGUCUUUAAGAACGUAUAGAUUUAUUGUUUUCAUGACCAAAUUAUGCCCGGCUAAGGUUGCGACUAUUAAUAAAAUUAAUAUUUAAUGUUUAUGUUAAAAGAUAUAAGAUUUUGUGCAUUCAUUUUGUGCAUUCAUUAAUUGUUAUUAGCUAAAGGAUGAAUUUUUUUUUCAACCCAAUCAGUUGAUACAUCUGCAAGAGUUUUUUCUUUCAUUGACCAUAAUUAUAUUCCGGGUACAACAAAUUGUCUUUGGUGCUUGGAAAAUAUGACUUCUUACUUCAAGUUUGAUACGUCUCUCACCAUAAGCGUACUGGAAAUAUAUCCUCAUCUUCUGUCAUUUAUCUAGGACCUUGCUACGUUACAGACUCUGUAUGUAACGCAGCAAAUGAGGAGCAUCCACGCGUUGCAGGAGAGAGGAAAAGUUGUUGGAAUUUAGCUGAUACAAGACUAAUUUCCAUUGAGCUGUUACAUACAGAGUCUGUAAGGUAGUUUUGUCCCAUUUAUCUAAUAUCAAUUGAAGAUCUCACUUUUUCAAACUAUCACUUCCAAGUAUCAUUGUCACUUGGCCAUUCUUGGACCAUUCAAAACCAAUCAAGUGUUGAAAUAAUCAAAUAUAUGCAAAAUUAGAGUCAUGAUUUUCGGUCCCCCAAAUUCUAAUUAUAUAACUUCUAUAUAUCUCAUUGUCAGGUCACGAACUUGUUGGCACAUUUUCCAAAUUCCUCUUCCAUCAGCUCUCACAUGUUAACUUGAGUGGAAAGUUUCCAACUUAAUUGCUAGAAAGCAACGCAAAAUCGGACACACUUGCUCUGUCCCAUAAUUCUCUUUUCUACGUUGAAAAAGAAAAAAAAAAGAAAAAAGAAAAUAUAUCUAUGUAAAAUUAAAUAAUAAACUGAGCAAAAGUACAUUUGUUUAAUUAACAUCUGAUCGGGGCAUUUUUGGUGUGAUUUCGUGCUGUGUAAGCCACAACUAAAAUCAAACAGCCCCUUAGCAUACUUCUUCCAUUUUAUCUGCUACUUUUGUGGAUCUUAUAGGGUGGGCAUGUGGACAGAAUUUAAAAGUUUUAAUAGUCUCAAAGAAUAAAAUAUGUUAAAGCUGAAGUUGAAAAAAUGGGUGUUGAUGAUUCAUCCUGAUUUGGAUAGAUUACGUGAAUAAAAUUGACAAUUUUGAUUUAAUUUUUGUUUAUUGUUAAUUUUCAGGCUAUCUUAAUUUCAAGAAUUUAGAAUAUUAAUUUGGUCAUGGAUUUCAAUCCGUGAGUAUCAUAUUCUAGACUUAAUGGUACCAUUCUUGAUUGAGGGCAACGACUCUCACUCCUCUUGUAAAAAAAUAUUUUCAACUAUUUUGAUGACUUAAAAAUUGAUAGAUUUAUUGUUGUCAUGACCAAAUUAUUCAUUUUAAUGAAAUAUAAUUAAUGCAUCAAAAUUAGCAGGUGUAUGUUCUAUCUUACUUUUUCAAUACUGCACCUUUUCAAUACUGUUUCUCUUGUAAUUUUCUUUUUCCUUUUUUCAAUGAAAAAAAAGGGAAGGUUUUUCCGAGUAAUCCAUUAUUUGAUUACCGUCAAUCAAGAAAACGACCAAAUUAAUUUCUCUCCAUGAGCUAGAAAAUUUUGUUAUUUGAAAAUAACAUCAUUAAUUAUAGAGUGGAUCAAACCGUGUUAUUGUCUUUCAUAAAAUUGAUGUCUUUUUAAGAGUCAAUACUUUUUAUUUACGCAAACCAGUCGACAUCAAUUUAAACUUCCAUAUUUUUAUUAUUAUUAUGUUAUUUAUUUUAUCAGCGGCUAUAUAUCAAGAAAGCGACAAAAUUUAUUUCUCAUGACUUCCAAAAACUAGAAAACAACAUCAUUAAUUGGGGUUGAUCAAACCGCAUUAUUAGUGUCACACUAUAUUUGUACAACCAAGUCAACAUCAAUUUUUUUAAAUUUUAUAAAUUAAGAAGAUCAUUUUGGCCUUACAGAGUCUGCGCUCUCACCAUUUGAUUUAGCCUUCGCCUCAACUUGAACUUCAUUAUUUUUUUGUAACCCUAAUUGACAUCAACUUUAACUUUAUUAUGUUAUUAUUUCAAUCCCCCAUUAUGCCUUUUUAAUCCUCCAUUAUACCUUUCUUAAAGUGCAAAUUUAAUUGCACAUCUAAAUAAAUUGAUUAUUGUUACUCCACCACCAAUAUUUUGAAAAGUCACUAGACCAUUCCUGCCUUUAGUUUCCCGUAAGUUUAACUAUUGAUUGUUUUUAGCAUCUUAAAAUAUACAUUUAUUCCUUGAUUAUGUGAUAAAAUUAUGAAAAUAUCCAUUUUAGCUUAAAUUAAUUGGAAUAACCAUGCGUAACAUAAAUUAAUAGAACAAAAUUAUCAAGUGUAUGUUCUAUCUUACUUUUUGAAGAAUUUAACAUAUAUAAUGCUAUACUAUUAAUAAAUUUAUCAUUUAAUAUAUAUGUUCAAAUAUUUUAUAUAUUUAUUAAUUGUUAUAUAGUCAAAGGAUGAAUGAUUUUUCAGGUCUACAUGAGUUGGUGCAUCUGCAAGACUCAAUUUUGACAACAAUGAUCUAAGGGGUAAUUUACCUUGCUGUUUGAAAAAUAUAACCUCUCUUCAUGAUUUACUUCCAAUCUACUUACUGUAAAUAUCUCCUCAUCUCCUCUAACUUAUAUGAUAACCCUUGAAGAUCUCACAUUUUCAAACGAUCAUAUUAGGGUUUUUAUUCUUAGCAUCAUCGUGUCAAUAAUAUAUGUUGCAGUAAGAUUUUUUCAGACCAAUUCCCUUCUUCAAAUAAUAAUGGAAAAGUAUUAAUUUAAAAAUAAAAUGAAUAUGCAUUGAUUAUAUCCUGAUUUUCAUCGAUUAUAGCGAGAGUUUCUCCAAAUCAACUCCCUUAUUCAAAUAAUACAGAAAAAAUAGUAAUUUAAUUGUAAAAAAAACAGGUGUUGAUUAUAUAUCCUAAGUUUCGUCGAUUAUGUGAUCAAAGCGGCAUUGCUGAUUUAUUUCUUUUUCAAUGUUGAUUUUUAGGUUAUAUAAAUUUCGAGGAUUUAAAAUCUUUGGUCAUGGAUUACACGCUUUUUAAUUUUUCUGCCAUUGACUGUCAUAUUCUAUACUUAAUGGUACCUUUCUUGAUCAAGGGUAAUUACUCUCUCUUCUCAUCUUAUAAAUUCCUCUUCCAUUAACGUCACUAGGAGUAUGUUGAUCUCUCAGACGUUAACUUGAGUGGAGAGUUUCCAAAUUGAUUGUUACAAAACAAAACAAAAACUAGACACACUUGAUCUGUCUAAUAAUUCUCAUUCGGUAAAAUUAAUUAAUUUUAGGGGAAUAUUCGGCCAACCUCUAUAAUUUCAUAGUGAUCAUUAAUUAAUUAAACGAUACAAAUAUCUAAAGUGAUUAGAUGUUUGCUGACAAUACAAGUUCAUGGCUUGAAAUUUGAUCUCUAUCGAUUGAUUUACAAAUGGAAGUACUUGUGCCUUUGUGGCGAUAAUUGAACCAGAGAUGUGAAGCUGUAAAGAUUUGGCAGUAGUAAAUUGUUAAUUAUAAAGACAUAAAGAAAAGUUCCCAUGAUUAUUAUUUUUCCAAAAACUUUUUUACAACAAAUUCAUCUCGCCAAAAAUUAUAUUUUGCUAACAAACAAUAAUUGAGUACUUGGCCGUAUUGACUUCACGUCUCCACCUGCUUUCUAAGUGAAAACAUGGAAAUGUGUAAUUUCCACAAAAUGCCAAACGUGUGGAAUUUAAUUUUUAGCCUUGUGGACUAAAAUGCAAAUGAAAGAAAAAGGGGAAAAAACAAAAAAGAGCCCAAAGACUUUUAAAACGUGUAGAAGUCUUUGGGCCCCAAAGACUUCUAAAACGUGUGGAAGUCUUUGGGCCUUUUUAUAAUGGUGGAUUUUUUUUUUUUUUUUUAAAUUGGAAACUUCAUUAAGAGGCAAAGAUUACAGAGAAGUCCCCAGUUCGAGUCGCAGGAAAGUCGCCUUUGUUGGGAGAACCUGUGCCUCUCGGUUCGAGUGGGGACUUCUAGUCUAGGUUGUGGUACGGACUUAAAGGUGUCUCCCACAGUUGGGGCCCUCCCCAGAAUACCUCGUGGUCAAAACAAAAAAAAAAAAAAAAAAAGAUUACAGAGAAGUAAAUAACCAAGGAGGUGGGACAUGACUCCACUCCUCAAAGCCUGACAAAGAACCCCCCACCCGAGCGGUAACAUGGGCGGCAGUGUUCAAAGACCUUCGAAUAAAAGAGAACUCAAUAUCUCCUAUAGACUUAGCUAAAGCUAGACAAUCAUCAAGAAUAAGACCAUACCCAUUCGGACAAGAAUAGCUUGCUGUGAGAGCUUUAAAAACCUGGAAGCAGUCCAUUUCUACUACAACACAAGACAAAUGCCGCUUCUUAAUCCAGCUGAGGAUCUCACGCACACCAAGCGCUUCAGCAUCCCUUGCACCAAAACUACCCAGGACAGAUGCACAGCAAGCUGCCACAAACAGCCCAUCAGAGUUGCGAAUGACCCCUCCAUAACUUACUUUUCCCUAAGCUGAAAAUGUUGCGGCAUCAACGUUACACUUAAGCCAACCUAACUGAGGAGGUGUCCAGCAAAUUGCCCCAUGACGGCCUUGGAAACAAGUAGCAUUAUUGACAUCAGAUUUCUGCCUCGCAAUUUGACAUUGAAACAAAUAAUUUCCAGCAGAGUUGAGGACAUGACGCACACUACAGACUUUGUUAUUCCAAACUUUGGAUUUUUUAAAAGAAAAAAAUAACAACACUUCUAUGGUUUGUUUUGAUAAUCAUAUUUACAUAUACUCUCUAAUUUUCAAAAUGGACAUAUAAUUUUUUUUUACAAAUAUAUAUUAUUCGUAUUUUUUAUUAUUUUUAUUAUCAUAUUUUUAUUUAUUAUAAAUGUUUAAAGUAAAUUUUUAGGUUGAAAUAUAAUAAAAGGGUAUAAUCGUUCUCUUAUUAAAGACACAUACUUUUAUUUUCUAUCCAUUUGUCAUCUCAAUCACUCUCAAUUAUUCUUUAUUGCUAGCUCAAAACGUGUUGCUGUUGCAAAUUAUAGCAAAAUGAAAAAUAUGGAAAAAAAAAAGGGAAGAAAAUUAAUGCAUGAAAGACUUGGAGAAAACAACCAAAUAAGUCAACUAUAAUCAAGCUGGGUGUAUAAAUUGUUUGAUGUGUCAUAAGCAAAUAGAGAGACGGACAGUGUGUGCGUUUUUUAAUAGUUAAAGAUAUAGAUAGAAUGGGUGGUUCAAAAUCAAAAUUGGUGAUAAUGUUUGUUCUGUUAUUAAUAAUAUUAGAAGGUGGGGGGAGUGAGAGAUGUUUGGAUCAAGAGAGAUUUGCUCUUUUGCGACUUAAACUUUUCUUUGAUGAUCCUUUUAAUUCGCUUCACCACUGGGUAGAUGAUGAGGGAGCUACUGAUUGUUGUCAAUGGGAAAGGGUUGAGUGCAGCAACACCACAGGUCGAGUGAUACAACUAGACCUUUCUUUCAUUGGGAAUUGGGAUUUGAAAGAGCGGUAUCUGAAUGCUUCUUUGUUUACUCCCUUUCAACAACUUGAGUCACUUUAUUUAAAAUACAACAAUAUAGCCGGUUGUGUUGAGAAUGAAGGUGCUUCGUUUAAUUUAAUUAAUUUACUUUCUCUCCCCUAAUUUAUGUUGAAUAUCAAGACCAAGCAAUUAUAUGCAUAUUCAUUCAGUUGACAAUUUUGACUAAUUUUUUUUAAAUGAUUAAUUUUGAAAUUACACGAGUACAAUUUUUAAAUGAUCUUUUUUUUUAUUUUACUUGCAGGUAUAGAGAGGCUAUCAAGAUUGAGCAACUUGAAGAUGCUUGAUUUAAGUGAAAACUUGUUCAACAAUAGCAUCUUAUCAUCUGUAGCUCAUCUUUCAUCAUUAACAUCAUUAUAUUUAUAUUCGAAUAGAUUGGAAGGAAGUAUUGAUGUUAAAGGUACAUAAUUAAAAUUUCAUCUCUUCUCCAAGCUCUUUCAUUAACUUGCUAAAAUAAGAUUCAAGGUUUUGAAUUCAAUUUUUUUUUAUGAUUAAUAUUGAAGAAAAAAAUAAUUUUAAGCAAUUCAUAAAUACAAGUUCUAAUGUUUCUCAUAAUUUUAUCUUGUACUUUUUCGUAUGUCUUGAAUUUAAGAUUAAAAAAAAACUCUAAUGGGGAACCAAACACAUCCACAACUUAUUAUUAUUAUUUUCUAAUUUUUCUGUGUGUUUUGAAACAUUCAACUCAAUUUGUACUUUUUACAGAAUUAGAUUCUUUGAGAGAUUUGGAGGAGCUAUACAUUGGUUGGAACAUGAUUGACAAAUUUGUGGUCCCAAAAGGUACUACAAAUACCAUUAAAAAAUUUAAAUUUUUACAAAUUAGGUAGAUUCUUUGCCAUUUGGUUCAUUAUUUUACAAAUUAGCUAGAUUCUCUGAAUUUAGACAAUGAAUUUUGAUUUUCUUAAAUCCUAUUAUAAUUACUAUUAAAAAACAGGUUACAGAGGUUUGAGGAAGUUGAAAAGCCUAGGUCUAUCGGGAGUUGGAAUUACAAAUGGAAGCAAGUUGUUACAGUCAAUGGGAUCAUUCCCAUCCCUCAACACUCUUCACCUUUCGUUUAAUGAAUUUACGGAAACAGUAACAACUACUACUCAAGGUAAGUAAAUGGUACAUAUGUCGCCAAAUUUAUAAAUAAACUGUUAAUUAAUUAAUUAAUUUUUUCGUAUUAUUAAGAAAGCUAAAUUCGUUGCUCCUUCCUUUUAAAUCUAAACAGAGUUGCACAAUUUCACCAACUUGGAAUAUUUGACAUUGGACUAUUCCUCUCUCCAUAUAAGCCUUCUGCAAAGCAUUGCAUCAUUCACUUCGUUAAAAAAUCUGUCGAUGUCUUAUUGUGAAGUCAAUGGCGUCCUAAGCGGUCAAGGUAAAAGAAAAGUGUUGAUUGUGAAUAAGCUGUUAAUUAAUUAAUGUUGUUGCUCCUUGCUUCUAAACAGAGUUGCGCAAUUUCACCAACUUGGAAUAUUUGAAUUGGACUCUUCUUCCUCGCUUGUCAAAUAUUGGACUCUUCCUCGCUUGCGCAAUUUCAUCAUUCACUUCUGCAAUUUCUUGAAGAAUGAAUUUAUUUAUUUAUUUAUUAUUGUUGUAGUUGUUGUUGUUGUUGAAGUGGGGUGGGCAAGCGUUCACUCAAUUAAUAUGUGGGGAAUUAAAUAUUAACAUCAACGUAGAAUUGUGGAAAAUUAAAGUAAAAUGAGAAAUAUGGAAUGAAAGGAAGAAAGUUAAGAGCAUGAAAGACUGGGAGAAGAAUAAAGACCACCAAAUAAGUCAACUGAAAACAAGCUGAGGCCUGGGUGUACAAAUUGUUAGAUGUGUUUAUUAUAAAUAACAUAGAGCCCUCUUGUUGGUUGCAGAGGCAGAGAGACAGAGAGUGUGCAUUUUAUUAAUUAAAAAUAUUUAUAGAAUGGGUGGUUGCAAAAUCCAAAAUGGUGAUAAUGUUAGUUUUGUUAGUAUUAAUAAUAUUAGAAGGGGGGUAGUGUGAGGGAUGUUUGGUGCAUGAGAGAUUUGCUCUUUCGAGACUUAAAACAUUUCUGCAAACCUCCUUAUAAUUUUCGUCACGAAUGACCGCUGUCAACACCACAGGCUGAGUGGUAUCUGAAUGCUUCUUGGUUUACUCCCUUUCAACAAUAUAGUCGGUAGUGUUGAGAAUGAAGGUGUUUCGUUUAAUUUAAUUAAUUUACUUUCUCCCUCCUAAUUUAAGUUGAAUAUCAAGACCGAGCAACUAUAUGCAUAUUCAUUUAGUUGACAAUUUUGACAUAUUUUUUUAAAUGAUUAAUUUUGAAAUUACACCAAACAGAUGCGAUCUCUGUUUUGAUUUUACUUGCAGGUCUAGAAAGAUUGGCCAACUUGAAGAUGCUUGAUUUAAGAGGAAACUUGUUCAAUAAUAGCAUCUUAUCAUCUCUAGCUCGUCUUUCAUCAUUAACAUCAUUAGAUUUAUCUUACAAUCGAUUGGAAGGAAGUAUUAAUGUUAAAGGUACGUAAUUAAAACGUCAUCUCUUCUCCCAACUCUUUCAUUAACAUGCUAAAAUAAGAUUCAAGGCUUUGAAUUCAAUUUUUUUAUGAGUAAUAUUAGAAAAAUAGUUUUAAGCAAUUCAUAAAUACAAUUUUCAAUGUUUCUCAUAAUUUCAUCUUGUACUUUUGUAUGUCUUGACUUUAAGAUAAAAAAAAAAAUUACUCUAACUAUGAAGCAAAUACCCCAUGACUAAUUUAUCAUUUUGUCCAGUUAAAAAUGAUAAAAUUUAUCAUUUUGUUUUUAUUGAUUAAUUAACUCUGUUUUAAGUCUUAAGUCUUGGCUUCUUGGCAUGUUUGCAGAAUUUGAUUCCUUGAGCAACUUAGAGGAGUUGGACAUGAGCGGCAAUGAAAUAGACAAUUUUGAGGUUCCUCAAGGUAAACUAUUAAAAUAUUAUUCAAUUACAUUAAUUUAAUUCGUUUGAUUAGGGAAGGCCCAAAAGGUACAGAAACAUAAUUGAAAAAAAAAAUAAAGAAACAGAGAAUUCAUAUUAUUUCAAAAAACAAAAGGUAAUACUAUUAUUUCAAAAAUAGAAUGUAAUAAAGAUUUGAUUUCGGUUCUUUAAUCUUUACAGCAAUUGAAAAACAAUGUUGCUCUAAAUAUGAAAUGACUCCAAAUUGAAUUAGUCAUUUAUUUCGUUUAGCUCUAAAUUUAGAAAAAAUGAAUUUUGAUUCUCUUCAAUUCUUUCAAAAUUAUUAUUAAUAAACAGGUUACAAAGGUUUGAGGAAGUUGAAAACUUUGUAUCUAUUGGGAGUUGGAAUUAGAGAUGGAAGCAAGUUGUUACAGUCAAUGGGAUCAUUCCCAUCCCUCAACAAUCUUGACCUCUCUUAUAAUAAUUUUACCGAUACAGUGACCACUACUCAAGGUAAGUAAAAGGUAUAGAUGUGGUCAAAUUCAUAAACAAACUCUUAAUUAAUUAAUUAAUUUUCCAUAUUAUUAAUAAAAGUGAAAUUUGUUGCUUCUUCCUUCUAAUUCUAAACAGAGUUGCACAAUUUCGCCAACUUGGAAUAUUUGACAUUGCACGGUUCCUCUCUCCACAUAAGCUUUCUGCAAAGCAUUGCAUUAAUGUUUCCUUCGUUAAAAAAUCUGUCGAUGCUUGAUUGUAAAGUAAAUGGUGUCGUACGUGGUCAAGGUAAAAGAAAAGUGUUGAUUGUGAACUCAUUGUUGUCCUACGUGUUCAACAUUUUAUUUAUUUAUUUUAUUGUUUAAUGUUUCUGCUAGGUUUUCCUCAUUUCAAGAGUUUGGAACAUUUGGACAUGGAUGACUUGCGCAUUGUACUCAACACCAGCUUUCUUCAAAUCAUCGGUGAAUCGAUGCCUUCUCUUAAGUACUUAUCACUGUCAUAUUCUAGUGCUAUCACUAACAGCAGUGGGAUUCUUCAAGGUUAAUAAGAUGCUCCCACCGUUCCCUCUUAAUCUAUAAUAUUAAUUUUUGAUUAAAUAUAUAAUUACAAAAACCAAUCACUUAUAAAAGAAUGCUAUGUAUUUGUUAAUUUUUUUAUUGUACUGAUGGAUAAAUUAAUAAAUUUUCAGGCCUCUGUUCGCUGGUGCAUCUGCAAGAGUUGCACAUGGCUGAUAAUGAAUUAAGAGGUAGCUUGCCUUGGUGCUUGGCAAAUAUGACAUCCCUCCGAAUAUUAGAUGUUUCUUCCAAUCAACUUACUGGAAGCAUCUCCUCAUCUCCCCUCUUUUACUUGACAUCCAUUGAAGAGCUGAGCCUUUCAAACAAUCACUUCCACAUCCCAAUUUCACUUGAACCACUUUUUAAUCACUCAAGACUCAAAAUUUUCUAUGCUGACAACAACCCAAUAAAUGCAAAAAUAACUAAGUCACAUACUUUGACCACCCCAAAAUUCCAACUAGCAUCUCUUUCAUUGUCUUCCAGUUAUGGAGAUGGUGUCACAUUCCCCAAAUUCCUUUACUAUCAACAUGACCUGGAGGAUGUUCAUUUCUCACGCAUACAAAUGAAUGGAGAAUUUCCAAAUUGGUUGUUGGAAAACAACACAAAAUUAAGACAACUUUCUCUCGUCAAUGAUUCUCUUGCAGGACCUUUUCGAUUGCCAAUUCAUUCACACAGGCAUUUAAGACUGUUGGAUGUCUCCAACAACAACUUCCAAGGCCACAUUCCAGUAGAAAUUGGAGAUAUUUUACCACGUUUAAUAUCCUUCAACAUUUCAAUGAAUGCUUUGGACGGUAGCAUUCCCUCUUCAUUUGGUAAUAUGAACCUUCUCCAAAUUCUGGACUUAUCCAACAACCAAUUGACUGGUGAAAUCCCCGAGCACUUGGCCAUGGGUUGCGUCAACUUGGAGUUUCUUGCAUUAUCAAACAACAGCUUAAAAGGUCAUAUGUUCUCCAGAAACUUUAACCUGAUAAACUUGAGAUGGUUACAAUUGGAAGGCAAUCACUUCGUAGGAGAGAUCCCACAAAGUUUGUCUAAAUGCUCCUCACUAGAAGGAUUGUAUCUUAAUAAUAACAGUCUCUCGGGUAAGAUUCCACGAUGGUUGGGUAAUCUCACAUGGUUAAUACAUAUUAUAAUGCCCAAGAAUCACCUUGAAGGUCCUAUUCCAGUGGAGUUUUGUCAUCUUUAUUCGCUUCAGAUUUUGGACAUUUCAGACAACAAUAUAUCUGGAAGUUUACCAUCUUGUUUCCAUCCUCUCUCUAUCACACAAGUUCACCUAUCGAAAAAUAUGUUACAUGGACAGCUAAAAGGAGGUACUUUCUUUAAUUGCUCUUCCCUUGUGACAUUAGAUCUUAGCUAUAACCUCUUGAAUGGCAGCAUUCCAGAUUGGAUUGAUGGGCUUUCUCAGUUAAGCCACCUUAUCUUAGGUAACAAUAAUCUUGAAGGUGAAGUGCCAGUUCAAUUGUGUGGAUUGAACCAACUACAAUUGUUAGAUCUUUCUAAUAAUAAUCUUCACGGUCUUAUUCCUCCUUGUUUUGAUAACACCAAACUUCAUGAAAGUUACAACAAUAGUUCUAGUCCUGAUGAGCAAUUUAAAAUAUUGUUUUCCAUCAAAGGCCAUCAGGGACAUGUAGAAAAGAAAAUCCAAGAAUUUUUUGAGUUCACAACAAAGAACAUUGCGUACAUUUUCCAAGGAAAAGUGCUUAGCCUCCUAUCAGGACUUGAUCUUUCUUGUAACAAGCUAAUCGGUCAUAUUCCUCCUCAAGUUGGAAAUUUGACAAGGAUUCAAACAUUGAAUCUAUCACACAACAACUUGACAGGAUUGAUCCCAUCAACAUUUUCAAACUUGAAGCAAAUCGAAAGUUUGGAUCUUUCCUACAACAAAUUGAAUGGGAAAAUCCCUCAUCAACUUGUGGAGUUAAAGGAAUUGGCUGUUUUCAGUGUGGCAUACAAUAACUUAUCAGGCGAAAUUCCAGAAUGGAAAGCACAAUUUGCAACCUUCAACGAGAAUAGCUAUGAGGGAAAUACUUUUCUUUGUGGACUGCCAUUACCCAUUUGUAGAUCACCAACAACUAUGUCGGAGGCUUCAAUCGAAAAUGAACGAGAUGAUAAUUUAAUUGACACGGACAGUUUUUUUAUCACAUUUACAACAUCGUACGUAAUUGUGAUAUUCGGAAUUGUUACUGUUUUAUAUGUAAAUUCUUAUUGGCGACAUAGAUGGUUUUACUUUGUUGAAAUGUGGAUAACUUCAUGUUACUAUUUUGUUGUAGACAAUCUUAUUCCAACAAGAUUUUGUCAUUGAAAUUAAUUAGUAGUUUAAUUACAAUUCUUUAAGUACUAAUCAAGUUUGCUUAGGAAAUAAAUUUAUUUUUAUUUUUAUUAAAAUUGUAGUAGUAUUUAGCAUUAUAUAGCUUCCAACUUCCAAGCACUUCACAUUUGUCUCUACACUUAAAAAGCUGAGUGAUCAUGUUUUACAGAUAUGGAUCUGGAGUAGGAUAGAUCCAAACACCAAACUCAUAUCUGUCCAUCAUAGCUUAUAGCUUCCCUAUACUGUGCAGCAUACUUAAAUAAGAGAAUCAUCUCCAAUGUUAAAAGCAGCCACUCUAUAACAUUCAUUUAGAAACUAUAUUCAGAAUAGUUUUAUAAUCAUACACAAGAAAUGAAACACCUAGAUGCACUUGAUCGCCUAUUUUACUCUGAAAAAGAACAAUUAUGGUGCUAUCAUCAUCUUCUCAAUUAGCAACAUUAACACUAAAUCCAGCGAUGGACCCAGACAUUUCAUCAAGAAAGGUAUAUAUCUAAUAAAGUUGAAGCUUGACAAAAAAUUCAGGAAGAUUAAUGCCUCGCCACAACAAGGGGCACAACAACAUCAAAGUAGAGAUAAAACAGUAUUCUCAAAGCUAAAACUCUCAAAUCCACCCACCAGAAUUUCAUAUCUCCUCAACAAUUUUAAAAACUAAAGGUAAUUAGGAUUUAACAUUAAUUUUUUAUAUAUUAGUUUCAUAAUUUACAAAUCAAUGAAGAUGAAGAUUAUGCUAAUGAAUUCAAAUUAUACCAUACAUUCUCUAGAUUUUACCAAAAAUUUCCAAGUCAAUCCCACAUAUUUCAUAAUUUUAAGACUGGAAAGUGUUAUGCCAAAACUCAGUAAAGAACUGACAAUGGCUCCCCAAGAUCCACUCAAGAAGGGUUCUUGUAUCUAAAACUAUUGUGAGCCCAAGCAAUCAAAGCAAGUCAAUGAAAGAAUUAAAAGAGGCAGAAAGAACAAUACACAGGAAAGCUUAUAGUGGUUCGGCUAUGGAAGCCUACAUCCACUGUGAAAGGGUGAAUCCAAGUUUGUAUUCAAUGAGUGUCUUACAGAGUACAAGCUUAUUAGAGAAGCUUAACCAUUCAUGAACAACAUGACAUAUUCCAGAAUACCCAGCUAUAUAUAUAAGCAAUGCUCGAUCAUCACCUGCAAGCUUCCCCUGUUAUCCGUGAAGAAGAACAGCAGCUUCCCGCGCUAAUUAACGGCUUAACAGACUCCUGAUAAGCCUCCCUCACACGUGUCUUCAUCUCUAUUAUCUUAAGUACUAAAACGACACUUCAAGCAGCCGUUUUGGUUAAGUGAAUCACGUGCAAACCACAAGCCUUCUUUGCGCACACAGACGACACAAUUUUCUUGUCAUAUAGCUAUCUCAGGACUGUCAACCAACGUGUAAUGGUGUUAACAAAUCUUCAACCGACUUGUCGCACUUGACUAUAAACUGAUUUGCAGUUCAUAUUCAACAUUCUCCACCUUGAGCUCAAAUCAUCCAUCCCUCAGGUUCACCCUUCCACUUCUUUCCUGCAGUCUAUAUCCUGCAGAUGCCAGCUGAGUUCAAACAGAACUCAAACUUGGCUCCUGGUACAGCUUUGGUAAGCAUGUCAGCAAUGUUGCUAUCAGUGUGUAUUUUAGCCAGCUUAAUCACACCCUUUGAUAUUUCCAAUCUGACAAAGUGAAGCUUGAUGUCAAUAUGCUUGGUUUUCUCGUGAUGUAUCUGGUUCUUACUCAGACAUAUAGCACUUUGGCUGUCACAGUGAAUUGUAAUUUGGUUUUGUUCAAAUCCCAGUUCUGUCACUAUCCCUCUGAGCCAGAUAGCUUCUUUGAUUGCCUCUGCAGCUGCUGUGUAUUUUGCCUCAGUUGUUGACAGAGCAACAACACUCUGCAGUGAAGCCUUCCAGUUUAUGGUGCAGCCAUUAAGCAUAAACAGAAAACCUGUUAAAGACCUUCUUUUAUCCAGAUCUCCAGCAUAAUCUGCAUCCACAUAACCCUCCACACUAACCUCUUCAUAUUUCUCAGCUCCAUAGAUCAGACCAUAACCAGUUGUACCAGCCAGGUAUCUUAAGAUCCAUACAACAGCCCUCCAAUGAUCUUUCCCUGGGUUUGCCAUGUACCUGCUUACCACACUCACUGCAUGAGAGAGAUCAGGCCUAGUCAGGACCAUUGCAUACAUUAAACAUCCAACAGCACUUGAGUAUGGAUAUUUAUUCAUUUCAGCCUUUUCAGUAUCAGAGUUUAGACACUGUUGGCAGGACAGUCUGAAAUGAGAGGGCAGUGGUGUCUGUACUGGUUUACAUUUAUCCAUAUUGAAUUUCUCAAGUACUUUCCUGAUGUAUUUGUGCUGUGUUAGGCUUAGGAUACCAUUCUUUCUGUCUCUCUUUAGCUGAACUCCAAGGAUCUUCUUUGCAGCACCCAGAUCCUUCAUCUCAAAUGUAUUGCUCAGCUGCUGUUUCAGUUCAUUGAUGAACUCCAUCUCCUUACAAGCUAUUAACAUAUCAUCUACAUAGAGUAGCAGGUAGAUCUUGUCACCACCUUCUAUGGUUUUAAAAUAGAUACAGCAGUCAAAACUGCUCCUUUGAAAACCAUGAUCUGACAUGAACCUGUCAAACCUUAGAUACCACAGUCUUGGAGACUGUUUUAAUCCAUAUAGUGACUUCCUUAGAUGACAUACAUGAUCAGUCUUUUCUGGAUCCUCAUACCUUUCAGGUUGUGACAUCACUAUCAUCUCAUCUAUUUCACCAUGCAAGAAGGGAGUCUUCACAUCCAUCUGUUCAAGAUGCAUGUCUUGUACAGCCACUAGAGAUAACAAGAUCCUCAGGGAGGCAUGUCUCACCACUGGGGAGAAAACUUUUGUAAAGUCCACCCCCUCUUUCUGAGUGAAGCCUUUUGCAACCAAUCUGGCUUUAUAUCUUUGUGGCUCAACAUCUGGUAUUCCCUCCUUAAUCCUGUAGAUCCAUUUGCACCCUACUACCUUCUUGUUUGCUGGUCUUUCAAUGAGAUUCCAGGUGUGAUUCUUUUUCAAAGACAUCAUUUCCUCAUCCAUGGCCUUGAUCCAUUCUUCUGCUUUAUCACUGUUAAUAGCUUCUGAGUAUGUUCUUGGUUCAUCUGUUGCUACUUCAUGUGCUGCUGUUAAUGCAAAUGCUAUUAGGUCUGCAUAUGCAUAUCUUCUAGGAGGUCUUAUUACUCUCUUUUCUCUGUCCCUUACUAACUGAUAAUCUCCACUUCUUCCCUGAUCACUUGCUGCUUCAAUCUCAGUGUCAUGCAUUUCCAUGUCUGCUAUGUCUCCAGCCUCUGAUCUUGGUUUCAGUUUCUAGUUUGAGUUUGACAGCUCCACCUCAAGAUAAGAUUUCUCAUCUUUUUCUUUCAUUUCUGCAUUUGUAGUUUUUAAGGAUGCUGAGUGUUGGAGCAUUUCAGCUUCAUUAAAAACUACAUCUCUGCUUAUGAUUGCUUUUGGUGGCUUCAUGUCUGUGCACCACAGUUUAUACCCUUUUACCCCUUCAGGGUAACCAAGAAAUACACACUUCAAUGCCCUAGGCUCUAAUUUGCCUUGUCUAAUGUGAGCAUAUGCUGGACAACCAAAUAUCUUCAAACUGGAGUAAUCUGCUGGUUCACCAUACCAAAGUUCAUAUGGUGUCUUGAAGUUAAUUCCAGUUGAAGGGCUUCUGUUCACAAUGUGACAAGCUGUUGACAGAGCCUCAGCCCACAAGGACAUAGGUAGCUUGGAGUGAAUGAGCAUACACCUCACUUUGUCAACUAAGGUUCUAUUCAUCCUCUCAGCUAAUCCAUUUUGCUGAGGUGUAUAUCUUACUGUUCUGUGCCUCAUGAUCCCAUGCUUGCUGCAAAACUCUUCAAACCUCUUGUUGCAGAAUUCUAAUCCAUUAUCAGUUCUGAGCUUCUUAACCUUCCUAUUGGUCUGAGUUUCAAUCAGUGUUUUCCAGUUCUUGAAAUGUUCAAACACUUCAUCUUUGUUCUUCAGCACAUACACCCAAACCAUUCUGGAAUGGUCAUCAAUUAGAGAUAGAAAAUACCUUGCCCCUCCUAAAGAUGUUGUUUGUGCAGGUCCCCACAGAUCAGCAUGUAUGUAUUCUAGAGUUCCUCUUGAAACAUGUGCACCUGUGCUGAAUUUGACUCUUGAUGAUUUGCCUAGGACACACUCCUCACAAAAUUUCAAGUACUCUAUUUUACCUUCACCCAAGACUCCCUGUUUUGAUAGUUCUCUCAAGCCUCUCUCACUCAUAUGGCCUAAUCUAAAGUGCCACAAUAAGGUUUUGUUUAGGUUCUGGUUUGAAACUCCAACAUCUCCUGUGACUUCAGACCCCUGGAGCACAUACAGGCCAUUGUCUAAGUUUCCUUUCAUCAACACCAUAGACCCUUUUAUCACCUUUAAAGUGCCUGACUCAAGCUUGAUUACACACCCCAUUCUGUCAAGCAUGCCAAGAGAAAUUAGGUUCCUCUUUAAAUCAGGGAUGUGUCAAGCAUUUGUUAAUUCUCUUAUUGUGCCAUCAAGCAUUUCCAGAAUACCCAGCUAUAUAUAUAAGCAAUGCUCGAUCAUCACCUGCAAGCUUCCCCUGUUAUUCGUGAAGAAGAACAGCAGCUUUCCGCGCUAAUUAACGGCCUAACAGACUCCUGAUAAGCCUCCCUCACACGUGUCUUCAUCUCUAUUAUCUUAAGUACUAAAACGACACUUCAAGCAGCCGUUUUGGUUAAGUGAAUCACGUGCAAACCACAAGCCUUCUUUGCGCACACAGACGACACAAUUUUCUUGUCAUAUAGCUAUCUCAGGACUGUCAACCGACGUGUAAUGGUGUUAACAAAUCUUCAACCGACUUGUCGCACUUGACUAUAAACUGAUUUGCAGUUCAUAUUCAACAGAAAGUUUCAUUAGUUAGAAGUUUCAUUACCUUCAAGUGGAAGAUGAAGAAGAACAUUAUGCAAGUGAUUCAGACUACAUCAUACAUACUCCAAAUGCAACUAGAAAUUAAGAAGUUCAUGCCCACAGAUUUCAAAACAUUAUGAUUGGAAAGUUUCACAAAUACAGACAAAUUUUAAAUUCAAUCUCUUACAUCAAGGUAGUUUGAUUGAUAUGAGUUACUUUCUGAUCAAACUACUAAUAUAACAUUCAAUUCAGGGAGAAAGUAAAUUAAAAUUGGGAAGAAAUGAUAGUAAAAAUUUGUUGCUAAACAUGAUGUGUAUUUGUUUUUUUUAGGCAAUUUGGAAACACAGUUGUUACUACAGAUAUUCUCCUCAACUUGGAGGUAAAUACAAAUAUUAAAAUGCAUAUGAUCACACAUAUUACUUGGAGCUUAGUAAGAUUUGAUUAAGAGAAGCAAUCAAACCGCAAUCAAAGCACUUAUCAAUUGCCGCAGUCGUUAUAUAAACUAAAAUGGCAAUAUAAUACAAGAAAAAGAACAUAUAGAUACUUGGCAAGAGUUCAUUAAGAAGUCGCAUCACAUUCGGGUGAGGAGUUUGCUUUUGAUAUCUUGCUAGCUGGGGCUUUUUCUUGUCUUUCUAUGUUUGCCGAGGGAAACCAACCAGCUUGGCCCUGGCAUUCACCUUCCGACCGUCCAGUAAGAGCCACCUUGAGAAGUUAUAACUAAAAAGGUGAAUUAAACAAAAGUUGACCGUUCAAAGACCUAAGGGGAAAACUAAUUCUUUUACGUAGGAGUGAAUUAGUUGUGAUUACUGAAAUUACAGCAUUAACCAUGAAAGCAUAACAAGAUAUAAAUUCAUAUAUCUAUAAAGGUAAACUGGGUGGUUUAGAAUUGAGCUAGCAACCCUACUAUAUUCUGAUUUGCACUUCAAUGUAAAAGGGAAUAUAUAGUAGGAAGAAAGAAAACCAACCAUUAUUUUUUAACUCAUUGUUUUUCAAUCAAAAUUUUAAGAACAAAAUGUCAUGUGCUUUGAACAUCAAAUAAGUAUAAGCAUUAGUUCUAAAUUCCACAUAUUAUAAGUUGUUAGAAGAAUAAGUUAAUAGCAUACUAGAAAAAUCUAUGUGUUGUUAUUUAGAGGGGAAAGUACCUGGCGAACCACAACAUAAUCAUCAAUUGAAAGACUUAGCUCCCCAUUUGCUUGAGCGUCAAAUGGAUUUAUAACUUGCAAGAUAAUGGGAUAAAUAGAACUUAAUCUUAAAAAAAACAUAACAAAAGCAGCAACAGUAGCAGCAGCGUUCAUUGUAACCACUAUGAUUAUGGCCAACAAAGAUAUAUUAGAAAAAAUUUCCAUUUUUACUACGACAUUAAUAUGUACUAUACGAUAUCAUGACGAUUGGGUUACCAAGAGCUAUCAAAGUUCAAUAAGUUCUGUAUAACUUUAUGUAGUUAUUUAAAUUAUGGAUCGGAUUUUAAAUUUGAAAUUUUGACUGCUCUCCACAAAACAUGGCCUAUGCAUAAGAAAGUCAUAGAUAAUGACGAUUACAAGUGUCCGACAUCUUUUGAGGGAUGGAUUUAACAUGACAGCUUAUGGUCAGUCAAUUUCCUCUGCCUAACAAUAUAAGCUUUCUCGGCCAGAUAUAUCAUCAAAUACAUAGAUUGCCCCCAAGUCACAUCCAUAUAAACAUAGUUUUUAUAGGUAAACCAAGUAAGGAGAAUCAUAAUUCAGACAUAAUCACAAAAAGGCCCAUCUAAAUUAAGAGAAAAUCUCAAAAAGAGGGAUGUUGAGCUAUCAGUCAUGUAUCUAUAAGCAAUAUCAAGACCUUACAUCACCUACUACAUCGUGAGUAUCUACACAACUUUCAGUGGUUUGUCUUUCUUUGGCAUGCCUAACUCAGCUUUGAUGUUGCUGAGAUAUUGAUGGUAGAGACACAUGAUACUUCUAGCUCAUGCAUUCUAUCUAGCUCAUCCGACAGCUUUCUCUUUUUUAAUUCAUUAGUGUUUGUUAAACCUCAUGCUUCAAAGUCUUGUUCUCUAAAACAAAGUUUCCUAAGAAUAACUUCCUCAGCACCACAUUUGGACACUUUUAGAGCAAUUUUAUUUUGUGGAAAAGAAUUUUCAAGGUGUUAACUAAUAAAUUUUAAAAAAUAAUUACAAUUUGUCCUACGAUCAUAUGAUAAUUUAUUUGGGAUGAAAGGAUACAGGCAGACAUCUUCCACUUUCAAGACUAAUCACUACUUCCGUAGAUGUUGUACAAUAAUACAAAUACUUGACCAGAUGGUAGUGAUAGAAGAAAAAAAUUUUAUUGCUCCAAAAUUAAAAUAAGGGUCAAUCUAUAAUGCCGUAACUAAAUUUACGACAUUGAUACCGUAAUGUACGUGGACCGUUAGAUUUGAAAAAAAAAUCUCUACCAUUAAUUCUAAAUAAAUAGGUAACCUGUUACCUAAGUAGCAGGUAAUUACUAUUUUUUGUUCAAGUUCCAUGUUACAUUUACCAAUUUUAUGUGUGAUUUACAAGUUUUAUGAAACUUUUACAAGUUUUAAGCAACAUUUACAAGUUUUAUGCAACAUUUACAAGUUUUUGUUUUAUUUACAAGUUCUUCUCACAAUUACAACUGUAACAUUAAUUUACCUAUUUUUCCAUUAAUUUAUUAGUUUUAUGUGUGGUUUACAUAUUUUAUGUUUUAUUUCACACUUAAUGUGAAUUUACUAGUUCUAUGUCAUUUUUCUAAGUUUUUGUUUUGUUUACAAAUUCUUCGUACAAAUUACAACUCCGGCAUUAAUUUACUCAUUUUUUCAUCAAUUUACUAGUUUUAUGUGUGAUUUACACAUUUUUUGUUUUAUUUCACAAUUAAUGUCAAUUUACUAGUUCUAUGUCAUUUUUAUAAGUUUUUGUUUUGUUUACAAGUUCUUCGUGCAAAUUACAAUUCCAACAUUAAUUUAUCAUUUUUUUCAUUAAUUUACUAGUUUUAUGUGUGAUUUACAUAUUUUUUGUUUUAUUUCACACUUAAUGUGAAUUUACAAGUUCUAUGUCAUUUUUCUAAGUUUUUGUCUUGUUUACAAGUUCUUCUUACAAUUUACAACUCGAAUAUUAAUUUACCAUUUUUUCCAUACAUUUACUAGUUUUAUGUGUGGUUUACAUAUUUUUUGUUUUAUUUCACACUUAAUGUGAAUUUACAAGUUCUAUGUCAUUUUUCUAAGUUUUUGUCUUGUUUACAAGUUCUUCUUACAAUUUACAACUCGAACAUUAAUUUACCAUUUUUUCCAAACAUUUACUAGUUUUAUGUGUGGUUUACAUAUUUUUUGUUUUAUUUCACACUUAAUGUGAAUUUACUAGUUCUAUGUCAUUUUUCUAAGUUUUUGUUUUGUUUACCAGGUUUUCGUACAAAUUACAACUCCAACAUUAAUUUACUCAUUUUUCCAUUAAUUUACUAGUUUUAUGUGUGAUUUACACAUUUUUUGUUUUAUUUCACAAUUAAUGUCAAUUUACUAGUUCUAUGUCAUUUUUAUAAGUUUUUGUUUUGUUUACAAGUUCUUCGUGCAAAUUACAAUUCAAACAUUAAUUUACCAUUUUUUUCAUUAAUUUACUAGUUUUAUGUGUGAUUUACACUUUUGUUUGUUUUAUUUCACACUUAAUGUGAAUUAACAAGUUCUAUGUCAUUUUUCUAAGUUUUUGUUUUGUUUACAAGUUCUUCGUACAAGUUACAACUCCAACAUUAAUUUACUCAUUUUUCCAUCAAAUUACUAGUUUUAUGUGUGAUUUACACAUUUUUUGUUUUAUUUCACAAUUAAUGUCAAUUUACUAGUUCUAUGUCAUUUUUAUAAGUUUUUGUUUUGUUUACAAGUUCUUCGUGCAAAUUACAAUUCCAACAUUAAUUUACCAUUUUUUAAUUAAUUUACUAGUUUUAUGUGUGAUUUACACUUUUGUUUGUUUUAUUUCACACUUAAUGUGAAUUAACUAGUUCUAUGUCAUUUUUCUAAGUUUUUGCUUUGUUUACAAGUUUUUCGUACAAAUUACAACUCCAACAUUAAUUUACUCAUUUUUCCAUCAAUUUACUAGUUUUAUGUGUGAUUUACACAUUUGUUGUUUUAUUUCACAAUUAAUGUCAAUUUACUAGUUCUAUGUCAUUUUUAUAAGUUUUUGCUUUGUUUACAAGUUCUUCGUGCAAAUUACAAUUCCAACAUUAAUUUACCAUUUUUUUAAGUAAUUUACUAGUUUUAUGUGUGAUUUACACAUUUUUUGUUUUAUUUCACACUUAAUGUCAAUUUACUAGUUCUAUGUCAUUUUUAUAAGUUUUUGUUUUGUUUACAAGUUCUUCGUGCAAAUUACAAUUCCAACAUUAAUUUACCAUUUGUUUAAGUAAUUUACUAGUUUUAUGUGUGAUUUACAUAUUUUUUGUUUUAUUUCACACUUAAUGUCACUUUACUAGUUCUAUGUCAUUUUUAUAAGUUUUUGUUUUGUUUACAAGUUCUUCGUGCAAAUUACAAUUCCAACAUUAAUUUACCAUUUUUUUCAUUAAUUUACUAGUUUUAUGUGUGAUUUACAUAUUUUUUGUUUUAUUUCACACUUAAUGUGAAUUUACAAGUUCUAUGUCAUUUUUCUAAAUUUUUGUCUUGUUUACAAGUUCUUCUUACAAUUUACAACUCGAACAUUAAUUUACCAUUUUUUCCAUACAUUUACUAGUUUUAUGUGUGGUUUACAUAUUUUUUGUUUUAUUUCACACUUAAUGUGAAUUUACAAGUUCUAUGUCAUUUUUCUAAGUUUUUGUCUUGUUUACAAGUUCUUCUUACAAUUUACAACUAGAACAUUAAUUUACCAUUUUUUCCAUACAUUUACUAGUUUUAUGUGUGGUUUACAUAUUUUUUGUUUUAUUUCACACUUAAUGUGAAUUUACAAGUUCUAUGUCAUUGUUCUAAGUUUUUGUCUUGUUUACAAGUUCUUCUUACAAUUUACAACUCGAACAUUACUUUACCAUUUUUUCCAAACAUUUACUAGUUUUAUGUGUGGUUUACAUAUUUUUUGUUUUAUUUCACACUUAAUGUGAAUUUACAAGUUCUAUGUCAUUGUUCUAAGUUUUUGUCUUGUUUACAAGUUCUUCUUACAAUUUACAACUCGAACAUUAAUUUACCAUUUUUUCCAAACAUUUACUAGUUGUAUGUGUGGUUUACAUAUCUUUUGUUUUAUUUGACACUUAAUGUGAAUUUACAAGUUCUAUGUCAUUGUUCUAAGUUUUUGUCUUGUUUACAAGUUCUUCUUACAAUUUACAACUCAAACAUUAAUUUACCAUUUUUUCCAAACAUUUACUAGUUUUAUGUGUGGUUUACAUAUCUUUUGUUUUAUUUCACACUUAAUGUGAAUUUACUAGUUCUAUGUCAUUUUUCUAAGUUUUUGUUUUGUUUACAAGUUUUUCGUACAAAUUACAACUCCAACAUUAAUUUACUCAUUUUUCCAUUAAUUUACUAGUUUUAUGUGUGAUUUACACAUUUUUUGUUUUAUUUCACACUUAAUGUCAAUUUACUAGUUCUAUGUCAUUUUUAUAAGUUUUUGUUUUGUUUACAAGUUCGUCGUGCAAAUUACAAUUCCAACAUUAAUUUACCAUUUUUUUCAUUAAUUUACUAGUUUUAUGUGUGAUUUACAUAUUUUUUGUUUUAUUUCACACUUAAUGUGAAUUUACAAGUUCUAUGUCAUUUUUUUAAGUUUUUGUCUUGUUUACAAGUUCUUCUUACAAUUUACAACUCGAACAUUAAUUUACCAUGUUUUCCAUACAUUUACUAGUUGUAUGUGUGGUUUACAUAUUUUUUGUUUUAUUUCACACUUAAUGUGAAUUUACAAGUUCUAUGUCAUUUUUCUAAGUUUUUGUCUUGUUUACAAGUUCUUCUUACAAUUUACAACUCGAACAUUACUUUACCAUUUUUUCCAAACAUUUACUAGUUGUAUGUGUGGUUUACAUAUCUUUUGUUUUAUUUCACACUUAAUGUGAAUUUACAAGUUCUAUGUCAUUGUUCUAAGUUUUUGUCUUGUUUACAAGUUCUUCUUACAAUUUACAACUCAAACAUUAAUUUACCAUUUUUUCCAAACAUUUACUAGUUUUAUGUGUGGUUUACAUAUCUUUUGUUUUAUUUCACACUUAAUGUGAAUUUACUAGUUCUAUGUCAUUUUUCUAAGUUUUUGUUUUGUUUACAAGUUUUUCGUACAAAUUACAACUCCAACAUUAAUUUACUCAUUUUUCCAUUAAUUUACUAGUUUUAUGUGUGAUUUACACAUUUUUUGUUUUAUUUCACACUUAAUGUCAAUUUACUAGUUCUAUGUCAUUUUUAUAAGUUUUUGUUUUGUUUACAAGUUCGUCGUGCAAAUUACAAUUCCAACAUUAAUUUACCAUUUUUUUCAUUAAUUUACUAGUUUUAUGUGUGAUUUACAUAUUUUUUGUUUUAUUUCACACUUAAUGUGAAUUUACAAGUUCUAUGUCAUUUUUUUAAGUUUUUGUCUUGUUUACAAGUUCUUCUUACAAUUUACAACUCGAACAUUAAUUUACCAUGUUUUCCAUACAUUUACUAGUUGUAUGUGUGGUUUACAUAUUUUUUGUUUUAUUUCACACUUAAUGUGAAUUUACAAGUUCUAUGUCAUUUUUCUAAGUUUUUAUCUUGUUUACAAGUUCUUCUUACAAUUUACAACUCGAACAUUACUUUACCAUUUUUUCCAUACAUUUACUAGUUUUAUGUGUGGUUUACAUAUUUUUUGUUUUCUUUCACACUUAAUGUGAAUUUACAAGUUCUAUGUCAUUGUUCUAAGUUUUUGUCUUGUUUACAAGUUCUUCUUACAAUUUAUAACUCGAACAUUAAUUUACCAUUUUUUCCAAACAUUUACUAGUUUUAUGUGUGGUUUACAUAUUUUUUGUUUUAUUUCACACUUAAUGUGAAUUUACUAGUUCUAUGUCAUUUUUCUAAGUUUUUGUUUUGUUUACAAGUUUUUCGUACAAAUUACAACUCCAACAUUAAUUUACUCAUUUUUCCAUUAAUUUACUAGUUUUAUGUGUGCUUUACACAUUUUUUGUUUUAUUUCACACUUAAUGUCAAUUUACUAGUUCUAUGUCAUUUUUAUAAGUUUUUGUUUUGUUUACAAGUUCGUCGUACAAAUUACAACUCCAACAUUAAUUUACUCAUUUUUCCAUUAAUUUACUAGUUUUAUGUGUGAUUUACACAUUUUUUGUUUUAUUUCACACUUAAUGUCAAUUUACUAGUUCUAUGUCAUUUUUAUAAGUUUUUGUCUUGUUUACAAGUUCGUCGUGCAAAUUACAAUUCCAACAUUAAUUUACCAUUUUUUUCAUUAAUUUACUAGUUUUAUGUGUGAUUUACAUAUUUUUUGUUUUAUUUCACACUUAAUGUGAAUUUACAAGUUCUAUGUCAUUUUCUUAAGUUUUUGUCUUGUUUACAAGUUCUUCUUACAAUUUACAACUCGAACAUUAAUUUACCAUGUUUUCCAUACAUUUACUAGUUGUAUGUGUGGUUUACAUAUUUUUUGUUUUAUUUCACACUUAAUGUGAAUUUACAAGUUCUAUGUCAUUUUUCUAAGUUUUUGUCUUGUUUACAAGUUCUUCUUACAAUUUACAACUCGAACAUUACUUUACCAUUUUUUCCAAACAUUUACUAGUUUUAUGUGUGGUUUACAUAUUUUUUGUUUUAUUUCACACUUAAUGUGAAUUUACAAGUUCUAUGUCAUUUUUCUAAGUUUUUGUCUUGUUUACAAGUUCUUCUUACAAUUUACAACUCGAACAUUACUUUACCAUUUUUUCCAUACAUUUACUAGUUUUAUGUGUGGUUUACAUAUUUUUUGUUUUCUUUCACACUUAAUGUGAAUUUACAAGUUCUAUGUCAUUGUUCUAAGUUUUUGUCUUGUUUACAAGUUCUUCUUACAAUUUAGAACUCGAACAUUAAUUUACCAUUUUUUCCAAACAUUUACUAGUUUUAUGUGUGGUUUACAUAUUUUUUGUUUUAUUUCACACUUAAUGUGAAUUUACUAGUUCUAUGUCAUUUUUCUAAGUUUUUGUUUUGUUUACAAGUUUUUCGUACAAAUUACAACUCCAACAUUAAUUUACUCAUUUUUCCAUUAAUUUACUAGUUUUAUGUGUGAUUUACACAUUUUUUGUUUUAUUUCACACUUAAUGUCAAUUUACUAGUUCUAUGUCAUUUUUAUAAGUUUUUGUUUUGUUUACAAGUUCGUCGUGCAAAUUACAAUUCCAACAUUAAUUUACCAUUUUUUUCAUUAAUUUACUAGUUUUAUGUGUGAUUUACAUAUUUUUUGUUUUAUUUCACACUUAAUGUGAAUUUACAAGUUCUAUGUCAUUUUGUUAAGUUUUUGUCUUGUUUACAAGUUCUUCUUACAAUUUACAACUCGAACAUUAAUUUACCAUGUUUUCCAUACAUUUACUAGUUGUAUGUGUGGUUUACAUAUUUUUUGUUUUAUUUCACACUUAAUGUGAAUUUACAAGUUCUAUGUCAUUUUUCUAAGUUUUUGUCUUGUUUACAAGUUCUUCUUACAAUUUACAACUCGAACAUUACUUUACCAUUUUUUCCAAACAUUUACUAGUUGUAUGUGUGGUUUACAUAUCUUUUGUUUUAUUUCACACUUAAUGUGAAUUUACAAGUUCUAUGUCAUUGUUCUAAGUUUUUGUCUUGUUUACAAGUUCUUCUUACAAUUUACAACUCAAACAUUAAUUUACCAUUUUUUCCAAACAUUUACUAGUUUUAUGUGUGGUUUACAUAUUUUUUGUUUUAUUUCACACUUAAUGUGAAUUUACUAGUUCUAUGUCAUUUUUCUAAGUUUUUGUUUUGUUUACAAGUUUUUCGUACAAAUUACAACUCCAACAUUAAUUUACUCAUUUUUCCAUUAAUUUACUAGUUUUAUGUGUGAUUUACACAUUUUUUGUUUUAUUUCACACUUAAUGUCAAUUUACUAGUUCUAUGUCAUUUUUAUAAGUUUUUGUUUUGUUUACAAGUUCGUCGUGCAAAUUACAAUUCCAACAUUAAUUUACCAUUUUUUUCAUUAAUUUACUAGUUUUAUGUGUGAUUUACAUAUUUUUUGUUUUAUUUCACACUUAAUGUGAAUUUACAAGUUCUAUGUCAUUUUGUUAAGUUUUUGUCUUGUUUACAAGUUCUUCUUACAAUUUACAACUCGAACAUUAAUUUACCAUGUUUUCCAUACAUUUACUAGUUGUAUGUGUGGUUUACAUAUUUUUUGUUUUAUUUCACACUUAAUGUGAAUUUACUAGUUCUUUGUCAUUUUUCUAAGUUUUUGUUUUGUUUACAAGUUCUUCGUGCAAAUUACAAUUCCAACAUUAAUUUACCAUUUUUUUCAUUAAUUUACUAGUUUUAUGUGUGAUUUACAUAUUUUUUAUUUUAUUUCACACUUAAUGUGAAUUUACAAGUUCUAUGUCAUUUUUCUAUGUUUUUGUCUUGUUUACAAGUUCUUCUUACAGUUUACAACUCGAACAUUAAUUUACCAUUUUUUCCAUACAUUUACUAGUUGUAUGUGUUGUUUACAUAUUUUUUGUUUUAUUUCACACUUAAUGUGAAUUUACUAGUUCUAUGUCAUUUUUCUAAGUUUUUGUUUUGUUACAAGUUUUUCAUACAAAUUACAACUCCAACAUUAAUUUACUACAUUUUCUAUCAAUUUACUAGUUUUUUUCUAUUUUUUAUUUUUUUUAAUUUUGUAGACCAAUUUACCACUGUAACGCUAAUUUACCCGUUUUACCUUCAAUGUACGAGUCAUACGUGUGGUUUAGAAAUUUUUUUUCUUAUUUCACAUUUAUUUGGAAUUUAGGUUAUUUAGUUUAAGUCAAUUGCCUCAACUUAAAUCCAACGUGAAAAUGGUUAAAGAGUUGGAUUAUUGACAUUUUAUGAUUUAGAUAGAAUGAUAUAAGGGUGGGCAUGAGUUGGGUUUGAUAGGGUUAGUGAAAUUCUAACAUGGUCUACUUUUUAAUGAGCUGAUAUAAAAUUCAUCCAAUUUAACUAAAUAAACUUGUUUAACUAAAUUCUACCCAAACCUUAUAUCGUCUGGUUAAGUUGAUUAGGUUGAAGCUCAAAUCAAAAUUUUAAAUUGAACAAUGAAAAUGAUAUUAAACUUAUUAAAAUCAAAUAUAAAUCUUUUAUAACAUGAAAUUUUCAUUCACUAUCUAGUGUACGUAAAGAAAGUUAAUAAAUUAACUAUCUUUAAAUUAAGAAAAUUUCCACAAAAAGCAUAUAGACUUUAUUUCUCUUGCAUCUCCUUUUCCAAUUCCAAAUUAAGACUUUUUAGAUAAUUAGCUAGCAUCAUAUACAAAAAUAAAAUGAAAGUGAUAUAUAAUUAUGUGCCGUUAAGUAUUCACUAAAAAAAUAAAAAAAAAUUAAAACCAACUUACUUUUAUAUUAAUCUUAUAAAAUAAUAAAUUUACUUAUAAGAGAGUGUGAUUUUGGUUUUGGAAUUGUAGUCUAAAGCAGCAGAUGCAAGAAUGAAAUAUCCUCUUGUAUUAAAAGAUUAAAAAGAAUAAAAAAUUAGAUAAACCAUUUAAGUCGUUAUAAUCUUGCAAUUGAGAAUUAACACAUUAUCAUUUUCCUUUUUCUUCUUCUUCUUCUUCUUCUUCUUCUUAUUAUUAUUAUUAUUAUAGAUUUGGUUGGGUUAGACUGGUUAAUUAUAAUUUAUCCAACCCAAACUAAUUAUUAAUUAGGUUUGAAAAAAACAGACCCAAUUAAACCACAAUAAUCUGCUCAUGGUGCAUUUACCAAUCAGUAAUCAUAACGGGCUACAAUCAGAAUCAAGAAUGUGAAUAAGAAUAAGUUAUUUAUUUGAGCUGUAGAAAUUGAAGUCGGAAUGAGAUUCAUUUCCAUCAAUGUGUUUAAUUUGUCUUGAAAUCGGAAUGAAUUAUCAUAAUUUCUUAAAUGCCCUUUGUUGAUUAUUGUCAAUUGGUGGUAAUAAUAAUCAUAAUAAUAAUAAUAAUAAUAAUAAUAAUCAUCAUCAUCAUAAUAUUUAUUAAAAUAGUAUUAUAAUUAUGAUUACUAAUUCAUUAUUGAUAUUAUUUAUUAAUUUCAUGAUUUUGUUUUAUGAUUAUUAUUUAUGAAAAUAUUAUUGUAAUCAAACUUUAUAAUAAUUAUUAUAAUAAUAAGUUAUUAUUAUUAUUAAUAUUUUAUUAUAUUAUUAUUUCGUAAAAAUAUUAUUAUAUUUAUAAUUUUAUUGUUAUUAUUAUUAAUAUGAAAUUAUUUCAUUAUUGUUUAUUAUAAUAUUAUAUUAAUUAUAAUUCAUUAUAAUUUAUUAAUCUUUCAUUAUUGUUCAUGUGCGUAGGAGUUAGAUUUGAGAUAAUGUUCUGAAAAUAACUCGGUUAAUGUUUGAAAUCUUGUUUAUAUUAGGUCUUAUUUUUCUAGCUAGGUUACUAUUAUGCUUGCAAUUUUAUUUUUCUAAAUAAUUAGAUUAUCAUCAUGCUAUCGCAGCAAGUUUGGACAGACAUGAUGGUUGCGUAAAACCUCAACUAUUUUUUAUUAUUGACUAGGCCUUGCUUGCUUCUUGUUUUUCAAUUUAGGCAGUGAUGGUAGUAAAAGCUUUUGGAGUUUUGGACAAUGAUGAUGGCAACUCACAGCUCACAAUGUCAGAACACAUUCAAUUUUACACAACAAUGAUAAGUAUUGACCAUGAGGCAGGAUACUGAAAAUUUGUUGUGUCCGUCAAUGGUAAAAUGAUUACAAUUGAGAUGGUGAUUACAAUUGAUUUUUUUUUAAUGAAACCAUAUGUUUUAAUUAUUUAUGCUUGUAUCCGUCAAUGGUAAAAUUAUUAUGGUAUAUUUGUGUUAGAAAUUAUAUUUAUUUCAUUUGUUGCUGUAACAACAUAAAUAUAAACUAUGCUGAUUAACUUGAAUAUUUCGUUUGGAGUCAAACAAUGAUAAAAACAAAAUAAUACAUAAAAAUUGGAGUGUUGUGGUUGAAAGCAAAUAAAGGCAAAGCUCACACACGGUACAACUGCAAUUAAAAGAAAAAGGCAAAGCAAAACGCACUGAUAUCAAACUUUAAUCACAUCUCGAAUUUACACAAUAAUCAAUAGCAGAUCCUAAAAAAUUCCAAAAGAAAAUCUUAAAACAAAUAGUCAACAAGAUAUUAGAAUCAUUAUAAAAAUAAAUAACCAAGAAUAAUACUAAUUUCAAAUAAAAUAUAUAGAAUGGUAGUAAAACAAAGAACUAUCGUUACUACUGCUCCCCAACAAAGAUGAUCCACUUUCCCACAAGAUGUUACUAAAGAGGAAAUUGUGAGCCACCUGGAGAAUAAAGGAAAACUUGCAUUAAACAUUGACUAUUUCCAGUCCACAUUCUGCUUAUACUCGGUACGCAAUUGCAAAUUGGAAAUUGUUUCUAAUUAAUUUUAUGUGAAACAACAAUUAUAAUUGCAAUAACUAAUAAAUAACUACUACAAAUCAUGAAAUGUAAUAGGAGCAAAAAAAAAGCAAGAAAGAAAUAGUUAAAGAGAACCUACUUUUAACAUGCUGCAAGCUUUUGGACUCUACUUUUUCUUCUUCAAAUUCUUUUGACCAUUAACUUUGUUCGUCACUUUGUUCGGUGGAAGAUUAUUCUUGUGCGAAUCAUAAAUUCUUCAGCCUUACAUCUGAUACUAUCUCUCACUUUAUUUGUAUCUCCGUUGACAAGGUGGAGUGCAAUGCGAUAUCUUUCUAUUGUUGAGUUAUACUAAAUAUAGUACGAGAAAAAAUAAAAAAGUGAGAAACAGAGUCAUCAUUCAUUUUAAAACUUUAAAUCAAUAUGAUAUAAAAUUAAUGUCACAUACAUGUUUUAUAGAUAAUAGAUCACAUUGCGUCUCCAUGAACUUGAUCACAAACAAACCGCAGUCAGUUCCAUUUGGUUGUACUGGGACAUUAUCUGGAUAUGAAAUUUUAAAACUAAAAAAAUCCCAACAUGAAUAAAAUUUUCCCAAAAAAUCAUCGAGGAAAACUUCAUUGAGUCCCUGUAACUGUGAUAAUGAUGAUAAUAGUCAGCAUACAUUUGCAUUUAUUGGUAAUAAUACAGGUGAAAUGCAAGCUUCACUUACAAUUGCUCUAACAAUUUCCUCUCGAUGUGAAUUCGAACUAUUACUAGGUAAAGAGUCCCAAAUUUCAACGGUUUGCGUUUUAACAAUCAACACCGCUAGAUACCAAUGUGCAGAGCCAUCAUUUAUAGGAACAUAGAUCUACAUGACAAAUGCAUAAUUUUUAAUAAUUACCAUUAAAUGUCUUAAACAAUGGCAUGAUUUAUUGUAAUUUUGCAUUUAAUUUCUUACCUUUUCACAUACUGCUAGUUCUGACAUGUAUUUAUCUCGAAUAUUAUGAUUUUUGACAAAAUCUUCGAUGCUUGAUUUCUUAUUGCAGGCCAUGUUUGCCACUAUUUUUUGCUGCAAAACUCAUAAAAUAAAUACAAAAUUAGUAUAUUAUCAACAUAUAGGGUCAACUGUCAAUAAAAAAAUUCACAGUAUAACAUUUACAACUUACCGAAAAGAUGGUGGGCAAAUACCAAAUACGCAUCUUUAGGCUCGUUUUUGCACGUUCUUUGUUUGUCAAGUAGUUGACGAAACAAUCUAUGACCUACGAAUAGAGCCAUUAAACAAGAAGACUUAAAUACUUAGAAAGAAAAUAAAUAAAUUGAAUGAUUAAACUAAAUAUAAAGAAGGUAUGCUUACUGUGUCAAUGAUCCAAGUAUUAGGAGCCAAAGAAAACAUCUCUUGGCGAGAGACGAAAAAACUAAUUCCAUCAACAAUAUGCUCACUAUAUUAAGAAUCCAAAAAUAUAAUUAAAACUAUAGCAGUGUUAAUGCAAAAAUAAUAACAUAUGGAAAGUGGGUCAUGAGAAAAUCUAAUUACUCCAUAGGCAAUUCUCCUUGAAAUAUAUAUUGCAGCAACUUCAUAUCUUCCUCUGAAAAUGAAUUUAGUAGAGUGAUUGAAUCAUGAAAAAAUUUUUGUUUGCUUCGUCUUUUGGGAAACUGAUUAUAAGGGGAUUUUUGGUAUGGACUAGGCUUUCGCUUUCGGGAGCGCAUAUCUUUAACCUCAAAUACACUAAGUUGGUUUGAUGAUUCCUCUUCAAUAGAACAAUCAUCAUUCGGGCCAUUAUCCUACAAAAAUUAUGAUUUAUAACUUAAUACUCAUCUAUGCACUAUUAUGUUUUACUUGUGCAAAAAAGAAGAUCACAGUUUAUUGCUAAAUACUUGUAUAGCUGCAUUGUAGAAAAUUUGCUUACGCUUUCCCUCAUUUAGGUCUGACUCACCCGUCAAAAUUCUCUCAUCAUGUUUCUCUUCAACAUUCUCCUCAUCCACUAAUUUCUUCUCAAGAAUAUCAUCUCCAUCUGGCCUUUCUUUGGCUCUCUUCAUUAGUUCCGCAAAAGUUAAAAUUUCAUGGCUUGAUUCAUCGUUCUUUUGUUGCUUUCGGGAAGGAGAAGUAAUUCCAACAGCAGCGCCAUUAUUCUCCUUUUUCUGCUCAACUUGCUUUUGUGUUAAGUUCUCUUUAAGGGUUUCCAUUACUUGUUGCAUUUGCUGCAUCCAGCUACCCAUUGAAUGCUUUAAACCAUCAAGCUCCAAUGCCAUACGGCCAAUAUCUUUUCGAACAAGUGAUAAUUCCUUCUGAUGUUGACAAUUAUGUAUGCAUUCUUCAUUCUUCCGACUUAUUCCAUCAAAUGUUUCAUGGGCCGUGUUUUGUUGAGGAUGGAUUUCUCGCAAAUUAACCUAAUAAAUACCACAUACUAUUAAAUACAUGUCAUUUCAAUAUGAUACGUUAAUAUUUAAUUAAUAAAAAGUAGAUGUCCUACCUUUGAGCUCCCAUAACCGCCAUUUUUCUUAACAAAACUCAAUAAGUUAGUUACAUCUCGAUUUGUCCAUGUUGUUAUUGGACUCAAAGAUUUAUCAAUAAAUUUUCGUGCAAAUGAUAUAGAAUCCAUGUAAAAAAGCUACAAUAUUAACAAAAUGAUCAAAACAAAGCAAAAACAAAAUAACACAAUAAAACUGAUGAAAUCAUUUUUAAAAAAAAUUACCUCCAAAAAUAGUACACAACCAUUAACAACUUUAUGUUGUCCUGCCUUGAACUUUUGUAUGCCCUCAACUAGCCCUUUAAAAGCCCACGUUGCCCAAUUUUUUUUAUUUAUGGCACUGGUGUCUUUCAAAAAAACCAAGUAAUACGGGGCUAAAUUCAACCCCGAUUUAGGAAAAAUAAUUGUAGCUAUAGCAAACAAAACAAAGCUUCUUUUAAAGUCAUCAUUCACCUCCCUUUGAUUCACCAAUUUUGACUCUAAAGUUUUCAGCUUAAUGUAUCCACUGUCAUCACAAUAUUCAUUCCUCAAUUUAUCUAUGUCAUCAAUAGCAAGAUCCACAUCAAUGUCGACUCCACCAUCUUUUAUUCCCAUAAUGUACUCAAAAUCUCGAGGCGACAGAUUGAUACUCUUACCAUGCAAAAAAAUACAUGAAGUAAAUGGAUCAAAAUUUUGAACCAACCAUGAACAUAAAUCUCGUUUCAGUCGACCACAUUUUAUGUGCAGAAGACUUUCAAAUCCUAACUCCACAACAACUUUUUUUUGAUUUUCUGACAAUUUUGCGACCAGUUUUGUAAAACGAUCUGGAGCGCAUCUAGUUUCCAUGGCUUUUUGAGUUCCCUUCACAAAAUCAUCUUCUUUGUCUUUAUUCUGUGCUAUAUCACUAUCAACCAUUCUAAAUUUAGCCUUUUCUUCUUCACUCAAAUUUUUUAAACAUUUCCCUAAUUUAAUUCUGUUCUAAAAAAUUAAAAAAAAAUAUGACAAUAAGUUAUUGCUUGUAACACAUCCCAAAUUUAAUGGAAAUUAAUUAUCGCACCUACACUCACCAUUUUUUUCCUUGUUCCCAUAAUAUUUUUGCUUCUUGCUUGCUGCAGUCAAUUAAAUAUUUUGAAAAAAAUAUAUAUAAUCAGUGCAUGUUAACAUUAUUAUGCUCGGCUUUACUAAAUAUUCAUAAAUUUACCAACAGUCAAACACAUAAUAUUUAAUGUAAGAAGACUUACAAAUACUCAAUGAAAGGCCGAUUUCUUCUUAAAUUUUCAUUUUCCUGGCUCACAUUAUCAUUCUCCUUGAAAUCAUUCUCAUUACCCUCAUCUACAUUUUCAGCCAUUUUCGAGUUUACAAGAACCUGUACAUGAAGAUUUAGCACAAAAAGAAAUGUCAAAUAUCACAAGUUUUGGAUCCUGUAAAACAACAGAAACUUUAACCCAAAAGCAGUAAUAAAUUUAUCCAGAAACAGCAAAAAAUGUAACUAAAAAACAGCAGUAAAUUUUACCCAAAAAUAAUAGAAAAUUUAACCCAAAUACAGCAGCAAAUGAAGCCCAAAACACCAAAAACAUUUACAUGUAAACAGCAAAAAAUUUAGCCAAAAAACAGUCGUAAAUUUAUCCAAACAGCAACAAAUUUACCCAGAAAUAGCAAAAAAUUUAACACAAAAAUAACAAUAAAUUUAUCCAGAAAUAGUGAAAAAUUUAACUGUAAAACAGCAGCAAAUUUACCUAGAAGCAACAGAAAAUUUAACCUAAAAAGAGUAGCAAAUGAAGCCCAAACACCAGAAAAAUUUACCUAAACACAGCAGAAAAUUUAACCCAAAAAUAGCAGUAUAUUUACACAGAAACAGCAAAAUAUUUAACCAAAAAACAGCAGCAAAUGAAGCCCAGAACACCAAAAAAACUUACCUGGAAACAGCAAAAAAUAUAACCCAAAAACAGCAGUAAAUUUAUCCAAAAACAGCAAACAAUUUAACUCAAACAAAAGCAGCCAAUUUACCCAAAAAUAGCAGAAAAUUUAACCUAAAAAUAGCUGCAAAUGAAGCCCAAAAUACCAGAAAAAUUUAACCAAAAACGGCAGCAAAUCAUCACAAAUGCAGCAGAAAAUUUAUUCAAAAACAGCAAAAAAUUUAAGUGAAAAACAGUAGUUUAUUUACCCAGAAACAGCAAAAUAUUUAACCCAAAACCAGCAGCAAAUGAAGCCCAAAACACCAAAAACAUUUACCUUAAAACGGCAGAAAAUAUAACCCAAAAACAGCAGUAAAUUUAUCAAAAAAUAGCAAAAAAAUAAACUAAAAACCAGCAGUCACCUUACCCAGAAACAGCAGAAAAUUAAAUCUAAAAAUAGCAGCAAAUGAAGCCCAAAACACCAAAAAAAUUUACCUUAAAACAGCAGAAAAUAUAACCCAAAAACAGCAGUAAAUUUAUCAAAAAACAACAAAAAAAUAAGCUGAAAAAUAGCAGCCACCUUACCCAGAAACAGCAGAAAAUUAAAUCUAAAAAUAGCAGCAAAUGAAGCUUUAUCAAUAGGAAAGUUUAAAAUAUUUUUUUUCUGAAGCCAAAGCAAGAAAUCUAUAAAGUCCUUGUGAUCUUCAACUUGAGAAUUGUUACUCAUCCUAUUCUCAUGUUCUUGAAUGACUACCUCAAGAAAAUUAUCAACUCCUUGGUCACUAAAUUUUUCUACUCUAACAUCACGAAAAGAAUAAUGAAUCCUUUUGUUACUUAAAAGUUGUACAACAAAUAAGAUUUGAACUUUUCUUAAGUACUCACCAUAAGGUGUCAUAGAGACAUCUACACAACCGUUUAAAAGUUUUACAAAUGGGGUUAAUUUUGGUUGAUUGCAAAGAUUACAUUUCUAACGAUCUCACAGGAUAGCUUGUCAAAGCGGAACUAGAUUAUCGUUACAAUAAAUUAAAAUGCAUUUAUGGUUUUAUGCAUUUUUGUCAUUUAUUGUGAAUAUUAUUUCAAAUUAUUUAUGCAUGGAUGUUUUAUUUUUCAGAAAAUGUCUUCCCUGAGCCCACUUACUAUUAUUCUGAGUCAAAACAAACUCACUGGAGAGAACUAUAUAGAUUGGAAAAGAAAUCUAUUCAUUGUCCUGACUGCUGAAAAUUAUAAAUAUGUCUUAACCCAGCCAUGCCCCCCAGUUCCAGCGGAUGAUGCUCAUAGAAAUCAGAGGAGGCUUUAUGAGAAAUGGCAAAAGGCCAAUGAAAUGGCAAAGUGCUACAUUUUAGCCUCGAUUUCUAAUAUUCUGCAGACCAAACAUCAGAACUUGGAGACUGCCACUGAAAUAAUGGAUAGUCUCCAACAGAUGUUCGGUCAGAGUACUCGCUCUGCGAGACAAGCAGCGCUGAAAGGAAUUAUGAACAGUAAAAUGGGGAAAGGCACAAGAGUUCGUGAUCAUGUCCUCAAAAUGAUGGACUAUUUGAAUGAGGCUGAGAUUCAGGGAGCACAAAUCGAUGAUAACUCAAAGAUUGACAUGGUGCUAGAAUCUCUGCCAGAAACAUUCAAGGAGUUUAAGGUCAAUUAUAACAUGAACAAAAGAAACAUGACCUUAACUGAAUUGAUGAACGAACUCCAUUCUGCUGAAGAGAUCUAUCGUGCUGAGAAAUCUCUGGGAAGCAUAAAUAUUACUGAAAAAAGUUCAUCUUCUGGGCCUAAACCGAAAGGCAAAGGUAAGAAGAAAGCUGGGAAAAAGAGACCGUCUACCAAGCAAGAUGGCAAGCCGAAAGGCAAAUGCUUCAAGUGUGGACAGAAAGGUCACUGGAAAAAGGAUUGCCCUAAGAUUGUGAAAUCAGGUAUGGGAAAUCUUUUUGUAAUUGAGGCCUGUUUAGUUCAAAAUCCUAUUGACACUUGGGUGUUGGAUUCAGGAGCAACUAAUCAUAUUUGUAAUUCACUUUAUUGGUUUCAGGAAACCAGGAAAAUAAGUGAAGGAAGCGUCAACCUGCAGUUAGGGACAGGACAGUUCGUGUCAGCAGUAAAGACUGGAUCUGUUUUAUUAUCUUUUAAUAAUAAGACUUUAGUUUUGAAUAAUUGUCUUUAUGUUCCAGACAUUAAGAGGAAUUUAAUUUCAGUAGCUUGUUUGUCAAAGCAAGGGUACACUGUAAAUUUUGGAUCCUCUGUUUCUAUUUUUCAUAAUAAGAGACUUAUUUGUUCUGGUACAUUGGAAGAUAAUUUAUAUCAUUUAAGUCCAAUGAUCCAUUCUAUGCAUGACACAGUGAUAAAUAAUGAUGAGCAUACACAUUUAUCUAAGAAAAGAAAUAUUUCUUCCAACCAAUGUUACCUCUGGCAUUUACGCUUGGGUCAUAUAAACCAAAAUAGGAUACAGAGAAUGAUCAAAGAUGGGCUCUUGGGUCCAUUAGAAAAUGAAUCAUUGCCACUCUGUGAAUCCUGUUUAGAAGGGAAAAUGACCAAAAGGCCAUUCUCGGCCAAAGGAGUACGUGCAACAGUACCACUUGAAUUGGUACAUACAGAUGUAUGUGGACCAAUCAAUGUACAAGCUCGAGGAGGUUAUGAGUAUUUCAUCACUUUUACUGAUGAUUACUCAAGAUACGGUUAUGUUUAUCUAAUGCGUCAUAAGUCUGAAGCUCUUGAGAAAUUCAAAGAGUAUAAGGCUGAGACAGAAAAGUAAUUAGAUAAGAACAUAAAGAAACUUCGAUCUGAUCGAGGUGGUAAAUUUCUCUCAGGAGAUUUCAAAGAGUAUCUGGUUGAAAAUGGGAUUAUAUCUCAAUUGACUGCCCCGGGAACACCACAACAAAAUGGGGUAGCUGAAAGAAGAAAUAGAACUCUUUUGGAUAUGAUGAGAUCUAUGCUUAGUUAUUCGUCAUUACCAAUCUCUUUUUGGGGACUAGCACUGGAAACUGCAGUUUACCUUUUGAACUUAGUUCCAUCUAAGUCAGUGCCUAAAACCCCAAUAGAAUUAUGGUCAGGUCGCAAACCAAGUUUACGACAUGUCCGUAUUUGGGGAUCACCAGCACAUGUGCUGAAACCAAAGGCAGACAAAAUGGAUUCACGUUCUGAGGUUUGUAUGUUUGUGGGGUAUCCCAAAGGAACAAGGGGAGGUUUAUUUUAUAGUCCUCAAGAUAGGAAAGUGAUCGUGAGCACACAUUUCACUUCCCUUGAGGAAGACUAUAUGAAUAACUUCAAACCUAAGAGUAAGGUAAUACUUGAAGAACUGUCAGGUGAUCAGGUUGAUGCUCAGCUUUCAAUGCCUAUUACAGAACAGGAAGAACAGCAACAACCAGAUGAUCAACACAGGAUUAACCCUGAACAACCAUCACUUUUAGAACCUCGUCGUAGUGGGAGGGUAACUAGGUUACCUGCGAGAUACAUGCUUUUGGGAGAAACCUAUACGGCUAUCUCAGAUGAACAUGUACAAGAUCCCACUAGUUACAACGAAGCUCUAAUAGAUAGAGAUGUUGAAUUUUGGAAAAAGGCCAUGAAUCAAGAAAUGGAAUCUAUGUAUUCCAAUCAAGUCUGGGAACUUGUAGAGGCACCAAAUGGGGUAAAACCUAUAGGAUGCAAGUGGAUCUACAAGAGAAAAAGAGGAGUAGACGGAAGGGUGGAAACAUUUAAAGCAAGAUUAGUAGCCAAAGGGUUUACUCAGAAAGAGGGAAUCGAUUAUGAGGAAACUUUUUCUCCGGUUGCUAUGCUUAAAUCCAUCAGGAUUCUGCUCUCCAUUGCUGCAGUGCUAGAUUAUGAAAUUUGGCAAAUGGAUGUCAAGACUGCCUUUCUCAACGGGCAUCUUGAAGAAAACAUCUACAUGCAGCAACCAGAUGGAUUUAUACAAAAAGGCCAACAACACAUGGUAUGUAAGUUGCAGAGAUCCAUUUAUGGAUUGAAGCAAGCAUCCCGGUCAUGGAACAUCAGAUUUGAUCAAGCGAUAAAAUCGUUUGGAUUCAUUCAGAACAUUGAUGAACCAUGUGUGGACAAGAAAAUUCAAGAAAAAUCUGUAGCCUUCCUAAUUCUUUAUGUAGACGAUAUUCUCCUAAUUGGAAACGAUAUAGGAGUACUGACUACAAUAAAGAGUUGGUUACCAAAACAAUUUGAUAUGAAAGACCUGGGAGAGGCAAGUUAUAUUCUUGGUAUCAAAUUACUACGAGACCGGAAGAAUAAAACUUUAGCCUUGUCUCAAGCGGUCUAUAUCGAUAAGAUAUUGGCUAGAUUUAGCAUGGAAAAUUCCAAGACUGGUUUAUUACCAUUCAGACAUGGAAUUACAUUCUCUAAGGAUCAAUCACCUAAAACAUCUGAAGAGAUAGAGAGAAUGAGACGAGUUCCCUGUGCAGAAGCUGUGGGAAGUCUUAUGUAUGCCAUGCUUUGCACUAGGCCAGACAUCUGUUUUGCGGUAGGGAUGGUUAGUAGAUAUCAAUCUAAUCCUGGACCUGAACACUGGACUGCGGUCAAGCAUAUAAUGAAGUAUCUGAAAAGAAAUAAAAAUUAUAUGCUUGUGUAUUCUGGUGUUGAACUCAUUCCAGUGGGUUAUACUGAUUCUGACUUUAUGUCAGAUAAGGAUUCUAGAAAAUCAACUUCCGGCUAUGUGUUUGCAUUGGGAAGUGGAGCUAUUAGUUAGAGGAGUGUGAAACAAUCUUGUAUCACAGACUCAACAACUGAAGCUGAAUAUGUGGCUGCAUCUGAAGCUGCAAAAGAAGCUGUAUGGCUCUGCAAGUUCCUACGAAAUCUUGAGGUGGUACCUGUUGUAACUGCACCCCUUAAACUAUUUUGUGAUAAUGGUGGUGCGGUAGCUCAAUCUAAGGAACCAAGGAACCACAAGAAACAAAACAUAUUGACAAGAAGUAUCAUCUUAUAAGGAAAUAGUGUAGAAAGGUUAUAUGACAGUACCCCAAAUGGCAUUAGAUGCUAAAUGGCAGAUCUUAUUACAAUGGCCAUUAGUGGGAAACCUUUAUAACUUGCACUUAGAGCCCUAGAGCAUGUGCAAUAUGCCAGAUAUGCUUUGAGAGCUAGUGGGAGAUUGUUGGGAAAAUAUGCUCUUUAAAAGCAUAUGUGUUUAUUUAAUUGUAAUAAACAAUUUUUCUGAUUAAUAAAAUAAAUGAGGUAUUUUAUUCAAAUAUCUUAAUUGCAUUAAUAUUUGUAUUAAAGUCCAUUUAAUCAUAUUAUAUGUAUUUAUGUGAUCACCAUGUGGAUUCACAGAAGACAUAAAUACAAGUUAUCUUAUGAUUAAAUAAAUUUAGUUCGCAGUUGAUAAAUAAAGUUGGGCACUUUAUUUAGGUAUAGACUGUAAUAAAUUCAUUGAAUGAUUUGUCUUAAUCAUGUAUGAAUUUAUUGAUGUAGUACGACUACAUUGAACAGGAUCACAUAUGAGAUUUAAUUAACUUUGUAAUAACUGUCAGACUUAUUAAAUCUCAUAGGCGUUGAUUUUACUGUAAUCUUAAUCUUGAGUUAAUUAUGAUUUCAUGAUUGUGAUUGUUAUUUCAUUUGAGUUACCAAUGGGCACGACACAUCCUUGUGGUCAAGAUUACCCGGUAUCUUGGUGGGAGCAAUUAUGAGUAUUGGAGUUAUGGAUUAACAAUAUAGAAUUUGUACAACACAUCUCUUGAUAGGUUUUCGGUACUUGAUCAUAGAAUUCUCUGGCCAGAGUGUGUCAACAUAUUUAGUAUGUUGAAAAUGAUCAUUAGAGAAAACCAGUAAGGAUCAAGGAAUAAGAUGUUAUUAAAUUGAUUGGACAGUUGAGAUAUCAAUUUAAUUAACGAUGUGGUACAAAGGAUUGUGCAGUAAAGAAAUCAAUGUGGCUUGGGACGAAUUAUUAUUCGAGCAUACAAUUAUGGAAGUCAGUUCUAAUCUUUUAGUGGAGUAGAUUUGGAAUUAAAUAAUUGGGCUAGUUUAAUUACAGGCCUAAUUAUUGUAGCCACUAUUGUAUGUUCCCAAAUGAUCCCCGGGUUAGCUCAUUUAAUUGACUGCACCACUACUGGACUAAUAAGUAAGAUAACUAGCUAUUUGGGUCAAAAGCCUAAAUAUAUCAUUUAGUGGGAGGCUCCAUUUAAUUAGCUUUUGUAUAAGGGGCCUUAUGUUAUUUUACAAGGUGGGUCCCCUAUUGAAAAAGCAAAUAAACGUGAGUUUUGUUUUUUGAUUAUUUGGAGCCCAGGGUUUUCACUAAAGGGUGAUAUAAAAGGCUUAUUUUUCCCUAAAGAAAAAAAGAGAAGCCAUUUUAUACAGAUCAGAGAAAAAGAUUUUUAUCUCCAUUGUUGAGAGAAAAAUUUUCUCGUGCUAGUUGCUUUGGUAGUGAUAAAGGCGCCCACACGUCAAGUGCAUAUCGAACCUGAGUCAUAACCUGGAAGAUCAUUGGAGACAGUUCGUGAUCUAACAAGCGUGGUGGUGACGGAUCGUGAUCUAACAGGAGUGGUGGUGGCGGAUCGUGAUCUAGGAGCCUAAAUCACUUCAACGGAAAAAGUCCAAUCGGAUUUUCAAGGUACGAUUUCUAGAAUACAAAUUCUUAUAUAUUAUAUGAGAGCGAUCUUCAAAAGGUUUUAUAAAAAUUUAAAAACCGAAUUUUUCCCCAACAUAAAUAUCCUUUGAAAAUAUUGCCAUCAGAUUUUGAAUUGGAGAACCUGAUUGAACUCAGCUUGCCUUGUAGUAAGGUUAAGCAAAUUUGGAAAAGAGAAAAGGUAUAAUGUAUUACUAUUACCAAAGUAUCUAUUUUUCUUUCUUUAAGUAUUUAUAAUGAAUAACUUUGAAAUUGAAUGAUGCUCAUUUAGUAUAGUUGUGUAUCUUUGGUUAUGGGAAGCUGUCAAGUUAAAAUCUAUAGAUCUUCACCACCCCCUGUAUCUCAAUAGGAUCCCAAAAAUACUAAAUCUUAAAAAAAUAAAUCUUUCAAAAUGUGAAAGCAUGCUUACGUUACCCGCGUAUAUCCACAAUUUCAACUAGCUCAGUAUGUUGUGUUUCAUGGGAUGCAAAAUUCAUUUUGUUUCUCAUGAAAGGAUUGACUUGUCCGGAUGUAUUAGGGUUAAUGAACCAACUAAUCCCAUAAUUUGUUGAUGUAGGGUCCUAACAAAUUAUUGCAGUAGAUUGUAGAUCAAUACACUAUUCGAAAACGUAUUUGAUCCACACAGUGAAUGUUUGAGGGUGCAUUUCUCGCGAACUAGCCAUACCCUAAACGAGGAGCCAGUCUCCUUGUAAUUGAGCAGACAGGUGAAGUCUGGUAGCAAAUAUCCAAGAGCAGGAAUUCUAUGCUCAAUCACAAGGACAUCCUCUUUUGGACUAUAAUUCGAACAUGGUUCCUACUAGGAGCCGAGAGCCUUUCCUGCUGGAGAUCGGGGUCGGCAGACCUAGUCUAUAACGGUUAACGAGACGUGCACUCCUAUUUGAGAAUCUAGGCACGAAACCAACUCAGCCGCAACUACGACAUUCAGGCAUCCACUUCCGUAAGCUGAGGGAGGUGAUGGACGUGGAUCGUGGGGCGUUGGAUUCGUAGGAAGGCUAUAAAACGGUAAUCAACGAAGGUAAAGGGGUUAGACACUUUUACACUAGAACUUAAGAAAUAAGAGCAUUUACUAAAAAAGGAGAGAAACACUCAUAGGUGUUCCACUGCCUAAGAGAUCAUGAGAGAGCCACGAGAUCAGUGGCCGAGUUUCCCAAAAAGUAAACUUAAAUUUUUGACUUGAGCGUAGGAGGAUUUUUCCUGCGUGCUCUGACCAGUUUUUGUGUGCGCAGGAGUCUGCUAAGUCAUACGAGGCAUAGCUCUGCUCGGUUAGAAGAGUUACGUGAAGUAUCCUAGGUUGGUCGUGAGUUCGGGAGUUGAGGAGAGAUCCUGGUUGCAGACGAGCAGACACCAGAAUCUCGCAUCAACAGUGAAGAUAGGGAUGGCAAAAGUCCGGGUCGGGUCCGGGUUUGGGGGUGCCCGAGACCGACCCGGAUUUCACACAUAACUGCCCGGACCCGGACCAUGCCCGGAUUUUUUCUAUGCGGGCCGGGUAUAUACCCGGCACUAUCCGGGCAUGGGUUUUUUCCAGGUUUUCUCUACCCGCAUUUUCAAAACUGACUAAAAAAAAAAAUUUGAUAAAAAAUGCUAAAUAAGUAAACAGGGCAGUGGAAAUUCACAAGGUUGAAAGCUUGCGCAAUUGGGCCUGAAAAUUCAUAACUUAUCCCCGAAUUAGCACUUAGCAGAAAACUCCCUUUCAAACUGUAAAGAGAUUUGAUGCCCAGGAAUCGAUUUGACGAAAGAAGAAAAAUGCCUUGGUCUUUUUGUUCUCUCUUCUUUUUCCACAGUGAAGAGGAAAGAAAAAUGCCCAGGAUUAUCUUGUGGACAGCAAAGUUGAUUUCAUGUGCUUUGUUGUCUUCUUAUUUUCAAAUCCCUUAGAAACAAAGUCAGAACCUGAAAUCACUAUCCUUAAACCUGCAAUUCCCUAUGUUGCAAGUCAUUUUCAGCUUCAUAGUUUUCGGUAUCAGCCUCCCUUUCCCCUUCUCCGUCAUCAUGGACGCUUCCAUUUUCUUCUUCCUCAUCUUCAUCUACUUCUACUUCAUCUUCCUCGUACUCCCCUUCUUCUAGUUCCUAGAUGUCAUCCAAGAAAAUAAUUAAGCAUGCUGCAUAUAUAUAUAUAACACCUAACAACAAUAAUGCCAAUUACUUAAUUUCUUCAUUUUUUUUUGAAAAAAACAGCCAAAAAAAAUUAAUAAUACCUCGUGGUCGUGGGUCGUGGCUGUGUUGGUGAAGUUGCAGCUGAACAAGAACAGCUGAUGCCGUCGCGUGGUGGCUGCUGCUGAGAAGAUGAACAAACGGUGAAGAGCCCUGUGACAGGACGGCUGUGCUUUGCGAGGAGAAAUAGAGUUGACUGAGGAAGGUAAGAGUUUCGGGGAGGGAGAGGCACGGUCAACACUGCAUCAGUGCCGGUGGGUGGUGGAGAGACGGAGAGAGGUGCCGCCGAUUUGGAGAUUUCUGGGUGGGUGCUGACUGCUGCAGUGCUGCAUUGUUCACUUGCAAAGUUGCAAUCGCGUUUUAGGGUUCAGUUUUGGGGGCAAUUAGGCAAAGCAAAUUUUAUUUUCGGUUUUAUAUUUUCCUUUUUUUUUUUACUUAAUAAAAAACCGGGCACAGGUCCGAGUUCCGGGUUCUUGGUGCUGUGACCGGACCCGUGCCCGGAAGCAUCCGGGCAUUGAAAAUCAAUGCCCGGAUUCGCUUUUUUCAUUCAUGCGGUCCGGGUAAAACCCAGACCGCACACACCGGGUCCGGGCCGGAUCCGGUCCGGACGGGUUUUUCUGCCACCUCUAAGUGAAGAUGAUUCAAUAUUAAGCAUGUCAUAUAAUCUAGAAGUGGAUAUUGGACCAAUUUGAUGAUGAAUUUCUUUCAAUCUCAAUCUUUUUCUUUUUAGCAACAUGACUAGUCAUUGUGCAAAUUUAAACUCUGACAAUGAUUUCUCAAUCGGUUUCUAAAAUGAUGACCAUGCAUGUAUAUGUGUGUGUGUAGAGAGAGAGAGAGAGAGAUCACACGUGUGUGAUUUCCUUUUGCCAAUAGGAUAUGCAGAGAGCUUGAUCUUACCCAAUAGCGAAACAAACUUCCUAAUAAGUGAAGGUAUAGUAUAAAUACUUAUACUUUCAUGUUAUUUUGUUCAUCAGUAGCUUGAUUAUUUUAUAUGCAUCUUCGAUUUUAAUUUUCUUUCCCUAUAAUCGCUAUUAUCUUUGAACUGGUCAUGAUUUGCCUAUAAGAUUUCUCAUGUUGUUUUGAGGUGCAAUGGAUUUUGAAUUUAGUGACGAGCAGUGGAAGCCAGAAGGCAAAUUAUGAAAAUGGAUAAAGAUCUAUAAUUAGCUGUUAUGGGAUGUCACAUAUCAUAUUGAUGGUAACAUUAUAUAUAUAUAUGUACAUAUAAUUAAUGGGGUUGGCUCACGAGCCCAUUAAUAAUCGUAUAUUAGCUUAUAUACUUCAAACAAUGUACUAUGAAGCAAUUUCACAAAUACUUGUUAGCUUAUGUUGAGCUUUAUUGAAUCAGUAGUUCACAGUUCAAUAAAAUGCAGGUUUAAUGUGACAGAGAGAUGUAGAUAACAGCCGCAAAACACUGAGAUUGAAAAUCAGGGCUACUAAAUUCUACUAAAAGCCCUUAAAAUAGACAGCGAUCACCCUGAAAUGUAUAUACUGAAACUAAGAAAUAUUAAUCGCAAAGUUAUGCAUUAAUAGAACUAUUGACUACUUAUCUUUAGCAUAAGGUAUAUUUUUAACUACAGCUUUAUGCUUUGUUUUAAGAACUAGGCAAAAAUGGUGUAUCUUCAAUCCAAUCAACAUGUAUACCACUUAUCUUCCUCUUCACUUCUGUCUAUUUUGAUUUGCACUUCAUAUCCUGCACUUGCUGCUUAGAAAUAGUCUUAUUCUGGACAUUGAAAGUAGAAAAAGUGCUUGAAACAAUCAUUGGCAUAGCCCGAGAUUCCAUUGAAUCGUGGACUCCAAGCUUUCAUAGUUCUAUAAAGAAAAUGACAAAACUUCAUACAAUUGGCAUUCUGCUUUUAACAUUUGCACAACCUGAGCGAGUUAGCAAGCCCCUUGUUGCGUUCCCAUUGAAUAGACCUACUUCUGUUAUCCACAGAAGAUCCACAACUCAAAAUGUUUAUCACCAGGCUAUUCUUAAACUGAGCCUAAACUGAGUAGAAACUUCCGCACAUCUCUCAGCAUUUACAUGAAGAAAUCGACAACUAUCCUCAUCUCUCAGCACAUCUCUCAGCAUUCUACAAAGUUGCAUUUCACUAAGCAAUCUAUCCUCUCCAUUCCUAGCAAAGUGACAUUGAUUCCCGUAUUUGUAAUCGCCUAACUUGGGUUUUGGGCAUAGCUUGGUCUUAAAAUUACCACCCAUUACUUUGUUCAGUGCCACUGGCAUCCACAAGCUCUAGCCCUGUUAGCUGAAUCAUAUUCAAUGGGACAGUGAGGCAGCAUUUCACUAACAUAUUCAAUUUGACUACUUAUAUUGACGCAAAUAUUAGAAUUUGAAAUCACUUCUUUUCUUGGAAUAUUAUAUUAAAAUGAACCCAAAUGAAAGUUCUUGAAUGGAAAUGAUUUUUAUUUAAUUUUCGAACAGAUUCAAGAAAACCCAGAGAACACAAAUUUUACACAGUAAUAUGAUUAAGAGCUGAGAACGUACAUGUAGUAAAUGUCUAUCAAAAAACACCCAAGGGUUUCUUUAAAAUUAGAAACUAGUAAACAAAAAGAAAGAAUCAUUUCACAUUUUUAGCAACUUUGGGGUGAGUGAGUGAGUGAGAAAUUGAAACCCUAAAGUGAUGACAAUAGUAAGAUUCAGUAUGAAGUGAAACCCCAAUUUGAAAUGUAGGCAUGAGUUGCUGAGUCAGUAGAUGAAGCUAUAAAUAGGCAUUCGGUUUCCUUCUUUUCGGUUUGGAGGGCCAUGGAAUAGUGUAUUGGAGUGGGCUCCAAGUAAUAGCCUCUAUCACUGGAACGACACAUCUGUAAAACGUGAUACAUGGGGAAGGAUUGGGCAUUAUAUUCUUAGAGUUAGAUUAGCGCCUUAUUUAGGGUGUAUAUUAAGCAGAUUAUACAUUACAUGGAGAUGGAGUUUAUGAAAUAGAUUAAAAAGAAAAGAAAAUUUCGGUGUCUAAAGUUUGCCACUUGGAAUAUUUCGGUGUCUAAAAAUUCACUCACCACUUAUGUCAUGUUUGAUUAUAUGUUGAAAAGAUAUUAAAAUAGUAUAAUGCUAUUAAGGCUUAACGUAUAUUUUUUAUUAGUAGAGUGUAGAAUUUUUAAGAAAUAAAUUAUUAAAUUAUUAUAACUAACAUAUUAUUUUAAAGUUGUGUUAUGAAAAAAAAAUAAAAUAAAAACAUACAGUAAAUAAGAAUAUUCUAAAACUUUUAUCUUUUUAAAAUUAGUUUUUAACAUAAGGUGAACUAUUUUUUUUUAAAUCACAUAUUCUAGUUAAAAUCAAAUAUGUAUUUAUAUGAAGCUUGUAAAUUUUUUUUUUAGUACUGAUAUUUGAAUAUUAUCAAUAAAAAAAAAAGGGUAAUGUUCAUGCUGCAUUAUUUUUGUAGCACACAAUAGGACAACACCGUUUAUGUUAUAAUACUAUCGCUUCUGUUAUGAUAAUAUUUUUUUGUGGCCAAAUAUCUUUUUUUUUUUUUUUAAGUAAAAGGGUGGACAAAAUACAAAUCAGUUUUUAAUCCUCAAUCUCUCCCAAAAUUUAAAUUCGUAGUUAACAAAACAAAAUUGUUGGAAAACCAUUAAGCUAGGUCCAUGGGUUGUUAAAACUAUAUAGCUGACAAAAAGUUACUAACAAAAACAGAAUGUCCAUUUUAUAACUUUCUUUAAAAACAUUCCUUAACUUUUUUAAAAAGUUACCAACAAAAAGUUAUUUCCAAUUUUUAUUUUGUUAUAAUUUUUAUAACAAAAUUCGUAGUUAACUAAACUCUUCUUAUUCCCUUUCUCAACUGCCAUACCCUAACCCACUAAACCACGCUCAAUUAAGGCCAUCAGAUUCUCCCGGGCCCACAUUAAUCCAACUGCUCACAGAGACCGACAGCCUCUCUAUCUCCGUUUCAAGCUCCCUCUUCAACUGGCUUCUGCUACCGUCCUACUGUUUCUCGGCUUCGGAGGCCGUAUUUGCUCGGCCGGUCCCACGAAGCUCCCUCUCACUCCAAUUGUCGCCCCACAAGACCAAUUGCUUAAUCAAGACACCGAACAAGAAGAGGAUGAGAAGUUGAAACAAGAAUUUGAGAUUGAAGUAAUUUGAGGAUAGACUGCCUAUCCUCUUUCUUUUCGGAAUUCAGUGCCUCAAUCUUGGGUUAAGGAUUUUAUGCGAAGUCAGGGAAAGAGAUUGAAGUUUCAGAUGAAUUUGUGUGCUAGCAUUGAUGGGAUCUUUAACAAUUUAUCUGUGCCCUUUAACAAAGUUAAGGCUAAGUCAGCUUCGUAUAUGGCUGCUGAUUUGGUUAGUGUUGGUGAUUCAUGGCUCAGUUUUGCAAUUAAGAUUGGUUCAAAUGCUUAUGUCACAAAUGGAAGGUAACAUCUUUAUCUUUGACCCGAUAAUUUUUAUUAUCUUUUUAAUUGCAAUGAGAAGAAAUGCCACUGUAGCAUGUAGUGAUGGCACUUAAUAAGUGAGUUGCUCGGAUGUGAACUAGAAAAAUUAAAUAUUGUCUCCUUGGGUAUGCUAGCUUGUAAGUCAGGGUUAAUAUCAGAGCUUAAGAUACUAUAACCGUGAGAAGCUAUUGACUGCCAAUUAAAAUAUCCAUUAAAAUGUCUAGGGAGUUAUGAAGGUGGAGGUAACUUCCAAUUUCUAAGGCCACAGAGUAGACAUCAUCCAGGAUCCUAGGAAAGUCCAGUUAACCUCCUGCUUGAUGCAAUUAAUAAAUUUGGUCAAUGCCACUGAAACCUGCUAACUGACGUCACAAUGUGACAUGAGCACUUCAAAAUGGGACAGACGGUCAGUAGCACUAAAUUUUUCUUGCCUAAGAUUGAGCAAUUGGUCUAACUACUAAUCCCUAUUGUAGGUUGAUCAUUAUUUUUUCAAUUAUGUUCAGUUUGACCCAAAAAGUUGCAGAAUCUUGAGCAGAAUAUUGUCACCGAACACUGUCAAUGUCGUUUAGCAUAGCCAACUAACUUGAUGUUAAAACAAGCACACAAUGUGUCUCAUGUCUCACAAAUCAAAUUAUCAUCUGUAAUGAUGGAGAAUUUUUCCAAUGUAUGAAGUAUGUUUUGAUACGUGGGUUACCUUGGAGAAGAUAUCUCAAAAUAAAGAAUAUGGGGAGAAAACAGUUCAGUAGUUUAUUAUUCUGUAGUCAAGUUUUGUCUUGAAAAUGGUCAAAAUUUAAAUGAAUAAGGACAGGGGAUCUUCAUUCUUUUUUCCCUUUUUUAUACCAAGAUAUCUCUCAACCUUUAUAUAAUCCCCACUGGAUAUCUGCUUCUAAUAAUUAAAAUAAAAAUUUCACCGCUCUAACAAUAAAAAGUAACAUCUUUAGUCAAAUAAUUUACAGUUCCUCAUCAUCUUAGUGUGAGACUAUCAGUACAUUCCAAAAACAUAAUAAAACUGGUUUGAUCCUGUUUAUUGAUGUUUAAAUGUUGUUCAUUGUGACAUGUAGAAAUGAUGAGGCAAAGUUUAUUUGGACAUCAAUUAGUAAGAUCUUGUUUGAAGUUGUUUUCUGAAAUGAACUGCCAAAUGGUAGUUUUUUGGGGACAUUUGAUGGCUCUUUUUUUUUCCUCAUUUUCAACAUGCGCCUGCUUGGAACAGGAAGAAUUAGGCUGCAGAGUUGUUAUAUAUUUUGAGAUGCUCUGGUCAUUGCACAAUUUGUUCACACUGGAAAUUAGAAUGAGAAAUUUGUUGAUGCUGUUUUGAGAGAUCUGCAUUCUAUGCACAAUAACAUGAUUAAUGAAAAUGCAUUGUAGGACUGGAAAGAUCUGUGGCAGCCUGAGCUCGCAAGAAGAAUUUCAAUGGUUAAUUCUCCCCGAGAGGUUAUUGGUUCAGUUUUGAAGUAUAGGGGAGCAUCAUACAAUUCAAAUGAUAUUGAUUCACAAGUUGCUGGUGGGAAGAUUGCUGUUCAGCAGAAUCUGGCAUUACUGGCAAACCAGGUACUCUUACAGAAAUGAUAUCUGGUCAUUGCAUGUUAUUGCCUGACAACUGAUUUUGUUUGUAAAAGUCUGCUUCUUCAUACAUAUGAAUGCAUAUGUUAGUGUUUUCUUCUCCUUUUCAUACAUAUAAAUGCAUAUGUUAGUGUUGUCUUUUCCUUUUCAUACAUAUUAAUACAUAUGUUGGUGUUCUCUCCUGAGAUGGAUGCAAUAAAGGCUUUUGCUCCUAAAUUUAGCUGAAGAAAUGGCAAGGGAUGUGAGAUUCUGUCUCUUUAAAUUAAAAAAAACCCAAAACAAUGAAAAUCCAUAAUAAUGUGGUGUGGAUAAAUUGGCUCCAUUUGGUUCGUUUCCUUAAUGUGAAUGCGCGAGCAAUAGAGACUAACAAAAUGAAGUGACAACAAGAAGUCAGUGUCCUUUGAUGGAUGCAUUUUUAGGCAGAAAUAUGUUUGUAAUUGACCAAAUUUGUCUGGCAUGCCAAUUUCAAAAAAAUUAAAUUAUGUGGUUAUUAGCGGUAAUGAAGGGGGAUAGUAGGUGCAAUCAGGUGGAUCCAGGAAAGUUCAACAAAGUUUUGGUAUGGCGUAGUGAAAUUGGUUUGUGCAACUCAGGAGUCUUUCAGGUGAACGAUGAUAGGUUUUGAUUUAUGAAUAUUAUAAAUAUACUGUGCAUAGUAUUCUAGUAGAAUCAUCUAUAAGUUCUAGUUAUUGAAAUUGUAUACUUUGCCCGGUUUGAGUUAAGGGCACAUGUAAUAUGAAAGAUAGUUGUCGCAUCUUUUAGGUUACCUAACAUUUGAUCAAUCCUAUUAUGGGGGCUUCAAGAUGUCUAACAAUAUGUAGAAUGCCCAUGCUCCUACCCAUUGUUUAUCUUCUACAAUAAUUUGUUUUAGAUGCUAAUAUCUUUGUCGAUACCGGUAACAAUAUUACAAUAUCAGCGUUUAUUGGGUUUUACAUAGGUUCGACUGGUUGACAGUACACACUAUCUGAAGGCAUUUGCAAUUGGAGAUGUAUGGGUUGCUGUUGGGUGGAUCAGUGAUGUUCUUCCUGCUGUCAAACAUAUGUCUAAUGUUGCUGUGUUGUUCCCAAGUCUGGUGCUAGCUGCCUGCCAUUCUACUUCGAUAUUCACAUUGUUAUCUCCUUCAUAUUAGCGAUCAGUAAACACGAUAAUGUGACUAAUAAGUUCGUAUUCUCUUUAUAGGCAAUCCCUGCUGCCUCAAGACUUGAAACAAAACAAAUUGGAGGGCGAGUCAGAGGUCCAUCUCCAUUAAUCCAUCAAUGGAUAGAAUUCUGCUUGCAAACAGCGAGAGCAUUGCCUUUCAAGCAAGAGGUUAUCCUGGGUGCAUCUCCCUCUGCCCUUGAAAGUACUCUGGUUAAGUUGCCUGAAGAACUUCUGGAGGGUAAACCAAGUCUGGAUACUAACUUAAUUGCUGGAGUACUCCCGGCUGAAAUUCUGGCCAGAUGUGAGUUUUUGGAGCCAUUAUCUGAAGCUACUUUGUCAGAUUAUGAGUGGCUGGUUGUUAAUCUGCAAAAACCUGCUCCUGUCUUGAUGAAAAGGGUGCAACAUUACUUGUCAUCAUUAAUCCAAAGCUUUCUAGCAAGAGCUACAUUGAAAAGUUAAUGGCGCUGCAUGCCAGUCAUUAUAAUGCUGUCAGGGCAAUUGGGUCAGGGCAAUUAGGUCUGAGCAUAACUUCAUUAGGAAAAGAGGCUUCAGCUACGUUAAAUAUUACAGGAUGUACUGAGAUGGCUGAAGUUCUUGAGGUUUUAUGAGAAAGAUGAGUGUUUGUUUGAACAAAGUUGUUGCCAAUCUUGCAGAGUUCGAAAACAAAGAUCACGGAGCGAAUGCCACCAAUUUCUUCAUCAUUUUAGCCUCCAUAGUUGAAGUUUCCUCAUUUGAAGCUGUUUAUGCAUAUGCUUUUUCCCUUCUCAAGUACAGGAAAUUGAAGAAUUAACCAGAUGUGAUAUGCUGAAAGAGGGAAGUUUUCUUCCUUGAAUGUGGCCUUUGUGAUUUGUCUUGAUGGAAUAGGGUGAUCACUGGCGAGAACCCAAUCAAGGUAGAUUUUAUGAUGUUAACAUAUUAUUAAGCAUUUUGUUGCAUCAGCAAUGAUGCUUUCAUAGAAUGAAAGUGUUUAAAUUUAACUGAAUGAUCUUGAUUGAUCAAUUAUGAGUUUUAAUCGAGUAAAAACUAAAUACAAUGAUCGUUAACAAAUAUUGAAAUUGGGUAAAUAUGAUCUUGAUAUUGAAGAAUUUGAAAUCACAACCCACACAGGAAAUCACCCUUCGCGUGGGGAUGGUGAUGUUUACUGCAGCGAUAUUGAAUAUGUCCGCUGCUCUUUGGGUUAUGGUGCGAGUGCGACUUGCGAUUUCAAGGUUGCCAUGAAACAAUGGAAAAGAUUAACAUGCCCUCCAAUGAAUGAAACUAUUAUGUUAUUAACAAUGCACAGUCCGAGUACUUUUCCAGGAUCAGAUACGAGGUGGUCUAAUGUUGAUAAUAAUAGAUUAUCAAAUGACAAAUCGUUGUUCUUGGGUGGUGAUUUCAGAAAUAAAAUACAUUCUGAGAGAUGCUGGUUUACUAUUGCAAGCCCCCAGAUUUAAGAAUCUUUUGAUGAUAAUUUAUCACCUGCAGCUGUGCCGGAAGAUUCAAGUAGCACUGAAAAAGAUGAUAAUUUAAUUGAUAUGGACAGUUUUCAUAUCACUUUUAAAUCAUCUUAUGUAAUUGUAAUGUUAGGAAGCAUUAGUGAUCUAAAAGUGAACUAUUAUUGGUGUAAUUGGUGGUUUUAUCUUGUUAAAAUAUGGAUGACUUCCUGUUACUAUUUUAUUAUAGACAAUCUUAUUCAAUUAACAUAUGGUUUAAAACCAUUAUGUUUUAUGUAAAUCAAUCUAUUAAUUUUCAUGAUACUUAACUGAGUUAAAACCAAGUGCACUCAAUAAAUGUCUUUUCCUUUAAAAAACUGCUACGCUUUGAUUUUAGUGCUUAAUAUUUCGUAACUACAGAUUAUCUAAUUGCGAGUUGCUGUCCAUAGCUACUAAUUUGUAGUGAUUAUCUAAUUGACGAAGGUGACAAUAAUUAUUUUAUUUUCAAUAGCACAACGUGGAAUUCAAUAAUUAAAUUCUCCUGUUUAAUUUGUUUUAAGUUAAAUUAUUAAUUACUUAAACUCUGUUUUAAGUCUUUAAUUUUCUGUGUUUAUGCAGAAUUGGAUUCUUGAGCGUGUUGGACAUGACCAACAAUGAAAUUGACGUAAACAAACAUUACAACGUGUGGACUCCGGUAGCUACCCCGCAAGUCUACAACUUUACAAAUAAUAAUUGAGUAAGCACCUUUGAUUUCUAGCCCCGUUGACUCCACCGACUAAAGUUUUGUAAAAUAAAAAAAAAAUGCAUAGAAUUCCACCAAAUGCAAAACGCGUGGAAUUUAAUUUUCGGCCGUGUGGAUCAAAACAUAAUUUAAUGAAAAAGGAAAAAAAAUGAUAAGAUUUUUAAAAUGUGUGGAAGGUGAUUCAUAUUUUACUGAAACAACUUGUUAAAUUUUUCAAGGAUUUAUAAUAUUUGGUCAUAAAUUACGUGCAUGUUAAUUUUUCCGCCAUUGACUAUCAUAUUCUAGACUUAAUGGUACCUUUCUUGAUGAAGGGUACUUAAUCUCUCUUCUCCUCUUAUAAAAAUUAUAUUAAUUGAUUUCUUAUUAUAGUUAAUAGUCUUCAAGAACGGAUAGAUUUAUUGUCUUCAUGACCAAAUUAUGCAUGCCUAACGUUGCAACUAUUAAUAAAAUUAAUAUUUAAUGUUUAUGUUAAAAUAUAUAAGAUUUUAUGCAUUCAUUAAUUGUUAUUAGCUAAAGGAUGAAUUAUUUUUUCCCAAUCAGUUGAUGCAUCUGCAAGAGUUUUUUUUUUCUUUUAUUGACCAUAAUUAUAUUCCGGGUACAAUAAAUUGUCUUUGGUGCUUGGAAGAUAUGACAUCUCUCUGUCAACUUACUGGAAAUAUCUCCUCAUCUACUCUCAUUUAUCUAAUAUCAAUUGAAGAUCUCAUAUUUCCAAACUAGGACCUCCAAAUCUCAUUAUCAUUUGAGCAUUCAAAACUAAUCAAGUGUGGAAAUAAUCAAAUAUAUGCAAAAAUCGAGUCACAAUCUUUGGCCCCUCAAAAUUCUAAUUAUAUAACUUCAUAUCUCAUACAUUUUCCAAAUUCCUCUUCCAUCAACAUCACUAGGAGUAUGUUCAUCUCUCACACAUUAACUUGAGUGGAGAGUUUCCAAAUUGAUUGUCAGAAAACAAUACAAAAGCUAGACACACUUGAUCUGUCUAAUAAUUCUCUUUCGGUAAAAUAAAUUAAUUUUAGGGUAAUAUUCAGCCAACCUCUGUAAUUUCAGAGUGAUCAUUAAUUAAUUAAUUAAACGAUACAAUAUCUAAAGUGAUUAGAUGUUUGCGGACAAUAUAAGUUCAUGGCUUGAAAUUUGAUCUCUAUCGAUUGGUUUACAGAUGGACGUACUUGUGCCUUUGUGGUGAUAAUUGAACCAGAGAUGUGAAGCUGUAAGGAUUUGGCAGUAGUAAAUUGUUAUAAAGGCAUAAAGACAACUAUUUUACAACAAAUUCAUCUCGCCAAAAAUUCUAUUUUGCUAACUAACAAUAAUUGAGCACUUGACCGCAUUGACUCCACGUCUCCAGCUACUUUCUAAGUAAAAACAUGGAAAUGUAAUCUCCACAAAAUGCCAAACGUGUGGAAUUUAAUUUUUGGCCUUGUGGACCAAAAUGCAAAUGAAAGAAAAAGAAGGAAAAAAACAAGGCCCAAAGACUUCUAAAAGAUGUAAAAGUCUUUGGGUUUUUUUAUAAUGGUGGAUUUUUUAAAAGAAAAAAAAUAACAACACUCCUAUGGUUUGUUUUGAUAAUCACAUUUACAUAUACUCUCUAAUUUUCAAAAUGGACACAUAAAUCUUUUUUUUUCCUACAAAUGUAUAUUAUUCGUAUUUUUUAUUAUUUUUAAUAUCAUAUUGUUAUUUAUUAUAAAUGUUUAAAGUAAAUUUUUAGGUUGAAAUAUAAUAAAAGGGUAUAAUCGUUCUCUUAUUAAACACCCAUACUUUUAGUUUCUAUCCAUUUGCCAUCUCAAUCUCUCUCAAUUAUUCAUUAUUGCUAGCUCAAAAUGCGUUGCUGUUGCAAAUUAUAGCAAAAAGACAAAUAUGGAAAAGAAAAAACGGUAGAAAAUUAGUGCAUGAAAGACUUGGAGAAAACAACGAAGUAAGUCAACUAUAAUCUAGCUGGGUGUAUAAAUUGCUUGAUGCUUUAUAAGCAAAUAACAUACAGAGACAGACAGUGUGUGUUCGUUUUUUCAUAGUUAAAGAUAUAGUUAGAAUGGGCGGUUCAAAAUCAAAAAUGGUGAUAAUGUUUGUUAUGUUAUUAAUAAUAUUUAAAAGUGGGUGGAGUGAGGGAUGUUUGGAUCACGAGAGAUUUGCUCUUUUGCGACUCAAACAUCUCUUCGAUGAUACUGGUAGUUAUCCUUACGACUGGGUAGAUGGUGAGGGAGCUAUUGAUUGUUGUCAGUGGGAAAGGGUUGAGUGCAGCAACACCACAGGCCGAGUGAUAGCGCUAGACCUUUUUGAAAUGUAUUCGGGAGAGUACAGCUGGUAUCUGAAUGCUUCUUUGUUUACUCCCUUCCAACAACUUGAGUCACUUGAUUUAACUGACAACAAAAUAGCCGGUUGUGUUGAGAAUGAAGGUGCUUCGUUUAAUUUAAUUAAUUUACUUUCUCCCCCCUAAUUUAAGUUGAAUAUCAAGACCGAGCAACUAUACGCAUAUUCAUUUAGUCGACAAUUUUGACUUUUUUUUAAGUGAUUAAUUAAUUUUAAAAUUACACCAAUAUCUAUGAUCUUUUUUUUUUUUUAAUUUUGCUUGCAGGUCUAGAGAGGCUAUCAAGAUUGAACAACUUGAAGAUGCUUAAUUUAAGUGAAAACUCGUUCAACAAUAGCAUUUUAUCAUCUCUAACUCAUCUUUCAUCAUUAAGAUCAUUAAAUUUAUUUUGGAAUAGAUUGGAAGGAAGUAUUGACUUUAAAGGUACAUAAUUAAAACUUCAUCCCUUCUCCAAGCUCUUUCAUUAACUUGCUAAAAUAAGACUCAAGGCUUUGAAUUCAAUUUUUUUUAUGAUUAGUAUUAAAAAAAACAGUUUUAAGCAAUUUAUAAAUACAAGUUUUAAUGGUUAUCGUAAUUUCAUCUUGUAAUUUCAUAUGUCUUGAAUUUAAGAUUAAAAAAAAACUCUAAUAGCGAACCAAACACCUCCACAACUUAUUAUUAUUAUUAUUAUUAUUAUUAUUUAUGGUGAGGUUGGAAACAUUCAACUUAAUUUGUACUUAUUACAGAAUUUGAUUCUUUGAGAGAUUUAGAGGAGCUAGACAUUGGCGCGAACAAGAUUGACAAAUUUGUGGUCUCAAAAGGUACUACAAAUACCACAAAAAAUGUAAACUUUUACAAAUUAACUGGAUUCUUUGCCAUUUGGUUUAUUAUUUUAUAGGUUUGAGUAAGUUGAAGUCUCUUGAUUUAAGUGGUAUCAAACUCAACCGUAGUAUCUUAUCUUCUCUAACUGUCUUUUCUUCAUUAAGAGAAUUACAUCUACGUGAUAUCGGAUUCAAAGGAACAUUUGAUGUUCGAGGUAAGCCUAAGCCUUGCUUUCUCAUUUUCUAUAUGCCAACUAGAUUUGUGUAUCAUCGACAUAAUUUAAUAUUUAAUUUGAUAAGUCUGAAGGAAUUACAUGCUAAUUUAAACAUACUUUUAUUUACUUUGUCAAUUAAUUAAUUAAUUAAUUACUAUUUGACAUUGGACGGUUCCUCUCUCCAUAUAAGCCUUCUGCAAAGCAUUGCAUCAUUCACUUCGUUAAAAAAUCUGUCGAUGUCUGAUUCUGAAGUCAAUGGUGUCCUACGUGGUCAAGGUAAAAGAAAAGUGUUGACUGUGAAUAAGCUGUUAAUUAAUUAAUGUUGUUGCUCCUUGCUUCUAAACAGAGUUGCGCAAUUUCACCAACUUGGAAUAUUUGAAUUGGAUUCUUCCUCGCUCCAUAUAAGCCUUCUACAAUUGCUUGAACAAUUUAUUUAUUUAUUUAUUUAUUAUUAUUGUUGUUGUUGUUGUUGUUGAAGUGGGGUGGGCAAGCGUUUACUCGGUUAAUAUGUGGGGAAUUAAAUAUUACAAUCCAAGGUAGAAUUGUGGAAAAUUAAAGUAAAAUGAGAAAUAUGGAAAGAAAGGAAGAAAGUUAAGGGCAUGAAAGACUAGGAGAAGACUAAAGACCACCAAAUAAGUCAACUGAAAACUAGCUGGGGCCUGGGUGUAAAAUUGUUAGAUGUGUUUGUUAUAAAUAACAUAGAGCCCUCUUGUUGGUUGCAGAGGCAGAGAGACAGAGAGUGUGCAUUUUGUUAAUUAAAAAUAUAAAUAUAUAAAAUGGGUGGUUCAAAAUCCAAAAUGGUGAUAAUGUUAGUUUUGUUAGUAUUAAUAAUAUUAUAAGGGAGGUGGCGUGAGGGAUGUUUGGUGCAUGAGAGAUUUGGUCUUUCGAGACUUAAAACAUUUCUUCAAUUCUCCUUCUAAUUUUUGUCACGACUGACCGUUGUCAAUGGGAUGGGGCUGGGUGCAGGGUUGAUUUACGUUAGAACAAUAUAGCCGGUAGUGUUGAGAAUGAAGGUGUUUCAUUUAAUUUAAUUAAUUUACUUUCUCCCUCCUAAUUUAAGUGGAAUAUCAAGACUGAACAAUUAUAUGCAUCUUCGUUCAGUUGACAAUUUUGACAUAUUUUUUUAAGUGAUUAAUUUUGAAAUUACACCAAACAUUAUUUGUGAUCUCUGUUUUGACUUUACUUGCAGGUCUAGAAAGAUUGAGCAACUUGACGAUACUUGAUUUAAGUCAUAACUUGUUCAAUAAUAGCAGCUUGUCAUUUGUUGCUCGUCUUUCAUCAUUAACAUCAUUAGAUUUAUCUUACAAUGGAUUGGAAGGAAGUAUUAAUAUUAAAGGUACGUAAUUAAAACGCCAUCGCUUCUCCCAACUCUUUCAUUAACAUGCUAAAAUAAGAUUCAAGGCUUUGAAUUCAAUUUUUUUUAUGAGUAAUAUUAGAAAAAUAGUUUUAAGCAAUUCAUAAAUACAAUUUUCAAUGUUUCUCAUAAUUUCAUCUUGUACUUUUGUAUGUCUUGACUUUAAGAUUAAAAAAAAAAAUUACUCUAAAUGUGAAGCAAAUACCCCAUGACUAAUUUACAAUUUUGUCCAAUUAAAAAUGAUAAAAUUUAUCAUUUGUUUACAUUGAUUUAUUAACUCUAUUUUAAGUCUUAAGUCUUGGCGUCUUGGCAUGUUUGCAGAAUUUGAUUCCUUGAGCAACUUAGAGGAGUUGGACAUGCGCGGUAAUGAAAUAGACAAUUUCGAGGUUCCUCAAGGUACACAAUUAAAAUAUUAUUUAAUUACAAUAAUUUAAUUCGUUUGAUUAGGGAAGGCCCAAAAUGUACAAAAACAUAAUUAAAAAAAAAUAAAGAAACAGAGAAUUCAUAUUAUUUCAAAAAACAAAAGGUAAUACUAUUAUUUCAAAAAAAGAAUGUAAUAAAGAUUUGAUUCCGGUUCUUUAAUCUUUAUAGCAAUUGAAAAACAAUGUUGCUCUUUUCCUAAAGCAUAAAAUAUGAAAUGAGUCAUAAUUGAAUUAGUCAUUUAUUUUGUUUAGAUAUAAAUUUAGACAAUAAAUUUUCAUUUUUUUUUCAAUCCUAUCCUUAUUAUUAUUAUUAAACAGGUUACAGAGGUUUGAGGAAGUUGAAAAGCCUCUAUCUAUCGAACGUUAAAAUUAGAGAUGGAAGCAAGUUGUUACAGUCAAUGGGAUCACUCCCAUCCCUCAACACUCUUUACCUGAAGCAUAAUAAUUUUACCGGUACAGCGACAACUACUACUCAAGGUAAGUAAAAGGUACAGAUGUGGCCAAAAUUAUAAACAAACUGUUAAUUAAUUAAUUUUUCCGUAUUAUUAAUUAAGCUAAAUUUGUUGCUCCUUCCUUCUAAAUCUACACAGAGUUGCACAAUUUCACCAACUUGGAAUAUUCGACAUUGUCCGGUUCCUCUCUCCAUAUAAGCCUUCUGCAAAGCAUUGCAUCAUUAUUCCCUUCAUUAAAAAAUCUGUCGAUGUCUUAUUGUGAAGUCAAUGGUGUCGUACGCGGUCAAGGUAAAAGAAAAGCGUUGAUUGUGAACUCACUCAAUGGUGUCCUGCGUGUUCAACAUUUUUGUUUAUUUAUUUUAUUGUUUAAUGUUUCUGCUAGGUUUUCCCCAUUUCAAGAGUUUGGAACAUUUGAACAUGGAACGCGCGCGCAUUGCACCCAACACCAGCUUUCUUCAAAUCAUCGGUGAAUCGACGCCUUCUCUUAAGUACUUAUCACUGUCAGAUUUUACUCUCAGCACUAACAGCAGCAGGAUUCUUGAUCGAGGUUAAUCAGAUGCUCCCACCCUCCCUUCUUAAUCUAUAAUAUUAAUUUUCAAUUAAAUAUUUAAUUACACAAAUGAAUCACUUAUUAUAAAAGAAUAAUACGCAUUCAUUAAUUUCUAUAUUGAAUUAAUUGAUGAAUUUAAUAAAUUUUCAGGCCUCUGUUCGUUGAUGCAUCUGCAAGAGUUGUACAAGGUUAAUAAUGAUUUAAGAGGUAGCUUGCCUUGGUGCGUGGCAAAUAUGACAUCCCUCAGGAUAUUAGAUGUUUCUUCCAAUCAACUUACUGGAAGCAUCGCUUCAUCUCCCCUCGCUCAUUUGACAUCCAUUGAGGAGUUGCAUCUUUCAGACAAUCACUUCCGGAUCCCAAUUUCACUUGAACCACUUUUCAAUCACUCAAGACUCAAGAUUUUCGAUGCUGAAAACAACGAACUUAAUGCAGAAAUAACUGAGUCAUAUUCUUUGACCACCCCAAACUUCCAAUUACAAUAUCUCUUGUUGUCUUCCGGUUAUGGAGAUGGUGCCACAUUCCCCAAAUUCCUUUACCAUCAACAUGACUUGGAGUAUGUUGAUCUCUCACACACAAAGAUGAAUGGAGAAUUUCCAAAUUGGUUGUUGGAAAACAACACAAAAUUAAAAACUCUUUUUCUGGUUAAUGAUUCUCUUGCAGGACCUUUCCGUUUGCCAAUUCAUUCACACAAGCGGUUAAGACAGUUAGAUGUCUCCAACAACAACUUCCAAGGCCACAUUCCAUUAGAAAUUGGAGAUAUUUUACCAAAUUUAAUAUCCUUCAACAUUUCAAUGAAUGCUUUAGACGGUAGCAUUCCCUCUUCAUUUGGUAAUAUAAACUUACUCAAAAUUCUGGACUUAUCCAACAACCAAUUGACUGGUGAAAUCCCUGAGCACUUGGCCGUCGGUUGCGUCUACUUGGAUUUUCUUGCGUUAUCAAACAACAGCUUAGAAGGUCAUAUGUUCUCUAGAAACUUUAACCUAAAAAACUUGAAAUGGUUACAAUUGGAAGGCAAUCGCUUCGUAGGUGAGAUCCCACAAAGUUUGUCUAAAUGCUCCUCACUAAAAGGAUUGUACCUUAACAAUAAUAGUCUUUCGGGUAAGAUUCCACGAUGGUUGGGUAAUCUCACAUGGUUACAAUAUAUUAUAAUGCCCAAUAAUCAUCUUGAAGGUCCUAUUCCAGUGGAGUUUUGUCAACUUUAUUCGCUUCAGAUUUUGGACAUUUCAAACAACAACAUAUCUGAAAGUUUACCAUCUUCUUUCCAUCCUCGCUUUAUCAAACAAGUUCACCUAUCGAAAAAUAUGUUACAUGGACAACUAAACAGAGGUACAUUCUUUAAUUGCUCUUCCCUUGUGACAUUAGAUCUUAGCUAUAACUGCUUGAAUGGCAGCAUUCCGGAUUGGGUUGAUGGGCUUUCUUAGUUAAGCCACCUUAUCUUAGGUCACAAUAAUCUUGAAGGUGAAGUGCCAGUUCAAUUGUGCGAACUGAACCGAUUGCAAUUGUUAGAUCUUUCUAAUAAUAAUCUUCACGGUCCUAUUCCUCCUUGCUUUGAUAACACCACACUUCAUGAAAGUUACAGCAAUAGUUAUAGUCUUGAUGAGCAAUUUGAAAUAUUUGUUUCCAUCGAAGGCUCUUGGGGAUCGGUAGAAAAGUAAAUCCAUGAAAUUUUUGAGUUCACAAUAAAGAACAUUGCGUACAUUUACCAAGGAAAAGUUCUUAGCCUCCUAUCAGGACUUGAUCUUUCUUGCAACAAGCUAAUCGGUCAUAUUCCUCCUCAAAUUGGAAAUUUGACAAGGAUUCAAACAUUGAAUCUAUCACACAACAACUUGACAGGAUUGAUCCCAUCAACAUUUUCAAACUUGAAGCAUAUCGAAAGUUUGGAUCUUUCCUACAACAAAUUGAAUGGGAAAAUCCCUCAUCAACUUGUGGAGUUAAAGACAUUGGAGGUUUUCAGUUUGGCAUUCAAUAACUUAUCAGGCGAAAUUCCAGAAUGGAAAGCACAAUUUGCAACCUUCAACGAGAGUAGCUAUGAGGGAAAUACUUUUCUUUGUGGAUUGCCAUUGCCCAUUUGCAGAUCACCAGCAACUACGCCGGAGGCUUCAAUUGGCAAUGAAAGAGAUGAUAAUUUAAUUGACAUGGACAAUUUCUUUAUCACAUUUACAACAUCGUACGUAAUUGUGAUAUUUGGAAUCGUUGUUGUUUUAUAUGUAAAUCCUUAUUGGCGAUGUAGAUGGUUUUACUUUGUUGAAAUGUGGAUAACUUCCUGUUACUAUUUUGUUGUAGACAAUCUUAUUCCAACAAGAUUUUGUCAUUGAAAUUAAUAAGUAGUUUAAUUAGGAUUCUUUAAGUACUAAUCAAGUUUGCUUAGGAAAUAAAUUUUUAUUAAAAUUGUAGUAGUAUUUAGCAUUAUAUAGCUUCCAACUUUCAAGCACUUCACAUUUGUCUCUACACUUAAAAAGUUGAGUGAUCAUGUUUUGCAGAUCUGGAUUUGGAGAAGGAUGGAUCCAAACCCAAAUCUGUCCACCAUAACUUAUACCCUACACUGUGUAGCAUACUUAAAUAAGAGAAUCAUCUCCAAUGUUAAAAGCAACCACUCUAUAACAUUCAUUUAGAAACUAUAUUCAGAAUAGUUUUAUAAUCAUACACAAGAAAUGAAACACCUAGAUACACUUGAUCGCCUAUUUUACUCUAAAAAAGAACGAUUAUAGUGUUAUCAUCAUCUUCUUCACUAGCAACAUUAACACCAAAUCCAGCGAUGGACGCAUACAUUUCAUCAAGAAAGGUAUAUAUCUAAUAAAGUUGAAGCCUGACAAAAAAUUCAGGAAGAUUCAUGCCUCGCCACAACAAGGGGCACAACAACAUCAAAGUAGAGAUUAAGCAGUAUUCUCAAAGCUAAAACUCUCAAAUCCACCCACCAAAUUUUCAUAUCUCCUCAACAAUUUUAAGAACUAAAGAUAAUUAGGAUUUAACAUUAGUUUUUUAUAUAGUAGUUUCAUAAUUUACAAAUCAAUGAAGAUGAAGAUUAUGCUAAUGAAUUCAAAUUAUACCAUACAUUCUCUAGAUGUUACCAAAAAUUUCUAAGUCAAUCCCACAUAUUUCAUAAUUUUAAGACUAGAAAAUUUCAAUAGUUAGAAGUUUCAUUACCUUCAAGUGGAAGAUGAAGAACAUUAUGCAAGUGAUUCAGGUUAUAUCAUACAUACUCCAAAUGCAACUAGAAAUUAACAAGUUCAUGCGCACAUAUUUCAUAACAUUAUGAUUGAAAAGUUUCACAAAGAGAAAUUCUAAAUUCAAUCCCUUGCAUCAAGGCAGUUUGAUUGAUUUGAGUUACUUUAUGAUCAAGCUACUAAUAUAACAUUCAAGUCAGGGAGAAAGUAAAUUAAAACUGGGUACAAAUAACAGUAAAAAUUUGUUGCUAAACAUGAUGUGUAUUUUUUUAAGGCAAUUUGGAAACACAUUUGUUACUAGAUAUUCUCCUCAACUUGGAGACAAAUACAAAUAUUAAAAUGCAUAUGAUCGCACAUACUACUUGGAGCUUAGUAAGAUUUCAUUAAAAGAAGCAAUCAAACCACUUAUCAAUUGUCGCAAUCGUUCUAUAAACUAAAAUAGCAAUAUAAUACAAGAAAAAGAACAUAUAGAUACUCGGCAAGAGUUCAUUAAGAAGUCGCAUCACAUUAGGGUGAGGAGUUUGCUUCUGAUAUCUUGCUAGCUGGGGCUUUUUCUUGUCUUUCUACGUAUGCCGAGGGAAACCAACCAGCUAGGCCCUUGCAUUCACCUUCCGACCAUCCAGUAGGAGCCACCUUGAGAAGUUAUAACUAAAACGGUGAAUUAAAAAAAAGUUGACAAUUCAAAGACCUAAGGGGAAAACUAAUUCUUUUACGUAGAGGAAGUGAACUAGUUGUGAUCACUGAAAUAAAAAAAUAACUAUGGAAGCAUAACAAGAUAUAAAUUCACAUGUCUAUAAGGGUAAACAGGGUGGUUUAGAACUGAGCUAGCAACCCUACUAUAUUCUGAUUUGCACUUCAAUGUAAAAGGGAAUAUAUGGUAGGAAGAAAAAAAACCAACCAUCAUUUGUUAACUUAUUGCUUUUCAAUCAAAAUUUUAAGAACAAAAUGCCAUGUGCUUUGAACAUCAAAUAAGUAUAAGCAUUAGUUCUAAAUUCCACAUAUUAUAAGUUGUUAGAAGGAUAAGUUAAUAGCAUAGUAGAAAAAUCUAUGUGUUGGUAUUUAGAGGGGAAAGUACCUGGCGAACCACAACAUAAUCAUCAAUUGAAAGACUUAGCUCUCCAUUUGCUUGAUCAUCAAAUGGAUGUAUAACCUGCAAGAUAAUGGGAUAAAUAGAACUUAAAAAAAGCAUAACAAAAGCAGCAACAGCAGCAGCAGCAUUCAUUGUAACCACUAUGAUCAUGGCCAACAAAGAUAUAUUAGAAACAAAAUUCCAUUUUUACUACGACUUUAAUAUGUACUAUACGAUAUCAUGACGAUUGGGUUAUCAAGUGCUAUCAAAGUCUAAUAAGUUCUGUAUAACUUUAUAUAGUUAUUUUAAUUAUGGAUCAAAUUUUAAAUUUGAAAUUUUGACUGCUCUCCACAAAAUAUGGCCUAUGCACAAGAAAGUCAUAGAUAAUGAGGAUUACAAGUGUCCGACAUCUUUUGAGUGAUGGAUUUAACAUGAGAGCUUAUGGUCAGUCAAUUUCCUCUGCCUAGCAAUAUAAGCUUUCUCGGCCAGAUUUAUCAUCAAAUACAUAGAUUGCCCCCAAGUCACAUCCAUAUAAACAUAGUUUUCUAGGUAAACCAAGGAGAAUCAUAAUUUAGACAUAAUCAUAAAAAGGCCCAUCUAACUUAAGAGAAAAUCUCAAAAAGAGGGAUGUUGAGCUAUCAGUCUUGUAUCUAUAAGCAAUAUCAAGACUUUACAUCACCUGCUACAUCGUGAGUGGCUACACAACUUUCAGUGGUUUGUCUUUCUUUGGCAUGCCUAACUCAGCUUUGAUGUUGCUGAGAUAUUGAUAGUAGAGACACAUGAUACUUCUAGCUCAUGCAUUUUAUCUAGCUCAUCCGACAACUAUUUCUUUUUUAAUUCAUUAGUGUUUGCUAAACCUCAUGCUCAAAAGUCCUGUUCUCCUAAACAAAGUUUCCUAAGAAUGACUUCCUCAGCACAACAUUUGGACACUUUUAGAGCAAUUUUAUUUGGAGGAAAAGAAUUUUCAAGGUGUUAACUAAUAAAUUUUAAAAUAUAAUUACAAUUUGUCCUACGAUCAUAUGACAAUUUAUUUGGGAUGAAAGGAUACAGACAGACAUCUUCCACUUUCAAGACUAAUCACUACUUCCGUAGAUGUUGUGCAAUGAUACAAAUACUUGACCAGAUGGUAGUGAUGGUAGAAAAAAAUUUAUUGCUCCAAAAUUAAAAUAAGAAUGCAAUAUGUUAAGCAAAAGACUGUGCAACAUCAAAUUAAUUGAUGAGUUUGUAAUUCAGUAAAUUAACAACUUUCAUGGUAAAAUACAACAAGUUUCUUUUAAAAAAAAUAAAAAAAAUAAAUCUUAAAAGACAGCAUUCAUUUUUGUGCGCAUGUUAUUUCUUAAGAUUUUUCAGGAGGAGGGCAAUAGAGGGACUUUCACCUAUGCAAGAGAGCAGAAGCCUUACUUUUGCUAUAAAGUAGACGUCAUUCUGAUUAAUAUGCGUUUGAAUCAGCUCCGUUUGCUAUAAAGUAGACGUCACACAUGAGGCAUUUACAUCCAUUUCCAAAGUCACAUGUUGCGAGGAGGACUCAUUUGAUUGCUCCUCUAGGAUCAUCUAAUGCAAGUAGUAAGGGUUGGAAGAAAAUAAAAAGUCACAAUUAUUCUUUUGCGUAAGUGAGACGAAAAUGAUAAAUGCAAUAUUAUCAGCAGUAAACAAGAAGAGAACGCUCCAAGGAAUAGAUAGAUGCAGACAAGCAAGUUAAAAUGCAUAGUCCCAAACCUCCGCAUACAACUUCUCUAAAAUAGCAAUAACGUGUUGAUGAUAUGUUUUCUCAGCAUCUACCUGCAAAGGCCCGAGACCAGGAAAACGGCAAUAAAACCACUAGCUAAAGGAGAAAGUAAAGAAAGAAAUACACUUGACAUAAAUCUUGACAAGAAGCACAGUUUAAACCCCAAUCAUAUUGUUUAGAACUACCAUUCGUUAUUGUAACAUUUCGAACAAGUGUUGACUUAAUUCAACAUUGUUGGAAAGAUAGGCUUUUAAAAGCGGAAGAAAGCCACUCAAACCAAAGUGAUUGUCCUUGUAUUGAUCAAGGGAUGUAAACAUAUUACAUUUGCAGGAUAAGUUUUAAUUAAUCACUCCCCUGAUUUAUUUGGGUUGCAGUUUAAUUUGUGAAUUUUUUUCUAUAGACAUGUUAGUUCUUGCUAUUGAAAUGUUAAAAGCAUUGAAAAAUUAUUCAAUAAAUUAUGCAUAACAUUAAAAUAGAGGACAUAUUAAAAAGUUUCUAAUUACAAUGUUAAUAUUUCCUAUAUUUUAGCAUUUGCAUAUUUUAAUUUAUUUAAAAGCUACGUCGAUCAACUGUGGGCAUGAAGAUUUUAGCUUCUACGAGACUUGAUUGGAAUAUGCAUAAGGAAGAGUGUUAAAAUAUGAUGCAUCCAACGAAAGACAAACCACGUGUAGUCUUUUAAUUAAGCCAAAGUAGCAGCUCAAACAAAUGACACUUGGACCAACAUGCAAUCAUGAAGUGGCCGGAAAAAGGACAAAUGCAACUUUGGCUUAAAUAAAAAAUAACAUGUGACUUGACUUUUGCUGGACAUGCAUCAUGUUAUUACAAGACAACAGAAAUCAGUAUGAUAGUACUAAAAGUUGACAAUAACAUGAAGAUAAGAGGCAGAAUGUCAACACAUGCAUAGGCACACACAAGAAAGUAUUAACUUAUAUACCAUAGCAAAAAGUCUUUGAUAUGUCAUCUGUUGCUGCUGUGAUUCAACUGACAGCAUGGCAGCUGUUGCUUCUCUACCAAGAGCCAUUAUUGUAGAUUUAAGCUCGGUCAAUCUUGCUUCUGCAUUUCGAAGCUUCACAGCACUCUCUGCUGAUAUAUCAGAUUCCCUAAUCUUUGAUCGGCGCCUAAAUACUUCAGCUGCCUGGUGAAAAUAUUCAAUAUAAAUCUAACAUAAUUCUAAUCUUACCUGGGCUUCAACUUCAUGUCGAAGUUUGUCAUAACGAUGAGUCAGGUGUCGAGCAUCUUCCAAAGGUGCUCCGUUGAUUAACGCCCGUAGUGGCUCAGAUACCUACAUGUCCAAAAACCUGUAACAUAGUUAGAAAAAUGAAAAGAAAGAGCGAAACCUCAAUUAAAAAGUUCCUCCAACAUAAUCAUGGAAUUUGGGCCUACUUCAAGGAUAUAUAUAUAUAAGGAUAAUUUAUGCAAUUUUGGGUCUUAGGAUGAUUCAUAUUAGGUUAGUGUUCUUCUCUUCUGUAUUUAAGGUUAAAAUAGAAAUAAACCUAUGCAAAUAUAUAAAUUAGGGCUGUAAGACUUCCACAUGCAUCCUUCAGUCUCAUGGAUUUGAUUUUACUAUAGAUGCAAGUGUCUUUAUCGAAAAUGCUUGGAGUCAAUUGAGAGAACUCACGGCCAAUAACUUGUCAGACGCUAGUCUUUGCUAGUGAUGUAAGAAGUCACAAGGUCUCUUCAGCAUUUGAACCAAUAAAAUUAUUAAGUCAUGGAUGUCACUAGCAAUGAUUUUAAUAUAAAACAUUAAAUAUUUCAGAGUUGUAACUUUAAAAUGGAUUCUUUUAUUCAAUAUCUUAGAACUAAGUUUCCUUAUGAGAAGAUAAUAGUUUCAGUAGUAAUUUACAUAUAAUUUUCUAUAUUUGAAUUAUUUUCUAGUUAGGGAUGAACUAACCUGAUCACCAAGAAUCCCAAGCAAAGUUUCCCUCUCAUUUUCCAUCAAAUCAUGUGAAGUGCCAAAUUGAAGAGCAGCUCUUGCAACGCAAGAAUUGUCACUUUGAUUCUCCGCUCCAUACUUGCAACAAUCUUCAGCCAACUUUCUCGCUACAAUAUUUGAAUACAAAAAUAUUGUGCACAAGAACUAGUCAAGAAAAAAAAAAUCAAAUAUUAUAACGAAUGCAAGAGCAAACAAACAACCUAUUUCCAUUUGUUUCAAGCUUACUGCAACAAGCCCUUCAAUGCCACGAACAAUAUUCCUCUGAAAAUGCUGCGCUACAGAGCAUAUAUUCCAAAUUAUUGUUCAGAUAAAACCAUAGAAACCAUCAUAAUUAUUCAACAUACAUUAAGCUCCGUUUGGUAAAUACUUGCAACUUCAGUCUAGAGAAUACAGUUCUAUAUAUGUAGCAGUCUAAAGGAGGAUGGUGCCUUAGCUGCCCUGGUGGAAUUGUAUAGAUUUUGAAGUUGUUGGUGACACUCAAUUUCAGCUUCAUCAACUGCCUGUACAAAUCAUAAAAAACUAAUGAAAAAAAUAAAUAAAAUCGAGAAAUUUCACUAAUUAAAAGUCUAAAUAUAAUUUUAAAAAAGAAAGAAACGCACUUGGUGCUGCUUGGCGACUUGUUCUCGGAGCUUGAUUGCCUGUUUCUUGAUAGCUUCCAUACUGUUUCUUUCAAAAAGCGGCGACGGCUCAGCUCAUGGAAGUUGGGGAAAAAAAAAAGUGUGAUCAAGAAAAUAAAAAGGCAUAUUAUUGUUGACAAAAUGUGAAAAUAAAAAAGAAAAAAGAAAAUUAUAAGUUUGAAAGGAGAAGAUGAUAGUGGAAGAGUGCGGCGUGGCUGCCAGCUACUUGGAUUGUAUUGUCGGGUAAGGUAAUUGUAGAAAAUUAUAAGUUUGAACAGAGCAUGUUAGACUUUUGUUGACCAAAUUCAAAAGGCAAAUGGCACGGCCCAGAAGCUUUGGAAUACAGUAACUUACAAGAAAGCUCCAUUUAUUCUUCUUAUACUUUACGCUUGCAUCAGCUUAAAUCACUUCUUAAUCGCUUGCUUUAACUGCGCCGCUUUGUACUGUUCUAUAUAUGUAGCAGUUAUGCGGAUGUAGUUCACGGCUGAGGGUACGUGUUUGUUUGACGUGGUAGUUACGUUACGACGUUACGAGAGUAUUAUUAGUUAUUUCACAGGGAUAAAUAAGAUUAGUCACAAUAAACCCACUAGUUUUAUAAAAUUCGAGUAAUAUAGAAUAAAAUAAAAAAUGAAUACAAAAUUGACUUUUAUUUUUUAUGGUUGACUAUAUUUUGUGUUCUCUUCUGGUACUACUACAAUUGUUCCCUGUAUAUCACUCAUACCCAUAUAUCAUUGACACAAGAAAUGAAAUCUAAUGUCAGAUGUUUAGUUAAAGAAUCACUUAUGAAAAAAUUUUACCAUUUUGAUUUGAGGAUCCCUAUUUUGAACUGCAAGCUAAUGUUCAUCAAGAACAGAGUAUGGCAGUUGAGUAGAAAAACUAUUUUUGGACAAAUUAUUUUUAUUGAUAGAAGAAUUUCUCAAGGGACUACUAAAAUUAUUAAAAAAAAAUGUCAAACACGCCCAUAUAUCAUCAACACAAUUGGUUUUGAGAAUCCAUACUUUAAACUGCCGCCUAAUAUUCAUCAAGAGCAGAGCAUGGCUUGUGAGUAGAAAAUUUUCUGAUUUUGGCCCCAAAUAAUCCAGCACUUUCUCAUGAAGAAAUGCAUACAAAGCAUACCAUGGUACCAUACAAUACAAGGAGUCUCCGUUCUCUAGUUUUUCAAACUCUAAAGGGGCCAAUACUCCCUAAUUCCCCCUCGAAAAUUCUGAUUAUGACAUUAUUCAUCCCUCGAUGCAAUCAAAGUAGUGACAAAGUUAGGAAAAAUAUGAGUCCUAAGUAAUUGCUAGGCAGGGCUCCUGUGAGCAAAAUUGUCCUAAGCAUUAUAUGCAUACAUGGUGUGGUACAUAAAGCACAAUGAAUUCCACACUAUAACACAAACCCAGAAAGAGAAGAAACAACUUAAUUGAUGUAAAGACAAAAAGAAGAUAAAAUGAUAUAGAAAAAAAAAUUCAAAGAGAUAGCAACAUACUAUAGACUGAAGCCACUUGAUCUGCUCAUUGAUUGCAGCCUUAAACUUGCAAAUAGUUACCGUAAGCUAGUGCUAUAAGAAGUGAAAAUGAUGCACACCCUGAUUCCCUUCGACUUCCAUUUACUGUCAAACAUUCUAUUAAUACAAAAAAAUUGUUCAAAUAUCUUGCCAUAAAUAUAGCCGUUUGACUGGCUUAAUAAAGUCACAAAUAACCAUUCAUAUUGAUCCACAGUGUCACACCGCCUGCUUUAUGCAUACAACAGCUGUAUGUAUACCAACUCCUAACCUUAUCAAUACAUUUGGCAAAAACUUAAGAAGAAAACUAUUUCUCCAUCUCUUUUUUGAAAUUUCACAAUAAACCAGCAUAUUGUAAACGUUAUGUUGUAACCUUAUGAUAAAUGCUCUAGACUCCAAAUGAAUUUUAUAUAUGAGGGUUUGUUGCAGCAGAUAUAUUGACUUAUCAAGUAUGAAUCAUUGUCUAGAAGAACUAUCUUUAGAUAAAAGAAUAUUAGAACCAUUCUAGAAUAUCUUUAGGUUGCUAGUUCUAACAGGAAUCUGCAUGUGGCAACAGUUGCCAGAUCCACAAUUCCCCAACUUGAAAUACAUAGUUGCACACCGUGAGAUAGUGCUGCAAUCUACUGAGAUCUAACUUAUAUGAUACUUUAAGCUACUAAUGUUUGCAUAUUUCUACAUGUUAAAUUGACACUACCAUCUAUAAUCACUCUAAAACGACAGAUGAUAAGCAGCUUUUGGCUACUUAUUACUAGCAUCCACAAUUAAUUUUUGUUCAGCAAUCAGCUUAUUUUAUAGAAAUUGAUUUAGUCAGCAACAAACACUAUAAUCCUUGAAAUUAGUUCUUGUUCUUUGUAAUUUUCUAUGAUUUUUCAUACAUCAAUUAAUCUGCAGUGCCAAGAUGAGGUUUGGUUUUUCAAACUAAAUAAUCAAGUAGCAAAAAUACAAAUUUAGAGAUUAGGGGGUGAACUAGCUAGGUGGUUUACAAAUAUUCCUAUUUGUAAGGUGAAUUAAUUGAAUCAUGAGAAAACAAUGUGACCAUAGCUCAAUAUGAGAUGAUUUCGGAGAGGCAUAUUGUUUUCAAGUGAAUUUGAUCCAUUAAGAGAUGAAGUGGAUUGAAGUGGAAAGUUUAAAUAACAAAUCCUUGUUCUUGAGUUUUACGACGUUGUUACUCCUUCAGGUGGCAGAUUAUGCAAGUGAAUUCAAAAACACAAUGCAUCAAUCACGGGGAUGCUACACCAAAAGACGGGAUCAUAGUCUAUGCAUUGAACAGUUACAGUUGCUGCUACCAAUUGACUCGGCAAAGAUCAAGAAGACUGAACGGGAAGUUAAUGCCAUCAAUGUCGUCUUCACUAUAGCUGCUGGGAAUGUAGGUGAACUUUCCUCAUUUGCGGCUGUCUAUACAUAGGCUUUUCCCCAGCUUAAGUACAAAUAAAUGAACCUGCUUUGAAGGCUUUAUUAUUGACCACAAUAAGGAUUACUAAUUGAAGAAGACUAUACGGAGUUAAUCCCACACUUUCGUUCUCUCAAUUUCUUUCAGAAGUGCCUCUGAAAAUAGCUGCCAAACCGUUAGUCAGCUUGUUAGACUCUGUUUUCUGGAAACAGAGCCCUAACUAACUGACUGUACAGAGUAAGUCAACAUAGCAUAUUUAAUCGUUUUAAUUGAAUUGUCUUCGUAGCGAUCAUCAACAAACUCAUCAUGAGAUUUUUGAAGCACCCAAGGACUAUCACUGGGUUUCUCUUCUGGUUGAUUAAUUAAUUAAUCAAAGAACGGUUGGAUACCCAAGGACAAUUAAAAUUAUUCGACUUCUGGAACUGGGAAUGAAGUGCAAUGAUGGAGCAAAAUUUACAAUGUCUCCGGUUUCUCCUACCAUCGGACUUUUGCAGUGAGAACAUAUAACAAAAAGGCCUUCAUCAAAAUUUGUAGACUCCGGGUAUGGAUUGGAUCGAUUUUUUUGUUUGAUAUUGAAGAACCUCUUUACUAUCGCGAUAUAGAUUAUGUGCAAGGAGUUGUCUACUGUUCUUUGCCUUGUGCUAUGAUCGGUGCUCUUGAGGCUGCCCUGAAACACAGGAAAAUACUUCGAUAUCCUCCGUUCGAUGAUGCAAAGAACCGGUUAAUGUAUGAUUACCUAAUUGACUCAGGAUCAGGUAACAACAACAACAAUUUAUUAAUAUCACAAACGAAGAAGAUCGCGGAGAGGGAGAUGUAUGCCUAUACUGUUUACAGGUUUGAUCCAUUGGGGAUGAAGUGGUCUCAAGUCGAAAGUGAUUUAUUAAACAACAAAUCAUUGUUCUUGGGUUAUACCUCAUGAUGUCAUCAAGUGGAAGAUUAAGAUUAUGCAAGACGAAGAUCGUUUGAUAUUGAAGAAUUUGAACAGAAAGCCCAUAGAAAGUACUUAAAAAAGCAUAUUCUUGUUGGGGUAGAAUAUUGAGAAAGGAGUUGUCUACUGUGUGUUGCGUGAUUAUGCUAUGAUCUGUGCUUUGAACAUUGCCCUGAAAACAGUGGAAAAUACUUCAUAUCCUCGACAUGAUGAUAAAAAAUUGGUUACCGAUUACGUAACUGACUCAGGUGACAACAAUCCAUUAAUAGCACAAUUUGAGGUGAUGCCGUUUAGGUAUAUGGUUAACAGGUUUGAUUCAUCAAUGAUGAAGUGGGCUUAAAUUAAAAGAUCAUAUAAUAAGUCGUUCUUCUUGGGCAUAUCGUCAUUACUACUUCAAGUGAUCAAAGAUGAAGAUGAAGAUGAAAAUUGUGCAAGUGAGUUCAAGAAUACCAUACAUCGUUACUUGGGAUACUUCUUCAAAUAUGGAUGGGGUCAUAAUUUACUCCCACGAAUUUCAACCCAAUUUUAUGAUUGGAGUGUCCCACCAUGACUCAGAAAAAUUUUGAUUCAACCUCCUCCACCAAUGGAUUUUGAAUAGUCACUUUGUGAUCAAGCAACUUAAUUAAACUCAGAGAGUCAGAGUUCGAUUUUGCUGGCACCGCAUUUUCUUUAAAAUGUGGCCAUGUAAGGAGAGCGGCACAUAAUGUCACUUCCUUAUCAAGCACUUUAAAGAGGGAUUUUAGAAGAAGAUACAACUGCAAUUGUUUUCGUAUGUAUAUAUAUAAACAACAGCACACAUUCAGUUCAUAAAAGAAAUUUUUGCUAACCAUGAUAUGUGGUAGUGCUUUUUAGGCAAUUUAGAAACAGAGUUGUUCAACUUACAGCAGGUAUUCUCCUCAAGUUCGACGUAAAUACAAAUAUUAAUUAGAAUCCAUAUUAUAAUGACACACAUAACUUGCUUCAAAAUUAUCAGAAAUUAAAAUUGCUGAUUCAUAAUGCAGAUAACUUGGAUGAAUUGAUGUUAAAGGAAAAAUCACACGCAUAACUUGGAGAGCAAUUGCGACAGCAGCCAAGUAUAUAUUUUUAUUUGAGAGUUGAGAAGAAUAUAUUUAAUGAAGCUUGAUAACAUUUGAUGGGAUAGCAAGUAAGGGUAAAUAAGAUAUUUUUAUUUGUUAUUUAUUUGAAUUAUAUCUAUUUUGUUCAAGUUAAAAUACUAAAUAUAAAUUGGAGGUAGACAUUUUAACAGAUCAUCUAAGCUCUCAAAUCUGAAAUUUUGUGUAGAUUUAAAUUCAUAAUUUUAGUUAAUUUUCAUUCAUUCAUAUAAACAAAUUUAUGAGAUUUUUCUUUUCAGCAUGUUAUAUUUUGAAACUUUCAAUGUAUUAUUCUAGCUUUAUUUAAACAAUUAAUUUAUUUAAUUUUGAAUUUGAUCAGUAGUAAAAUUAUUUUUAUAUCAAAUUUUUUUUAUUUAAAUAGUUCGUGGAUUGGACAAAAUUAAAAAAUUUUAAUCUACAAAAUGGUGGAUUAGAUAUGAAUUGGGUUAAAUCCACAUUCGAUUUGCAGUCGUAUGAAUUUGAUUUGGAUUGAAUUUCAUCAAUCCAUGGAUUAGAUUGGAUUGAAAAUUUAUUAUCCGCAAAAUCGUGGAUCGAAUAUGGACUGAUGUCCAAUCAGCAAAAUCCGAUCCCCGAACACGCCUCUAUCAAAAUUUUCAAGAAUAUGUUUUAUCUUACAAAUUUUUUUUUAAAGUCAUAAUCUAAUGGCAGCCCAAUUUUAUAAAGUCACACACAACCAUUCUUAUUAAAUUAGAAAGAUCAAACACUGCACUGGAUCUUGAACAGAUCAACACAAGUUGCACAACUUGCGAUUGAAUCCGGCCUGAAACAAUCAACUCUUUAGCAAGAACAAUUAAUCAGAGUCAAGAAACAAGUUUAAUGAAUAUAAACCUAUAAUUGAAACAAACAUAGCAAAGAAAAAAAAUACAGAUUUUACACGGUUCAGUUGUACCUAGGAUGGCACAACCUACACCACGAGAGAAGCUUUCUGGUGAGAUUUUAUUGAUGAUCAAAGAAGAAUCUUUUGACAAAGCUAAUAAUAGAGAUUUCAGAGAAUAAGCUAUAACCUCUCUCCCUCUUCAAUCUCUCUCUAUUUUGUUCCCAUUGAUGACCCCAAUCUGCUUAGUUAGCCAGCUUUAUAGCUGCAUCAGUAACAAACCAGCAAACCCAGAUUGAGCAGAUUGACGACACGUGGAUAACGGCUUUAACGAACCUGGUUAAGAACUGCUCACAUGUUCGUCACGCGUACUGCUUAAAUGAUGGCCAAAACGACUUCAAACAAAUGUCGUUUUGAGGCUUAUGAAUUACAAGUGAUAACACGAGAUUGUCUCAUGACUUUUAAAUGCAACAACGUGCCCAAAACGCUGUCGUUUUACUCUGUUGAGUUUGAUUCAUUACUAAGCUUUACGACUGGCAAUGGAGAAGAUGAUAAUUUAAUUGAUAUGGACAGUUUUUAUAUCACUUUUACAAAAUCCUAUGCAAUUGUAAUAUUGGGAAUUAUUGAUGUUUUAUAUGUGAAUCCUCAUUGGCAAAAACUAGUGGUUUUAUCUUUGUUGAAAUGUAGAUUACCUCUCGUUACUAUUUUAUUAUAAACAUAUAGUUUCGUAAGUGAAACUAUAUAUUUAUAAUAAAAUUAACAUAUAGUUUCGUUACAUUUCUGCCUCAUUAAGAUUCUCAAAUACCAGUCAGGUUUGCUUAAGAAAUAAAAUUUUUCCAUUAAAAUUGCAGUAGUAUUUCCAAGCAUAUCGCAUUUUCUAUGAUUUUUCAUAAAUUAAUUAAUCUGCGGUGCCAAUAUCAGAUUUAGUUUUUCAAACUAAAUAAUCAAGAAAGCAAACAUACAAAUAUACAGUUUAGAGGGGUAAACUAGGUAGGUGGUUUAGAUUUUAGAACUAAGCCAGCUACCUCACUAAAUUCCGAUUCGUACAGUGAACUGCAAGAAAUUGAGAAAACAAUGUAUUUAUAAUUUAAUAGAAUCAUAAGAAAACAAUGUAGUCAUUGCUCAAUAUAAGAUGAUUUCGGAGAGGCACAUUGUUUUCAAGUUAAUUUGAACCGUUUAUAAGAGAUGAAGUGGAAUGAAGUUGAAAGUUUAAAUAACAAAUCCUUGUUCUUGAGUUUUACGACGUCGUUACUCCUUCAAGUGGCAGAUUAUGCAAGUGAAUGCAGAAACACAAUGCAUCAUCCGCGGGGAUGAUACAUCAAAAGGCGGGGUUUGUUUAUGCCUGCAGAUUAGCAAUUUCACUCAUAUCGAAAAUUAAUUUUUUAUAUAUACUAAUCAACACUAAAUUGAUUAUGUGUUGUAUGUUUAUAUGCUAAUCAACACGAAAUUAUAUUGAAUUAUUAACAUUCAUAUUCCUAAUAAAAAUUAUUUUCCAUCAGUAUUCAAAAUUUUCACUUAUAGAAAAUGCGUUUUACGUGAAUACUAGUUAUUGUGUAAAUUUGAAUGAUAGCGAAAAAUAAACCUAUUUGAAAACUGUAAGGGUGUGUUGGGAUAUUUUACAACUGUCGGAAUCUGGUAGGAUAUUGCACCAUUUGCCCAAUAUUUUUAGACGUACUCCAACCGGUAUUCAAGAUAAGUAAAAUUUACAAGCGUGGCAAAAUAAAAAAAAUUAAAUUCGUAAUUUGUAAACGAAUUUUCCUGACAUGUAUAGUAGAUGAAGUUGUUGACCCUUUCUUUGGAUUAUUUCAGCUCUGGUUGUUGGUCACCGAUGAGCCGAAGUCUUAUUUUAAUUCUAUUUAAACUCAUCAUAAGAUUCGUGGAGCACCUAACUAACUUAACUGACUGUGCAGAGCAUCUCAACAUGGCAAAUUUAACCAUCAUUCAAGUGAUGGGUUUAAUAAGACUGCUUUUGUUCUACCAAGUUCCUCCGCCUCUAAGCAGAAUUACUAUUGAAGGGCCAAAUGGAAAAUGAAAACGUGUGAACAACAACAACCACCCCACAAAUUCAAUGACGAUGCUCGGAGAGGGUUAGGUUGGGCCUCUGAGAAAAAAAAAAAUUAUUUAGUUAAAAAGUUACCCUUAUUGAAACCUGUAUAAAAAUUUUAUAUUAAUUAGUUAUGUUGCCUCUUCAACUAUGAUCAAAUUUUUAUCUGAGCUCAUCAUUUAAUGAGUAAACAUGUAUUUUAAUGAUCUCAAUUAAUAUUUAGAACAAAUAUUUUAAGAAGUAAAGCUCAUUAUAUCCCCCAUUAUUAUGUAUCUCUGUAAUGUAUUGAAUUAGAAGAAAAAAAAAAUUCAACUCACUCAAAAAAAAAAAAAUGCUGGUAGCUUCGUAAUAAUUACUGUCUUGACUGCACCAGAUAAAGUUUUGUAAAAGAAUUCUGAUAUUUACCCCGGGUCAAACCCCGAAAAUAACUUAAACGGUGUCGUUUUGAUUUUUUUUUUUUUUAUACUCCAAAACGUUCUUACCAUUUCCGUUUCACUUACCAUUUAAUGCUCACAACUCAAAUAAAAAGCCCAGAAACUAGAAUCAAACUUUACAGAAACUAGAAUGCCCAGAAACGUUGUAUAGCAGGAACGUAUGUAAAGAGAGUAAACAAGAGGGAUUAAACAGAACAUACGUUUUCUUCACUUAUUAUUAGCAACAAACACCCUACACAACACACAUUUAAUGCUCACAACUCAAAUAAAAAGCCCAGAAACUAGAAUCAAACUUUACAGAAACUAGAAUCAAACAAUACACAUUUCAUUUCUUCAAGGUUAGGGAGAGACUCAGGGGAGUGAUUAAUUAACAAAAAUAAGAAUAAUAAUACCAACAUUUGUACAGGUCAAAUAAGAAUAAUAAUACUCAACCUAAUACCCAGUAUAUACAAACAAAUGCCCAGGCCAUCGUUCCUAUUUUGCCAUAACCUAAAGAGGAAAAAGCGAAGCACUACCUCAGGCUGUGAACUUUGCCGCUUCGUGAGUUUAAUUUCCCGAACAAGUUUCGGCUACCAGCGUUACCAGUGUUGACGGUGACCGUGGCUGUCAGCGUUGACGGUGACCGUUGGUGGAUCCCGAAUGCCUGGACCUUGGUCGAGGAAGGAAAGUAACGAAUUUUUUGAACAAACGAAGAAACGAAGCACCGAAGAGAUUUACGGUCAAACGGAACAAGACCAACUUGCUCUUCUAUCUAUGGCUUUCCCAGUUGAAACGAAGAAACGAAGAGGAAGAGGUUUAAUUCUUCUCAAAAUCGUCCAUCAGAAACGGCAACGUUUUGGAGUAUAAAAAAAGAAAAAAAAAUCAAAACGACGCCGUUUAAGUUAUUUUUCGAGUUUGACCCAGGACAAACAUCAUUUUCCUUUGUAAAAUAAUAAGUUCUCAUUAGUGGUUUUUAAUUUUUAAUUUUUUUUUCGGCACACCUGAUCAAGAAUUCUAUUUUGUUAACUAAUAAAUUGCAAAGCAUAAGUGUUGAACGGUACAAAAAAAUUUGAAAAAAAAACACUUAAAACGUAGGGAAAUGAGAAAUAUAGAAAGAAAGGAAGAAAGUUAAGACAUGAAACUGAUCUGCCGUGAAAUUGAUAAUCAUGUUUCUAUUUCGUUAACUAAUCAAACGGAAAACUGGAACUGUAAACAAACAUUAACACGUGUGGACUCUGCUAGCUGCCCUACAAGUCUACAAUAAUAAUUGAGUACCUUUGAUUCAUCCUUCUAUGAAUUUCUAGCUGUAUUGACCCCAACUGCUAAAGUUUUGUAAAAUUAAAAAAAAAAAAAAAAAAAAAAACUGGAAUUUCAACAAAAUUCAAAACGUGAGAAAUUUAAUUUUUGGCCAUGUGGAACAAAAUGUAAAUUACGGAAAAAGUAUAAAUCUCAAUUGCUUAGUAUGGUUAGGUUUUGUGAGCAUCACUAGAAAGUGAAAACUAUGAAUGAUAGGGGUGAUGUUUGCAACAUGAAUAAACGAUGAACUGAUUCAAUUGAUGAUCGUAAUUAUAUAAUGAGCAAAAUUUACAAAAUCAACAAAAGUUAAUAAAAAUUUAUUUUAAUAAUAAAACUUAUUAUUUAACGGCGCUCUAACCAUGGAGUACCAUAAUCAUAUUCUUCUUUUAAGAAAAUUAUAACUUAUUUCAAAUAGCACCAUAACAUAAUUCUAGAUAUUUAAAAGAAAAGCAUUAUUCACCUGAAAUGACUUGGAAGUCUAAAGAAAAAGAGGGAGUGGCUCCCCACAAUUUUCUUGUUUUCAGUAUAUUUUCUUUUUAAAAUCUUUUGACUCAUACAUAAUCUACCCUCGUUCAUUAUCUCUAUUUUGCUCUGUUCAAGUCCCUUUUUUUUCAAAUCUUAGUUUAAAUAAGAAAAUUGAAUAAAAGUACAUUUGUGUAAUUAAUUAGUAUCUGCGGGGGAUAUUUGGUGUAAUGUUUUGCUAUGUAAGACUCAGCUAUUAUUAAAUAGUUCCUUAACCUGUUUCGCAGUUUAUUUGCUAUCUUUGUGGAUCUCAUAGGCGUUGCAGAAUUUAAUAAUUUUAUUCGUCAGAAGAAUAGGAUAUUGGCUUCAAUAAAUUUAAUUUAAACCAACUUUUAUUUACUCCAUCAAUUAAUUAAUGCCAUUUGGUUUUGAAAAAUUCAAUAAUUAAAUUCUCACGUUUCAUGUGUUUGAAGUUAAAUUAUUCAUGGGUAAUUAUCACAAACCUCCCCUGAAGUUUGAUGUAUUAUCAAUUUGAUAGAUUGUAUUCGCGUAUUCUCAGCCACCUCCCCUUAAGUUAGUACACCGUUUAGUAUAAGUUUAGUGAGUGAGGGCAAGAUAGUAAUAGAACUCGUUAAUAAUAAAAAAUUCAAACAAACUUAAAAAUAUCAAAUUGGAUUCUGAAAUUGAUUUGAAUUUUGUUAAUAUUCCAAUGGGUAAAAACAAAAACAUGAUUUUAACCAACAGACAAUAUUAUAACAAAAAAAUGAGAAAGGAAAAUGGCAUCUUCUUGCUCCAUUCAGACAAGAGCUAACAAGAACAACGCCCCUUUCAUCUCUACUAUACUUUAAUAGAAAAAGGGUGCCACGAUCGGGAGACCAUGACGAUGAACUCGAAGACGCCGAUAGCAGGGACGACCGAAUCACGAACGCCAGGUGGAAGAAUGUUGACCAGUGAGUUUCCAUGUUGACCCACAGACAACCUCAGUUUGUUCGAGCCGCGAAUGAGGUAUGAAAAUGCUUAUUACUGUGCAUGUCAGUUUUAUUAGAUGGAAUUAAUCAAUUUGGUAAAAAUGAGUAAUGGGUCUCGACAAUUUUUUGAGAGUAUCUAUGUUGCUUCCAUUGUUUUCCAUCGAUUGGGUUAGUUGUAGGUUAAUGAUUGUUGUAAAUGCAUGUUCACCUGAUUUUGAUUGAAGAUGGCUUCAGCUACAUUAUGCUGCCUUGUGAAUGAUUGAAGAUGGGUAUGAAAAUUUUUUAAUUGUUUAAGCUAUUGCCACUGAUUGUUUGGAUUCAUGCUAGUUUUUAUUAAAUUACAGAUGUAAUUAAGUGUUGGAGAUUCCUUGUGCCGCAAUAUUAAUAUUUUGAGGAUACUUGAUUUUGUUUUUUUUUCUUUUUAUCACGAUAUGUACAUGUCUUGGUUGAAAAAAUGUCAUGAUUUGCUGCAUUCUCUCACACUGGAGCAGUGAGUUUAGUGGUUUUAAUUCUUUUCUUCUCUUUGACUAUGGCUCUACUUCACUGCAUUCAGAUGUCUUUAUUUGUCCAGCGUCAAAUGAUAAAGGAACAUAGUCUCCUUUUGAUUUCAGUUUGUCUUUCUGUUUUGCAGCCAAGAGGUUCUAACUACCAUCGAGAGUGAAAGGCUCUCCAAGUCAAGGCACAUAGCUCCUGCUGCUCUUGUUACUUUCCCUGAAGAUUUUGAUAAUGGGCUGGUGAUUAUUUAGUUUGGUUUCAAAUUAUGUUCUCGACAUUGUAUUUUGAAAUAUUUGGUUGGUGAGAUAAAGUUUAUUAUUAUAUCUCUAAUAUGUGAGAUGGGAUAUUUCAAGAUGGUAUUUUGGUUACAAUGUUUUAUUUGGUAUUUACAAUGUAAUCACAGCUCUUGGCGCUAAAACGGAUAUGACUAGCCAACAAUUCUUUGAUUUGUGUGAACGAAGUAUUUUUUUUCAACACAAGGGUAUUUUGGUCAUUUUGUCAAGUAACAAACAGUCAACUAAAUGGUAUACUAACGUUAGGGGAGGUGGCUGAGAAUACACAAAUACAAUCUAUCAAACUGAGAAUACGCUAAACCUCAAGGGAGGUUUCUGAUAAUUACCCAAUUAUUCAUUAACUAGAACUCUGUUCAAAAUUGACUGUCUUGUGGUUCCCAAAUGUAGUUGUAAUAUUGAAUGAAGGUAAAAACUUUCUAUGCGAGUUUAAAUCUAAAUCUGGACAAUGAAUUUUGACUUUCUCAAUGCUAUCCUAAUUACAAAAAUUAUAUUAAUUGAUUUAUUGUUACAGUUACUAGCCUUUUAAAAUGGAUGAAUUUAUUGUUUCCGUGACCAAAUUAUGCCUGCCUAACGGUGCAACUAUUAAAAAAACUAAUAUUUAAUGCAUAUGUUAAAAGAUUUAAAAUUUUAUGCAUUUAUUAAUUGUUAUAAUCUAAAAAAAAAUAAUUAAUUCAGGUCAAUCUGAGUUGGUGCAUCUGCAGGAGCCUUUUUUUUAAAUUUUUUUCCCCUUAUUGACCAUAAUGACAUCUCCUUCAACAUGACUAUUGACUAGGAGCAUGUAAAAACAUGGAAACAGAAUUUCCACAAAAAUGUCAAACGUGUGGAACUUAAUUUUUGGCCAUGGGGAACAAAUGCAAAUGAAAGAAAAAGGAAAAGACGCCUCUAAGAUUUGUUUCAAUGGUUUACAUUGACUCUUUAAUUUAAUUUAUAGUAACACAAUUUUUUUUUGUACAAAUAUAUAUUAUUCAUGUUUUGUAUUAUUUUUUAACAUCAUAUUUUUAUUUAUUAUAAAUAUUUAAAAUUAAUUUUUAGGUUGAUAUUUAAUAAAAGGGUAUAAUCGUUCUAUCCAUUUCUCAUCUCGCGAUCUCUCUCAAUUAUCCUUUAUUGAUAUCUCAAAGCGCGUUGCUGUGGAAAAUUGUAGCAAAAUGAAAAAUUGGAAAGAAAGGGAAGAAAAUUAUUGCUUGGAGAAAACAACCAAAUAAGUCAACUGGUCUUUAGUGAGAACAUAUCAUUUGUUUUGAUAUUGAAGGACCUACUUCUCUGCCGCGAUGUAGAAUAUGUGAAAGGAGUUGUCUACUGCUCUUUAGGUCAUAAUAAUGUGAUUGGUGCAUUCAACGUUGCCCCGAAACACUGGAAAGUACUUCCAUAUCCUCCGAAUGAGAACUGAUUUAUAUAUGAUUUCCUAAUUGACUCAGGAUCAGAUGACAACAACAACUUAUUAAUAGUUAUAUCAAAACGGCAGAAGACGUGUUUUGUUUACAGGUUGAUCCAUUUGGAAUGACGUGGUCUCAAGUCGAAAGUAAUUUAUUGCAUGCCUGUCGUCUAAAGCAUUACCUCACAAGGUUAUAUCAAAGGGUGUUUUACCUCAUCACGUCUUCAAGUAGAGGAUGAAGUCAGCCACUCGGCCUUUGGCCGAGUGGUGAGAGCUGCUCUCCAAUUUGGAGAGCAGCAGUUCGAACCCCCACAAUGUAUUGUGGGGGUCUUCCUUUCUUCAAUUAAAUUUGAGUGAAGGCAGUCUGUUUUUUUACCCAAGUGUGAGUAGCAGACAUCCCUUGAAAGUGUGAGUAGCAGACAUCCCUUGAAAGGAAUGAAGUUAUAGUCUGAUUUGUAAAUAUCAGUUAUAUUCUCAUGUAAUAUGAGUUGUAGUUUGAGCAAUAGUCUCAUGUAAUCAAAAAAAAAAAAAAAAAAAGUAGAGGAUGAAGUCUAUGCAAGUGAAUUCAGGAAUAUUGCAUGCCUGUCGUCUAAAGCAUUACCUCACAAGGUUUUAUGAGAGACGAAAGAUGUGUUUGCUUUGAACAAUUAAAGUUACUGCUACGGACCUCCCCAAAGGUCAAGAAGACAGAACAGGAAGCUAAUGCCAUCAAUGUCUUGUUCAUUAUAGCUGCUGGGUAGUUAGGUGUAGUUUCCUCAUUUGAAGCUGUCUAUACAUAGGCAUUUCCCCUGCUUAUGUACAAAUAAAUGAACAACCUUGAAGCUUUAUUAUUCGCAACAAAAAGGGAUUACUAAUUGGAGAAGACUAUACAGAGUUUCUCUCACACUUUCUCUCUGUCAAUUUCAUCCAGAAGGUCCCUCUGAAAGCUUCUCCCAAAACAGUUAGUCAUCUUUUAUGCUCUGUUUUCUGAAAGCAGAGUCCUAACUAAAUUAAUUGACUGUACAGUGCAUUUCAACAUAGCAUAUUUAACCGUUUUAACAGUUAUUUGGACCGUCUUCAGAGCUAACAUCAACAAACUCAUUCAUAUGCUUAAUAAUGAACGAAUAGUCUUGGAUCGAUGUUUUGCAGCAAGAGCAACUCGACACAAUCUGGAUUCAACCUCCUCCUUUCUAACAGGGGAUUUCGAUUUGAGUUACUUUGUGCUCAAGCAAAUUCACAUCAUAGUUUUGAUUCUUUAGAUAUGAAUUCAUCACAUUACAUGUAUCAGAUUAAGUGUAACAAAAUUUGUAAUUUACUGCGAAAGAAUAUGCACUAAAAAAUGAUUUCAAGACUAUUUGACUAUAAAAAGCAGCUGUCAGAGUGCACUAAAAAUUUCUGUAGGAUAUUUUGUAGCUGUUUAAUAUGUUAUGAUGGGCAUAUAAUUCUCAAAUUUUGAUGCCUCUCAGUGAAAAAUAUAUCAAAGUUUAGAUUAUGUGUUCGAGCUUUAAUAAAUGGUCGGAAAAAAAGCUGCUGUCAGAGUGCACUGAGUUAAUAAUAAUAACAACAAUAAUAAUAAACUAAAAAGCAGAAUUAAUUACUAUUGAAUGGUCGGAAAAAAAAUUGAAAACGUGUGAACUCCAAUAAUCACCCCACAAAUUCAGUGGCGAAUUUUGGCGAGGGCAAGGCCGGGCUUCUCAGAAAAAAAAUUAUUUAGUUACAAAAUUAUCUUUAUUGAAACCUAUAUAAAUUUUUUUUAUAUUAAUUAGUUAUGUUAUCUCUUCAAUUUGGUGAAUAAAUGUGUGUCUAAAUAAUUUCAAAUAACAUUUAGAACAAAUGUUUUGAGAGGUAAAGCUUAUUUUGUCUCGCAUUAUUAGGUGCAUCUAUAAUUUCUUAUUUACAAAAUUAUAUUGUACGAUAAAAAUGUAUUGAAUUAGGGGGAAAAAAGGUCAGCUCACUCAAAAACAACAAAUGGUAUUAGCUUCGCCACUGCACAAAUCUAGAAUAAUAAUGAUUCCUUAUCAUGCUGGGGGAUCCUUUACUUUCUAGCCGUAUUGACUGCACCAGGUAAAGCUUUGUAAAAUAAUAAGUUACUCAUUAGUGGUUUUUAAUCUUUUUAAUUCUUUUUACCGCACACCUGAUCGAGAAUUUUAUUUUGUUAACUAAUCAAUUGCAACGCAUAUACCGCACACAAGAUUGGAAAAAAAAAUCUUAAAAAACGUGCGGAUUCGGUAGCCACACCAGAAAUCUAUUACAAUAAUUCCUGGCCGUAUUGAAGUUUUUAAAAUAACAAGUUCCCCUUCUUGUUUUUUUUUUUUAAAUAUAUAAGCUUAUAACAAUUUUAGAAUAAUGACUCAUUUGUAGAAGAAUUUAUGAUUUCAUAUUAAUAUUAAUAUUGAAGUGGGGUGGGUCAAAUCUCAAUUGCUUGAAGAAUUUAUUUAUUAUUAUUAAUAUUAUUAAUAUUGAAGUGGGGUGGGUAACGGAUAAGCGGUUCACUCAGUUCGUGGCGAAUUAAAUAUUACCAUCCAAGGUAGAAUUGUGGAAAAUUAAAGCAAAAUGACAAGUAUGGAAAGGAAGGCUGAAAGUAAGGCAUGACGAAAGGCUUUGAGAAGGCUGAAGACUACCAAAGAAGACAACUGAAAGAGAGAAUGUGUGUUUUUUAAUAGUUAGAGAUAUAGCUAGAGUGGGUGGCUCAAAAUCCAAAAUGGUGACAAUGUUAGUUCUCGUAUUGGUAAUCUUGGGGGGGGGGGGGGGGGGGGGAACUCAGGGGAGGUCGAGUGAGGGAUGUUUGGAGCAUGAGAAAUUUGAUCUUUUGCGGCUUAAACAUUUCUUCAAUUCCCCUUAUACACUUCAAAACUGGGUAGGUGAACAAAGGGAAAGGGUUGAGUGCAGCAACUCCACAGGCCGCGUGGUACAACUACACCUUGGUCUUACUAUAUCGAUCUGGGAGAGUGGUAUCUGAAUGCUUCUAUAUUUACUUCCUUUCAACAACUUGGUAACAAAAUAGCCGGCUGCAUGCGUUGAGAAUGAAGGUCCUUCAUUUAAUUUAAUUUACUUAAUUUCUCCCUCCUAAUUAAUGUCUAUAACCAUUAGGAGGAACAAGGGAUUUUAUUAACUCAAAUAUAUCUAAUGGAGCUCAUUCUUUGGUUUUACUUGCAGGUCUAGAAGUAGGUGUCAUCUAACAGCUGCUUUAAUAAUUUCCCACCCCUUCAUCUUUGAUGGAAAGAUGAAAUAAAAACAAAAUGGUGAAAAUGGUAUUGGUACCUGAGGCUAUGUAAUCUAAUUCAAAAACUGCACCAUCAAAACGAUUACAUAAGUCUCAGAAGAAUCAAACAUCAGUUUGCAAAAUAUCAAUUGCUGGAGGUUUGAUUCUAACUUCCGCUCUUCAUUUUUAUGGGCAUGUUGUGUUGUACUUGCAUCAGAAAAUCAUAUUUUAGUUUAUUUACACUCAACGCUUGGAUUAAAGUUUUAGAGGGGGGGAUUGAAGAAGACUAGAAUGACACAAAAGAAAGAGUUGAGCGAGUGCCGCUUUUGUCGUCAUUUAAGGAGCUCUUUAUAAAUUUUAGGAUUUUUUUCCUGAGAAAAUUUAUGCCAACUCAUUCUUUGCUUCUUUUCUGAAGGGAUAGAUGCAACCGAAACUAUAUUCUUGAAUUAUCCAGGAUAAGAGACAUACGUUUAGAUUCUCGAGCCUUUAAAACAAUAUCAAAUUUUAGAUUGCCGAAAUUUUAUAUUGCCGAGUAUGAUGGUGUUCCAAUUAUAAGCUCCAGGGUGCAACUUCACUGAGGUUUAGAAUGCCUUCCUAUAGAAUUGAGAAAUCUCCAUUGGCAUAAAUAUCUUUUGAAAAUACUGCCAUCAGAUUUUGAAUUGGAGAACCUGAUUAAACUCAGCUUGCCUUCUAGUAAGGUUAAGCAAAUUUGGAAAAGAGAAAAGGUAUAAUGUAUUACUAUUACCAAAGUAUCUAUUUUUCUUUCUUUAAGUAUUUAUAAUGAAUAACUUUGAAAUUCAAUGAUGGUCAUUUAAUAUAGUUAUGUAUCUUUCAUUAUAGGAUGCUCUCAAGUUAAAAUUUAUAGACCUUCUCCCCCUGUAUCUUGAUAGGAUCCCAGAAAUCCUAAAUCUUAAGAAAAUAAAUCUUUCAAAUUGUGAAAGCAUGCUUACAUUACCCCCGUAUAUCCACAAUUUCAACCAGCUCAGUAUGUUGUGUUUCAUGGGAUGCAAAAUUCAUUUUGUUGCUCAUGAAAGAAUUGACUUGUCCGGAUGUAUUAAUUUUGCAGAUUUUCCACAGAUUAUGGGAAUAUAACAAAGCUAGACUUAAGCGAGACCCCAAUAAAAGAAGUUCCCUCAUCAAUAGAGUGCCUAGCUGAUCUGAAAACGUAGCGUUCGAGUAAGUGCACGAGGCUGAAGAGGCUUUCCAACAAGCAUUUGUAAAUUGAAAUCUCUUCUUGAGUUUUAUCUUUAUAACUACUCAAACCUUGAAUGUUUUCCAGAAAUCAUGGAGAAAAUGGAACGUUGAAAGAUAUAAAUCUAGCAAGGACGGCCAAUUACAGAGCUACAAUCGUGAUGGUCUUCUGGAUAACAUUAGCAAUUUAAAAUCUUUGAGGUACAUCUCGGCUAAUGGAUCGGCCAUUAGUCCUCUGUCGGAGAUUUGGCUGUACUUAAAUAUCUAUUGUUUUCUCGAUGCAGAGGUUUUGUAUCAUUGCCUCCAAUAUUAUUUUCAGGUUCAGGUUUAUCGAAUUUCGUACAACUAACUUUAAGAGACUCUGCUGUAGUGGAAAUUCCCCAAAACAUUGUUUGGCAAUCCUCAUUGAAAAUUUUAAAUCUAAAGGCUUGUUUGUUAACUACUUGAAGUAUGAAACUAAUGAUUUUUUUUAAUUUAUAUUUGAUUUUGAGAUAUUUGUAUCGGAAUUAAAAAAAUGAACUUUUGUGACAUUUAUCUAAAUAAAAAAAAGCUUAAUGAGAAGUAAAUAAUCCCCUUUUUCGUUUUGACUUACAAAAACAUAAUGUUAACUAACCAUGUUUAAGAUAUUUUUUAUUUAUAAAAACAAAUUAGAUGCUACUUAUAUUUAUUAUCGAAAAUUGAAAAACAAACAUGUUAUUCAUACAUUUAUAUUCAAACUUAUUCAGUCUUCAGCUAAAUACAGAUACAUUUAGAUUUCAGAGAAAAAAAUAAAUACUUCCUAAGUGGGAAUAACUUUGAGAGUUUACUUGCAAAUGUCAAGCAACUUGCAAGGCUAGAAUAUCUUGACUUGAACGGUUGCAAUAUGCUUCAGUCAUUAACAGAGCUUCCAUUGUUUCUAUAUUUUUCAGAAGUAAGGAAUUGCAAGCGCUCCAAUCUUUGCCAGAGCAUAGAUUUCAUGUUUACCAAUUGCCUGAAACUGAAUGAAAACGCAAACAACAGCAGUUUGGCAGAUUCAGAACAAAGGACUCAACAUAUGGCAAAUGCACCACUGAGACUAUUCCAUGAAAAGGUACCCCUACUCACUUUCUCUGUCCAAUCUUUGCAUCUGAUCAUCUGGGAUUCAAAUCCUCUACUCAUCUUGCUACUUGGCCUGCCAUUUUAACAUCCACUGACUGGUCGUUACCAAAAAUCAAAAACAGUAAAAUGAUACAUCUAAACCAUGCAUACAUAACCAAUAAUGUAUAUGUGUUGCAAGACUUUAGAAAGGCAAGAUGAGUAGAGUAUCGGCUUUGGUCUAAAAUUGUGGUUUUUAUAUGACAGCAGAAGCCUCAGGUACAACGUCAUGUCAGCAUUUGUUUACCUGGAAGUGAAAUUGCUGACUGGUUUAGCAAACAAGGUUUUGGAUCUUCAAGAACUAUCCAACUUCCACCACAUUGUUGGAACAGAAACUUAAUCAAAUUUGCUCUUUGUGUUGUUAUUGAACUUGAGGAAGGUUUUGAUGCUAAUGUUGAUGAAUUUUUUGUCCACUGUUUCUGCCAUUUUGAGAUAAGGGAUACUCCCUCUGAAACUAAACAUGAUCACUUUUGCGUUAUGAAAGCCGUAAACGUCCAUUGACUCGGAUCAUAUCAUAUUUGGAUUUCAUCCCUGUUGGAAUGUUGAGUGCAUUUAAGUCCAACCCUGUUACUAUAAAGUUUUUUGCCAACAGUGAAGAGGAAUGCACUCAAAGUGUUCCUCAAAUCUGAAAAAGAUGAAUUGGAACCGACUCCCAAGAGAAUUUAAAGAAAGCAAGUUGGUUUCUCAAGUUCUGAUUUCUUAUCUAAGUCCAACUCUCCAAUUACACUUUCUAUUUAUUUAUCAUUGUGCUUUAUCAUCAUCAAUAUUAAUAUUAAUAAAAUAAAAAGCAGUUGAGAGCCAAAUAAAGCCACUUGAAAAUCACUCAGUCACGCUUUUGGGACAUCAUUCUGCUCAUUACUUUUAAUCUGUAUCUCCGUUGUUUUAUUUGGUAUUUAUUACCAUUAGCAAAUAAAGGGAUUAGUUGAUUAUUGUGAGCUCACUAGAUGGAGCUCACCCUUAAAUGUCGGCUUGUACCAAGGAGGUGCCUUAGGGUUAAUAAACCAACUAAUCCCAUAAUUUAUUGAUGUAGGGUCCUAACAAAUUAUUGCAGUAGGUCAGUACACAGCUCGAAAACGUAUUUGAUCCAUACAUUGAAGAUGAUUCAAUAUUAAGCAUGUCAUAUAAUCUGGAAUAGGAUAUUGGACCAAUUUGAUGAUAAUGACUUUCUUUCAAUCUCAAUCUUUAUCUUCUUCGCAAUAUGACUAGCCAUUGCAAACUCAAACUCUGACAAUGAUUUCUCAAUCGCUUUCUAAGAUAUUGAGCAGGUAUGUAUAUGUAUGUGUGUAUGUGUGUGUGUGUGUGUGUGUGUGUGUGUGUGUGUGUUUGUGUAUAUAUAUAUAUAGAGAGAGAUCACGAGUGUGUGAUUUCCUUUUGCCAAUAAGGUAUGCAGAGACCUUGAUGUUACCCAAUAGCAAAAAAGCUUCCUAAUAAGUGAAGGUAUAGUCUAAAUACUUACACUCUCAUAUUAUUUUGUUCAUCAGCAGUUUGAUUAUUUUAUAUGCAUCUUUGAUUUUAGUUUUCUUUCCCUAUAAUUGCUAUUAUCUUUGAACUGGUCAAGAUUUGCCUAUAAGAUUUCUCAUGUUGAUUUUAGGUGCAAUGGAUUUUGAAUUUAGUGCAGGUGCAGAAGCUCGAAGGCAAAUUAUGAAAAAGGAUAAAGAUCUAUAAUUAGCGGUUAUGGGAUGUCAUAUAUCAUAUGGAUGGUAAUGGGGUCGGAUCACGAGUCCAUUAAUAAUCAUAGAUUGGCUUAUAUAUUUCAAACAAUGUACCAUGAAGUAAUUUCACAAGCACUUGUUAGUCUAUGUUGAGCUUUAUUGAAUCAGUAGUUCACAGUUCAAUACAAUGCAGGUUUACUAUUUGAAGUAAAUGCUUAUGGUGUGCAUUCUUCAUAAAACUAACUACUGAAUUUUUCGUUGAAACUUGCAGAAUGUAACAGAGAGAUGCAGAUAGCAGCCACAAAACACUAAGAUUGAAAAUCAGGACUACUAAAUUCUAUUACAAGCCCUUAGAAUAGACAACGAUCAUCCUCGAAUGUAUAUACUGAAAGUAAGAAAUAUUAAUCGUAAAGUUAUGCAUCAACAGAACUAUUAACUACUUAUCUUUAGCAGAAGAUUUAUAUUUUUAGUUGCAGCUCUCUACUUUGUUCGAAGAAUUAGGCAAAAGUGGCAUAUCUCCAAUCCAAUCAGCAUAUAUACCGCUCAUCUUCUCCAGUUCUUUCCGCUUUGAUUUGCACUCAUACCCUGCACUUGCUGCUUAGAAAUAGUCAUAGUUUGCACAUUGACAGUAGAAAAAGUACUUGAAACAGUCGUUGGCACAGCAUGAGAUUCCAUUGAGUCAUGGUCUCCAAGCUUUCGUAGUUCUGCAAAGAAAAUGACAAAACAUCAUGCUAUUGGCAUUCUACUUUUAACAAUUUUCCACAACCUGAGCUAUUUCAUAUCUCUCUAUAAAUUAUGAUCCAUGAGUGGACCACUGACGGAUGCAAGUUUAUUAUCACUUGUAACUGCUGGUUCAACCUUCAGAUAAGUUUGUGAUAAAGGCAUUUACGAGUACAAUGGCAAAAUUACAUGAACUUAUGUUAUCAAUCAUUGUUUUGCCUUCUCAUGAUAGAAUUCAAUGCAACAUAAAACAUUGAUAUAUUUGUACCUUGCCAUGCCGUGUUGUGAACCUAGAAGCAAUGCAAAGUGGAAGGAACAUAUCAAGCUAUCUACUGUAUAUAACAAAUUCUUACUAGCCCACAAUGCUGUGCCGCCACAUUGAUCAAGUAACACUACUAUUUCAUUUCCAAACUGGCAUAUAUAAUCUAAUGUUGAACAAACCAAAUUGGGAAUCAUCAUUCCUUACAUUAAGCUGACAUUCGUACCUGCUAGUCCAUGGGCAAAGUUGCAUAUAUUUUCAUACAGGCAGCUUCCCCUUAUCUCUCAGUUCCAACAGAGAUUUGGUUUCCCAUCACCAGCCUUUGAUUCAUUCGAUCAUAGAUACUCCGAGUUAGCAAGCCCCUUGUUGUGUUCCCAUUGAACAGACCCACUUCUGUUAUCCACAGAAGAUCCACCACUCAAAAUACUUAUCACUGAGCUAUUCCUAAACUGAGUAGAAACUUUCGCACAUCUCUCCGCAUUUACGUUAAGAAAUCGACACCUAUCCUCAUAUUUGCAAGUUUUCUGAUAAUAGAACGGUCUACAAAGCUGCAUUUCGUUAGGCAAUCUAGUCUCUCCAUUCCUCGCAAAGUGACAUUGAUUCCCGUAUUUGUAAUUGCCUAAUUGGGGUUUUGGCAAUAGCCUGAUCUUAAAAUUAGCACCCAUUACUUUGUUCAAAGCCACUGGCAUCCUCAGAUUAGGAACAACAUUUUCAAAUUUUUUAGCCCUGUUAGUCGAAUCACAUUCAACAGGAUAGUGAGGCAGCAUUUCACCAACAGAUUCAAUUUGACUACUCAUAUUGAUGCACAUAUAAGAAUUUGAAAUCACUUUUUCUUGGAAUAUUUAAUGACCAGACGAAAGUUCUUGAAUGGAAAUUAUUUAAUUUGAUUUGAUUUCCAACAAAUUCAAGAAACCCCAGAUAGUAACUAAACAAAAAUCAAACAAUAAUACGCAAUGGGUUUCUUUCUUUUUGCUUUUGGAGGGCCAUGGAGAUCUGGAGUGGGCUGUAAGUAAAUUAUGCCUUCAUCACUGGAAUGACAAAUUUGUAGAAGAUGAUAUAUGGGGAAGGAUUGAAGUAUUGAACAAAUUAAAUUACGUCCAUUGUGAUGAAUUAAAAAUAAAAUAACAAUUUUAACUUUAUAAUAAAAUUUGAUGUUAUCAUUACAUCUUUUAUUAAAAAAUUAAAUUAAUCAAGAAUGAUAUUAUUUUCUUUUAAUGUUAUCAAACUAAUCAACCUAUAAAAAUUAUAAAUUGUGAAGAAUAAAUACAUACACCACUUAAAAUGAUAUUUAUAUCAAAUUACUAGUUUUUAAGUUUUUCUUUUCAGAUGUUGAAAAAGAAAAAACAAACAUGUCAUUUAGAUAUUUUCAUUCAGACCUAUUCAGAUUUAAACUAAAUACAGACCUAUUCAGAUUUCAAAUAAAAAACAAACACAACCUUAGUAUAGCACAGAGCUUUUUUAGUGUAGCAUUUUAUAAGCAGAUUUUUUUUAAAAAAUUAUUAUUUAUUUGGUUGUUUUGCAUAGGAGAGCGUUUAAAGCUCCAAAAUCUUUGAUCAGUCAAUUUUUUUUUUUUUUGUUAGUAAAACUUUCAACAAAAAUUUAUUAUUCAUUUGAUCGUAUAUGAGAGUUUUUAUUAGUAAGUUAUAUAAAGUUCUUUAAUUUUUUUUUUAUUAGUGCAACUUUGUACAAGUACAAUUUUUAUUUUCUAAAAAAAAUUAAUUCAAUAAUAUUAGGAAUUUCAAUAUUUAAAUCCUAAUAUCAUCUGUCACUCAUUUAUUAAAUGACUAAUUUCAUAACUUAUAAAUUUAUUUAACUAACACCCAAUGAGUGAAUAUUACUAUGAUGAAGACUCAAAUUGAAAUUUAGAUGUUAGGUUGCGUAACGUUGCUCUUAUUUGGUUAUUUAUGAGAGCUUUCUUAUACAAACUUAUUUGUAUACAAAUUGAUAUAGUCUAAAUUCAUUAACUAGAUGAAAAUAUAAAAUAAUAAAAAUAAAUCAUAUGUACUAAGAAUUGUUUAAUUCAUCAAAUUGAAUUAUCCUACUUAUGUUUGUACCAAAUAAAUUUAUAUAAGAAUUUAUAAUUCUAUUUUUAAAUGUCCAACUAAAUUUUUAGUCCUUUAUUCUUUGUAAAAUUCAAAUUCAAAUGGCUCAUCAAAUAAAAUUAAAACUAUUGGCUAAUCAAAUAAAAUUAUUUGAAACCAUUGGGUAUGGUAGCUGGACCUCUUGGAACUAUCUAAGCCAUGAAAUUAACAGCGAAAAGAGUUUUAAAUGUCUAUUUUAUAAAUUUUUUAAUUAUUUUUUUAUUUACCAUUUUACCACCCAUAGUGAAAGUGUCUCAUCGACAGUUGAACAGUCAACAUAUCAGUCCUUAGGAAUUUACGUUUGGGGUAUUUUUGUAAUUAUAAGAAGGUAAACUAAUCGCAAAAUUCAUUUGGCUUGAACUUGCUCGCCUUCGCCCUGUGUAUGGUCGUGGCGUUAUCAAUAUCACCUUCUCCACUCGUACUGACACCAAACCUUAACCGUUCAGAUUCCCUUUCUCGAUUGUCAUACCCUAGGCCCCGUCUACGUGUCUCCGAUAAACAGUGCUCAAUUAAGGCCAUCAGAUUAUCCCGGACCCACAUUGAUCCAACGGCUCACAAUGACCGACAACCUCUAUAUCUCCAUUUCAAGCUCCCUUUUCAACUGGCUUCUGCUUCCGUCGUACUCUUUCUCGGAUUCGGAGUCCGUAUUUGCUCGGCCGGUCCCGCACAGCUCCCUCUCGCUCCAAUUGUCACCCAACAAGACCAAUUGCUUAAUCAAGGCACAGACCAAGAAGAGGAUGAGAAAUUGAAACAAGAAUUUGAGAAUUGGAAAUCGAAAACGUACCCAUUUGUGAUAAGGAAUUUAUGCGAAGUAAGGGAAAGAGAUUGAAGUUUCAGAUGAAUUUGUGUGCUAGCAUUGAUGGGAUCGUUAACAAUUUAUCUGUGCCCUUUAACAAAGUUAAGGCUAAGUCAGCUUCUUAUAUGGCUGCUGAUUUGGUUAGUGUUGGUGAUUCAUGGCUCAGCUUUGCGAUUAAAAAGAGAUUGAUUGAGCCAAUAGCUGGAGCUGAAGAUCAAGAUUGGUUCAAAUGCUUAAGUCACAAAUGGAAGGUAACAUCUUUGUCUUUGACCCGAUAAUUUUUAUUGUCUUACAUUGAAAUUUGGUAAUGUGGUUUGUAGUCAUUUUAUUUAUUUGCUUUUAUUUGCACCAACGAAGUCUCAGGUAUAUCUAUGCAGGAAUGAUACAGGAGAAAUUGAUCCUCGAGGUAAAAUAUGGGCGGCACCAUACAGGUGGGGCACAAUGGUGAUAGCCUACAAGAAAAGUAAAUUUCGAAAGCAUAAUUUGGCUCCAAUUGAGGUAAUAAUUGUCUUUAAAUUUUAUAUGAAACAAAAUCAAGACUGCCUUUCUGUUCAAUAUUUUUGAUGAUAAUAUCUUUAGAAGCAUCGCAUUGACGGGUAAUAAUGGUAUCCCUGAAAGAGUCUAUAAACUCAAUGAUAUUAUCUUCUACACAUGGUUUAUUAAACUUCUUCGUUGUAGUCAAAUGUACACUAAGAACAAUGAGAAGCUAUGCUACUGUAGCAUGUAGUGAUGGCGCUUAAUAAGUGAGUUGCUAGGAUGUGAACUAGAAAAAUUAAAUAUUGUCUCCUUGGGUAUGCUAGCUUGUAAGUCAGGGUUAAUAUUAGAAUUUAAGAUACUAUAACCAUGAGAAGCUAUUGACUGCCAAUUAAAAUAUCCAUUAAAAUGUCUAGGGAGUUAAGAAGGUGGAGGUAUCUUCCGAUUUCUAAGGCCACAUAGUAGACAUCAUCCAGGAUCCAAGGAAGGUGCGGUUAAGCUCCUGCUCGGUGCAAUUAAUAAAUUUGGUCAAUGCCACUGAAACCUGCUAACUGAUGUCACAAUGCACCAUGAGCACUUCAAAAUGGGAUAGACGGUCAGUAGCACUAAAUUUUUCUUGCCUAAGAUUGGGCAAUUGGUCUAACUGCUAACCCCUAUUGUAGGUUGAUCAUUAUUUUUUCAAUUAUGUUCAGUUUGACCCAAAAAGUUACAGAAUCUUGAUCUGAAUAUUGUCACCGAACACCGUCAAUGUUGUUUAGCAUAGCCAACUAACUAAAGUUUGGUAAAACAAACACACAUUGUGUCUCAUGUCUCACAAUUCAAAUUAUCAUCUGUAAUGAUGGAGGAUUUUUCUAAUGUAUGAAGUAUGCUUUGAUACGUGGGUUAGCUUGGAGAAGAUAUCUCAAAAUAAAGAACAUGGGGAGCGAAUGGGAAGAAAACAGUUCAGUAGUUUAUUAUUCUGUAGUCAAGUUUUGUCUCAAAAAUGGUCAAAAUUUAAAUGAAUAAGGACAGCGGAUCUUCAUUCUUUUUCCCUUUUUUAUGCCAAGAUAUCUCUCAACCUUUAUAUAAUCCCCACUGGAUAUCUACUUCUAACAAUUAAAAUAAAAAUUUCACCCACACAAAUAAAUACUGACCAAGCUCUAACAAUAAAAAGUAACAUCUUUAGUCAGGUAACCUCUUUACAGUUCCUCAUCAUCUUAGUGUGAGACUAUCAGUACGUUCCAAAAACAUAAUAAAACUGGUUUGAUCCUGUUUAUUGAUGUUUAAAUGUUGUUCAUUGUGACAUGUAGAAAUGAUGAGGCGAAGUUUCUUUGGUCAUCAAUUGGUAAGAUCUUGUUUGAAGUUGUUUUCUGAAAUGAACUGCCAAAUGGUAAUUUUUUUGGGCAUAUGAUGGCUCCUUUUUCCUCAUUUUAAACAUGUGCCUGCAUGGAACGGGAAGGAUUAGGCUGCAGAGUUGUUAUAUAUUUUGACAUGCAAUGGUUAUUACACAAUUUGUUCACACUGGAAAUUAGAAUGAGAAAUUUGUUGAUGCUGUUUUGAGAGAUCCGCAUUCUAUGCGCAUUAACAUGAUUAAUGAAAACAGAUUAUAGGACUGGAAAGAUCUGUGGCGGCCUGAGCUCGCAGGAAGAAUUUCAAUGGUUAAUUCUCCCCGAGAGGUUAUUGGUUCCGUUUUGAAGUAUAUGGGAGCAUCGUACAAUUCAAACAAUAUUGAUUUGCAAGUUGCUGGUGGGAAGAUUUCUGUUCAGCAGAAUCUGGCAUUAUUGGCAAACCAGGUACUCUUAAAGAAAUGAUAUCUGGUCAUUGCAUGUUAUUGCCUGACAACUGAUUUUGUUUGUAAAGUCUGCUUCUUCAUACAUAUGAACGCAUAUGUUAGUGUUUUCCUCUCCUUUUCAUACAUAUGAAUGCAUUUGUUAGUGUUGUCUUUUCCUUUUCAUACAUAUUAAUACAUAUGUUGGCGUUCUCUCCUGAAGAAAUGGCAAGGGAUGUGAGAUUCUGUCUCAUUAAAUUAACAAAAACCCAAAACAAUGAAAACCCAUAAUAAUGUGGUGUGGGUAAAUUGGCGCCAUUUGGUUCGUUUCCUUAAUGUGAAUACGCGAGCAAUAGAGACUAACAAAAUGAAGUGACAACAAGAAGUCAGUGUCGUCUGAUGGAUGCAUUUUUAGGCAGAAAUAGGUUUGUAAUUGACCAAAUUUGUCUGGCAUGCCAAUUUCAAAAAAAUUAAAUCAUGUGAUUAUUAGCUGUAAUGAAGGGAGACAGUAGGUGCAAUCAGGUGGAUCCAGGAAAGUUCAACAAAGUUCUGGUAUGGCGUAGUGAAAUUGGUUGUCCAACUCAAGAGUCUUUCAGGUGAACGAUGAUGGGUUUUGAUUUAUAAAUGUUAUAAAUCUACUAUGAAUAGUAUUCUAGCAGAAUCAUCUGUAAGUUCUAGUUAUUGAAAUUGUCUACUUUGUCCAGUUUGAAUUAAGGGCAAAUGUAAUAUGAAAAAUAGUUGCCGCAUCUUUUAGGUUACCUAACAUUUGAUCAAUCCUAUUAUGUGGGCUUCAAGAUGUCUAACAAUAUGUAGAAUGCACAUGCUCCUACCCAUUGUUUAUCUUAUACAAUAAUUUGUUUUAGAUGCUAAUAUCUUUGUCGAUCCCGGUAUCAAUAUUACAAUAUCUGCGUUUAUUGGGUUUUACAUAGGUUCGACUGUUUGACAGUACACACUAUCUGAAGGCAUUUGGAAUUGGAGAUGUAUGGGUUGCUGUUGGGUGGAGUAGUGAUGUUCUUCCUGCUGUCAAACGUAUGUCUAAUGUUGCAGUUGUUGUUCCCAAGUCUGGCGCUAGCUUAUGGGCCGAUCUUUGGGUAUACCCAUGCCUGCCUUUCUACUUCGAUAUUCACAUUGUUAUCUCCUUCAUAUUAGUGAUCAGUAAACACGAUAAUGUGACUAAUAAGUUCGUAUCCUCUUUAUAGGCAGGCCCUGCUGCCUCAAGACUUGAAACAAAACAAAUUGGAGGGCGAGUCAGAGGUCCAUCUCCAUUAAUCCAUCAAUGGAUAGAAUUCUGCUUGCAAACAGCGAGAGCAUUGCCUUUCAAGCAAGAGGUUAUCCCGGGCGCAUCUCCCUCUGCCCUUGAGAGUACUCUGGUUAAGUUGCCUGAAGAACUUCUGAAGGGUAAACCAAGUCUGGAUACUAACUUAAUUGUUGGAGUACCCCCGGCUGAAAUUCUGGCCAGAUGUGAGUUUUUGGAGCCAUUAUCUGAAGCUACUUUGUCAGAUUAUGAGUGGCUGGUUGCUAAUCAGCAAAAACCUGCUCCUGUCUUGAUGAAAAGGGUGCAACAUUACUUGUCAUCAUUGAUCCAAAGCUUUCUAGCAAAAGCUACAUUGAAAAGUUAAUGGCACUGCAUGCCAGUGAUUAUAAUGCUUCAGGGCAAUUGGGUCAGGGCAAUUAGGUCAGAGCAUAACUUCAUUAGGAAAAGAGGCUUCAGCUACAUUAAAUAUUACAGGAUGUACUGAGAUGGCUGAAGUUCUUGAGGUUUUAUGAGAAAUGAAAGAUGAGUCUUUGUUUGAACAAAGUUGUUGCCAAUUUUGCAGAGUUCGAGAAGAAAGAUCACGGAGCGAAUGCCACCGAUUUCUUCAUCAUUGUAGCCUCCAUAGUUGAAGUUUCCUCAUUUGAAGCUGUUUAUGCAUUAAGCUUAUUCCCUGCUCAAGUACAGGAAACUGAAGAAUUAACCAGACAUGAUAUGCUGAAAGAGGGAAGUUUUCUUCCUUGAAUGUGGCCUUGUGAUUUGUAGUGAAGUAAUAGGAUGAUCACUAGCAAGAACCCUAUCAAGGUAGAUUUUAUAAUGUCAACAUAUUAUUAAGCAUUUGUCAAUUUAGCACUUUCGCAAUGAUACAUUCAUAGCCUGAAAUUAAUUAUAUGAUCCUGAUUAAUCAAUUAAUCUUCAUGAGAUUUAACCUAGUUAAAACUAAGUACAAUCAUCGUUAACAAAUACUGAAAUUGGGUAAAUAUGAUCUCGACAUUGAAGAAUUUGAAAACACAACCCACGGAGGAAAUUACCUGUUGCAUGGGGAUGGAGAUGGUUACUGCAGGGAUAUAAAAUAUGUGCAAGGUGUUGUCCACUGCUCUUUGGGUUAUGGUGUGACUUGCGAUUUCAAGGUUGCCCUGAAACAAUGGAAAAGAUUAACAUAUCCUCCAAUGAAUGAAAACGGCUUGUCUAAUUCUAAUUACCGAAUUGACUCAGAAUCAGGUGGCAAUAAUAACAGGUCAUUAGCAUUACACAGUCCGAGUACUUUUCCAGGAUCAGAUACAACGUGGUCUAAUGUUGAUAAUAAUAGUUUAUUAAAUGACAAAUCAUUGGUCUUGGGUGUUGGUUAUAUACGUCAUUACUACUUCAAGUAGAAGAUGAAGGUUGUGCAGGUGAUUUCAGAAAUAAAAUACAUUCUGAGAGAUGCUGGUCUACCAUUGCAUGCCCCCAGAUAUAAGAAUUUUUUGAUUGGGGCAUUUGGCAAGAUUCGACAAAUUCUAGAUUCAACCUCCUCCACCAAGGGAUUCCAACUGAGUUAUCAAUUAUCGUAGCAGUUCUAUUAACUAAAAUUAGCAAAUAUAAUAUAAGAAAAAGAACAAUAAAUACACACUGAAGUUGAAUUGAAAAUGAAGUUGCAAGUUGCCGCCCAUAGCUGCUGACUAAUAAUAAAACGAGACAAAUUAAUUAAACUCAGACCUCUUUGUAUAUGUUAUCCUAACUUUACUUACCCUUGUUUGUAAUUUUCACUUAACACUUGAUGCCUAAACCAUUAAAACCAAAUGACCAUAGGGGUAUUUAAAGUAUGUAAAAAUAAACAAAAACACGUAAAAAAAUUCAAACAAUUAAUAAUUACACUCUAAAUGCACCACUCAACUCUUAAUAAUAGCCAUACUCUAAAACAAUCUACAACCUUUGAGGGGAGUAGCUAUGAGGAAAAUCCUUUUCUCAGUGGAUUGCCAUUGCCCAAUAGUUGCAAUGAAAAGAGACCACCUGCAACUGUGCCGGAAGAUUCAACUAGCUCUGAAAAAGAUGAUAAUUUAAUUGAUAUGGACAGUUUCCAUAUCACUUUUAAAUCAUCUUAUGUAAUUGUGAUGUUAGUAAGCAUUAGUGAUCUAUAUGUGAACUAUUAUUGGCGCCAUUGGUGGUUUUAUCUUGUUAAAAUAUGGAUGACUUCCGGUUACUAUUUUGUAGUACACAAUUUUAUUCAAUUAACAUAUACCUUAAAACCAUUAUGUAUGUGCUUUAUUAAGAUUCUCAAGUACCAAUCACGUUUGCUUAAGAAAUAAAAUUUUACCAUUAAAAGCGUAGUAAUAUUUCCAAGCGCUUCGCAUUUAUCUCAACAUUUUGAAGGAAUUUCGAGAAAUACACGGGUCCAAAAGUCUAGUCAUCAUCCUUAUUCUUGGUAUGAGUUGAUUUUUAGUGAUUAUCUAAUUGACUGGGGUGACAACAAUAGCACAACGUAGAAUUCAAUAAUAGAAUUCUCCUGUUUAAUUUGUUUUAAGUUAAAUUAUUAAUUACUUAAAACUCUGUUUUAAGUCUUUAAUUUUAUGUCUUGGCGUAUAUGCAGAGUUGGAAUCUUGAGUGAGUUGGACAUGACCUACAAUGAGAGUGGCAGUAAACAAACAUUAGAACGUGUGGACUCCGGUGGCUGCCCUGCAAGUCUACAACUCUACAAGAAUAAUUUCUAGCCCCGUUGACUCCACUAACUAAAGUUUUUUAAAAUUUAAAAAGGUACAUAGAAUUCAACAACAAGCAAAACGUGUGGAAUUUAGUUUUUUGCCGUGUGGAACAAAAUACAAUUUAGCAAAAAAGGACAAGAAAAAUGGUAAGAUUUCUAAAAUGAGUGGAAGUUGAUCCAUAUUUUACUGAAACGACUUGCCCCGAACAUCACGACGAUUGAUUUUUUUUAUUUAUUUUUUGAAUAACAUCAACUUUCAUAUCUUUCUAACCCCCAGAAUAUGCUCACGUUCUAGUCUAUCUUGCUAAUUUAAAAAAAUAAAAUCAAAUCAACACCAAAACAAUGAAAAGUAAAGCUUUUGAAUUUCAACUCCAGCUAGCAAACGUAUUCAGCGUUUUCAAAUUCUUCCCAUUGCAUAUCUUCUUCCUCCAUCAAUGCAAUAUUUGAACGAUUAUGAAAGAAUUUAAGAACAUAAAAAAUCUCCUAGGUUUAUACGGUGUAACAAAUUUAAAUUCUCAAUUACAAUAGAUAAUAAUUAAACUAAUAAUUUUUUAUGUACUUAUUUUAGUAAUUUCACCUAAGAAUAAUAUUGUAAUUAGAAAAAAAAAAUCUAAUGAGUAGGGUGGUCUUAUACAAAAUCAACUGCAUACAUAUAUGCAGAUGCAGAUAAUAAUUUUUAAUUCCUUUUUUUAAUAAGAAAAUUGUGUAUUGAGAUGAAUAAGAUGUUUAAUUUAAUUAAUUUCCUUACUUUCGUAUACAUUGUCUUUCUAUCUAGAGAAAGCUUGGUGUUCAGAACGACAUGAAGUUGCGAGUUGUCGCCCAUGGCUGCUGAUUAAUAAUAAAACGAGACAAAUUAAUUGAACUCAGGCCCAUAUGUAUAUGUUAUCCUAACUUUACUUGCUCUUGUUUGUUAAUAUUCAUUCUUAGAGAGGUGAAAAAAAUUACAAGUCUUGAAUAACGAGGAGUUUAAUUGCCUCUAACUUUACUUGGCCAGGCCUUCUAUAAUCUCAUUAAUAAUACAGAGAAUUAAUUAUCUUUUUAUUAUUAAACCAUCUUCAGGAAGAUUUUCCUUAAUUUGCUCCAGAAGAGUUGGAGCUGUGGUUCUGAUAAACCAAAGAAUUAGUAGCAAUUAAUAUUAAUAUUUCGCCCAUGGCUGCUGAUUAAUAAUAAAACGAGACAAAUUAAUUAAACUCAGGAGCAUUUAAACCACUUCCUUAUCAAUUGCGGCAGCCGUCUAUUAACUAAAACGCCAAUCUAAUACAAGAAGAAAGAACAUUUACAGACUUGGCAAUUGAGUUCAUUAAGAAGUAGCAUCGCAUUCGGGUGAUGAGUUUCCUUUUGUUAAUGAUUUUAGUCUAAUUUCAAUUGUACUGUGACCGCUUCUCACUCAAGGUAAGUGAAAGUUACAGAUGUGGCAAAAUAAAUAAUUAAAUUAACAAAAUGCUAACUAAUUUUCCUAAAUACCUAGGGUUGUACAAUUUCACCAACCUGGAAGAAUUGACAUUAAUGGACCGGUCUCCUCCCCAUAUAAUUAUAAUCCUUCUAGAAAGCUAGUUUUUAUUAAAUAUUUGCUUUUAAGUUAAUUUCAAUUAAAAAAUGUUUUAAGUUAUAUAUACUCUAAUGAGAUUCUGAAUUCCUUUAUUCCAAUAAUAAUGAAAACGUAUUAAAUUAGAAAUGAAAAAAUUGGUGUUGAUGAUUCAACCUAUUUGGAUAGAUUACGUGAAUAAAAUUGAAAUUUUGAUUUAAUUUUUGUUUAUUGUUAAUUCUCAUGCUAUCUUAAUUUCAAGAAUUUAGAAUGUUAAUUUGGUCAUGGAUUUCAACCCGUGAGUAUCAUAUUCUAGACUUAAUGGUACCAUUCUUUGAUUGAGGGCAAUGACUCUCACUCCUCUUGUAAAAAAAUAUUUUCAACUAUUUUGAUGACUUAAAAAUUGAUAGAUUUAUUGUUGUCAUGACCAAAUUAUUCAUUUUAAUGAAAUAUAAUUAAUGCAUCAAAGUUACCAGGUUUAUGUUCUAUCUUACCUCUGUUUCAUUUUUUUUUUUUCAGUUAUCAGCUAUGCCCCUGAGGCAUUUUGUAGAGUAUAGCUUCUGCUUACCUCUGUUUCAUUUUUUUUAAUAAAAAAACAAGGGAAGGUUUUUCCGAGUCAUCCAUUAUUUGAUUUCCGUCAAUCAAGAAAACGACCAAAUUAAUUUCUCUCCAAAAUUUCCAAAAGCUAGAAAAUUUUGUUAUUUGAAAAUAACAUCAUUAAUUAUAGAGUGGAUCAAACCGCGUUAUUGUCUUUCAUAAAAUUGAUGUCUUUUUAAGAGUCAAUACUUUUGAUGUACGCAAACCAGUCGACAUCAACUUAAACUUCCAUAUUUUUAUUAUUAUGUUAUUUAUUUUAAUCCCCGAUUAUUUGAUUAGCCACUAUAUAUAUAUCAAGAAAGCGACAAAAUUUAUUUCUCAUGACUUCCAAAAACUAGAAAACAACAUCAUUUAUUAUUUUUUUGCAACCCUAAUUGACAUAAACUUUAACUUUAUUAUGUUAUUAUUUCAAUCCCCCAUUAUGACCUUUCUAAUCCUCCAUUAUGCAUCUUUUAUAGUGCAAAUUUAAUUGCACAUCUAAAUAAAUUGAUUAUUGUUACUCCACCACCAAUAUUUCAAGGAAAAUUCUAUGAUGCCGUGAUUAAAAUUACGGUAUUAAUGCCGUAGUUAUUAUGUACCGUUAGAUUAGAUCAACGGCACAUAAUAAUUAUAAUUAUAUAAAUUUUAUUUUUUCAACAGGUUACAACCCGGUUAACAUUUUUUUAUAAGUAAAAGUUAACCGAUUAAAAUUAAAAAUAAUUAUUAUAUUUUUUUAGAAAAUUAUUAUAACUGAUUUAUUUUAAAAUCGCUCAUUCACGUUAAUUAGGGAUUAUGAUAGGACCGAAGUAAAACUUCAGCCGAUUCAUAUUGAGAGGAAAAGAGCAACUGAGUCUUUCUCCACUACCAGUCUUUCUCCACUACCAACUCCACGUCAUCGCCGUUCCGCCGUUUUGUUUCAUCAUGUGUUGGGAAAGGGCAGAGGUUGUUUCCCAGUGGCCAACUCGAAGAAGCUAAAGUUCGUUAAAUUCCAAAACACAUAAUCCUUGCAAACUAGAACGGGCAAAGGCUAUCUUUGAAUUGUGCUUUUUUUUCCUGUUUUUCGAGCCAGACUGCCCACCAAGUUAGCCAAUUCUUGGUACUAAUUUUGUCUUUUAGUAUUGAUUUUUGGGGAAUUCCUUUUUUCACCUUGAUUUUCUUUUGAAUUGUUUUAUAUCUGCUUGAUUUUCUUUCUUUCACUCUUUUGUAUUCUUUGGUUUUCUUCAUCAAAAUUUACUAUUUUCACAUGUUAUCUUGAUUAUUUCCUGCUAAUUAAUUUUGUAUUGUAAAUAAUCUAUUUGUUGGACUUCCAGAGUGAGCAAGUUAAUUUGAUUUAAUUAGGUGCCUAUUAUAAUAGCUUUUCUGGUUUGUUGUAGGCAAUUCUAACUGUAUUCUAAAUAAACUUCCAUAUGAUUAGAUCUUGAUAAAUGCAAAGGAUAACAAUGUUAUAAGCCAUUGGCCUAAGAAAAUGUGUAAAUCCUCUAUUUGAGGUACAAAUUUUCUCUCAUAUGUUUUUUUUUUUAUUUUGUAUUUUUUCACAAAGAACUGGUUGUUAAGAUCCUAUUUCAUUAGUUGAAACUGAUUAAAAGGAGAUUACCCUUCGGCAGUUGGUGGGAAAGAUUUAAGUUCAUCUUUCUGGAUCUUCUACUUUAGACUUAUCAUUCAAGAAAGUGUCAAAACUCGAAUGGCUGUAAAACUUUGAACAGAUUAUUAAUUAAUUUAGGUGCAAGAUCUUUUAUAACACUUUAAUAAGUUAUUACCAUUGCAUUCUUUUUUUCUUUUCUUUGAGAAGAAACCAUUUAACUUUAGACUAACUUCCAAAUUUACCUUUGUAAUUUAGCUAAAUAGGUAAAUUUAUUCAAAAGUUGUCCUCCUCGCAAGCUUAAGGUAUUUCAACUUUGCCUACAACUACAAGUUAAAGAGAAAUUAUCGUGAAAACCAUGCCACGGCCGCAGUAUUUAAAAUGUGCACAAGGAGCUUAGAGAACUGGGCUUUGUUUGAUUACAUGAAAGGAAAUGGACAAAAUUUAUGUUACAAAAGAAGCUUGGAGCUGAUAAAUGAUGCAGUAUGAGUGAACUUUUUGUCGCUCUUUGAGGAAUUUUUCUACAAAUUUUGAUGUAGCUAUUAUUUUGGUGAAUGAUUUAUUCUUUUCUUUUUUCUUCAAUAUUAUGAUUUUGUUUCCAUAUUUUAAUAGAAAUUAUUAAAAUUCUAAGGAAAUUGCACUAUUUAUCUCAAGAAAGUGGCUUAAUUCUACAUAUAUGAGUAAUGUUUCCAUAAUUACAAGCAUAAUAGUGGCUUAACUCCAUAAUUCUACAUAUAUGACAUCAAACCCAACUCAUGCUCACCCUUAUAUCAUUCUAUCUAAAUCAUAAAAUGACAAUAAUCCAACUCUUUAACAAUUUUCACAUUGGAUUUAAGUUGAGGCAAUUGACCUAAACUAAAUAACCUAAAUUCCAAAUAAAUGUGAAAUAACACAAAAAAUUUCUAAACCACACGUAUGACUCGUAAAUUGAAGGUAAAACAUGUAAAUUAGCGUUAGAGUGGUAAAUUGGUCUACAAAAUUAAAAAAAAUAAAAAAUAGAAAAAAACUAGUAAAUUGAUAGAAAAUGUAGUAAAUAAAUGUUGGAGUUGUAAAUUAUAAGAAGAAAUUGUAAACAAAACAAAAACUUAGAAAAGUGACAUAGAACUUGUAAAUUGACAUUAAGUGUGAAAUGAAAAACAAAACUUUGUAAACCACAUAUAAAACUAGUAACUUGAUGGGAAAAUGGGAAAAUUAAUGUUGGAGUUGUAAAUUGUAAGAAGAACUUGUAAACAAAACAAAAACUUAGAAAAAUGACGUAGAACUUGUAAAUUGACAUUAAGUGUGAAAUGAAACAAAAUAUUUGUAAACCACACAUAAAACUAGUAAAUUAAUGGAAAAAUGGGUAAAUUAAUGUUGGACUUGUAAUUGGCAAGAAUAACUUGUAAACAAAAUAAAAACUUAGAAAAAUGACAUACAACUAGUAAAUUGACAUUACGUGUAAAAUGAAAUAAAAAACUGUGUAAAUCACACAUAAAACUAGUAAAUUGAUGGAAAAAAUGGUAAAUUAAUGUUGGAGUUGUAAAUUGCAAGAAGAACUUGUAAACAAAACAAAAACUUAGAAAAAUGACGUAAAACUUGUAAAUUGACAUUAAGUGUGAAAUGAAACAAAAAAUUUGUAAACCACACAUAAAACUAGUAAAUUAAUGAAAAAAAUGGUAAAUUAAUAUUGGAGUUGUAAUUUGCACGAAGAAGUUGUAAACAAAACAAAAACUUAGAAAAAUGACAUAGAACUUAUAAAUUGACAUUAAGUGUGAAAUGAAAUAAAAAAUUUGUAAACCACACAUAAAACUAGUAAAUUAAUGGAAAAAUAGGUAAAUUAAUGUUGGAGUUGUAAUUGGCAAGAAGAACUUGUAAACAAAACAAAAACUUAGAAAAAUGACAUACAACUAGUAAAUUGACAUUACGUGUGAAAUGAAACAAAAAAAAUGUGUAAAUCACACAUAAAACUAGUAAAUUGAUGGAAAAAGGGUAAAUUAAUGUUUGAGUUGUAAAUUGCAAGAAGAACUUGUAAACAAAAUAAAAACUUAGAAAAAUGACAUACAACUAGUAAAUUGACAUUACGUGUGAAAUGAAACAAAAAAAAUGUGUAAAUCACACAUAAAACUAGUAAAUUGAUGGAAAAAGGGUAAAUUAAUGUUGGAGUUGUAAAUUGCAAGAAGAACUUGUAAACAAAAUAAAAACUUAGAAAAAUGACGUAGAACUUGUAAAUUGACAUUAAGUGUGAAAUGAAACAAUAAAGUUGUAAACCACACAUAAAACUAGUAAAUUAAUGAAAAAAAUGGUAAAUUAAUGUUGGAGUUGUAAAUUGCAAUAAGAACUUGUAAACAAAACAAAAACUUAGAAAAAUGACGUAGAACUUGUAAAUUGACAUUAAGUGUGAAAUGAAACAAAAAAUUUGUAAACCACACAUAAAACUAGUAAAUUAAUGAAAAAAAUGGUAAAUUAAUAUUGGAGUUGUAAUUUGCACGAAGAAGUUGUAAACAAAACAAAAACUUAGAAAAAUGACAUACAACUUGUAAAUUGACAUUAAAUGUGAAAUGAAACAAAAAAUUUGUAAACCACACAUAAAACUAGUAAAUUAAUGGAAAAAUAGGUAAAUUAAUGUUGGAGUUGUAAUUGGCAAGAAGAACUUGUAAACAAAACAAAAACUUAGAAAAAUGACACACAACUAGUAAAUUGACAUUACGUGUGAAAUGAAACAAAAAAAAUGUGUAAAUCACACAUAAAACUAGUAAAUUGAUGGAAAAAGGGUAAAUUAAUGUUUGAGUUGUAAAUUGCAAGAAGAACUUGUAAACAAAAUAAAAACUUAGAAAAAUGACGUAGAACUUGUAAAUUGACAUUAAGUGUGAAAUGAAACAAAAAAUUUGUAAACCACACAUAAAACUAGUAAAUUAAUGAAAAAAAUGGUAAAUUAAUAUUGGAGUUGUAAUUUGCACGAAGAAGUUGUAAACAAAACAAAAACUUAGAAAAAUGACAUAGAACUUGUAAAUUGACAUUAAGUGUGAAAUGAAACAAAAAAUUUGUAAACCACACAUAAAACUAGUAAAUUAAUGAAAAAAAUGGUAAAUUAAUAUUGGAGUUGUAAUUUGCACGAAGAACUUGUAAACAAAACAAAAACUUAGAAAAAUGACGUUGAACUUGUAAAUUGACAUUAAGUGUGAAAUGAAACAAAAAAUUUGUAAACCACACAUAAAACUAGUAAAUUAAUGAAAAAAAUGGUAAAUUAAUAUUGGAGUUGUAAUUUGCACGAAGAAGUUGUAAACAAAACAAAAACUUAGAAAAAUGACAUAGAACUUGUAAAUUGACAUUAAGUGUGAAAUGAAACUAAAAAUUUGUAAACCACACAUAAAACUAGUAAAUUAAUGGAAAAAUAGGUAAAUUAAUGUUGGAGUUGUAAUUGGCAAGAAGAACUUGUAAACAAAACAAAAACUUAGAAAAAUGACAUACAACUAGUAAAUUGACAUUACGUGUGAAAUGAAACAAAAAAAAUGUGUAAAUCACACAUAAAACUAGUAAAUUGAUGGGAAAAGGGUAAAUUAAUGUUGGAGUUGUAAAUUGCAAGAAGAACUUGUAAACAAAAUAAAAACUUAGAAAAAUGACGUAGAACUUGUAAAUUGACAUUAAGUGUGAAAUGACACAAAAUAUUUUUAAACCACACAUAAAACUAGUAAAUUAAUGUUGGAGUUGUAAUUAGCACGAAGAAGUUGUAAACAAAACAAAAACUUAGAAAAAUGACAUAGAACUUGUAAAUUGACAUUAAGUGUGAAAUGAAACAAUAAAGUUGUAAACCACACAUAAAACUAGUAAAUUAAUGAAAAAAAUGGUAAAUUAAUGUUGGAGUUGUAAAUUGCAAGAACUUGUAAACAAAAUAAAAACUUAGAAAAAUGACGUAGAACCUGUAAAUUGACAUUAAGUGUGAAAUGAAACAAAAAAUUUGUAAACCACACAUAAAACUAGUAAAUUAAUGAAAAAAAUGGUAAAUUAAUAUUGGAGUUGUAAUUUGCACGAAGAAGUUUUAAACAAAACAAAAACUUAGAAAAAUGACAUACAACUAGUAAAUUGACAUUAAUUGUGAAAUGAAACAAAAAAUGUGUAAAUCGCACAUAAUACUAGUAAAUUGAUGGAAAAAUAGGUAAAUUAAUGAUGAAGUUGUAAUUGGCCAAAAGAACUUGUAAACAAAACAAAAAUUUUAAAAAAUGACAUAGAACUUGUAAAUUGACAUUAAGUGUGAAAUGAAACAAACAAUGCGUAAAUCACACAUAAAACUAGUAAAUUGAUGGAAAAAUGAAUAAAUUAAUGUUGGAGUUGUAAAUUGUAAGAAGAACUUGUAAACAAAACCAAAACUUAGAAAAAUGACAUAGAACUUGUAAAUUGACAUUAAGUGUGAAAUAAAACAAAAAAUUUGUAAACCACACAUACAACUAGUAAAUUAAUGGAAAAAUAGGUAAAUUAAUGUUAGAGUUUUAAAUUGUAAGAAGAACUUGUAAAUAAAACAAAAACUUGUAAAUGUUACAUAAAACUUGUAAAUCAACAUUAACUUGUAAAAGUUUCAUAAAACUUGUAAAUCACACAUAAAAUUAGUAAAUGUAACCUGGAACUUGAACAAAAAAGAGUAAUUACCUGCUAUUUAGGUAACAGGUUACCUAUUUAUUUAGAAUUAAUGGUAGAAAUCUUUUAUUCAAAUCUAACGGUCCACGUCCAUUACGGCAUCAAUGCCGUAAAUUUAGUUACGGCAUUAUAGAAUGACCCAUAUUUCAAAUAGUCACUAGACCAUUUCUGCCUUUAAUUUUCCCUUAAGUUUAACUAUUGACUGUUUUUAGCAUCUUAAAAUAUACAUUUAUUCCUUGAUUAUGUGAUAAAAUUAUGAAAAAAAUCCAUUUUAGCUUAAAUUAAUUGGAAUAACCAUAAACAUAACUUAAAUUAAUAGAACAAAAUUAUCAAGUGUAUGUUCUAUCUUACUUUUUGAAGAAUUUAACAUAUAUAAUGCUAUACUAUUAAUAAAUUCAUCAUUUAAUAUAUAUGUUCAAAUAUUUUAUAUAUUUAUUAAUUGUUAUAUAGUCAAAGGAUGAAUGAUUUUUCAGGUCUACAUGAGUUGGUGCAUCUGCAAGACUCAAUUUUGACAACAAUGAUCUAAGGGGUAAUUUACCUUGGUGUUUGACAAAUAUAACCUCUCUUCAAGAUUUACUUCCAAUCUACUUACUGUAAAUAUCUCCUCAUCUCCUCUCAUUUAUAUGAUAACCCUUGAAGAUCUCACAUUUUCAAACAAUCAUAUUAGGGUUUUUAUUAUUAACAUCAUUGUGUCAAUAAUAUAUGUUGCAGUAAGAUUUUUUCAGACCAAUUCCCUUCUUCAAAUAAUAAUGGAAAAGUAUUAAUUUAAAAAUAAAAUGAAUAUGCAUUGAUUAUAUCCUAAUUUUCAUCGAUUAUAGCGAGAGUUUCUCCAAAUCAACUCCCUUAUUCAAAAAAUACAGAAAAAAUAGUAAUUUAAUAGUAAAAUUAACAAGUGUUGAUUAUAUAUCCUAAGUUUCAUCGAUUAUGUGAUCAAAGUGGCAUUGUUGAUUUAUUUCUUGUUCAAUGUUAAUUUUUAGGUUAUCUAAAUUUCAAGGAUUUAAAAUCUUUGUUCAUGGAUUACACGCUUAUUAAUUUUUCUGCCAUUGACUGUCAUAUUCUAGACUUAAUCGUACCUUCCUUGAUCAAGGAUAAUUACUCUCUGUUCUCCUCUUAUAAAUUCCUCUUCCAUUAACAUCACUAGAAGUAUGUUGAUCUCUCAGACGUUAACUUCAGUGGAGAGUUUCCAAAUUGAUUGUUACAAAACAACACAAAAACUAGACACACUUGAUCUGUCUAAUAAUUCUCUUUCGGUAAAAUUAAUUAAUUUUAGGGGAAUAUUUGACCAACCUAUAUAAUUUUAGAUUGAUCAUUAAUUAAUUAGACGAAAAAAGUACUUGUGCUUUUGUGGCGACAAUUGAACCAGAGAAGUGAAGCUGUAAAGAUUUGGCAGUAGUAAUUAUAAUUUUUUCAAAAAACUUUUUUACAACACAGGCACCUGGCCAAAAAUUUUAUUUUUCUAACUAACAAUAAUUGAGUAGCUGACCGUAUUGACUCCACCUACUUGCUAAAGUAAAAAAAUAGAAAUAGAAUUUCCACAAAAUGUCAAACAUGUAAAAUCUAAUAUUUGGCCGUGUGGAACAAAAUACAAAUGAAAAAAAAUAGAAAAAAAGGCCUAAAGACUUUUAAAAUGUGUGGAAGUCUUUCGGCCCUUUUAUAAUGGUGUGUUUUUCAAAGGAACAAAUAAUAAUAAUGACACUUCUACGGUUUGUUUUGAUAAUCACACAUAUACUCUUUAAUUUGAUAAAUGGUUACACAAAUUUUGUUUACAAAAAUAUAUUAUUCAUGUUCUGUAUUAUUUUUUAACAUCAUAUUUUUAUUUAUUAUAAUUGUUUAAAGUUAAUUGUUAGGUUGAUAUAUAACAAAAACGUAUAAUCGUUCUCUUACUAAACAAACAUACUCGUAGUUUCUGUUCAUUUGUCAUCUCAAUCUCUCUCAUUUAUCCUUUAUUGAUAGCUCAAAACGCGUCACUGUGGAAAAUUAUAGCAAAAUGACAAAUAUGGAAAAAAUGGGAAGAAAAUUAAUGCAUGAAAGAGUUGUAGAAGACAACCAAAUAAGUCAACUAUACGCUAGCUGGGUGUAUAAAUUGUUAGAUGUGUUAUAAACAAAUAGCAUAGAGCCUUGGUUGGUUACAGAGAUAGAAAAAGUGUGUGUGUUUUUUAGAACUUAAAGAUACAGUUAGAAUGGGUGGUUCAAAAUCAAAAAUGGUGAUAAUGUUUGUUCUGUUAUUAAUAAUAUUUGAAGGUGGGUGGAGUGAGGGAUGUUUGGAUCAUGAGAGAUUUGCUCUAUUGCGACUCAAACAUUUCUUCAUUAAUCCUUAUAAUCUUCUUUACAACUGGGUAGAUGAUGAUGGAGCUACUGAUUGUUGUCAGUGGGAAAGGGUUGAGUGCAGCAACACCACAGGGCGAGUGAUAGCACUAGACCUUUUUGACGCGCAUGGGGGAGAGUACUGGUAUCUGAAUGCUUCUUUAUUUACUCCCUUUCAACAACUUGAGUCACUUGAUUUAAGUUGGAACAAUAUAGCCGGUUGUGUUGAGAAUGAAGGUGCUUCGUCUAAUUCAAUUAAAUUACAUUUCGCUCUCCAAAUUUAAGUCGAAUAUCAAGACUGAGCAGCUAUAUGCAUAUUCAUUCAAUUGACAAUUUUUACAUAUUUUGUAAAAUGUUUAAUUUUGAAAUUACACCAAACAUCAUAUGUGAUCUUUGUUUUGAUUUUACUUGCAGGUCUAGAAAGAUUGAGCAACUUGAAGAGGCUUGAUUUAAGUCAUAACUUGUUCAACAAUAGUAUCUUAUCAUCUGUGGCUCAUCUUUCAUCACUAACAUCAUUAGAUUUAUCUGAAAAUAGAUUGGAAGGAAGUAUUAAUGUUAAAGGUACGUAAUUAAAACGUCAUCGCUUUUCCCAACUCUUUCAUUAACAUGUUAAAAUAAGAUUCAAGGCUUUGAAUUCAAUUUUUUUUAUGAGUAAAUAUUAGAAAAAUAGUUUUAAGCAAUUCAUAAAUACAAUUUUCAAUGUUUCUCAUAAUUACUCUAACUGUGAAGCAAAUACCCCAUGACUAAUUUAUCAUUUUGUCCAGUUAAAAAUGAUAAAAUUUAUCAUUUGUUUAUAUUGAUUUAUUAACUCUAUUUUAAGUCUUAAGUCUUGGCGUCUUGGCAUGUUUGCAGAAUUUGAUUCCUCGAGCAACUUAGAGGAGUUGGACAUGAGCUACAAUGAAAUAGACAAUUUCGAGGUUCCUCAAGGUAAACAAUUAAAAUAUUAUUUAAUUACAUUAAUUUAAUUCGUUUGAUUAGGGAAGACCCAAAAUGUACAAAAACAUAAUUAAAAAAAUAAAGAAACAGAGAAUUCAUAUUAUUUCAAAAAACAAAAGGUAAUACUAUUAUUUCAAAAAAAGAAUGUAAUAAAGAUUUGAUUCCGGUUCUUUAAUCUUUAUAGCAAUUGAAAAACAAUGUUGCUCUUUUCCCAAAGCAUAAAAUACGAAUUGACUCCCAAUUAAAUUAAUCAUUUAUUUCGUUUAGGUCUAAAUUUAGAAAAAUGAUUUUUGAUUCUCUUCAAUCCUAUCCUUAUUAUUAUUGUUAAAUAGGUUACAGAGGUUUGAGGAAGUUGAAAAGCCUCUAUCUAUUGGAAGUUAAAAUUAGAGAUGGAAGCAAGUUGUUACAGUCAAUGGGAUCAUUCCCAUCCCUCAACACUCUUGACCUUUCGUGGAAUAAUUUUACCGAUAUAGCGACAACUACUACUCAAGGUAAGUAAAAGGUACAGAUGUGGCCAAAUUUAUAAACAAACUGUUAAUUAAUUAAUUUUUCCGUAUUAUUAAUUAAGCUAAAUUUGUUGCUUCUUCCUUCUAAAUCUAAACAGAGUUGCACAAUUUCACCAACUUGGAAUAUUUGACAUUGGACGAUUCCUCUCUCCAUAUAAGCCUUCUGCAAAGCAUUGCAUCAAUAUUCCCUUCGUUAAAAAAUUUGUCGAUGAUUGGUUGUGAAGUCAAUGGCGUCCUACGUGGUCAAGGUAAAAGAAAAGUGUUGAUUGUGAACUCGCUCAAUGGUGUCCUACGUGUUCAACAUUUUUAUUUAUUUAUUUUAUUGUUUAAUGUUUCUGCUAGGCUUUCCUCAUUCCAAGAGUUUGGAACAUUUGGAGAUGGAUGACGCGCGCAUUGCACUCAACACCAGCUUUCUUCAAAUCAUCGGAGAAUCAAUGUCUUCUCUUAAGUACUUAUCACUGUCAUAUUAUACUCUUAGCACUAACAGCAGCAGGAUUCUUGUUCGAGGUUAAUCAGAUGCUCCCACCCUCCCUUCUUAAUCUAUAAUAUUAAUUUUCAAUUAAAUAUUUAAUUACACAAACCAAUCACUUAUUAUAAAAGAACAAUACGCAUUCAUUAAUUUUUAUAUUGUAUUAAUAAUUGAUGAAUUUAAUAAAUUUUCAGGCCUCUGUUCGUUGAUGCAUCUGCAAGAGUUGUACAUUUAUAAUAAUGAUCUGAGAGGCAGCUUGCCUUGGUGCAUGGCAAAUAUGACAUCCCUCAGAAUAUUAGAUGUUUCUUCUAAUCAACUUACUGGAAGCAUCUCCUCAUCUCCCCUCGUUCAUUUGACAUCCAUUGAAGAGCUGUAUCUUUCAAACAAUCAUUUUCGGAUCCCAAUUUCACUUGAACCACUUUUCAAUCACUCAAGACUCAAGGUUUUUUGGGUUAAGAACAAUGAAAUAAAUGCAGAAAUAACUCAGUCACCUUCUUUUACCGCCCCAAACUUCCAAUUAUCACGUCUCUCAUUGUCUUCCGGUUAUGGAGACGGUGUCAUAUUCCCCAAAUUCCUUUACCAUCAACUUGGUUGUUGGAAAACAACACAAAAUUGAGACAACUUUCUCUCGUCAAUGAUUCUCUUGCAGGACCUUUUCGGUUGCCAAUUCAUUCACACAAGCGGUUAAGACUGUUGGAUAUAUCCAACAACAACAUCCGAGGCCACAUUCCAGUAAAAAUUGGAGAUGUUUUACCAAGUUUAUACGUUUUCAACAAUUCCAUGAAUGCUUUAGACGGUAGCAUUCCCUCUUCAUUUGGUAAUAUGAAAUUCCUCCAAAUUCUGGACUUAUCCAACAAUCACUUGACAGGUGAAAUCCCCGAGCACUUGGCCGUGGGUUGCGUCAACUUGCAGUCUCUUGCAUUAUCAAAUAACAACCUACAAGGUCAUUUGUUCUCUAGAAAUUUUAACUUGACAAACUUGAAAUGGUUACAAUUGGAGGGCAAUCGCUUCGUAGGUGAGAUCCCACAAAGUUUGUCUAAAUGCUCCUCACUAGAAGGAUUGUAUCUUAACAAUAAUAGUCUUUCGGGUAAGAUUCCACGAUGGUUGGGUAAUCUCACAUGGUUACAAUAUAUUAUAAUGCCCAAUAAUCAUCUUGAAGGCCCUAUUCCAGUGGAGUUUUGUCAGCUUGAUUCGCUUCAGAUUUUGGACAUUUCAGACAACAACAUAUCUGGAAGUCUACCAUCUUGUUUCCAUCCUCUCAAUAUCAAACAAGUUCAUCUUUCAAAAAAUAUGUUACAUGGACAGCUAAAAAGAGGUACAUUCUUUAAUUGCUCUUCCCUUGUGACAUUAGAUCUUAGUUAUAAUCGCUUGAAUGGCAGCAUUCCGGAUUGGAUUGAUGGGCUUUCUCGGUUAAGCCACCUUAUCUUAGGUCACAAUAAUCUUGAAGGUGAAGUGCCAGUUCAAUUGUGCGAAUUGAACCAACUACAAUUGUUAGAUCUUUCUAAUAAUAAUCUUCAUGGUCCUAUUCCUCCUUGCUUUGAUAACACCACACUUCAUGAAAGUUACAGCAAUAGUUCUAGUCCUGAUGAGCAAUUUGAAAUAUUUUUUUCCAACGAAAGCUCUCAGGGAAAUGUAGAAAAGCAAAUCCAUGAAAUUUUUGAGUUCACAACAAAGAACAUUGCGUACAUUUACCAAGGAAAAGUGCUUAGCCUCCUAUCAGGACUUGAUCUUUCUUGCAACAAGCUAAUCGGUCCUAUUCCUCCUCAAAUUGGAAAUUUGACAAGGAUUCAAACAUUGAAUCUAUCACACAACGACUUGACAGGAUUGAUCCCAUCAACAUUUUCAAACUUGAAGCAUGUCGAAAGUUUGGAUCUUUCCAACAACAAAUUGAAUGGGAAAAUCCCUCAUCAACUAGUGGAGUUAAAGACAUUGGAGGUUUUCAGUGUGGCAUACAAUAACUUAUCAGGCGAAAUUCCAGAAUGGAAAGCACAAUUUGCAACCUUCAACGAGAGUAGCUAUGAGGGAAAUACUUUUCUUUGUGGAUUGCCAUUGCCCAUUUGCAGAUCACCAGCAACUAUGUCGGAGGCUUCAAUUGGCAAUGAACGAGAUGAUAAUUUAAUUGACAUGAACAGUUUCUUUAUCACAUUUACAACAUCAUACGUAAUUGUGAUAUUCGGAAUUGUUAUUGUUUUAUAUGUAAAUCCUUAUUGGCGACGUAGAUGGUUUUACUUUGUUGAAAUGUGGAUAACUUCAUGUUACUAUUUUGUUGUAGACAAUCUUAUUCCAACAAGAUUUUGUCAUUGAAAUUAAUUAGUAGCUUAAUUACGAUUCUUUAAGUACUAAUCAAGUUUGCUUAGGAAAUAUUUUUUUAUUAAAAUUGUAGUAGUAUUUAGCAUUAUAUAGCUUCCAACUUCCAAGCACUUCACAUUUUUCUCUACACUUAAAAAACUGAGUGAUCAUGUUUUGCAGAUCUGGAUUUGGAGCAGGAUGGAUCCAAACCCAUAUCUGUCCACCAUAACUUAUAGCUUCCCUAUACUGUGCAGCAUACUUAAAUAAGAGAACCAUCUCCAAUGUUAAAAGCAUUCACUCUAUAACAUUCAUUUAGAAACUAUAUUCAGAAUAAUUUUAUAAUUAAACACAAGAAAUGAAACACACAGAUACACUUGAUCGCCUAUUUUACUCUAAAAAAGAACGAUUAUUGUGCUAUCAUCAUCUUCUUCACUAGCAACAUUAACACCAAAUCGAUGGACCCAUACAUUUCAUCAAGAAAGGUAUAUAUCCAAUAAAGUUGAAGCCUAACAAAAAAUUCAAGAAGAUUAAUGCCUCGCCACAACAAGGGGCACAACAACAUCAAAGUAGAGAUUAAGCAGUAUUCUCAAAGCUAAAACUCUCAAAUCCACCCACCAGAAUUUCAUAUCUCCUCAACAAUUUUAAGAACUAAAGAUAAUUAGGAUUUAACAUUAGUUUUUUAUAUAUUAGUUUCAUAAUUUACAAAUCAAUGAAGAUGAAGAUUAUGCUAAUAAAUUCAAAUUAUACCAUACAUUCUCUAGAUGUUACCAAAAAUUUCUAAGUCAAUCCCACAUAUUUCAUAAUUUUAAGACUAGAAAAUUUCACUAGUUAGAAGUUUCAUUACCUUCAAGUGGAAGAUGAAGAACAUUAUACAAGUGAUUCAGAUUAUAUCAUACAUACUCCAAAUGCAACUAGAAAUUAACAAGUUCAUGCGCACAUAUUUCAUAACAGUAAAAAUUUGUUGCUCAACAUGAUGUGUAUUUUUUUUCAAGGCAAUUUGGAAACACAAUUGUUUCUACAGAUAUUCUUCUCAACUUGGAGAUAAAUACAAAUAUUAAAAUGCAUAUGAUCGCACAUAUUACUUCGAGUUUAGUAAGAUUUCAUUAAAAGAAGCAAUCAAACCACUUAUCAAUUGUCGCAGUCGUUCUAUAAACUAAAAUAGCAAUAUAAUACAAGAAAAAGAACAUAUAGAUACUUGGCAAGAGUUCAUUAAGAAGUCGCAUCACAUUCGGGUGAGGAGUUUUCUGAUAUCUUGCUAGCUGGGGCUUUUUCUUGUCUUUCUACGUAUGCCGAGGGAAACCAACCAGCUUGGCCCUUGCAUUCACCUUCCGACCAUCCAGUAGGAGCCACCUUGAGAAGUUAUAACUAAAACGGUGAAUUAAACAAAAGUUAAUCGUUCAAAGACCUAAGGGGAAAACUAAUUCUUUUACGUAGGAGGAGUGAAUUAGUUGUGAUCACUGAAAUAACAGCAUAACUAUAGAAGCAUAACAAGAUAUAAAUUCACAUGUCUAUAAGGGUAAACUGGGUGGUUUAGAACCGAGCUAGCAGCCCUACUAUAUUCUGAUUUGCACUUCAAUGUAAAAGGGAAUAUAUGGUAGGAAGAAAGAAAACCAACCAUCAUUUGUUAACUCGUUGCUUUUCAAUCAAAAUUUUAAGAAAAAAAUGCCAUGUGCUUUGAACAUCAAAUAAGUAUAAGCAUUAGUUCUAAAUUCCACAUAUCAUAAGUUGUUAGAAGGAUAAGUUAAUAGCAGAGUAGAAAAAUCUAUGUGUUGGUAUUUAGAGGGGAAAGUACCUGGCGAACCACAACAUAAUCAUCAAUUGAAAGACUUAGCUUUCCAUUUGCUUGAGCAUCAAAUGGAUGUAUAACCUGCAAGAUAAUGGGAUAAAUAGAACUUAAAAAAAGCAUAACAAAAGUAGCAACAGUAGCAGCAACGUUCAUUGUAACCACUAUGAUCAUGGCCAACAAAGAUAUAUUAGAAACAAAAUUCCAUUUUUACUACGACAUUAAUAUGUACUAUACGAUAUCAUGACGAUUGGGUUACUAAGAGCUAUCAAAGUCUAAUAAGUUCUGUAUAACUUUAUGUAGUUAUUUAAAUUAUGGAUCAGAUUUUAAAUUUGAAAUUUUGACUGCUCUCCACAAAACAUGGCCUAUGCACAAGAAAGUCAUAGAUAAUGAGGAUUACAAGUGUCCGACAUCUUUUGAGUGAUGGAUUUAACAUGAGAGCUUAUGGUCAGUCAAUUUCCUCUGCCUAGCAAUAUAAGCUUUCUCGGCCAGAUUUAUCUUCAAAUACAUAGAUUGCCCCCAAGUCACAUCCAUAUAAACAUAGUUUUUCUAGGUAAACCAAGUAAGGAGUAUCAUAAUUCAGACAUAAUCAUAAAAAGGCCCAUCUAACUUAAGAGAAAAUCUCAAAAAGAGGGAUGCUGAGCUAUCAGUCUUGUAUCUAUAAGCAAUAUCAAGACUUUACAUCACCUGCUACAUCGUGAGUGGCUACACAACUUUCAGUGGUUUGUCUUUCUUUGGCAUGCCUAACUCAGCUUUGAUGUUGCUGAGAUAUUGAUAGUAGAGACACAUGAUACUUCUAGCUCAUGCAUUCUAUCUAACUCAUCCAACAACUAUCUCUUUUUUAAUUCAUUAGUGUUUGCUAAACCUCAUGCUUAAAAGUCCUGUUCUCCUAAACAAAGUUUCCUAAGAAUGACUUCCUUAGCACCACAUUUGGACACUUUUAGAGCAAUUUUAUUUGGGGGAAAAGAAUUUUCAAGGUGUUAACUAAUAAAUUUUUAAAAAAUAAUUACAAUUUGUCCUACGAUCAUAUGACAAUUUAUCUGGGAUGAAAGGAUACAGAUAGACAUCUUCCACUUUCAAGACUAAUCACUACUUCCGUAGAUGUUGUGCAAUAAUACAAAUACUUGACCAGAUGGUAGUAAUGGUAGAAAAAAAUUUUAUUGCUCCAAAAUUAAAAUAAGAAUGCAAUAUGUUAAGCAAAAGGCUGUGCAACAUCAAAUUAAUUGAUAAGUUUGUAAUUCAGUAAAUUAACAACUUUCAUGGUAAAAUACAACAAAUUUCUUUUGAAAAAAAUAAAAAAAAUAAAUCUUAAAAGACAGCAUUCAAUUUUGUGCGCAUCUUAUUUCUUAAGAUUUUUCAGGAGGAGGGCAAUAGAGGGACUUUCACCUAUGCAAGAGAGCAGAAGCCUUACUUUCCCUAUAAAGUAGACGUCAUUCUGAUUAAUAUGCGUUUGCAAAUCAGCUCCGUUUGAAUCAGUAUUCUGAUAGACACACGAGGCAUUUACAUCCAUUUCCAAAGUCACAUGUUGCGAGGAGGACUCAUUUGAUUGCUCCUAUACGAUCAUCUAAUUCAAGUAGCAAGGGUUGGAAGAGAAUAAAAAGUCACAAUUAUUCUUUUGCAUAAGUGAGACGAAAAUGAUAAAUGCAAUAUUAUCAGCAGUAAACAAGAAGAGAACGCUCCAAGAAAUAGAUAGAUGCAGACAAGCAAGUUAAAAUGCAUAGUCCCAAACCUCCGCAUACAACUUCUCUAAAGUAGCAAUAACGUGUUGAUGCUAUGUUUUCUCAGCAUCUACCUGCAAAGGCCCGAGACCAGGAAAACAACAAUAAAACCACUAGCUGAAGGAGAAAGCAAAGAAAGAAAUACACUUGACAUAAAUCUUGACAAGAAGCACAAUUUAAGACAUAACAAACCCCAAUCAUAUUGUUUAGAACUACCAUUCGUUAUUUCGUUAUUGUAACAUUUCGAACAAGUGUUGACUUAAUUCAACAUUGUUGGAAAGAUAGGCUUUUAGAAGCAGAAGAAAGCCUCUCAAACCAAAGUGCUUGUCCUUGUAUUGAUCAAGGGAUGUAAACAUAUUACAUUUGCAGGAUGAGAUUUAAUCACUCCCCUGAUUUAUUUGGGUUGCAAUAAAACUAAGCGAGCAACUGUUUGACUUUCAAGCAACAACUAAAUCAGCUAUUAAAAUUCAAAUAAAAUCAUAAUAGAAUAAUAACAGGCCAUCUUGCAUCAAAAAUUAAGUUUAAUUUGUGAAUUUUUUUCUAUAGACAUGUCAGUUUCUGCUAUUGAAAUGUUAAAAGUAUUGAAAAAUUAUUCAAUAAAUUAUGCAAGCAUUAAAAUAGAGGAAAAAUUAAAAAGUUUCUAAUUACAAUGUUAAUAUUUCCUAUAUUUUAGCAUUUGCAUAUUUUAAUUUAUUUAAAAGCUACGUCGAUCAACUUUGGGCAUGAAGAUUUUAGAUUCUACGAGACUUGAUUGGAAUAUGCAUAAGAGUGUUAAAAUAUGAUGCAUCCAACGAAAGACAAACCACGUGUAGUCUUUUAAUUAAGCCAAAGUAGCAGCUCAAACAAAUGACACUUGGACCAACAUGCAAUCAUGAAGUGGCCGGAAAAAGGACAAAUGCUACUUUGGCUUAAAUAAAAAAUAACAUGUGACUUGACUUUUGCUGGACAUGCAUCAUGUUAUUACAAGACAACAGAAAUCAGUAUGAUAGUAAUAAAAGUUGACAAUAACAUGAAGAUAAGAGGCAGAAUGUCAACACAUGCAUAGGCACACACAAGAAAGUAUUAACAUAUAUACCAUAGCAAAAACUCUUUGAUAUGUCAUCUGUUGCUGCUGUGAUUCAACUGACAGCAUGGCAGCUGUCGCUUCUCUACCAAGAGCCAUUAUUGUAGAUUUAAGCUCGGUCAAUCUUGCUUCUGCAUUUCGAAGCUUCACAGCACUCUCUGCUGAUAUAUCAGAUUCCCUAAUCUUUGAUCGGUGCCUAAAUACUUCAGCUGCCUGGUGAAAAUAUUCAAUAUAAAUCUAAUAUAAUUCUCAUCUUGCCUUAUACAUGCAUAUGUUACCUCAAAGCUUACCUGGGCUUCAACUUCAUGUCGAAGUUUGUCAUAACGAUGAGUCAGGUGUUGAGCAUCUUCCAAAGGUGCUCUGUUGAUUAACGCCCGUAGUGGCUCAGAUACCUACAUGUCCAAAAACCUGUAACAUAGUUAGAAAAAUGAAAAGAAAGAGCGAAACCUAAAUUAAAAAGUUCCUCCAACAUAAUCAUGGAAUUUGGGCCUACUUUAAGAAUAUAUAUAAGGAUAAUUUAUGCAAUUUUGGGUCUUAGGAUGAUUGGUAUUAGGUUAGUGUUCUUCUCUUCUGUAUUUAAGGUUAAAAUAGAAAUAAACCUAUGCAAAUAUCUAAAUUAGGCCUGUAAGACAUCCACAUGCAUCCUUCAGUCUCAUGGAUUUGAUUUUACUAUAGAUGCAAGUGUCUUUAUCGAAAAUGCUUGGAGUCAAUUGAGAGAACUCAUGGCCAAUAACUUGUCACACGCUAGUCUUUGCUAGUGAUGUAAGAAGUCACAAGGUCUCUUCAACAUUUGAACCAAUAAAAUUAUUAAGUCAUGGAUGUCACUAGCAAUGAUUUUAAUAUAAAACAUUAAAUAUUUCAGAGUUGUAACUUUAAAAUGGAUUCUUUUAUUCAAUAUCAUAGAACUAAGUUUCCUUAUGAGAAGAUAAUAGUUUCGAUAAUAAUUUUACAUAUAAUUUUCUAUAUUUGAAUUAUUUUCUAGUUAGGGAUGAACUAACCUGAUCACGAAGAAUCCCGAGCAAAGUUUCCCUCUCAUUUUCCAUCAAAUCAUGUGAAGUGCCAAAUUGAAGAGCAGCUCUUGCAACGCAAGAAUUGUCACUUUGAUUCUCUGCUCCAUACUUGCAACAAUCUUCAGCCAACUUUCUCGCUACACUAUUUGAAUACAAAAAUAUUGUACACAAGAACUAUAAAAAACGAAUGAAAAAUAAAUAAAAUCGAGAAAUUUCACUAAUUAAAAGUCUAAAUAUAAUUUUUGAAAAAAGAAAAGAAACGGACUUGCUGCUGCUUGGCGACUUGUUCUCGGAGCUUGAUUGCCUGUUUCUUGAUAGUUUCCAUACUGUUUCUUUCAAAAAGCGACGACGGCUCAGCUCAUGGAAGUGGAAAAAAAAAAGUGUGAUCUAGAAAAAUGAAAAGGCGUGAAUAAUUUUUGACAAAAAGCGAAAAUCAAGGAAAGCCGGCUCUUUCCAGAAAAUAAAAAAAAGAAAAUCAUAAGUUUGAAAGGAGAAGAUGAUAGUGGAAGUAUGCGGUGUGGCUGCCAGGUACUUGGAUUGUAUUGUCGGGUAAGGUAAUAGUAGCGAAUUAUAAGUUUGAACAGAGCAUGUUGGACUUUUGUUGACCAAAUUCAAAAGCCCAAUGGCACGGCCCGGAAGCUUUUGAAUAGAAAAACUUGCUAGAAAGCAUCAGUUUAAAUCACUACUUAAACGCUUGCUUUAACUGCACCGCUUUGUACUGUUUUAUGUAUGUAGCGGUUGUGUGGUUGUAAUUCACGGCUGACGCUAUGUGUUUGUUUGUACUGUUCUAUUCGGUGAUUGGGUAUUAUUAGUUAGGCCAAAACUAUGUUGCAAUAGUGGUAUUUCAGUCAUUGAAUCUAUAGUUGUACAGUUACAUUAAUAAGAUCUAAUGGCUGAAAGCAACAGUGGUACCGUACCACUGUUGCAAUAUAACUGGACCCUAUUAGUUAUUUCAAAGGGAUAAAUAAGAUUGCUUACAACAAACCUACUAAUUUUAUAAAAUUCAAGUAAUAUAGAAUAAAUUAAAAAAAUAAAUACAAAAUUGACUUUUAUUUUUUAUGGUUGACUAUAUUUUGUGUUCUCUCUGCUACAAUUCUUCCCUAUAUAUCAAUUACACCACAUACUAUCGACACAAGAAAUGAAAUCUAAUAUCACCCGUUUAGUUAAAAAAUCACUCAUGAAAAAAUUUUACCAUUUUGAUUUGAGGAUCCAUAUUUUAAACUGCAAGCUAAUGUUCAUCAAGAAUUACUGAUGGCCGUUGAGUAGAAAAAUUAUUUUUGGACAAAUUAUUUUUGUUGAUAGAAGAAUUUCUUUAGGGACUACUAAAUUAUUAAUAAAAAUGUCGAACACACCCACAUAUCAUCGACACAAUUGAUUUUGAGGAUCCAUGCUUUGAACUGCAGCCUAAUGUUCAUCAAGAAUAGAGUAUGGCUUGUGAGUAGAAAAUUUUCUUAUUUUGGCCCGAAAUAAAAAGAAAUUAAAUUGGAUGAGAAUCUGCCACUUUCUCAUGAAGAAAGGCAUACGGAGCAUACCAUGGUACCAUACAAUAUAAGGAGCCUCUAUUCUUUGGUUUUUCAAACUCUGAACGGGCCAAUAUUGCCAAAUUCCCCCUUGAAAAUUCUGAUUACGACAUUAUUCAUCGCUUGAUGCAAUCAAAGUAGUGACAAAGUUAGGAAAAAUAUGAGUCCUAAGUAAUUGCUAGGCAGGGUUCCUGAGAGCAAAAUUGUCCUAAGCAUUAUAUGCAUACAUGGUGCGGUACAUAGAGCACGUUAAAUUCCCCACUAUAUCACAAACCCAGAAAGACAAGUAAUAACUCAACUGAUAUAAAGACAAAAAGAAGAUAAAAUGAUAUAGAAAAAAGAAUUUCAAAGAGACAGCAACAUACGAUAGACUGAAGCCACUUGAUCUGCUCAUUGAUUGCAGCCUUAAACUUGCAAAUAGUUACUGUACGCUAGUGCUCUAAGAAGUGAAAAUGAUGCCAGCCCUGAUUCCCUUUUGACUUCCAUUUACUGUCAAACAUUCUAGUAAUACAAAAAAUUGUUUAGAUAUCUUGCUAUAAAUAUAGCCGUUUGACUGUCAUAAUAAAGUCACAAAUAACCAUUCAUAUUGAUCUACUGUCACACAGCAUGCUUUAUGCAUACAACAGCUGUAUGUAUACCAACUCCUAACCUUAUCAAUACAUUUGGCAAAAACUUAAGAAGAAAGCUAUUUCUCCAUCUCUUUUUUGAAAUUUCACAAUAACCAGCACAAUGUGAAAGCUAUGUUCUAACCUUAUGAUAAAUGCUCUAGACUCCAAAAGGAUUUUAUAUAUGAGAGUUUGUUGCAGCAGAUAUAUUGACUUAUCAAGUAUGAAUCAUUGUCUGGAUGAACUAUCUUUAGAUAAAAGAAUAUUAGAACCACUGUAGAAUAUCUUUACGCUGCUGGUUCUAACAGGAAUCUGCAUGUGGCAACAAUUGCUAGAUCCACAAUUCCCCAACUUGAAAUACAUAGUUGCACACCAUGAGAUAGUGCUACAAUCUACUGAGAUCUAACUUAUAUGGUACUUUAAGCUACUAAUGUUUGCAUAUUUCUACAUGUUAAAUUAACACUAUUAUCUAUAAUCACUCCAAAACAACAAAUGAUAAGCAGCUUUUGGCCACUUAGUACUAGCAUCCACAAUUAUAAAUAAGAGAUCAUGGGUUUACUUGUUGCACCUACUUAAUUAUCUGCAGUUGACAUCCUGACGCAAGGUUUAAAUAGUGACUGCUUAGAACCCUUGUAGUUGGAUCUUGACCUCUCCCAUUGUAGCCAAGAUUGGUUACUCUGGUAAUGAAUCAACACUCUCCUGCUCAGGGCCAUGAAGAUCUGAAAGCUCAGCACUAGUGGAGAACUUCAUCAAUCUCUUCUUCUCAGCAUACUUGAGACAAGGCUGCCUUACGAGACCAAUCACCACAGCACCAACGCUUAAAACUGCAACUUUUAAAGAAGAAAGAGCCAACACAACACAACACAAAUCAAUAUGGUUGGAGGAAUACACAUGAUAAUGGCUCCAACAGUGACAGUGGGUAUCUUGUAGGGACGAGAUGCAGCAGGAUAUUGCAUCCUUAACCAUACAAAUGCUAUGAACUCCAUAAUCAUUCCAAAACAGUACAGGAAGUUCUCUGCAGCUACAAUAUCUCAAAAGCUCAGCCAUGAUAGCAAAACCACACCAGAUGCUGAGAAUAUGAUUCCAAUCAAAGGAGUCCCAUAACAAGACCUCUUAGCAAAAAACUCAGGUAGCAUUCCACGCUCAGCCAUCCCCAAAAGUUGGAAAGAGUCGCUGCUCAUCUCAGCCACAAACAUGCCCAUAUUGGACAUUGCUGCAGCCCCCUGGAUGCACCAUCUCAACCAAACUCCUCCAAGCACUUUAGCGAUAUCUGAAAAGUAACCAUUGGUCCACAAGUCGCGAUCUAAUGGAAUAGCUCCAGUUCCAAGUAGAAGGGGAAAGAAAUAUCCAAAAACGACCAAGAUCAAAGCAUAAAACAAAGCCUUUGGAAGAGUCUUCUUUGGGUUAUCCACCUCUCCAGCUAGUGUACUUAUUGAGUCCCAGUAGUUGGAGAUUCCAAAACAGGGUGUUCAAAUACAAAUUCCAGUCCACUUCACCUAAAUUUACUACAAGCCAUCUUGAAGGCUCUAACUUGGGAAGGGACACAAGUCCCAUAACCACAAAAGGAAGGAAUGAGAAAAUCCCUAAAAGAACAGCAGCCCAUCCCACAAUGGUUAGACCCCUAUAGUUCAUGAAAGUGAGAACAAAAGUCAAAGCUAACGCCGCAAAGGCUCUAGGUAACCCAUCGCCCAAAGCAGGGAUACCAGACUUCAAGUAGUCAAGAAACAGAACUGGGUAUAAAGCAUUAUCAAUAACCCCACUUAGCCACUUCAUCCAAACUUGCUGAAAACCCCAAUAUGGGCCUAAGGCAGAUGAAACCCAAACCAUAUAACCACAAUUUUCAGGAAACACGGUACCCAUCUCGGCAGUAAUUAAAGCUUCAGGGACACUCCAUAUAAUCGGAAACACCAAGAAACCAAGAAGUGCUAAAAGAGGACCAGCUGCCUUUACACUAUCCUCAACACCAAACGGCCCCCCAGAAACCUCAUAGAAUAUAAGGAAAAUAAGUGGCAAGAUUGAUACUUUUUAGCGCCAUGGACUCUAGGAGAAGAUGGUUGGUCAUUGAUAUUAACAUAUUCAACAGCAUCAGACUGCCCCAUUUCUACUGAAAGUUGCCUAUUCACAGUGUUCCUCAAUUUCUGCAUCAAGUUUAAGCAUAACUAUCAAAAGGGUAUCGGCAUCUAAAUUAUGAAACAAAAUGAGCAUUUACUUAUUAAAAAAAAUCAAAAAAACAGAAAUGGAUUUCACAGAAUACAUGAAUUUAAGUUCAACAUUAAACAGGCGCUUAAGAAAACAAAAGGGUCUGUUCGUAAAGCCAUCAGAUUGCAAGAUUGAACAACAUUAACGGAAUCAAUAGAAUAGAUGUAAAGAGAUCUGAAAAGAAAAUAAAAUAAAAGAUGAAGAGAGAUAAAACGAACCAUCAAAUAAGUGCAUGCAGAGCAGAGAGGCAGAUACUAGAGAAGCUCCGUCGUGUUAGAGUAGGGGUGGCAAUAUGGGUCAGGAUUCGUUUAUUCGAUUCGAUUCGAUACGAAUUAAAUGGGUUUGGGUUUGAAAAAAUUAAUUCGUUUAAUAAAUGGAUGAAUUCGAUUCGAUUCGUUAAUUAAACGAAUCGAAUGCGGGUUUGAAAAUUUAGAUUCGUUUAUUCGUUUAAAAUUCGUUUAAUAAAUGGGUCAUAAACGAAUAGAAUACGGGUCGAUUCGUUUAAAAUUCGUUUAUUAUUUGUUUAAUUAAAUUACUUUUUUAUCCUUAAAUUUAUUUGAAAGCUUUUUAAAAUUUGAAGGUUAAUAUUGUAAUUUUAAGUAAAUAACAAAAAAAAAAAAAACAAAGUAGCGGAAACCUAAAGCUAAAUCCCUAAAAAUUCUCCCUUCACUCAGCCGCCGCUCUCGUUGCUCUCUAGUCUCUACCUCUCUCACACGAAUCACACUCACCCACCCAUACCAAGUGAAGCAAUCAAGCAACAAAAACAGCCGCCGGUAGCCACUGUCAUUAACUCACAGCGAACCGACGAUUACAACCACCAUCGUUCAUCCAUCAUCGAUUGAGCUUGAGGGACGCAGCCACGCGAGUGCAGCCCGCAACUCGGCAGCAACCCAGGAGCAUCAGCCGCGCAACGUAUUAGCAGCCACUCGAACCCACAGCAGUAGCUAACUCGUGCGGCGGUGCAGCAGCAGCAAACCCAGGCGAGCGCGACCCGAACCAGUGCCCAGGUUCUGAGUGAGUUCCUCGUUUAGGAAGAUCGCUUUUAAUCUUUUUGUAGUUACUUUGAUUUUAAGUAACAUAGACGAUGAACCCAACAGAGAAGCUGCAACGAGCUAUCCAUUUUUGAAGCGGCUUCUGUGGCUCUGCGUAAAGAGCUAAUUAACCAGCUGCAUCUUGGACCAAGAGAUAUAAAUGAAUAUAUUUUUCUUUUGCGCAGUACGAAGCAGUAAUUAAGUUGUUCUCUAGGAAAUCAAUCCAUAAUCAAGGUUUUAAUGCUAUUAAUGAUAUACAGUAUGUUCUUCUUUAGAUUUUAUAAGUGUAUAACACCUCCUUUGACAUAAUAUAUAUUGAUGUAGACCUCUCGGAGUCAGAUGGAUGAUUUGCCCAGGCCGGCUGCUUUCUGCAAGACAAUGCCAAAAAAAAAAAAAACCUUUUGCUCGCAGUUUAUGUGUUUUAUCCACAUUUGACAGGGCAUUUUGUAAUUUAUUUGAGCAUUAAUUAUGCCAAGUUUCAGUUCUGUUCUCAUUUUUCUUGGACUCGUAACAGCAAUCAGCAUCAGGAAGAUGCAAGGUAGGUUUAAGUGCUUAUUUAAUUAAUUCCCAAGCGAUCCGAAUCAACAAGCCAUCACCAACUCAGGGUAAUAUCAUGAGAUUAUGGUUGAAUUAUUGAGAAAUUUUGUAUUGUAGAAUAUUAUGAGAUUAUGGUUUAGAAAAUGUUUUGUAUUGUUCGGAAAAUAUUAUGAAAUUAUGUAUAAAUUGAUUAUGGUGUUAAAAAUUAUCUGUAGGAUAAGGAAGAAGCCCCCACAAAUAUUGGAUUAAUUUUUUUUUAGUAUUAAAAUUUAUAAUUUAUUAUGUUGUAUUGUUAAUAUUUUGUGUAUUGGAAUAUUGUGCAUUAGGAAUAUUGCUGGGUUAGAAUUUGGCAUACAUGAUGAAUAGAUUUGAUUUUUGAAAUAUUGUUAGGUAAAGUUUUUAUCUUGUUCAAUUAUCAUUUCCUUGAAAAUGCUACAAAUUUGCUAUAUAUUUGAUUUUUGAAAUUUUACAAUGACUAUUAUCAAUAUUGCAGCAUGUUAAUAACAUUUUAUUUACUUUUUGGUGUAGGAUUUUUGUUUUCAAGGUGACAAAGACAAAUGAAGAGAAUUAAAGAAAUUACAUUUCUUUAUAAUUUGAAUUUGAAUUAUUGUUAUUUGUAAUAUUAAGGAUUUGGUAUUUGGUAUUUGGAUGACUGUAUAAUAUAAUUUGAAUUAUUUGUAUUUUGUUGUGGGAUAUUAAAUUUGUUUUUUUUGCUUAAUUUUGUUUAUUAAUUAUAUUUUCUAAACGAAUUGAAAACGAAUCCUAAUUCGAUUCGAUUCGUUAUGGAUUCGUAAAUGAUAAACGAAUAAUAAACGAAUCCGGAUUCGAUUCGAUUCGUUUAUCAAUUCUAUUAAACGAAUUAAACGAAUCGAACCGAAUAUUCGUUUAAUAAACGAAUCGAAUCCGAAUCCUGAAAUUUCAAUUCCUUUAAUAAACGAAUCGAAUUCGAAUUCGAUUCGUUUAUUCGUUUUGCCACCCCUAUGUUAGAGAGAGCCUAAUUCAAUCAGAGCUCACUGAGUUUCUUUUCAACCGACCGGCAAAUUUGGAGUGCCACAACAUAAUAUUUUUACUUUUAAUUUUUGGAACACUUUUGAAUAGAAUUUUUUGUUUUUAAAAAAGGUAAGGGAGAUUAGUAUUUAUUUAACUUUAUAUUUUUUUAAAUACUUUACAAAUAUUUUUGUCGUUAAAAUAUUAAUAUUUUUAUUAAUAAUUUUUAUAUUUUUAAUUUAUUUUUAUAAUAUUAUUUUUUUAUAAUAAUUUUUUAUUUUAAUAUUAAUAAAAAAUAAUUAAAUUAACAAGUUAAUCCUAAAAUAAAUAAACACGUGUUUGGUUUUGGGCUUUUUCUUUUGUUCGUUUAAUAUCAUCUGGCUCCCUGAUUUGUGACUAAUUAUCAACGGAAUCCCGUUGGUUUCUAAAUUGAAAUAAUAGAAGGUCAUGAGACUAUUUACUCCAUUUAGCACUGCAGACUUAGGUGGCGUUUGUUUUUUAACUUAAUGACUUAAAGUGACUUAACUUAAUUAAUUAAGUUAAUUAGAGGUGUUUAUUUUUAUAACUUAAUAAGACCUUUUAGAUAAUUUUGACUUAAUAAAAUAAGCCAAUUUUUUUGGCUUUUUACUUAAUGGAGAAAUCUGAAUUAAGUCAAUUACUUGCUAAUGUCAAAAAUAUCCUUGCUUUAUAAUUUAUUUUUUAUGUCUAUCCCAAAACUCACCCAUAGACAUUUACCCCACACAAAAAUAUCCUUAUUUUUUCUUUCUUAUAUUAUAUACGAUAAAAUUUAAAAUUUAUGAUAUUUUAUAUAUUAAAAUUCCAAAAUAAUUAUGUAUUCACUUGAAUAUAGUUUUACUUAUAAAUGUUAAAAUAUUGUGGUAUUUAAUUUAUUAUUUAUUUGACAUUCAAAUUUAAUAAGGAUACAAAUGUAAAAGUACAUAUUUUCAGCUUUUUAAGUUGAAAAAAACAAACAACUUAAUACUUGUUUUCCGAGAUUCAGACAAAAAAAUAAACAUAUUAUUCAGAUUCAGACAUUCAGAUCUAUUCAGAAUUCAGAUUAAUUCAGGUCUAUUCAGAUUUCAGACAAAAAACAAACGCCACCUUAGAGUAUAUUGAAAAAGCUUUGUCAAAUAGUAGUAAUAGGGGCAUAAGAAAUAAAUUAUAGCUAUCACAAAUUCGUUAGAAGAAUUUCAAUUUUUUCCAUCAAUAAUGGCUAUGAAGCAAAAUUACCUUAGGUUAUAUUGCAAUACUAAUACUUCAAAUCCUGAUAAUAAAUUUGAUGACAGUCGUUUUUAUCAUGGUUUUAACAGAUAUAAGAAGAGAAAAUUAACUGUUCAAACAAAUUAGAAGCAAAUUCUUUCAUAUCUUUCUUUUAUUUUUCCGCUUACUUUCUUAGCAUCCAAACAAGUUAAAGUUAAAACGCUGUUAGAGCCAACAAUAUGCAGGCAUCAAUAAGCAUAGUAGUUUUGUAUAUGUAUUCUAUACGAUAUUCUAGGGAUGUCAAUUGUAGAACAUUUUGUGGUAACUUUUUUACAUUAAUUAAUGUUUGAAGAACUUGUUAAAAAGAAAAUGGUAAUUUUAUCAUUUUGAAAGACAAAAAAAAAAAAAAAGAGUGAAAGUGGCGUUACCUCAUGGUCAUUAGAGACUUGUUGCAAUGAUAGCUCAAAAUUAAAAAUUUGUGAAGAAUUAGUAGACAACGACGAUACUAUAUUUAUACAGUCACCAACGUGUUGAUUUUUGUUUAAUGUUUGAUCGAUAGAAACUUUCGUCGUCGUCGCCGUUGUUGAAUUCGUGCUUAGAAUAUCACAAGAGAAGAAAAAAGGAUGAAAGGGAAGAGAAGAAGAGAGAAGUGGUGGAUAGCAAAUAUGAUAUGCUAGCUACACACAGGCCUUAGAGAGUUUUUUUUUAAUAUUUAUUGUAUUUUUGUUUUUGUUAUUGGUUUUUCAUAUGCUUCCAAGGCAGCAAUGCGUUACAUCAUAAAUUGGACCUUUUAGGGGAGGUGGUAAAAAACAUGAGAGCAAUGCAUUCUAGCGCAUACAUGCAGAAAGAGUUUCCAAAUUUUCAAAAGUUUUUUUAUUUCUUCCACCUUUUUUUGCUUAAAAUAAAUUUUAAUUGUAUUUUGCAUUAACUUAGAGAAAAAAAAAAUCCAGUUCUAUACAUAAACGCAUACAUUGAUUAGAAAAUGAGUUUUAUGGACACAAAGGGACAAUAUAAGAGAUUCUUUUUGUUUAUUAGAAGUAACAUAACUAGUUAGUGUAACAUGUAAUUAUAAGCUACCAAUAAUUUGCACUGAUGAUAAUUAACGGUAUAGAUUUUGAGCUAUGAAUGUCUUGUGGCUAGUUUAAUUGGAUUUUCGAGUUUUCAGCAGAUCUAUUUUAAUGAUUAUUAAAUUAUUUUCACUUCUUAUGCCUUAAUAAAAAAAAUCAAUAUUUUUUGUUGUAUUCUAUAUUUUAAAACUUAAUUUUUAGUUCUUUAUAUUGCAAACCAAACUGAGUCAAAUCGAGUAUGCUCUUCAAAUAAUUUUUCCAUUGCCUUCAAGAAGAAUUCAUUUUAUUUUUAUAUAUUAAUUUAACACUUGUAAACCGGGCCGUCAGAUUGCACAUAAAGCAAAUGAUCAAACCGUUACAAGACCGGCCCAGGCCCACCGACUCUAUUUUCUUUCAUUUGACCAUUAAAAAGCUUUUGGCCACCCCCACCAAAUAAAUAAGCUCUUGUUCUCUUUUGUUCCCUCUCAAAGGAAAAUAUCUGAUCACCGAAUAAUGAUUCCGGUGACAUAAAAGAUCGAAACACCCCCCUAAAUUCCCUAAAUUUACGAUAAUACCCCACCAUGGAUGAUUAUGUUGAAAUGCCGCCUUACGAUGAAAGGCCUAAAAAGGGUUUUAACUUCACCUCCAUGCGCUUGAUCUUAACCCUCGUUUUCCCAAUUUUAACUUGCUUUUUGUUGGCAUUUUUUAUUGGAAUCGUAGCUGUUUUAUUCGGCAAAUCAUCAGUUUCCAGUUCCAUUUUUGUCCCUUCCCAGUGCAAGAUAGUGUCCAGCAGUAAGCUUUUUUUAACAUUUUCAAUUUUUUCCAUUUAUGAAGUCCAAAAAUUUUAUUAAUUUUGAUUUUUUUGAAUGAUUUUGCAGGUGUUGAUAUAAGUUCAUCAAAAGUUUGUGAACUUGGGGUGUUGAAUUAUAAGGCGAAGCGUGUGUUUUAUCCAUUUGAAGCAAGUAAAUUUCGAUGUCGGUAUGAUUACUAUUGGGCUUCUAUCUUCAAGGUAUUCAUACAUUUUUCCCUGUACUAUAAGCUUCUCAGUGGCGUUCUUGUGAGCGGUAGUGAGCGGUGUGGCUGACAGCUUCUUGAAAAUUAUAAGUUUGAACAGAGCAUGUUAGAGCACCACCAAAAGCCUCUUUAAAUAAGAUUUUAUUAUUUAUUUAAAGAGUCACAUCAAUAUUGAAAGCUCCAAAAGACACUUCAAUUAAAAUUCUUCAAAUAAGAAUUGAUUCUCUCUCUUCAAAUUUGGAGAGUUAAUUUCUCCCUCUUCAAUUUAUAUUUUAUUACUUUUCAUUGAAGAAAUAGAGAAGUGCUUUAAUUGCUAUUGACUUUUCCUUUAAAAAACUAAUUAUAUGAUUAAAAUAAUAUUAACUUAUUUAUAUUUGAAGAGUCUUUUGGAGAAUAUCAUAUUUUUUUCACCCUUCUAUUUGCCACAUAAGUAAACAAAUAGAUAUUUAAAAAGUAAAAUUUAUAGAAGCUUUUGGAGAUGCUCUUAGACUUUUGUUGACCAAAUUCGAAAGCCAAAUGGCACAGCUCAGAAGCUUUUGAACUGAAUAACUUACUAGGAAGCUCCAAUUUUUUGUUGGCUACAGUAAAAGGAUGUUGUUUUAUUCUUCUUAUACUUUACGCUUGCAUCAGCUUAAAUCACUUCUUAAACGCUUUGCUUUAACUCCACUGCUUCGCUGGGGGGAUUUACCUUGGAACAAGUGGGGACUUAAGUCCCCACUGAAAAAAAAAAUUGUUUUAAUAAUUAAUUUGAUUUGCCAAAACUUCUCAAUAAAUUUUUCUUAAGCCCCCCAUAAUUUCUUUCAACAAGCAAUUGAUCUAAAUGAGUUAAUUUCUGUCAGUUGUAUCCAAAUGAGUUCUCUGCAAUUGAUAUCAUGGCACUUGAAAUUCAACUUGAUACAUAUAUUUUGGAUAUGCGCACUAGUGCGAGACUAAAAGACAUAAGGUAUAUCCAUUGGUUUACUUGUUAAUAAUAUUAGCAUUGACUUUACCCGUUGCCACUGCUAGUGUAGAGAGAGUAUUUUCAGCCAUGAACAUUUUGAAGAAUUGGUUAUAAAGCCGUGAGUAAUGGAUGAAUGAUAGUUUAAUUAUUUACAUAGAAAAAUACUUAUUUAAUAAUAUUGAUAAUGAACUUGUAAUGCAACAUUUUUAAUGUAUGAAAACUUGAAAGGACAAUUGUAAACAUAUAUUGAAGUAUGAUAAAUCUUUCAAAUUUAUAUAUUUAUUACUUUUAAAAUUUUUUUAUAUUGCCGUUGAAUGAGCCCCCAGUCAAUCAAUAUGUUGUCUUCGCCCUGCUUCGUACUCUUCUAUAUAUGUAUCGGGUAUGCAGUUGUAGUUAACGGCUGAGACUACGUGUUUGUUUGACGUGGUAGUAACGUUACGAGUCUGUUAAACAUUCGAUGAUUAAAGUAUUAUCAGUUAUUUCAAAGGGACAAAUAAGAUUAGCUACAACACACCCACUAGUUUUAUAAAAUUCGAAUGAGAUGGAAUAAAAUAAAAAAAUAAAUAAGUAAAUUGACUUUUAAUUUUAGUGGUUGAAUAUAUUUUGUAUUCUCUUAGGGCACUGCUGUAAUUAUUCCUUAAACGUCAGUCAUACCCACAUAUAAUAGACACAAGAAAUGAAAUCUAAAAUCACCUGUUUAGUUAAAGAAUCAUCAUGAAAAAAUUUUGCCAUUUUGAUUUGAAGAUCCACAUUUUGAACAACCAACUUAUGUUCAUCAAGAAUGGAUCAUGGCCUGUGAGUAGAAAAAUUAUUUUUGGACAAAUUAUUUUUUUUAAUAGAAGAAUUUUUCAAGGGACUAAUAAAAUUACUAAUAAAAAUGUCAGACACACCCACGUACCAUCGACACAAUUGACUAUGAGGAUCCAUGUUUUGAACUGCCACCUAAUGUUCAUCAAGAAUAGAAUAUGGCUCGUGAAAAGAAAAUUUUCUGAUUUUGGCCUGGAAUAAAAAGAAAUUAAAUUGAAGGAGAAUCUGCUACUUUCUCAUUAAGAAAGGCAGACAUGGUAUACCAUGGUACCAUACAAUAUAAAAAGUCUCCAUUCUCUGGCUUUUCAAACUCUGAAGGGGGCAAUAUUCCCCAAUUCUCCCGUGAAAAUUCUGAUUACGACAAUGUUCAUCGGUUGAUACAUAAGUACAAGUAGUGACAAAAUUAGGAAAAAUAUGACUCAUAAGUAAUUACUAGGCAGGGCUCUUGAGAGCAACAUUGUACUAGGCUUUAUAUGCAAACAUGGUGUGGUACAUAGAGCCCGUUGAAUUCCACACUAUAACACAAACCCAGAAAGACAAGUAAUAGCUCAACUGAUAUAAAGACAAAAAGAAGAUAAAAUGAUACAGAACAAAGAAUUUCUAAGAGACAGCAACAUACAAUAGACUGAAGCCAGUUGAUCUGCUCAUUGAUUGCAGCCUUAAACUUGCAAAUGUUUACUAUAGCCUGGUGCUCUAAGAAGUGAAAAUGAUGCAAACCUUGAUUCCCUGUUUACUUCCAUUUACCAUCAAACAUUCUAUUCAUAAGAAAAAAAAUGUUUAGAUAUCUUGCCGUAAAUAUAGCCAUUUGAUUGUCUUAAUAAAGCCACACACAACCAUUCAUAUUGAUCCACAUUGCCACAUAGCCUGAUUUAAGCAUACAACAGCUGAAUGUAUACUGACUCCUAACCUUAUCAAUACAUUGGCGACAACUUAAGACGAAAACUAUUUUUCCAUCUCUUUUUUGAAAUUUCACAAUAAAACAGCACAAUGUAAGAGCUGCAAUGAAAAUGGACCGUCUGGAACUAUGGCGGAAGCUUCAACUAGUGUAGUGAUUUGACCUUCUUAUUAACCUAGCGAGAUCAAACACUGCCGUUGAUCUUGAACAGAUCAAUACGAUACGCACAACUUAUGAUUGAAUCCAGAAACAAUCAAAUCUUUAGCAAGAAUAAUUAAUCAGAAUCAAGAAACAAGUUUAAUGAAUAUAAACCUAUAAUUGGAACAAACACAGCCAAAGAACCCAAGAAUGACACAACGUACACCAAGGGAGAAGCUUUCCAGUGAGAUUAUAUUGAUGAUCAAAGAAGAAUCUUUUUACAAAGCUAACAAAAGUGAUUUCAGAGAAUAAGCUAUGACCCUCUCUCUCUUCAAUCUCUGUCUAGUUUGUUAACAGUGAUGACCCCAAUCUGCUUUGUUAGCCAGCUUCAUAACUGCGUCAGUGACAAACUAGCAAACCCAGAUUGAGCAGACUAACGACACGUGCAUAACAGCUUUAACGAACUUGGUUAAAGAACUGCUCACAUGUUCGUCACGCGUGUAGCUUAAAUGAUAGCCAAAACGACUUCAACCAGAUGCCGUUUUGAAGCUUAUGAAUUAUAAGUGAAAACACGUGCUUGUCUCGUGACAUUUAAAUGCAACAACAAGCCCAAAACACUGCCGUUCCACUAUGUUGAGUUUGCCAUCUCCAAGCUUCACAACUAGCAACGGACAAGAUGAUAAUUUAAUUGACAUGGAGAGCUUUUAUAUCACUUUUACAACAUUCUAUAUAAUUGUGAUAUUGGUAAUCGUCGGUGUUGUAUAUGUGAACCCUCGUUGGCGACACUGGUGGUUUUAUCUUUAUUGAAAUAUGGAUGACUUUUCGUUACUAUUUUGUUGUACAUAACCUUAUUCACAGGAGAUUUAAUCAUUGAAAUUAACAUGUUAGUUUCAUUAGAAGGCUGAGUGGUUAGGGCUGCUACCCUCCAACUUGGAGGGCAAUAGUUUGAACCCACAAGCGCAAUGUGGGGGUAUUUCAUUCUUUAAUUACAUUGUAUAAUUGAAUAAAGAUAAUAUUCUCUCUUACCUAAGUGUGAGUGGAGUAGACAUCCUUCGAAUAUUAGUGAGGGUCAAAACUUGGGCAGAGCUCAAUAAGUAUUGAUAUAAGUUGGUCCUAAUAAUAGUCUGAUUUGUAAAUAUCAGUUAUAGUCUCAUGUUUCCUUCCUUAGUUAUAUUGUAUAAUUAAGUAAAUGUACUCUUUUCUCUUACCCAAGUGUGAGUGGAGUAAACAUCUCUCGAAUAUUAGUGAGAGUUAAAAUCUGGGCAGAGCUCCAUAAGUAUUGAUGUAAUUUGAUCCCAAUAAUAGUAUGAUUUGUAAAUACCAGUUAUAGUAUCAUGUAAUAUGAGUUGUAAUUUGAGUAAUAAUUUCAUGUAAUUACAAAAAAAAUGUUACUUUCAUUACUUUUUUCUUCGUUAAAAUUCUCAAGUAUCAAUUAUGUUUGCUUAAGAAAUAAAAUUUCAUUAUGAAAAUUGUAGCAGUAUUUCCGAGCACCUCACAUUUUCAAUGAUUUUUCAUAAAUCAAUUAAUCUGCCAUACCAAUAUCAGGUUUAGUUUUUCAGACUAAAUGAUCAAGAAAGCAAACAUACAAAUUCACAUUUUAGAGGGGUAAACUAGCUUUUAGAUUUUAGAACUAGGCUAGCUACCUCACCAAAUUCCAAUCUGUACAGUGAACUACAAGAUUAAGAAAAUAAUGUAUUUAUAGUUUAAUUGAAUCAUGAGAAAACAAUGUAGUCAUAGCUCAAUCGGACAUGAUCACGGAGAGGCAUAUUCUUUUCAAGUUAAUUUGAUCCAUUUAUAAGAAAUGAAGUGGAUUGAAGUUAAAAGUUCAAAUAACAAAUCCUUAUUCUUGAGUUUUACGACGUCGUUACUCCUUCAAGAGGCUGAUUAUGCAAGUGAAUGCGGAAACAGAAUGCAUUAUCCAAUUUCACUCAUAUAGAAAAUUAAUUUUUUAUAUAUACUAAUCAACACUAGAUUGAUUAUGUUUUGUAUGUUUAUAUGCUAAUCAACAAUAAAUUAUAUUAAAUGAAGAAAUGCUUCAAAAUUUUCUAAUUUAAUUUAGAAAAUCAAUUAUUAACAUUAAUAUUCCUAAUAAAAAUUAUUUUCCAUCGGUAUUCAAAAUUUUCACUUAUAGAAAAUGCGUUUUACGUGAAUACAAGUUAUUGUGUAAAUUUGAAUGAUAGCGAAAAAUAUUUUUUUUAAUAAUUGUAAAAAUAAUUAACCAUAACAAAUCCCUUGCGUAAAUAAUAAUCGUUAUUUAAAAGGUAGAAAGAUGGUUAGUGCACAAUCAAAUUUUAAGCCCCUACCUCCUCAGCCCAAGAUUCAAACUUAGAUGAUCAGCCAAAUAAAAGUAUUUGAAAAUCAUUCAAUCAGGUUCUCGGGGCAAAAAUACAAGAUCCUUAUUUGCAUGAUAUAUAUGAAUUAAUGUAAUUUAUUUGAAUUAUCCAAAUUUAUUAGAGAUAAAACUAUAAAAUAUACCAAAAAAGUUAGAAGGAAGGGUGUGUUGGGAUAUUUUACAAACUAUAGGAAUCUAGUGAGAUUUUGAGCCAAACUGUAGGGAGUUGAAGGCAUUUGCCCAAUAUGUUUAGACGUACACUAACCGUUAUUUGCUCUUGUUGUUGGUCCCGGAUGAGCUGUAGUCUUAUUUUAAUUUUAUUUAAACUCACCAUAAGAUUCGCGGAGCUCCUAACUAACUUAAAUGACUCUGCAGAGCAUGUCAACACAUAGCAUGUUUAACCGUUUUAUUUGUAGAAGAAUUUAUGAUUUCCCAUUAGCAUUAUUAUUGAAGUGGGGCGGGUCAAAUCUCAAUUGCUUGAAAAUUUUUAUUAUUAUUAUUAGUCUUGAAGUGGGGUGGGUAACGUUCGCUCAAUUCGAGGGGAAUCAAAUAUAUCAUCCAAGGUAGAAUUGUGGAAAAUUAAAACAAAAUAAGAAAUAUGGAAAGAAAAGAAGAAAGUUAAGAUAUGAAAGACAUAUACAGUUGAAAUUGAUAAUCAUGUUCCUAUUUUGUUAACUAAUCAAAUGGAAAGCUGAACUGUAAACAAACAUUAAAACGUGUGAACCAAGCUAGCUGUCCUACAAGUCUACAAUAAUAAUUGAGUACUUUGAUUCAUCCUUCUAUAAAUUUCUACCCAUAUUGACUCCACCGAAAUUUCCACAAAAUAAAAAAAAAAAAAAAACUGAAUUUCCACAAAAUGCAAAACCCGUAGAACUUAAUUUUUGGUCAUGUGAACUAAGAUGUAAAUUAAAGAAAAAGUAUAAAAUUAAAAAAAGAUAAGAUUUCUAAAAUGUGUGGAAGGUGAUUCAUGAUUCACUGACACUACUUACUCCAAAUAUGAAGAUAAAUCUAUCUAAUUUCAUUAAAAAUAGUUGGAAAAAAUUAACUAAUAGAAAGCUACGGAAAUUAACCCCCCACAAAAAUGACUUUUUAUGGAAGAAUUUAUGUUUUUUAAAAUAUGUUAUCAAAGUGUAUUUGAUCAAAUCUCAAUUGGUUAGUAUGGUUAGGAUUUUGUGAACAUCACUAAAAAGUGAAAAAUAUGAAUGAUAGGGGUGAUGCUUGCAAUAUGAAUAAAUAAUGGACUGAUUCAAUUGAUGAUUACAUUUAUAUAUUAUUGAUUAUUUAUGAAUUUUCAGACUUGUUAUGAUGUAUAACUAUGUGAUUUUGAAACUUGAAACCGUGGCAAACAUUGAAAGGAAUUAUAACUUGAAAUCAUGACUCACGGGGUAUGUCAUGAUUCACGUGCACAAAAAAGGUAGAAUUGUGGAACUUGAUAACCCAACGACAAAUGCGGAAAGAAAGGAAGAAAAUUAAAAGACUUGGGGCCUAGCCUGCGUGUAUAAAUUAUUAGAUUUCUUUCUAUUUUAUAAGCGUAACCAUCAAUUUACUCCAUAACAAUCUUUAAUUCAUUUCUUAAAGAGUAAUGAUAUAGCCACAAACUCUUGUACAAACUUAUUUUGUAUAAAUUGAUGUGGCAUGAUAAGAUUUGUUGAAUUAAAUAUUACUUGGCCCAUAUGAUUUGUUUUUAUUAUUUUAUAUUUUCAUUCAACCAAUGAAUUAAUGUCAUGUCAGUUUGUACAAAAUAAAUUUAUACAAAAAUUUGUGGCUGUAUCAUUACUCUUUCUUAAAAUAUCAAAACUUUAAUUUAUCUUUUAAAUAUCGUUACCUCUCCAUUGGUUUUAACAGUUAAAAGGGUAAAAUUAUAUUUGUAUAUUUUCUUGACUGUUAACUAAAUAAUAAAAGUCAAAAUUCAAUCUUGUUAUCUUGUUUCAAUCCUCUAUCAAUCAAACAAGAUUUCUAAAAUAUGUGGAAGAUAUUGCAUGAUUUCCUCAACGUACCUGGCCCGAACAUCAAGGUAAAUAUCUCUAAAAUAGUUGAUUAAAUCUCAGUUGCUAAGUAUAGUUAGGAUUGUGUGAACAUCACUGAAAACUAUGAUUGAUAGAAGUGAUCUUUGCAAUAUGAAUAAAUAAUUAACUGAACCAAUUGAUUUACAUAUUAAAGUUUAUGAAUUUUCGGACUUGUUGCGAUAUAAUAAUAGCAUAUGAUUUUGAAACUUGAAACAGUGGUAAAUAUUGAAAGGAAUUAAUUUGAAAGCAUGAUCCGUGGGGAAUGUGAUGAAUCGUGUUUACCAAAAAGGUAGAAUUGUGGAAAUUUAUAACAGAACGAUAAAUAUGGUAAAAAGGAAGAAAAUUGAAAGACUUGGGGCCUGGCCUGGGUGUAUUUUCUAACUGUCCAAUGGACAAAAUUAUAUUUGUAUAUUUUCUCAUCCCUAGGUUUCAUACAAUAGCUCAUUUCAUUUUUAUUUUUUAAAUAAUAGCCUAAAACAUCAUUCUAUUAACUCACUAUUAGUUGAAUGUCGUUUGUUAGUAAUUCAUUAAGGGUAAAAAAUCAUUUUCUAUCAAAGAGAAAAUUAGAAAAAUAAAUAAAAGUUGACAUAUAACUAAAAAUGAUUUGAUCUAAUCCCACUAAAUAAGAAAUACCAAAAAAGAUGAAAAAUUUAUAUUUCAAGCAAUUCUUUUUUCACUUAUUUCUAUUUUGGCAACAUGAAAGCCCUAUAAACCCUAGAUCUAAGUACUAAAAAUAUCACAAUUUUCUUAUUCAUAUAAGUAUACUCUCUAAUUGCAUUGUAAAAUGGUUUGAAUUAAAUUGAAAAUAAAGAAGAUAUUCAGCACAUGCAAGCACAUAAAAAUUGGUGGCAUUUUUUAGUUUUUCUUCCAAUGAUUUAAAGAUAUUGUUUUAAUUACAGUUUGUUCCUUAUGACAAUUAUUCAAUGGCGAUAUCAAACUAUAUCAUCGUUGAUUUUAUUUAAGAAAAAGUUAAUGAAUUUUGCAUAUUUUGUAGUGUUAUUUAAUUGUGUAAAAAAAAUUAUUUUAAUAUAGUUUGUAUCGCUUUAAUGAAAAAUCAUAUUUUGCCCCCAAUGAAUUACUAGUUAACGAUUUUACAUUAAUGGUGAGUUAACGGAAGGAUAUUUUAGGCUAUUGUUUGAAAAGUAAGGAUAAAAUGAGCUAUUGCAUUAAACUCUAGGGAUGAAAAAUGCUUUUUCCCCUUUCUUAUCAAUCAACUAUCUGAUAAAAGUCAAAACUCAUAUUUUUUUUUUCCUUGUUUCAAUCCCCUCUCAAUCAAAAAAGUUUCCUUGUCUAAGCAACGAGGAAUAUGGCUAGAAAGAUUGUUAUUAGAAAGAUUUAUCAAUAGUAAUUGGUUCACAACUGAACAUUUUUAGAUUAUUGUGAGUCAAUAUAGGUCCUGUUUGGGAUUGAAGUGUUGCAGUUUUUAAGUUACAACUGCUGUGGAAAAAAAAACUAUAAUUAUGAAAUAAAAGUUAAUAAUAUAUAAUAAAUAUAAAUUUUAACUAAUAAUUUUGAUAAAAUUAUUAAAAAUAUAAUAGAUUUUUCAUAAUACAAGUAAAAUAUCAUAUCUACAUAGCUUGCAAGGUACAACAGUUAGUAUUUACCAAAUAGUUUAGUACUAUUUGUAAUGUUGUAAUGUCGAGAGAUUACCCAACCAUUAUGGAAUCCUACCAAGAUGAUUGUUACCACUAAGAUAAAAUCCUUCUAGUGAACAACAAUCAGACAAAUUUUUUGGGGAUCUCUCUUACAAAGUGAUUACCAUCCAAUCGCAAUUUUGAAUGAAAAUAAUUUUUUUUUAUUGGGAGUUUGACCUUAACAUUAAAUUUAGACAAUAAAUUUUAACUUUCUUCAAUUAUUAAACAGAUUACAGACAUUUGACAAAUUUGAAAACACUUCAUCCAUCGAAAGUUCAAAUUAGAGAUGGAAGCUAGGUGCUACAGCUAAUGGGAACAUUAAUUCCUGUCCCUCAUCACACUUUAUUUUGGGUCUAAUAAUUUUACGGCAGCAUUGACCACUGCUCAAGGUAAGUAAAACUUACAAAUGUGUGGCAAAAUAAAUAAUUAAGUGCAUAAACUCUUAACUAAUUUUCUUGAUAUAUACAGCUAAGGUACUUGUUCCUUUUUUUUUAAAAAAAAAUGUUAAAAAAUUUCGGCUGAGCCUGCUUGUGGUUUUGAUAAAAAGGAGGGGCUGGCUUCAAAUAUUUGAAUAGGCAUCUCCGCCGUACCUCAAACAAAACUGUCAUUAUUAGUGUCAUGAAACAUGUUUCGGCCGUCAAAGUCAUGAGAGGGUUGAUGACGCUACUACGUAUGAUGACACACCAGCCGACAGUGUAGUAACAGCUCAAAAACAAAAUCUACCAAAAUCAACGAAAGUUAAUAAAAUUUUAUUUUAUUAAUAAAAAAACUUUUUAUUUGUGGAGAUAUGUGUAUUUGAGUCUGUGGACUGAAAUGGAAAAUAUGAAGACGUUCGUUGUGUAGAUUGACUUCAGUUGAACGGGUCUAACUGGUAUUUUAUGCUGACGUGGCACGAAUUAGUUAUAAUCUGUUAUAACGAUUCCAGAAAUAUCAGUAUAAAUAGAAGCUGAUGAGCAGUGCCUGUUGUACGAUCCUUUUCUUCUUCACUUGUUCGUCAAUUUGCAUAGCAUCUGUUUCAUUGUGAUCUAUGCAAAGUCUUCUGUAAAUCCACUUAUGUUUGAUUAGUUGUUGAUCAAUAACGAGAGUAAAUUUUUCCUUCAAAUCUUGCUGCUUCGUGCCCCUGUUUCAGUUCUGGUUUUUUUUUUUUUUUUUUUUUAGUUCUGGUUUCUUAAUUCAAUUGAAUUUCUUGGUGCUUAAUUCAUCAAGAUUCAGUGGAAUCGACUUGAAAAGGACUCAAUAGACUCAACAUUAUUUAACGACACUCUGACCGUGGAGUACCGUUAUAAUAAUCUGAUUUUAAGAAAAUUAUAACUUAUUUUAAAUAGCGCCACAAUAUAAUUCUAAAUAUUUAAAAGGAAAACAUUAAUGACAUUUUGUUUUGAAAAAUUCAAUUAUUAAACUCUCACGUUUCAUGUGUUUGAAGUUAAAUUAUUCAUUAACUAGAACUCUGUUCAAAAUUGACUGUCCUGUGUUCCCAAAUGUAGUUGCAAUAUUGAAUGAAAGUAAAAACUUUCUAUGGCGAGUUUAAAUCUAAAUCUGGACAAUGAGUUUUUAGUUUCUCAAUGCUAUUCUAAUUACAAAAAUUAUAUUGAUUGAUUUAUUGUUACAGUUACUAGCCUUUGAAAAUGGAUGGAUUUAUUGUUUCCGUGACCCAAUUAUGCCUGUCUAACGCUGCAACUACUAAAAAAUCUAAUAUUUAAUGCACAUGUUAAAAGAUUUAAAAUUUUAUGCAUUUAUUAAUUGUUAUAAUCUAAAAGAAAAUUAAUUCGUUCAGGUCAAUCUGAGUUGGUGCAUCUGCAGAGCCUUUUUCUUUUUUCCCCUUAUUGACCAUAAUGAUCUAAGGGGUAUAAUACGACCUUGGUUCUUGGUAAAAAUGACAUCUCCUUCAACAUGACUAUUGACUAGGAGCAUGUAAAAACAUGGAAACAGAAUUUCCACAAAAUGCCAAACGUGUGGAACUUCAGUUUUGGCCAUGUGGACCAAAUGCAAAUGAAAGAAAAAGGAUUUUCCCAGCUAAUGUACAAAUAAAUGAACAACCUUGAAGCCUUAUUAUUCGCAACAAAAAGGGAUUACUAAUUGGAGAAGACUACACACAGUUUCUCUCACACUUUCUCUCUGUCAAUUUCAUCUAGAAGUCCCUCUGAAAGCAUCUCCCAAAACAGUUAGUCAUCUUUUAUUCUCUGUUUUCUGGAAACAGAGUCCUAACUAACUUAACUGACUGUACAGAGCUGAUCAAGAAUUCUGUUUUGUUAACUAAUCAAUUGCAAAUCAUAUAUUAGUGUUGAACGGUGAACAAAAUUGAAAAAAAAAAAUUCUUAAAAAACGUGUGGACUCGGAUAGCCAGACCAGAAAUCUAUGACAAUAAUUAGCUUUGAUGCUGGGAAUCUUUUAGUUUCUGGCCGUAUUGACUCCACCAGUGAAGUUUUUAAAAUAACAAGUUCCCAUUCUUCGUUUUUUUUUUUUAAAUGUGCUUAUAAUAAUUUUAGAAUAGUGACUUAUUUGUAGAAGAAUUUAUGAUUUUCCAUUAAUAUCAAUAUUGAAGUGGCGUGGGUCAAAUCUCAAUUGCUUGAAGAAUCUAUUUAUUAUUAUUAAUAUUGAAAUGGGGUGGGUAACGGACCAACGGUUCACUCAAUUAAUAUGUGGGGAAUUAAUUAAAUAUGACCAUCAAAGGUAGAAUUGUGGAAAAUUAAACCAAAAUGACAAGUAUGGAAAGGAAGGCUGAAAGUAAGGCAUGACGAAAGUCUUUGAGAAGGCUGAAGACCACCAAAGAAGUCAACUGAAAGCUAGCUGGGGCCUGGUAUGUAUGUUAGAUGUGUUUGUUAUAAAUAACAUAGAGCCCUUUUGUUAUUUAUAGUUAUAGAGAAAGAGAGAAUGUGUGUUUUUUAAUAGUUAGAGAUAUAGCUAGAAUGGGUGGUUCAAAAUCCAAAAUGGUGACGAUGUUAGUUUUGGGGGUAGAGUGAGGGAUGUUUGGAGCUUGAGAGAUUUGCUCUUUUGCGGCUUAAGCAUUUCUUCAAUUCUCCUUAUAGACUUUAAAACUGGGUAGACGAGCAAAGAGGUUGUUGUCAGUGGGAAACCGUUGAGUGCAGCAAAGUGAAAUUAAUUUCUCCCUAUUCUUAGUCUUACCAGGAGUAUCGAUCUGGGAGAGUGGUAUCUGAAUGCUUCUCUAUUUACUCCCUUUCAACAAAUUGGCAACAAAAUAGCCGGUUGGGUUAAGAACGAAGGUCCUUCACUUAAUUUAAUUUACUUAAUUUAAAUUAAGAAGAAGUUCCGUCAUCAAUAGAGUGCCUAGCUGAUCGUAAAACGUUGCGUUUGAGUAAGUGCACGAGGCUGAAGAGGCUUUCCAUCAAGCAUUUGUAAAUUGAAAUCUCUUCUUGAGCUUUAUCUCUAUAACUGCUCAAACCUUGAAAGUUUUCCAGAAAUCAUGGAGAAAAUGGAACGUUUAAAGAUAUAAAUUUAGCAAGGACGGCCAAUUACAGAGCUGCAAUCUUGAUAGCCUUCGGGAUUGGUAUCAUUUUCAAGCAAUUUUCUCAAUGCAGAGGUUUGGUAUCAUUGCCUCCAAUAUUAUUGUCAGGUUUAGUUUAUCGAAUUUGUUACAGCUAAAUUUAAGGGACUCUGCUAUAAUGGAAAUUCCCCAAAAUAUUGUUUGUCAAUCCUCAUUGAAAAUUUUAAAUCUAAAGACUUGUUUGUUAACUAAUUGAAGUAUGUAAUUAAUGCUUUGUUUUUGUAAUUUAUGUUUGAUUUUGAGAUAUUUACAUUUGAAUAAAAAAGUAAACUUUUGUUACAUUUAUCUAAAUUAAAAAAAAAAAGGCUAAAUGAGAAGUAAACUAUGUUCAAGCAAUUUUUUAUUUAUAAAAAUAAACCAAAUACUACUUAUAUUCAUAUAUCAAAAAAUGAAAAACAAACAUGUUAUUCAUAUGUUCACAUACAAACUUAUUCGAACCUCAGCUAAAUACAAAUCCAUUUUGAUUUCAAACAAAAAAAAAAAAACUUCGUAAGUGGGAAUAACUUUGAGAUUUGACUUGCAAAUGUCAAGCAACUUGCAAGGCUAGAAUAUCUUGACUUGAACGGUUGCAAUGAUUUCUCAUCAUUGAGAGUUUAUCAUUGUGCUUCAUCAUCAUCAUCAUCAUCAUCAUCAUCAUCAUCAUCAUCAUCAUCAUCAUCAUCAUGAUUAAUAAAAAGGUAAGCAAUUAAGAGUCAAAUUAAACCACUUGAAAAUCACUCAUCCACGCUUUUGGGACAUCAUUCUGCUCAUUAUUUUUAUUCCGUAUCUUCAUUGUUUUAUUUGGUAAUUAUUACCAUUAGUAAAUAAAGGGAUUAGUUGAUUAUUGUGAACUAACUAAAUGGAGCUCACCCUUAAAUGUCGGCUUGUAUCAGGGAGGUGCCUUAGGGUUAAUAAAUCAACUAAUCCCAUAAAUUGUUGAUGUAGGGUCCUAACAAAUUAUUGCCGUAGAACAGCACACAGCUCGAAAACAUAUUUGAUCCACACAGUGAAGAUGAUUCAAUAUUAAGCAUGUCAUAUAAUCUGGAGUUGGAUAUUGGAUCAAUUUGAUGAUAAUGAGUUUCUUUCAGUCUCAAUCUUUAUCUUCUUCGCAACAUGACUAGCCAUUGCGCAAAUUCAAACUCUGACAAUGAUUUCUCAAUCGCUUUCUAAGACGAUGAGCACGUAUGUAUAUAUAUGUGUGUGUGCGCGUGCGCACGUGUGUGUUUGUGUAUGUAUAUAGGGAGAGAGAGAGAUAUCACACGUGUGUGCUUUCCUUUUGUCAAUAAGAUAUGCAGAGAGCUUAAUAAUCAUAGAUUAGCUUAUAUCCUUCAAACCAUAUGCUAUGAAGUAAUUUCACAAACACUUGUUGAAUGUUAUUGAAUCAGUAGUUCACAGUUCAAUACAAUGUAGGUUUCCUAUUUGAAGUAAAUGAUUAUGGUGUGUGCAUUUUUCAUAAAGCUAACAACUGAAUUUACCAUUGAAACUUGCAAAAUGUAACAGAGAGAUGCAGAUAGCAGCCACGAAACACUAAGAUUGAAAAUCAGGACUACUGAAUUCUAUUACAAGCCCUUAAAAUAGACAACAAUCAUCCUCAAAUGUAUGUACUGAAAAUAAGAAAUAUUAAUCGUAAAGUUAUGCAUUAACAAAACUAUUGACUACUUACCUUUAGCUAUAUGUUUUUAAUUGUAGCUCCCUACUUUGUUCUAAGAACUAGGCAAAAGUAGCAUAUCUUCAAUCCAAUCAGCAUAUAUACCGCUCAUCUUCUCCAGUUCUUUCCACUUUGAUUUGCAUUUCAUACCCUGCACUUGCUGCUUAGAAAUAGUCAUAGUUUGCACAUUGACAGUAGAAAAAGUACUUGAAGCAAUCAUUGGCAUAGCAUGGGAUUCCAUUGAGUCGCGGUCUCCAAGCUUUCAUGGUUCUGUAAAGAAAAUGACAAAAACAUCAUGCUAUUGGCAUUCUACUUUUAGCAAUUUUCCACAAGCUGAGCUAUUUCAUAUCUCUCUAUAAAUUAUGAUCGAUGAGUGGACCACUGAUGCAUGCAAGUUUAUUAUCACUUGUAACUGCUGGUUCAACCUUCAGAUAAGUUUGUGAUAAAGGCAUCUAUGAGUACAAUGGGAAAAUUACAUGAACUUAUGUUAUCAAUCAUUGUUUUGCCUUCUCGUGAUAGAAUUCUGUGCAACAUAAAACAUGAUAUAUUUGUACCUUACCAUGCCAUGUCGUGAACCUAGAAGCAAUGCAAAUUGCAAGGAACAUAUUAAGCUAUCUACUGUAUAUAACAAAUUCUUAUUAGCCCACAAUCUUGUGCCGCCACAUUGAUCAAGUAACACUAUUAUAUCAUUUCCAAAAUGGCAUAUAUAAUCUAAUGUUGAACAAACCAAAUUGGGAAUCAUCAUUCCUUACAUUAAGCUGACAUUCGUACCUGCUAGUCCAUGAGCAAAGUUGCUUAUAUUUCCACACAGGCAGCUCCCCUUAUCUCUCGGUUCCGACAGAGCUUGGUUUUCCCAUCACCAGCUUUGGAUUCAUUCGAUCACUGAUGCUCCGAGUUAGCAAGCCCCUUGUUGUGUUCCCAUUGAACAGACCCACUUCUGUUAUCCACAGAAGAUCCACCACUCAAAAUGCUUAUCACCGAACUAUUCCUAAACUGAAUAGAAACUUCCGCACAUCUCUCGGCAUUUACAUGAAGAAAUCGACACCCACCCCCAUAUUUGCAAGUUUUCUGAUAAUAGAACGGUCUACAAAGCUGCAUUUCGUUAGGCAAUCUAAUCUCUCCAUUCCUAGCAAAGUGAUAUUGAUUCCCGUAUUUGUAAUUGCCUAAUUGGGGUUUUGGCAAUAGCCUGGUCUUAAAAUUACCACCCAUUACUUUGUUCAAUGCCACUGGCAUCCUCUGAUUAGGAACAUUUUCACAAUUUUUAGCCCUGUUAGUCGAAUCACAUUCAACGGGAUAGUGAGGCAGUAUUUCACUAACAGAUUCAAUUUGACUACUCAUAUUGAUGCACAUAUAAGAAUUUGAAAUCACUUUCUCUUGGAAUAUUUAAUGACCCCUGAUGAAAGUUCUUGAAUGGAAUUAUUUAAUUUGAUUUGAUUUCCAACAAAUUCAAGAAACCCCACAUAGUAGCUAAACAAAAAUCAACCAAUAAUACGCAAUGGGUUUCUUUCUUUUUGCCUUUGGAGGGCCAUGGAGAUCUGGAGUGGGCAGUAAGUAAUAGCCUUUAUGACUGGAAUGACAGAUUUGCAGAAGAUGAUAGCUCAAAACGCGUUGCUGUGGAAAAUUGUAGCAAAAUUAAAAAUUGGAAAGAAAGGGAAGAAAAUUAAUGCAUGAAGACUUGGAGAAAACAACCAAAUUAAUCAACUAUAAGCUAGCUGGGUGUAUAAAUUGUUAGAUGCAUUAUAAGCAAAUAGCGUAGAGCCCUUUGGUUAGUUACAGAGACAGACAGUGUUUGUGUUUUUUAAUAGUUAAAGAUAUAGAUAGAAUGGGUGUUUCAAAAUCAAAAAUGGUGAUAAUGUUUGUUCUGUUAUUAAUAAUAUUAGAAGGUGGGGGAAGUGAGGGAUGUUUGGAUCACGAGAGAUUUGCUCUUUUGCGAAUUAAACUGUUCUUUGAUGAUCCUUUUAAUUAUCUUCACGAUUGGAUAGAUGAUGAGGGAGCUACUGAUUGUUGUCAGUGGGAAAGGGUUGAGUGCAGCAACACCACAGGCCGAGUGAUACAACUAAACCUUUUUUUAAUUGGGAAUUGGGAUUUGGGAGAGCGGUAUCUGAAUGCUUCUUUGUUUACUCCCUUUCAACAACUUGAGUCACUUUAUUUAAGUUGGAACAACAUAGCUGGUUGUGUUGAGAAUGAAGGUGCUUCGUUUAAUUUUAUUAAAUUACUUGCUCUCUCCUAAUUUAAGUUGAAUAUCAAGACUGAGCAACUAUAUGCAUAUCCAUUCAGUUGACAAUUCUGACAUUUUUUUGAAGUGAUUAAUUAAUUUUUGAAAUUACACCAGCAUCUAUGAUCCUUUUUUAUGUUACUUGCAGGUCUAGAGAGGCUAUCAAAAUUGAACAACUUGAAGAUGCUUAAUUUAAGUGAUAACUCGUUCAACAAUAGCAUCUUAUCAUCUCUAACUCAUCUUUCAUCAUUAAGAUCAUUAGAUUUAUCUUACAAUAGAUUGGAAGGAAGUAUUAAUGUUAAAGGUAUGUAAUUAAAACGUCAUCUCUUCUCCCAACUCUUUCAUUAACUUGCUAAAAUAAGAUUCAAGGUUUUGAAUUCAAUUUUUUUUAUGAUUAAUAUUAAAGGAAAAAAAACAAUUUUAAGAAAUUCAUAAAUACAAGUUCUAAUGUUUCUCAUAAUUUCAUCUUGUACUUUCAUAUGUCUUGAAUUUAAGAUUUAAAAAAAAAAAAAAACUCUAAUAGCGAACCAAACACCUCCACAACUUAUUAUUAAUAAUAUUAUUAUUUUUUCUGUGAGGUUUGAAACAUUAAACUCAAUUUGUACUCUUUACAGAAUUAGAUUCUUUGAGAGACUUAGAGGAGCUAGACAUUGCCGGGAACAAGAUUGACAAAUUUGUGGUCUCAAAAGGUGCUACAAAUACCAUAAAAAAUCUAAACUUUUACAAAUUAGCUAGAUUCUUUGCCAUUUGGUUAAUUAUUUUGCAGGUUUGAGGAAGUUGAAGUAUCUCGGCUUAAGUGAUGUGGGAUUCAAAGGAACAUUUGAUGUUCAAGGUAAGUCUAAGCCAUAUGCUUUCUCAUUUGAAUUCAUUAAGGAUAUCAAGAUCAUCGACAAAAUUAAAACAUACUUUAUUUUACUUCGUCAAUCAAUUAAUUAAAUACUAUUUGGCUUGGCUUCAUCAAUCAAUUAAGUCUUAUGUCUAGGCAUGUCUGCAGAAUUUGAUUCCUUGAGCAGCUUAGAGGAGUUGGACAUGAGCCGCAACGAAAUCGACAAUCUUGUGGUUCCUCAAGGUAAACAAUUAAAAUAUUAUUCAAUUACAUUAAUUUAAUUCAUUUGGUUAGGGAAGGCCCAAAAGGUACAAAAAAUAAAGGAAUAGAGAAUUUAUAUUAUUUAAAAAACAGAAUGUAAUAAAGAUUUGAUUCAAGUUCUUUAAUCUUUACAGCGAUUGAAAAACGAUCUUGCUCCUUUCCCAAAGCAUAAAAUACGAAUUGACUCCUAAUUAAAUUAAUCAUUUAUUUCUCUCAUCUCUGAAUUUAAACAAUGAAUUUUGAUCUUCAAUCCUAUUCUAAUUAUUAUUAUUAAAUAGGUUACAGAGGUUUGAGGAAGUUGAAAAGCAUGUAUCUAUCGGGAGUUGGAAUUAGAGAUGGAAGCAAGUUGUUACAGUCAAUGGGAUCAUUUCCAUCCCUCAACAUUCUUCACCUUUCGGAUAAUAAUUUUAUAGAAACAGUGACAACUACUACUCAAGGUAAGUAAAUGGUACAGAUGUGGCCAAAUUUGUAAAUAAACUAUUAAUUAAUUAAUUAAUUUUCCGUAUUGUUGAUAGUGCUAAAUUUGUUGCUUCGAAACAGAGUUGCGCAAUUUCACCAACUUGGAAUACUUGACAUUGGACAAUUCCUCUCUUCAUAUAAGCCUUCUGCAGAGCAUUGCAUCAUUCACUUUGUUAAAAAAAUUAUCUAUGACUAACUGUAAAGUCAAUGGCAUCCUAAGUGGUCAAGGUAAAAGAAAAGUGUUGAUUAUGAAUAAGUUGUUAAUUAAUUAAUUUUGUUGCUCCUUGCUUCUAAACAGAGUUGCGUAAUUUCACAACUUGAAUAUUUGACAUUGGACUCUUCCUCUCUCCAUAUAAGCCUUCUGCAAUUGCUUGACGAAUUUAUUUAUUAUUAUUAUUGUUAUUGUAUUGAAGUGGGGUGGGCAAGGGUUCACUCAAUUAAUAUGUGGGGAAUUAAAUAUUACCAUCCAGCAUAGAAUUGUGGAAAAUUAAAGCAAAAUGAGAAAUAUGGGAUGAAAGGAAGAAAGUUAAGGGCAUGAAAGACUUGGAGAAGACCGAAGACCACCAAAAUAAGUUAUGUGUUUGUUAUAAAUAACAUGGAGCCCCUUGUUGGUUGCAGCGGCAGGAGACAGAGAGAGUGUAUUUGAUUAAUUAAAAUUCAAAAUGGUGAUAAUGUUAGUUUUGCUAUUAUUAAUAAUAUUAUAAGAGGGACUUAAACAUUUCUUCAAUUCUCCUUAUAAUUUUUGUCAAGACUGGGUAGAUGAUGAGGGAGCUACUGAUUAUUGUCAGUGGGUUGAGGUUGAGUGCAGCAGCGCCACAUGCCUAGUGGUAUCUGAAUGCUUCUUGGUUUACUCCUUUUCAACAAUUUGAGUCACUUGAUUUAAUAUGGAACAAUACAGCCGGUUUUGUUGAGAAAGGUGCUUCAUUUAAUCUAAUAAAUUUACUUCCUCCCUCCUAAUUUAAGUGGAAUAUCAAGAUUGAGCAACUAUAUGCAUAUUCAUUCAAUUGACAAUGUUGACAUAUUUUUUAAAAUGUUUAAUUUCGAAAUUACACCAAAUAGAUGUGAUCUCUGUUUUGAUUUUACUUGCAGGGCUACAGAUGCUAUCAAGAUUGAGCAACUUGAAGAUGCUUGAUUUAAGUGGAAACUCCUUCUACAAUAGCAUCUUAUCAUCUGUAGCUCGUCUUUCAUCAUUAACAUCAUUAGAUUUAUCUGAGAAUAGAUUGGAAGGAAGUAUUAAUGUUAAAGGUAAGUAAUUAAAACGUCAUCUCUUCUCCCAACUCUUUCAUUAAUAUGCUAAAGUAAGAUUUAAGGCUUUGAAUUUAAUUUUUUUAAUGAGUAAUAUUAGAAAAAUAGUUUUAAGCAAUUCAUAAAUACAAUUUUCAAUGUUUCUUAUAAUUAUAUCGUGUACUUUCGUAUGUCUUGACUGUAAGAUUAAUAUAUAUAUAUAUAUAUAUACUCUAACUGUGAAGCAAAUCCCCCCAUGACUAAUUUAUCAUUUUUUCCAGUUAAAAAUGAUAAAAUUUACCAUUUGUUUAUAUUUAUUAAUUAACUCUGUUUUAAGUCUUGGCGUCUUGGCGUGUUUGCAGAAUUUGAUUCCUUGAGCAACUUAGAGGAGUUGUCCAUGAGCUACAAUGAAAUCGACAAUCUUGUGGUUCCUCAAGGUAAACGCUUAAAAUAUUAUUCAAUUACAUAAAUUUUAUUCAUUUGAUUAGGGAAGACCCAAAAGGUACAAAAACAUAAUAAAAAUAAAUAAAUAAAGAAACAAAACGUGGUAGUAUUAUUUCGAAAACAGAAUGUAAUAAAGAUUUGAUUCUAGUUCUUUAAUCUUUACAAUGAUUGAAAAACUAUACUGCUCCUUUCUCAAAGCCUAAAAUACGAAUUGACUCCCAAUUAAAUUAAUCAUUUAUUUUGUUCGUCAUUUAUUUCCCAAAGCAUAAUAUGUACAUCCUAUUCUAAUUACUAUUAAAAAACAGGUUAUAGAGGUUUGAGGAAGUUGAAAAGCCUGCAUCUAUCGGGAGUUGGAAUUAGAGAUGGAAUCAAGUUGUUACAGUCAAUGGGAUCAUUCCCAUCCCUCAACACUCUUUACCUGAUGGAUAAUAAUUUGACGGAAAUAGUGACAACUACUACUCAAGGUAAGUAAAAAGUACAGAUGUGGCCAAAUUAUAAAUAAACUGUUAAUUAAUUAAUUUUCCGUAUUAUUAAUAAAGCUAAAUUCGUUGCUUCUUCUUUCUAAUUCUAAACAGAGUUGCACAAUUUCACCAACUUGGAAUAUUUGAGAUUGGACCAUUCCUCUCUCCAUAUAGGCCUUCUGCAAAGCAUUGCAUCAAUGUUCCCUUCGUUAAAAAAUCUGUCAAUGUCUCAUUGUGAAGUCAAUGGUGCCCUACGUGAUCAAGGUAAAAGAAAAGUGUUGAUUGUGAACUCACUCAAUGGUGUCCUAUGUGUUCAAUGUUUUUUUUUAUUUAUUUUAUUGUUUAAUGUUUCUGCUAGGUUUUCCUCAUUUUAAGCGUUUGGAACAUUUGUACAUGGAUUACGCGCGCAUUACACUCAACACCAGCUUUAUUCAAAUCAUCGGUGAAUCGAUGCCUACUCUUAAGUACUUAUCACUGUCAAAUUCUAGUCUUAGCACUAACAGCAGGACUCUUGAUCAAGGUUAAUGAGAUGCUCCCACCCUCCCCUCUUAAUCUAUAAUAUUAAUUUUCGAUUAAAAUUAUGAUUACACAAACCAAUCACUUCUAUAUGAAAGAAUGCUCUGCAUUUGUUAAUUUUUAUAUCGUACUGAUGGAUGAAUUAAUAAAUUUUCAGGCCUCUGCUCAUUGGCGCAUCUGCAAGAGUUGUACAUUGAUAAUAAUGAUUUAAGAGGUAGCUUGCCUUGGUGCUUGGCAAAUAUGACAUCCCUCCGAAUAUUAGAUGUUUCUUUCAAUCAACUUACUGGAAGCAUCUUCUCAUCUCCCCUCGCUCAUUUGACAUCCAUUGAAGAGCUGUGGUUUUCAUACAAUCACUUCCAAAUCCCAAUUUCACUUGAACCACUUUUCAAUCACUCAAGACUCAAGAUAUUGCAAGCUGACAACAACGAAAUAAAAGCUGAAAUAAUUGAGUCACAUUCUUUGACCCCAAAAUUCCAAUUACAAUUUCUCUCCUUGUCCUCCGGUUACGGAGAUGGUUUCACAUUCCCCAAAUUCCUUUACCAUCAACAUGACCUACAGGAUGUUUAUUUCUCACACAUAACGAUGACUGAAGAAUUUCCAAUUUGGUUGUUGGAAAACAACACAAAAUUAGAAUUUCUUUUUCUCGUCAAUGAUUCUCUUGCAGGACCUUUCCGAUUGCCAAUUCAUUCACACAAGAGGUUAAGGUUGUUAGAUGUCUCUAACAACAACUUGGAAGGCCACAUUCCAAUAGAAAUUGGAGAUAUUUUACCAAGUUUAUAUGUUUUCAACAUUUCCAUGAAUGCUUUAGACGGUAGCAUUCCCUCUUCAUUUGGUAAUAUGAACUUCCUCCAAAUUCUGGACUUAUCCAACAAUCAAUUGACUGGUGAAAUCCCUGAGCACUUGGCUGUCGGUUGCGUCUACUUGGAGUCUCUUGCGUUAUCAAACAACAACCUAAAAGGUCACAUGUUUUCUAGAAAUUUUAAGCUGGUAAACUUGAAAUGGUUACAAUUGGAGGGCAAUCACUUCGUAGGAGAGAUCCCACUAAGUUUGUCUAAAUGCUCUUCGCUAGAAGGAUUGUAUCUUGAUAAUAACAGUCUCUCAGGUAAGAUUCCACGAUGGUUGGGUAAUCUCACAUGGUUAAUACAUCUUAUAAUGCCCAAGAAUCAUCUUGAAGGUCUUAUUCCAGUGGAGUUUUGUCAUCUUCAUUCGCUUAAGAUUUUGGACAUUUCAGACAACAAUAUAUCUGGAAGUUUACCAUCUUGUUUCCUUCCUCUCUCUAUUGAACAAGUUCACUUGUCAAGAAAUAUGUUACAUGGACAGCUAAAAGAAGGUACAUUCUUUAAUUGCUUUUCCCUUAUGAAGUUAGAUCUUAGCUAUAACCAGUUAAAUGGUAGCAUUCCAAAAUGGAUUGAUGGGCUUUCUCAGUUAAGCCACCUUAUCUUGGCUCACAAUAAUCUUGAAGGUGAAGUACCAGUUCAACUGUGCGAACUGAACCAACUGCAAUUGUUGGAUCUUUCUAAUAAUAAUCUUCAUGGUGUUAUUCCUGAUUGCUUUGAUAACACCACACUUCAUGAAAGUUACAACAAAAAUUCUAGUCCUGAUAAGCCAUUUGAAAUGUCUUUUUCUGUCAGAGGCCCUCAAGAAAAUGUAAAAAAGAAAAUCCUUGAAAUUUUGGAAUUCACAACAAAGAACAUUGCCUACACUUACCAAGGAAAAGUGCUUAGCCUCCUAUCAGGACUUGAUCUUUCUUGUAACCAGCUAAUCGGUCAUAUUCCUCUUCAAAUUGGAAAUUUGACCAGGAUUCAAACAUUGAAUCUAUCACACAACAGCUUGAUAGGAUCAAUCCCAUCAACAUUUUCAGAAUUGAAGCAUAUCGAAAGUUUGGAUCUUUCUUACAACAAAUUGAAUGGGAAGAUCCCUUAUCAGCUUGUGAAGUUAAAUACAUUGGCUAUUUUUAGUGUGGCAUACAAUAACUUAUCAGGCAAGAUCCCAGAAUGGACUGCACAAUUUGCAACCUUCAACGUGAGUAGCUAUGAGGGAAAUCUUUUUCUUUGUGGAUUGCCAUUGCCCAUUUGCAGCCCACCACCAACUAUGCCAAGGGCUUUAACUAGCAAUGAAGGAGAUGAUAAUUUAAUUGAUAUGGAUAGUUUCUUUAUCACAUUUACAACAUCGUACGUAAUUGUGAUAUUUGGAAUCGUCGGCGUUCUAUAUGUGAAUCCUUAUUGGCGACGUAGGUGGUUUUAUCUUGUUGAAAUGUGGAUAAUUUCCUGUUAUUAUUUUGUCAUAGACAAUCUUAUUCCAACAAGAUUUUGUUAUUGAAAUUAAUAAGUAGUUUAAUUAAGAUCCUUUAAGUACUAAUCAAGUUUGCUUAAGAAAUAGUUUUUUUUUUAAUUGAAAACUACAAGAAAAAUAGUAUAUGACAACAUGCAAAGAGUGUUGUAGAAGGGAUAUCACAACAAGCAUAUGAACGUUGCGGUUCUUGAUGUAGCGAAAAGUAGGUAACUUUCGACUACGUGCAAUUCACGUUGUUGAAAAAGAUAUGAACGUUGUUAAAUAUCAUAUGACAACUUACAAUGAUUGUGGUUAAAAAGAUCAUGUGCUUCCAAACUUUCGACUACAAGCCUAUGAAUGUGGCUAUAAAUUAUAUAGCAACAAGCAACUAAAUGUCGCCAUUAAUUCUAAUUUUUAUUUACAAUAAACCACAUAUCCUGCAUGUUGUCAAAAAAACAACAAUAUAUUAUUAAUAAUUAUUAUUAUCAUUAUUAUGACUACUAAUAUUAUCAUUUUUAUUACACUAUUACUGCCGCCAUAUGUAAAAUUCAUGCGAACUAAUUCUACAAUUUGACUUGUUAUAAUAAGUUUUCAUAAACUUAGUAAUAAGCACACAUCACAGCUAAGGGUCACACCAACAUUUUUGUAUUCAUACAAAUUCUAUUACAUAGCAAAUAUGAAAAACACCAUAUACCAUCAGUUUAAAUUUCAUCUAGCCAAACACCCAAAAAAUUAGUAAAAAAACACAUUAGUGGCUGUUGCAAUUCCAUAAAUAUCAACUUAAAAAAAACCAUCUCCAACGAAAGCUUCUUCAAUUUAGCAAUUCCAUCAAAAACUUGUUCAGGGCAUAUAUACACUCCUAAAAAAAUAUUAACUGAAUCAAUAUUCAUUUGUUGCAUUUGGAAUAUAAUUAUACACACACACACACACCCAAGAAGAAUAUUUUAUGCCUACAUACCUUUUUUAAAACAAUUUGAUACAACUUCCUGAUUAUUUCUCAUUUCUCUAAACUUCUUGCUUAUUGCCUGUCCGGCAAAUAUUAAAAUGUAUAAUUUUCAUAGACAUGAAACUUAACAUGGAUACUAUAAGUGCAAUGCUACGGACUAGCUUACUUUAAAUUCUGGAGAUAAUCUUUACUUGACAAUAUUAGCCCAAUCUUCUUUGAAAAUUAUACUUUUUUGGCCUAAUAAGAGCAACCAGCUCUGUCAUGUACUUUUUUGGUUUCCUUUAUCUUAGUUGUUAGCUCUGAUUUGUAUUGUCUCCAACAAUCACCCAUCGUUCUUAAUGCCAAGCAUUCAAGAUAAAAAAUGUAUUUCUAAAUAAAGAUAAUUACUAUGUAAUUCCAUAAACAUGCACCAAGGGCCAAUAGUUCGCUGUCAACUAAAAGCUAAUUUUCAAUGCACACAAGCACAUGCUCUCAUGUUAUAACUCUAAUAAAAGUGCAUAUUUGUAAGAAUUUACACCUACUAGCUGGCCAUAGUCGUUAAAUUCAAUGCUUAAUGAUGGAGAACAAUCUUGAAUCAUUCCAAGUUUGGUUGGACCUCUUUUGUCUUUUGGUGCAUCUAUCAUCAGAUUGAGGUUUGUGUGCAUUUUCCCUAUUGCUAGUUGCUAAUGAUCCAUUCUCCUCUUGAAUAGUUGCAUUUUCUCUAAAUUUAUCUCGACUUGCCUAGAAGACUUUGUAACGCAUAGCAAAAUUAAUGUAGGAAUAAACAUACUAGAAAAAAGUAUAUGAACAUGAAAAAGUAUAAUUUAAAGUUGAACAAAAAAAAAAAAUUCUUACUUAUACUAAACAAAAUGUAAUCACUCUCACUGGCCAAUAAUAAAUCUUGGAACCCUCUUUGUGGUUUUUUCAAUACUAAAUACUAAUUUGAUUUUUCAUUAUCCUUAGAAUAAAUCCAAAUUGGCUUUGUCCCUCAUGAAGUUUAACCAAAGUGAAUCCUUCGUCAACUUUAACACCAUUAACUAUAUUAGUUCAGUCACAUUUGAAAAUAGGGAACUAAAAGUAUUGUAAUCAAGCACUAAUAUAUCUCUCAAAACUCCAUAGUAAGUAACUUUUCCAAAAGAGAAAUCCAUUUUGAAUUUUAAUUAUACAAGGGGGAAACAGUACCUCAAGUUUGCUCUAUAAUCAGAUCCUAAAAUGUCACAGCUGAUUCAGGAGAUUAAUGGCAUUAACAGAAGUAACUAGUCAACAACGCCAAUAAGAGAUUAAAAUUGUGCCUUUCAAUUGAAAAAAAAAAUCAUUAUCCGUCUCACUAGUAAUAUUUACUCAUUUAAAUUAUUUUUACCGAAAUCAGUUUAUCUUGAAAAUAAAAUAUAAUCUUCAAAAUUAUCUUUUCCAUGUAAAAUAUUUAGCUUCAGGCGUUUCAAAAGAAAAUAAUCUUUUGGUUUCAAUCACCCACCACAGAAAAAGUAACAUUUAUUUUAUUCAUGCAUAACAGAUGAACCCCACAAGCAAUAAAGAAUUGUGCCACUUACCAAACAAUGAAUCUACAAUGGGACGAUGUCGAGUGAUUUUGAGUGAGAAGAAGUAUAGGGUGAAGACCCAAAUCUUCUAAAAACAAAAUAGGUGGAAAGAGUAAAUUAUUAAUUAAAUGGAAUUAGGGAAGUGAAAGUGAGCUUUAUCAAUGAAAUUGAAAAGAAGAGUACCUGAUACACUCAUUUCCUUGGGUGGGCAGCCGCCAUUACGAUGAAGAUUGAGAGGCCUGCUUUGCUUUAGUGGCAGAGAAAGAGUAAAGUGGUACUGCAAAGAGAACCGAGGGUUUCACUAAGUCAAUUUGUCUCUUUUUUCCCCCCUUUUUACCGCGCUUUAACCCGUGCGCGCAAAAUGAAAUUUUUUAUUUAUUACACAUUAUUUUCUAUUACUUUACUUUUAAAAAAAUAUUGUAGUUAAUGAUACCCUCAAAAAAUUUAUUUGUUAUAAUACUUUUAUGCAUAAAUUCCAUGAGCAACUAUUUAUGUUUUAAUUUUCACCAAUUUCAUAUUAAAUGAGAUAACAAAGAAUUUUACAAAAAAAAAAAUAUUUUCAACAACAUGCAACAUAUAAACGUUCUUAUUUAAAUAAUAAUUUUUGCAACAGGCAAUUCAUUGUUGCCUUAAAUAAUUAAUUGCAACAUGCAAAUUAUGAAUGUUGUUAUUACAUACUCCUAUACCGCAACAAAUGGUCGCUCGUUGUCGUAAGGUUUUAGACCACAGUCACUUUUUGCGUGUUGCUAAAACUUUAUAUUUACCAACAUGCAGUUUAUGACUGUUGUUAAUUAUAAAUUUGACAACAUUCCAUCUGUGCACGUUGUUAAAAUGAUGUUGCCUUAUCCCAAUUUUCUUGUAGUAGUAUUGAUCAUUAUAUCACUUCCAGCUUCAAAGCACCUAGCAUUUGUCUCUACACUUAGAAAGCUGGAUGAUUUUGCUUUGCAGAUCUAGAUUUGAAGUAGGAUGGUUCCAAACCCAUAUCUAUCUAUUGUAGCUUACCUAUGUUGUACAGCAUACUUAAACGAUAACACCAUCUCCAAUGUUAAAAGUAGCCAUUAUAUAAGAUUCUUAUGGAAACUAUAUUCGAAAUAGAUUUAUAAUCAUACAUAGGAAAUGAAAAACCUUGCUGCACUUGCUCGCCUAUUUUACUCUGAGCAAGAACAUCAUCUUUUUCAUUUGCAGCAUUAACAUCAAACCAAGGGAUGGAGACCCAGACAUUUCAUCAAGAAAGGCAUAAAUCUACUAAAGUUGAAGCUUUGACAAAAAAUUCAGUCGAAAGUCAAUGUCUGACCACAAGAAAGGGCACAACAACAUCAUUCUAGAAGAGAUGAAGCAAUAUUCUCAAAGCUAACGCUCUCAAAUACACCACACCAGAAUUUCAUAUCUCCUCGUCAAUUUUAAAAACUAAAGAUAAUUAGGAUUUAACAUUAGUUUGUUAUACAUUAGUUUCAUAAUUUACAAGCCAAUGAAGAUGAAGAUUAUGCCAAUGAAUUCAAAUUAUAUCAUACAUUCUCUGGAUGUUUCCAAAAAUUUACAAGUCGAUCCCACAUAUUUCAUAAUUCUAAGACUGGAAAGUUUCAUUAGUUAGAAAUUCAUUAUCUUCAAGUGGAAGAUGAAGAAAAACAUUAUGCAAGUGAUUCAUAUUAUAUCAUACAUUCUCCGAAUGCAACUAAAAUCAACAAGUUCAUGCCCACAAAUUUGAUAACAUUAUGAUUGGAAAGUUUCACAGAGACUUGAGAAAGGCAUUAUGAUUGAUUUGAGUUACUUUGUGAUCAAGCUACUAAUAUAACAUUCAAUUCAAGGAGGGAAUAAGUUGGGAAGAAAUAGUAGUAAAAAUUUGUUACUACAUAAUUCUCCUCAACUUUGAGAUAAAUACAAAUGUGAAAAUGUAUACGAUCUAAUAUUACAGAUAUGAAAAUGCAAAUGAUCACACAUAUUACUUGCAACUUAGCAAGCUUUAACUAAGAGGAGCAAUCAAACUACUUAUCAAUUGUCGUAGACAUUCCGUAAUCUAAAAUGGAAAUAUAAUGCAAGAAAAAGAACAUACAGAUACUUGGCAGAAGUUCAUUAAGAACUCCAACCAUAUUCGAGUCAUGAGUUUGCUUUUGAUAUCUUGUUAGCUGGGGUUUUCUCCUGUCUAUUGACGUAUGCUGAGGGAAAUGACACAACUUAAAAGUAAUUUUUAACUCCCAAGUCUAAGAGUGUCUUGUUGUAUUAUAACUCGGUGAGCCCGAUGUCGAUCCACAGAGAAAAGAUUUAAUUAGUUUACUUUAUUUUAACUAAAAAUUGAAAUUAAAACUUAAAUAUAAACAACUUAAUUUAAAUGAAACUAUGAAAUUAAACUAGUUAUGAUUAUGGAUCCACUCUUAGAAGUAAAUAAAACUUAAUAAAUUCUUUUUGCCCUUUUUUUACAUUUAUUGCCCAAAAGAUUAAUUAUAUAAAUUAUUAUUAUUUUCCCUUUAAUUUUAUGAUGGAUUAAGUAUUUAUUGUGCCAAAAUUUAAUUUGUCUACAAUAAGUCAAAAUACCAUUUUACCAUACCUUAUAUUAAGAUAUUAAGAAUUUAUUGUGCCAAAUUCAUUUGUUUGUCUACAAUAAAUCAAAAUUUCAAAAUAUAAAAUAUGUAUAAAAUUAAAUAGAAAAUAAUUUAAUUUAUAAAAUUAAAAAUAGAAUUUGCUUAAAUCAUAUUUAUUUCCUAAGAGUUUCACCUUCCCCUAACUAAUAUUAUUUAGUUAAGCAUAAUUAAAAUAAAAAGAAGUAGUAAAAUUGAAUUACUUAUAAUUAAAAGAAAUAAAAACAACUAAAAUUGGAAAUAAAAAUAAUUUUAUUUAUAAAAAUAAUUAUACAAAAGAUUAAAAACACACCUGGAAAUCAAGAUUAUAAGGAGAUGGAGAGAAUUUGAGAAGAAAAGAGUUGUAGAGAGAUGAUUAAAAACAUAAAAAUGAGGCUCUAUUUAUAGAAAAAUAAAUUCAUAAUCCAGUGCUUUGCGGUCCAUCAUAAGCUUCAUGCAUGUGCUCCUCACAACCUUUAGAUCAAGAUCCAAUGGCUGGUCAAACUUCAAAAGUCAACAUCACACGUGGCAUCGUUUGACUCGUUCGAUUUGCCCAAAGAACGGUUGAGAUUUGGAGGGUUAAUGGGUGGAUCAGGUCGACCCGAAUACAAAGAUUCGGAUCCUCCAACUUGCUUCACCAACCAUUGCCACGUGGCACACUCAUGGCCAUUGAAUCAUGAACGGUUGAGAUUUAGUCAAAAUUGCCAGCUAUCCCAUGCACUCAUACCUAUUGUAAGCUCAUUUCAUCAUCCAAUCAGUGCUUGGUCAACAGGAAAAGUCAACUUUUUUUUACACAAGCCCAAUUUUAAGCCGAUCUUGACUGAUUUUAAGGUUUUCGGACCUCCGGAAUCCAAAUUUGACCUUCGUUUAUCUGUUUGGAGCCUCGAAUUACGUGAAAUCAAUAUUUUUCCUAAUAAACACAUAAAAAUACAUAAAAUUAAAUAUAUUUAAAACAUAAUUAAUAAUUCCUAAUAUAUUACAUAAACAAAAAUAUAAAUUAUAACAUAAGCAUAAAAUAACAUAUUAUCGCUUGAUAAUUAAACAAUUUUUAAUACUAAUCACACCCCCCAACCAGCUUAUUGCUAGCCCUCUAGCAAUUAAAGCGUUAUAUUAAAUUAAGAUUUAUAAAAUUCACAUGCAAGUUAAUAAUUGUUCAUCUAUCUUCUAAAUUACCAAAUAAAUGAACUCUCCCAAAUUUCUUUACCAUAUUGAUGUUCCUUCAUUAUCCAGAAUAUCAUCAAACCUUCUUUUGUGCUCCAGUAAUUAACACAAUACUUAUGGGGCUUCAUUAAAAGAAAAACAACAUUUUCGUUACAAAAUUCAUUAGAAAUUAUAUCUUUAGGCAAUAGAUUAUUCACACACACACACACACACACACACACAUAUAUAUAUAUAUAUAUUUUAAAUAUUACAUUUCUAACCCGUGUAGCAAGCUUUAGGUCAGUGACUCCCAAACCAGUUGACCUUAGGGCACUAGGUGUUGAAACACCCCUACGGACUUAAUUACUCGGGUUUCUAGAUAUAACAAAAUUAAAAACAUUUUUUUUUCUUUUUUUUCUUUUUGUUUUUGUUUUUUUUUUUUUUUGCAAUAUACACUUUCUACUACCUUAGAUACUAUUCCUAAUAAAUCAAAAGAACUAAAUGCUGUAAAAUUUUAACUUACAACCCACUAGUAUGUAUCAUAAUGUGUGUGUGAAGAAUGAUUCAACAAUACCUGUUAAAUGAGUAAACAAUUAAAUAACUUAAUAACCAAGUGGAGAGUUCACAAAUUCGGGUAAUUCAAAGAAAAGGGAACAAAAACAAUUUACUAUGAAUCUCAAAAUCAAAAUAUAAUACAACAAGACUAUUAGGAUGCGUCUCAAAAGUCGUGACUCUUUACACGGCCAUCCUAGACAAAAACAAAAAUGUUUUUUUUUAAGAAAGAAAAGAAAAAAGAAAAGAGAAAAACAACACACAUAUUUAAAAACAUACGUCAAUUAUCCCCACUCCACAACCUAAUCUAAACAUUAUCUUAACAUUUUAUAAUUUUACAAAUAUGCAAAAAAUAAUAAUAAUAAUAAUAAAAGAGAAUAAUAAAAGAAAAAGAAGAGGAGAUCUCACCUGAACUUGAUGCAGAAGCUUAAAAGCGGAUAACAAAGAUGAAGAAAAAGUCAAUUUUUUUUUUUUAACAACACCCUUAAGACUAAGAAGAUGCGUUUCUAGAGGUACUGCAUUCUCUAUAUCCUGUCAUCUUCGACUCAAAUUUGUCCUAAGUUAGUCUUUACAGAAAAAAAAAAUUUUGUUUUUUUGUUUUUUUUUUUUGUAAACACAUCACCAGGACUAAGACAUUCCACAAUUAUUAACUAUUCCCUCCCCCUAACCUGAAAAAGACAUUGUCCUCAAUGUUUUAAAAGGAAAGAGAAAGAGUUUAGAAGACAACACAUGAACACUACAACAGAAAAUAUUUAGAGACGGAGAGUUAAAUCUAAAUCGCACUUCUUAUUACUGCUACUGUUACCGCUACCAUCAUUAGUUGACCAAUUCAGUGUAAAAGUUUUUGGAUUUGGCUCUGGUGUAUAAGCUUGUAAAAGAUCAAGUAACUCAUUAGUAGUAGAAGCAGAAAUAAAGAGUUUUUUUUAUAGAAUAUGGAACAAAAUGAUUCUUUAUUGCAUGGUUAAUAAAAGUUAGCAAGCCGUCAUAAAAAUUAUUAACAUUUAACAAACCGAUGGGUUUUUUAUGAAUGUUCAAGUGGGCCCAGGAUGCAAAUGUAAUUAGUGCCUCAAAAGUUGCAAGAUCUCCUGGCAAGAAAAUAAAAGCAUCAGCAUGAUUCAUCAUUUCAGAUAUUCUGUCUUGCAUACUUGAUACCACUAAUUCUUCUCCAAUUGGUGGGCCAAACAACUUCUGAGACAAGUCUUGAUAACCCUCGUUCACCUCCUCCAUAUGCAAGAUGCAGUUUCCUCUCUGCUAUGACACGACCAAGAUCUACAGCUGCCUGAACGAACUCUUUGUACUUUCCAUAGUAAAACCCAGAAAAGCACACAAAUGUUUUUGAAUUGUUUACUCGAAGAUGCUGCCAUUGGACUAAUUUUCAAAAACAAGUUGUGAGUGUUUGAAAAACGAGCUCAUAUUUAAAGAUCUUGGUGACAUAAAUAAUGAGAAACAGCUGUAAAUGGGUUGGCAUAUUUGUCAAAUGAAGAGUAAAGCUCGUGGCUCAAUAAUUCAAAAAUAAACAGUAAAAAGAAAAUAAUGAUUAGAAAAAGCAAACAGUAAAAGAAAACAAUAUUUAUUAAAUACAAAAUCACAUCACUAAAUGCAAUAAUACAAAUGAUAAAAUAACAGUGAAGUGAAAGGAUAUUUACUGGUAGUUGUGAUUGCGGCUCACAUCUUCCUCUGGUUUUACGUCCAGUAACGGCUUGAAUGCCCUCUAUGGGUCGAGGAUCGGCUUGCCAUCCAGUUUUCUUAUAAACUGGCAAACAUGGUCUUUUUGAGUCAGAUUCCCAAGACUAAACUGUGUACUUUAUUUUUGGAAUACUAUCCACAAAUUAUAAAUCUCAUGUUGCACAAAUUCACUUCAAUGCGUCUCAAGAGAUCGUAAGAUAUCAUCCAAUGAUUCUUUACUCAUGCCAUCUUUAACGAAUUUAAUUUUAUCUUUACGAGUAUCAGAAACCAUUCCUAAAGAUUUACAAUCUGGUCGUUUGCAACCAAGUCUUACACAGUUAUGACAUUUUGAGCCAAGUCGUUUAGCUCUCCUUUUCUUAGCAAACGUACUUUUACCAAAACCAGGCAUGUAAGAAACAAAUGGAUCAGAAAACUCACCUGCUAAUCAGACCUUUGCUUCAAUUAACCAACGAAUGUCAGAAGGAAUGCCAUUGAUCAUUAACAAACGCAGUCGUUCACAACGAGCUUUGUAAAUUUUCCUGAGGGCAUUCUGAGGGAGAGAGGGAAAAUGCUUAUUGAGUUUAUGUUGUAUUUCUUCCAUGUUUGAUUUUGGGGUUUCAGUUAUUGUGGGAAACUGAAGAUACCGACUUAAGAAGUCACGGAGUACCGUUAUCCGCCAUUUAUACGGGAAAAUAAAUCAAAACACACCAAAAUCAAAUCUGCAAAAUCAAAUCAAACGUGAAAGCGAGCAAAAAGAAACACACAAUAUAAAAGGAAAAUGAACUUACAUUCGUCCUCUCAUUGAGUUAACCUCAAGCUCUAAUUGAAAUUCAUAUAUGCCACUCUCUACUGUUCUGAGUUGUCCCUCUAAAUCCUCAACAUAAGACACGAAUUCUGGUGGUUGCAGAUCCCAAAGUGGAUGUGAUUUACAGCUUUGUAUCAGGCCUCUUAAGUGAAAUUUCACACGCAGAAAUCUUUUUAGAUGUGCGAACAUGAAUUUUCUCAUUGAGGUGCUCAUGAUGUAAAAUGAAAAUUGAUGAAAGAAUGUACAACUGUCAAACAAACACGCUUACACAAGAAAAACAAUGUUAAAAAAAAUAUGUACAGUGCAUCAAUCUAGAGAAAAAAAAAUCAAACAAUGAAAUGGUAAAAUAAUAGUAAAACAAAAAUAAAUAAAUAAAUCAUUAAAGACUUAAUCAAGAACUGGUAGGUCACCCAAAUUAAUUUCGGUGUCCUCGUCACGUGGGUGAUGUUCCAGAUAUGGUUUUAAUCUUUGACCAUUAACUUUAAAUGUGACACCAUUCUUUGAAUUCUCAAUUUCUAUGGCCCCAUAUGAAUAUACAUUUUUUACAACAAAUGGGCCACUCCAUUUUGACUUUAACUUCCCUGAAAAUAAAUGAAGACGAGAAUUAUAAAGCAACACUUUUUGACCAAUCUCAAAUGUUUUUCGAAAAAUUCUUUUAUCAUGAAAUGCUUUUGUUCUUGCCUUAAUAAUUCUUGAAUUUUCAUAUGCAUCAUUCCUUAAUUCCUCAAGUUCAUUCAAUUGCAAUUUUCACACAUUAUCAGCAUCAUCUAAAUUUGAAUUAAAAGCUUUAAUAGCCCAAAGUGAUUUAUGUUCAAGUUCAACAGGUAAAUGACAAGGUUUACCAUAAACUAACCGAUAAAGUGACAUUCCUAAUGACGUUUUAAAUGCAAUAUGAUAGGCCCAAAGUGCAUCAUUAAGUCUAAGCGACCAAUCUUUUCGGUUUGGGUCAACCGUUUUUUUCCAAAAUUUAUUUUAUCUCCCUAUUUGCUAAUUCAACUUGACCAUUUGUUUGAGGAUGAUAAGGGGUAGCAAUUUUAUGUGUAAUUCCAUAUUUCUUCAUUAAAGACUCAAAUGACUUAUUACAAAAAUGCUUACCUCCAUCACUGAUAAUGGCUCGAGGGAUUCCAAAUCGACUUAAAAUAUUUUCUCUUAAAAAUUUAACCACAGUUUUACUAUCAUUAUUUCGACAGGAAAUUGCUUCAAUCCAUUUUGAGACAUAAUCAACUGCAACUAAUAUAUACACAAAUCCAAAAGAUGAUGAAAAUGGACCCAUGAAAUCAAUUCCCCAACAGUCAAAUAUUUCAAUUUCAAGUAUGGGAUUUAAGGGCAUCAUGUUUCUUUUUGUAAUUGAUCCCAAUUUUUGACAUUUUUCACAACUUUUGCAAAAUUCAUAUGUGUCUUUGAACAUGGUAGGCCAAUAAAAUCCACACUGUAAAAUUUUAGCAGUAGUUUUUCUUGAAGAAAAGUGACCACCACAUGCUUCAGAAUGACAAAAAUUAAUGACACUACUUACCUCAUUAUCAGGAAUACGUCGCCGAAAAAUUUGAUCUGGGCAAUAUUUGAACAAAUAAGGGUCAUCCCAAUAAAAUUUCUUUACUUCAACAAAAAAUUUCUUUUUCUCUUGAGCAUUCCAUUGCAAAGGCAUUAUACCUGUAACAAGGAAAUUAACAAUGUUAGCAUACCAAGGCAUUGAAGUAACAGAAAAUAAAAAUUCAUCAGGGAAAGAAUCAUUUAUGGGUGUUAUAUCAUUGCAGAAUUCGGAUGUGAGUCUUGAUAAAUGAUCAGCAACAACAUUUUCAGCACCCUUUUUAUCUUUGAUGGUAAGGUCAAAUUCUUGUAGUAACAACAUCCAACGAAUUAGUCUUGGUUUGACAUCCUGUUUACUCAUCAAAUAUCUCACAGCAGCAUGGUCAGUAAACACAACAGAUUUAGAGCCAAGCAAAUAUGAACGGAAUUUGUUUAAUGCAAAUACCACAGCAAGUAAUUCUUUUUCAGUUGUAGAAUAAUUCAUUUGAGCACUAUUCAAAGUCUUACUCGCAUAAUAAAUCACAAAAGGCUUACCAUCCCUUCUUUGUCCUAAAACAAUACCAACAGCAAAAUCACUUGCAUCACACAUUAAUUCAAAUAACAAAGACCAAUAAGGAGAUUGCAUAAUAGGUGCAGAUGUUAAAAGACAAAUUAUUUUUUUAAAAGAUUUUUGGCAAUCAUCAUUCCAUUCAAACGGUGCAUCUUUUAAUAAGAGGUUACAAAGUGGUUUAGAUAUGGCACUAAAGUUUUUUAUAAACCUCUUAUAAAAUCCUGCAUGUCCUAAAAAGGAUCGCACAUCUCUAACUGUUUUUGGUUGUGGCAAUUUAGAUAUGACUUCGAUUUUUGCUUUAUCAACUUCAAUUCCUUUAAUAGAAACAACAUGACCCAAAAUAAUUCCAGAAGUAACCAUGUAGUGACAUUUUUCCCAAUUCAACACGAGGUCUUUUUCAACACAUCUUUUUAAAACUUUCUCCAAAUUAUCAAGGCAAUCAUCAAAAGAAUUCCCAAACACAGCCAAAUCAUCCAUAAAGACCUCUAAACAAUGUUCAACCAUAUCACAAAAAAUGCUUAACAUACAUUUUUGAAAUGUUGCAGGAGCAUUACAAAGCCCGAAUGGCAUUCUUUUAAAUGCAAAUGUUCCAAAAGGACAUGUAAAUGUGGUCUUUUCUUGGUCCUCAAGUGCUAUAGGAAUUUGAUAAUAGCCUGAAUAUCAAUCUAAAAAACAGUAGUAGGGAUGUCCUGCUACUCUUUCUAAUAUUUGGUCAAGGAAUGGUAAUGGAAAAUGAUCUUUUCUAGUGGCUUCAUUUAAUUUUCUAUAAUCAAUGCACAUGCGCCAACUAGAUGUAAUUCGCGUUGGAAUUAAUUCACCUUUUUUCAUUUUUAACAACAAUGAUUCCAGAUUUUUUAGGCACUACUUGUGUAGGACUUACACACUUACUAUAAAAAAUAGGGUAGAUAAUUCCCACAUCAAGCAAUUUAAGGACUUCUGUUUUGACAACCUCUUUCAUGUGUGGGUUUAAUCUUCUUUGAGGUUGUUCACAUGUUUUAGCAUUUUCUUCCAAAUUAAUUCUAUGUGUGCAAAUUAAGGGAUUAAUACCUUUAAUAUCAUUUAAAGUCCAUCCAAUUGCAUUUUUAUACUUUUUAAGAACAGGUAGUAACUUACCUUCUUAGUCGCUUGUUAAAAUAGAAGAAAUCACAACAGGAUAAGUUUGUUCUUCUCUAAGAAAAGUAUAUUUCAAUCCUUCAGGCAAAGGUUUCAAUUCCAUUUUAGGUGCUUCUUGUUGUUCUGUCUUUUCAAUACUUCCAAGCUCCUCAAAUUUUGGCUCGUCAUCAUAAUUUUGUGAAGUCUGCACAGAAUCAAGCAACGAAUUUAUAUUAGAAAUAUUUAGUUCAAGUUGCUUAUUUGACUCAAUUGAAUUAACUAAAUAAACAUUUGAGAGUUUAGAAAAAUCCCCUUUUUGAAUAUUUUUCUUGAUACAAGAUUCAAACAAUUCAUUUUGUUCAUCAGUAUCAUCUUCAUUCUCAUUUUCUUUAUUAGGUUGCCUGCACAUGUUGAAAACAUUUAAUUCCAAAGUCAUAUUCCCAAAAGAUAAAUUCAUUAAACCAUUCCUACAAUUAAUCAAAGCAUUAGUAGUUGCUAAAAAUGGUCGACCUAAAAUUACAGGAAUUGGUUUGUAAUUAUUCACAACAGGUUCAGUUUCCAAGACAAUAAAAUCUACAGGAUAGAUGAAUUUAUCAACUUGUACUAAAACAUCUUCCACUAUUCCUUUUGGUACUUUAACUGAUCUAUCGGCAAGCAAAAGUGUAGUUGAAGUUGAUUUUAACUCACCAAGAUUAAGUUGAAGAUAAACUGAAUAAGGAAGCAAAUUAACACUAGCUCCAAGAUCUAGUAAAGCAUGCUCAAUUUUGUGAUUACCAAUAAUACAAGAAAUGGUAGGACAACCAGGAUCUUUAUAUUUCAACUUAUUAUUAGUAGACAGAAUUGUACUUACCUGUUCGGCCAUGAAAGUACUCUUUCUUACCUUCAAUUUCCUCUUAACAGUGCACAAGUCCUUUAAAAAUUUGGCAUAUGAAGGUACCUGCUUGAUUGCAUCUAAUAGAAGAAUGUUAACUUUCACUUGCUUAAAGAUUUCAUAAAUUUCAGAAGAGUGGUUUAUUCAAUGCAUGCGGAAAUGGUGGUUCAGGUGGAACACUAGUUAUUUCUUCACUAGGUGUAAGUUCAUUUAGUCCUUCCUUACCCUUUGAAUUUUCAUUAUUUUCAUAAGGUUCAGGCAUAGGUCUAUCAACAACCUUACCACUACGAAGAGUUAUAACUGACUUGACUUGGUCUGUGGGUGGAUUUUGUUGAAUUUUAGGAUUUGGUUGUGGUUGAGCUGGAAAUUUUCCUUUUUCUUGAAUGGUGAGUGCAUAAGCAAUUUUAGCAAGAGUAUCUUUCAAAUCAGAAAAAGUUUGUGCAUUUUGAUUGUUAAUAACAUCUUGCUUUCUGAUGAAUGAAUGCAUUGUGCCUUCCAGAUUUUUCCAGGGUGGUGGAACAUAUGGUGCAUAAGGCUGAGGAUUUUGAAAAUUUUGUGGAGGUGGUGCUUGUGAAGAUUGUGCAUUAUUAUUAUUCCUCCAACUGAAAUUCGGAUGAUUUCUCCAACCAGGAUUAUAAGUCUAUGAAUAUGAGUUUGGUUUAUUGAAAGUGUUAAUGACAUUAGCUUGAUCAUUUAGACAUUCUUUAAGUGUAGGCAAAGUGGGACACUCUUGAGUGAAAUGAUCAUUCGAACUACAUAUGUUACAUGCAAUUUCUUGAACAUAUUUUACUUGAUCACUCUUUUUAUGCUCCAAAGCUUCAACUUUCCUAACUAGGGAUGCAAAUUUUGCUUGUAAAUCAUGAUCUUCCCUAAGGUUAUAGAUUCCUCCACUAGAUGGAGAUGAUUGUUGCUUAUUUGUCAAUUCAAAAAUUCCAACAGUAUCCCAAUGUUGUGUAUUUUCAGCUAAUUGGUCAAGGUAAUCUAGUGCAUCUUCAGGAUUUUUAUCCCUAAAUUCACCAUUACACAUCAUUUCAACAACCGGUCUACUUUGGGGUAUUAAGCCCUAGUAGAAGUAAGUGACCAAUCGCCAAGUUUCAAAACCAUGAUGUGGGCAUAUGUUAAGCAACUCUUUAAACCUAUCCCAACAUUGGUAUGAUGUUUCUCCAUUUUUUUGAGUGAAAGAAGUGAUUUGCCUUUUAAAAGAAUUUGUUCUAUGAGGUGGAAAUAAUUUUUUCAAAAACUGUUCUUACAUGUUAUUCCAAGUUCUUACUGAUCCAGAUCUAAGGUUUUGUAGCCAAGUUUUUAUCUUUUAAUGAAAAAGGAAAAAGCUUUAAUCUAAUUAUGUUCAUGCUACAAUUUUGGUCCGUGUAUGUAUUACAAACUUCCUCAAAAUCUCUUAGAUGCAAGUACGGAUUCUCAGAUUCUAAACCAUGAAAUGUUGGUAAAAGUUGGAUAAUACCUGGUUUAAAGUUGAAUCGAGAUGCUUCUGGAGGAAAUACUAUACACGACGGUGCUCCAGUCCUGGUUGGAUUCAUGUAGUCUCUCAGAGUUCUUGGUUGAUUUUGAUCAUGCCCAUGUUGGGAUUGGUUGUCUCCCUGAUCAAUUUGAGGGUUAAGUUCGCCCAAAACGUUUUCGUCUUGAUUCUCAUCCAUGAUUGGUGGUGGAGAUUGAGAUCUACGAAUUAACCUGCCACUUGAAGAUCGAGACCAACGUCUCAUGCAAUGGUUAUAUUAUAAAGAUAAUAUUUACACAAAUUGAUAACAAAAUAAAAUUAAAAAAAUUAAAUAUGCAAAUAAUAUAAGUGUACGAAAGAAAAUUAAAUAACAAUUUUGGUGGUUGAACCCACCAAUUAACAAUAAAUUAAGUAUAAAAUAAAUGCAAAAGAAAGAAAAAGAAAAAAAAAUGGUGGUUGAACCCACAAGUUAAAAAAAAUAAAGCAAAAAAAAUACAAAAUUAAAUAAAUACUGAAAAUUAAAUAACUGAAAAUAAAAAUUAAGAGUUAGUAGUUAGUUUGGUGGUUAAACCCACCAAUAAAGCAAAAAUAAAUAAAUAAAUACGAAAUAAAAUAAAUGUAGAAAAUUAAAUAACUGAAAUUAAAAAAAGUUAGGAGUUAGCAGUUAGUAAUUAAGAGUUAGUAAUUAGAGUUAGUAAUUAAAGUUAGUUUGGUCCAAAUUAAGUCCAAAAUAAGUCCAAAUAUGUCCAAAGUAUGUCCAAGUCUUGAUUAUUUUGAGGAAUUUCGUCUAGGGAUUCUAUUGCAAAUUAUUUUUAAUUUUAUGGUCAAACUAUAAUUUUUAGAAGUUUAGAAUUGAGCAAUUUGGGAUGAAAGUGAAAUGAUUGAAAGAUGUUGGGGUGAGAAUGUAAUUACCAGAAGAUUGGGCUAGAAACGGAAAUUGUUGGGGUGAAACGAGAAUUAUGAAAGAUAUGGGGACAAAAGAGAAUUUAAGAAAAGGAAAGGGGGCAAACGACAUUUUACAUAUAAGAGAAAAAUAAAAAACGGAAAAACAAACCAAAUAAAAAAAACUUUUCCCCGGCAAUGGUACCAAAAACUUGACACAACUUAAAAGUAAUUUUUAACUCCCAAGUAUAAGAGUAUCUUAUUGUAUUAUAACUCGAUGAGCCCGAUGUCGAUCUACAGAGAAAAGAUUUAAUUAGUUUCCUUUAUUUUAACUAAAAAUUGAAAUUAAAACUUAAAUAUAAACAACUUAAUUUAAAUGAAACUAUAAAAUUAAACUAGUUAGGGUUAUGGAUCCACUCUUAGAAAUAAAUAAAACUUAAUAAAUUCUUUUUGCCCUUUUUUUACAUUUAUUGCCCAAAAGAUUAAUUAUAUAAAUUAUUAUUAUUUUCCCUUUAAUUUUAUGAUGGAUUAAGUAUUUAUUGUGCCAAAAUUUAAUUUGUCUACAAUAAGUCAAAAUACCAUUUUACCAUACCUUAUAUUAAGAUAUUAAGAAUUUAUUGUGCCAAAUUCAUUUAUUUGUCUACAAUAAAUCAAAAUUUCAAAAUAUAAAAUUAAAUAGAAAAUAAUUUAAUUUAUAAAAUUAAAAAUAGAAUUUGCUUAAAUCAUAUUUAUUUCCUAAGAGUUUCACCUUCCCCUAACUAAUAUUAUUUAGUUAAGCAUAAUUAAAAUAAAAAGAAGUAGUAAAAUUGAAUUACUUAUAAUUAAAAGAAACAAAAACAACUAAAAUUGGAAAUAAAACUAAUUUUAUUUAUAAAAAUAAUUAUAAAAAAUAUUAAAAACACACAUGAAAAUCAAGAUUAUAAGGAGAUGGAGAGAAUUUGAGAAGAAAAGAGUUGUAGAGAGAUGAUUAAAAACAUAAAAAUGAGGCUUUAUUUGUAGAAAAAUAAAUUCAUAAUUCAGUGCUUUGCGGUCCAUCAUAAGCUUCAUGCAUGUGCUCCUCACAACCUUUAGAUCAAGAUCCAAUGGCUGGUCAAACUUCAAAAGUCAACAUCACACGUGGCAUCGUUUGACUCGUCCGAUUUGCCCAAAGAACGGUUGAGAUUUGGCGGGUUAAUAGGUGGAUUGGGUCGACCCGAAUACAAAGAUUCGGAUCCUCCAACUUGCUUCACCAACCAUUGCCACGUGGCACAAUCAUGGCCAUUGAAUCAUGAACGGUUGAGAUUUAGUCAAAAUUGCCAGCUAUCCCAUGCACUCAUAUCUAUUGUAAGCUCAUUUCAUCAUCCAAUCAGUGCUCGGUCAACAGAAAAAGUCAACUUUUUUUACACAAGCUCAAUUUUAAGCCGAUCUUGACUGAUCUUAAGGUUUUUGGACCUCCGGAGUCCAAAUUUGACCUCCGUUUAUCUGUUUGGAGCCUCGAAUUACGUGAAAUCAAUAUUUUUUCUAACAAACACAUAAAAAUACACAAAAUUAAAUAUAUUUAAAACAUAAUUAAUAAUUCUUAAUAUAUUACAUAAACAAAAAUAUAAAUUAUAAUAUAAGCAUAAAAUAACAUAUUAAACAAAAAUAUAAAUUAUAAUAUAAGCAUAAAAUAACAUAUUAUCACUUGAUAAUUAAACAAUUUUUAAUACUAAUCAGGAAACCAACCAGCCUUGCCCUUGCAUUCACCUUUCGACCAUCCAGUAGGAGCCACCUUGAGAAGUUAUAGCCAAAAAAGGUGAGUUAAACAGAAGUUGACCAUUCAAAGACUUGAGGUGAAAUAAUUAAAGCAAAAUAGGCUAAUUCUUUUACUUGAAAAGAGUGAAUUAGUUGUGAUUAUUGAAAUUGGAUUAACCAUGGAAGUAUAACAAGAUAUAAAUUCAUGUGAAAUUCUUAAAUGGAAAUAUAAGAUUAGAGCUCCUCAAUUUGCUUUUAAUUCAGCUAGACAACUAAGAGUGAUUUAUAGGUGAAAGUAGUUUGUAUAAGCAUAAAUUUAAUUUUUAGCAGUUCAGUAAGAGUUAAAUCCUUUUGAAUCAUCAAAAUAUCCAGAUUUAUUUCACCCUUUUGAACAGAGGAUAUAGCAAUUUCACUAGGAUUUAUUGUCAAAGUAGGUAAUGCACAGCAAAGAUUUUUUUAAAAACAAAUAACCUAUAAAAAGUACACACAUAUAACGUAUUAACAAAAUUACUUCAUUCUACAACAAUCCGUUUAUAUUAUAGUAAUUGGUUUAGUCGGCAACAAGCACUAUAAUCCCUUAAAUAAAUUUUUUUAUGUAAUUUUCUAUAAAUUUCAAAAAUCAAUUAAACUGGAGCUAAGACCAUUUCUAGUUUUCAGAUAAAAUAACCAAUCAAACAUUCAAAUUAACAGUUUAGGGUAAACUGCGUCAUUUAGAACUGAGCUAGCAGCCUUAUUAUAUUCUGAUUUGCACUUCAAUGUAAAAGGGAAUAUGUGACAGGAAGAAAGAAAACCAAUCAUCGUUUGUUAACUGAGCUAUCAUUCUUGUAUUUAUAAGCAAAUAUCAAGACUUUAGAUCACCAGCUACAUCAUGAGUGGCUACACAACUUUGCAGUGGUUUGUCUUUUUUUGGCAUGCCUAACUCAACUUCGACAUUGUUGAGAUAUUGGCAGUAGAGACACAUGAUACUUCUAGCUAUGCAUUCUAGCUAGCUCAUCCUGCAACGUUCUCUUUUUAAUUCAUUGGUGUUUGCUAAACCUCAUGCUUAGAAGUCUUGUUCUCCUAAACAAAGUUUCCCUAAGAAUGACUCCUUCAGCACCACAUUUUAACACUUUUUAGAGCAAUUUUAUUGGGGGAAAAGAAUUUUCAAGGUGUUAACUACUAAAUUUUAAAAGAUAAUUACGAUUUUGACCUACAAUCAUAUGACAAUUUAUCUGGGAUGAAAGGAUACAGACAGACAUAUUCCACUUUCAAGACUAAUCACUACUUCUCUAGGUGUUGUGCUAUAUUACAAAUACUUGACCAGAGGGUAGUGAAAAUAGAAAAGAACUUUAUUGCUCUACAAUUAAACUAAGAAUGCAAUGUGUCAAGCAAAAGACUGUGCAACAUCAAAUUGAUUGAUAAGUUUCAAAUUCAGCAAAUUAACAACUUUCAUAGGAGAAUACAACAAAUUUCUUUUAAAAAAAUAAAAAAUUAAGUCUUAAUUAAAAGAUAACAUUCCAUUUUGUUUAUAUCUCUUCUAUGUUAUUUCUUAAGAUUUUUCAAGAGGAGGACAAUAAAGGGACUUUCAACCAUGCAAGAGAGCAUAAGCCUUACUUUCGCUAUAAAGUAGGCAUCAUUAUGAUUAAUAUGCGUUUGUAAAUCAGCUCUAUUUGAAUCAGCAUUCUGAUGGCCACGUAAGGCAUUUACAUCCAUUUCCAAAGUCACAUGUUGCGUGGAGGACUCAUUUGAUUCCUCCUCUAGGAUCAUCUAAUUUGAGUAGCAAGGGUUGGAAGAGAAUACAAAGUCACAAUUAUUCUUUUGCAUAAGAGAGACGAAAAUGAUAAAGGCAAUAUUAUCAGUAGUCAACAAGAAGAAAAUGCUUCAAGGGAUAGAUAGAUGCAGACAAGUGAGUCAAAAUGCUUAGUCCCAAGCCUCAGGAUACAAAUUCUCUACAACAGCAAUAACGUGUUGAUGAUAUGUUUUCCGAGCAUCUACCUGCAAAGGCCCAAGACCAGGAAAGUAAAGAAAGAAAUACACUUGACAUAAAUCUUAACAAGAAGCAUAAUUUAAGACAUAACAAAACCCAGUCAUUGUUUAGAACUACAUUUGUUAUUGUAACAUUUCAAACAAACGUUCACUUAAUUCAACACUGUUGGAAGGAUAGGCUUUCAGAAGUAAAAGAAAGCUACUCGAACCAAAGUGAUUGUCCUUGUAUUAAUCAAGGGAUGUAAACAUCUUACAUUUGCAGGAUGAGUUUUAAUCACUUAUUUAAUAACACAUACCCUUGAUUUAUUAGGGUUGCAGUAAAGUUAGAAAAUAUUGAUCAAAUUCUUCCAUUGAAACAAACUUAGUAAACAAAGCUAAGUGAGCAGCUGUUUGACUUUCAAGCAAACAGCUAAACCAGAUAUUAAAAUUCAAAUAAAAUCAUUAAUAGACUAAUAACAGGCCAUCUUGCAUAAAAAAAUUAAGUUUAAUUUGUGAAUUUUUUUCCUAUAAACAUGUUAGGUCCUACUAUAUUGAAAUGUUAAAAGCACUAAACAAUUAUUCAAUAAAUUAUGCAAACACUAAAAUAGAGACUUAUUAAUUAAAAGAUUUUUGGUUAGUAACCGAGAAUGUCGGAGAGCUCCGAUAACCAAGAACUUCAAGACAACCCUACCCUGCUGAAAGUGCCUCCACCGCCGCUAAAUGAAGAUCAGUCCACUAAAAAGGCGCGUUUUCGCAGUCAUGGUACAGCUGAAGAUAAUCCAACGCCGCUAUCCUUCAAGGAAGCGCUUGUUCCCUCUAACCAACAUAGGAACUUUGAUUCCGCUGAGAUGGAUGAAGACUGGGACUUUGAACCUGGCGAUGUGAUGGUUGGAGAAGAUGACACCAUGCCAACUAUUGUGUUCUCGAAAAGAGUCCAUGAUAAACUGACUAAACCUUGGCAAAAUUCUGUGGUAGUGAAGUUAUUGGGGAGAAACAUUGGGUAUAAGGUUUUAUGUAACCGUCUAAAGGUAAUGUGGCCUAUGAUUCAUGAUUUAUCUGUGAUUGACCUCGAGAACAAUUAUUAUUUAGUUCGUCUCCACUCAACAGAGGAUGCAGUCUAUGCUUUAACAGAGGGGCCAUGGGUUAUCUUUGGGCACUAUUUAACAGUGCAACCUUGGACUCCACUUUUCGACAGCACCGUUACUGAUAUUGCCUCAGCAACUGUUUGGAUCCGCUUACCUGGCAUGGCUUUUCAUUUAUACGACAAGCGUGUUCUGCGGGAAGUUGGACAACUUGUGGGCACAAUUAUUAAAAUUGAUUAUCAUACCGAAUCAAGGGAGAGGGGAAAGUUUGCGAGGAUUGCUGUCCGUGUUUCUCUUUCUCAGCCUUUGGUGUCUCAAUUUAAUCUGGACGGAAAAAUUCAGAAGGUUGAAUACGAAGGGCUGCCAAUUAUAUGUUACCAGUGUGGUAAAUAUGGCCACACCAGCAGUACUUGUCCUGAGAAACAAGCUGCGAAUGGGGCUAGGGCCGAGAGUUCGGUGAGAUCUCCACCAGUCAACGUGACAGCUGAUAAGGAUGGCGCCUCAGCUAUGGCUAAUAACAGUGGUGAGAAAUUCGGUCCAUGGAUGAUUGUGGCACGAAGAGGGAGACCUAAAGGAGUUAGGGACAAGGAGAAUAUCACCGAUUCAGAAAGGAAUCAGCGUAUUAACUAUACUACGGCUUCCCGUUUUGCUGCUUUAGUUGAUGGGCCUGAUACAAUUACUGUGACAUAAAUUGAUGUUCAAGAUCCCACCAUUGUCCCCCCCAACAACCAGCUAAAUCCAUUACCGACCACUUUCACACCCGAAGGAACCACCCUCUGAAAAUCCGUAGCACCCUAAAGCCUCAUAAUCACCUAUCCAAAGCUAAACAAGUGGCCAAAUCACACCUUAAAGCCUCAUCAUCUACUUCCAUGCAUGCAAACUUAUGUCCCAAUGUUCAUAUGGAUCACUCCACCCAUAAUAAUGUCCCGAUCCAGUAUCCCUUAGGACAUCCUUUUAGCUUGCCCGUUGAACCUUCGUUCACCUUGACCACCCUGAAUCCUCACAAGCAUACUGCCGUGACCUUUCCCAUAGCCAACCAUGAGAUUGUGGGUAAUCAACCAGGCUACUCAUGUGGAAAAGUGGCUGAUAACCUGGAGCAGCAACUCUACCCAAAGCAAUUAGCUGAUCCUCCCAAUGUAAGAGAAGACGGAGCUGUUAAUCCGAUGGAGUUUUAUGAUGGUGACCCUCAACUUGCAAUUGGCAAUGAAGAGGAAGACAUUAUGUCUGAUGAUGAAAAUACUAGUGUUAAUGAAACCCCCAGAGUGCAUGGAGGAGGGGCCCUAGGGCCUAGAAUGUAAGGACUCCAUGCUCCCCUGUUUUGCUUAUAUCUUUAAUGAUGUACAAUAUAAUGUUUUGGAAUUGCCAAGGAGCUUUUUUGCCGGGAUUUUGCAGGACUUUUAAGACUAUUGUCAGUAAUUAUAGACUGAAUCUGGUGGCCUUAUCCAAGCCUCGCAUUAGUGGAGUAAAGGCUGAUGACUUCAUUAAAAAAAAUGGCUUCCAGAGGUCUCAUCGGGUGGAAGCUAGGGGUUUUUCUGGUGGCAUUUGGAUUUUGUGGGAUGACAGUUUUGAGGUGGAAUUUAUCAUCAAUCAUAAUCAAUUUAUUCACUUUAAAAUAAUUGAUUUGAAAGGUUGUAGUUCCUGGGUCACAGCAGUUUAUGCGAGUCCGAUACCCAUGGUAAGGAAAAUUUUAUGGUCGGAGUUAGAUAAAGUUGCCAAGUCUGUUGAUGGUCCGUGGAUGAUUGGUGGGGACUUCAAUGCAAUUAGAAGAGUAUCUGAAAAAAAAGGAGGGUCAGCCAGGACAAGUGGUGUGCGUGAACUCUUUAAUGGAUGGUUCCAUCGAAACCAUCUCAUGGAACUUGUCUUUAAGGGACCCAAAUACACAUGGUCAAGAGGCAACUUAUCGAAAAGGUUAGAUCGGGUGAUUUGUAAUGAAGAGUGGAUGAUGAUGAACGAUGAGACAGAAGUUUUCCACCUCCCCAAAUUAAAUUCCGAUCAUAGACCGGUGAUGUUUCGUUGCAAGAAAUACAAUUCCGCUCCUACGGGGGUGAAACCUUUUCGGUUUUUGGCUCCCUAGCUAACUGAUGAGAGAUUCCAACCCUUUGUGGAAAAUAACUGGAGGAGCAAUUUGAACUACACUAAUGUUGUGGAUGAUUUUAUCAACAAACUGGGAAACUGGAAUAAAGAUAUUUUUGGCAAUAUUUUUAAAAGAAAAAAAGAGAUGCUGGCUAGAAUAGGUGGCAUUCAACGCUUUCUGGAGAAGCGUCAGUCUAGGAGUUUAAGCAAGCUAGAAUCUAAGCUAAAGAGGGACCUUGAAAAAGUGUUAACUCAAGAGGAAGUGCUAUGGUUCCAAAAAGCUCGAAGAGAAUGGAUUGUCUGUGGGGAUAGGAACACAACCUUUUUCCAUCAAAAAUCUAUAAAGAGACGCCGACGAAAUAAAGUGGGUAUGAUAAAAAAUGAUGAGGGGCAGUGGAUCCAUGACGAAGCUGAUAUUAAAGCCCAUGCAGUCUUUUAUUUUUGUAAUUUGUACACGAAGGAGGGAGGUGUUCCUGUCCAAUACCCUUUUACUCUUGACUUCCCUUUAAUUGAUAAUGUUGUGCUUAACAAUCUGAUCAGAGGUGUUGAUGAUGCAGAGAUUAGAGAUAUUGUCUUUACCAUGAGCCCAUUGAAAGCCCCGGGUAUAGAUGGCCUUUAUGCCAUUUCCUUCCAGACUCAAUGGCACGUGGUGGGGUCUUCAGUUUGUCAGCUUAUUAAAGAGUUUUUCGCGGGAAAGCAAUUGCCCCAGGAAUUGAACCAAACUCUUCUUGUGCUGAUUCCCAAGAUCAAUAAUCCAUAUUCUCUCAAAUUAUUUAGACCUAUUAGUCUUUGCACAGUGGUGUACAAGACUAUAACUAAAUUGGUAGCUAAUCGCCUCAAAGCCAUUUUGCCGCAAAUCAUUGGCCCUGCUCAGACGAGUUUUGUUCCUGGGAGACAUAUAGUCGAAAACGUCAUCGUUGCCCAAGAAAUCAUUCACUCUAUGAGGAACAAAGGGGGCAAAACUGGUCAGAUGGCUAUCAAGGUUGACUUGGAAAAGGCGUAUGAUCGUUUGAGUUGGGAUUUUAUUCAGGAGACUCUGGGGGUGAUUGGGUUGCCGAUGGAUUUGAUUCGUAUUAUAAUGGAGUGUAUAACCACAGUUUCGAUGCAACUCUUGUGGAAUGGUGAGCUCACGGAGAGUUUUAACCCAUCUAGAGGAAUCAGACAUGGGGACCCUUUGUCCCCGUAUAUUUUCGUCAUGUGCAUCGAGAGGCUAAGUCACGGUAUCAAUCAUGCAGUUGGGAACGGGCGUUGGAAACCCAUCAGGCUUAAUCGUGGAGGUAUUCCUAUUACUCAUUUAUUUUUCGCUGAUGAUCUUCUUCUUUUAGCGGAGGCUUCUAGUCAGAAUGCGCAGGUGAUCAAUGAGGUCUUGGAUACUUUUUGUGUAAGCUCUGGCGAGAAAGUGAGCAGAGAAAAGACCCAAAUUUUCUUCUCUCGAAAUGUUUAGAAGAGCACAAUCCGAGAGAUAAGGAAUACACUCGGAUUUUCAGUUACGAAGAACCUCGGUAAAUACCUUGGUAUGCCCAUCAUUCACUCCCGAGUUACCAAGGCAACUUAUCAAGAUAUUCUAGAUAAAGUACAGCAGCGUUUAUCAGGCUGGAAUGCCAAGCAUCUCUCUCUAGCGGGCAGGAUCACUUUGGCACAAUCGGUAAUACAAGCUCUCCCAGUUUAUGCCAUGCAAUCAACGAAAAUUCCAGCUUCGGUUCUUACCAAAAUUGAGCAAAGAUGUAAGCAUUUUAUCUGGAGUGGAAAUGCCGAACAAAGAACAUUGAAUCUCAUCCGGUGGGACACUCUUUGCCAACCCAAGUCAUGUGGGGGCCUUGGUCUUAAAGAUUUAUCUCAUAUGAAUAUGGCUUUGAUGAUGAAAAUUGGGUGGGGUUUAGUCAACUCUCCUAAUACUUUUUGGGUCCAGGUGCUGGCUUCUAAGUAUAAGGUUGAUACCACUUGUCUUCCUGGCAGCUUACAAACGAGGAACGGGUCUUACUUGUGGCGUGCUGUGGGGAAGGUUUGGGAUCAUGUGUUGAAGGGAACUCGUUGGGCUCUUGGGGAUGGAAAACGAGUGCAAUUUUGGUGGGAUUUAUGGCUCAGUGAGGCUGAUAACUUACAAUCAUAUGCCACGAACCCAAUUCCUGAUCAGCUGAUUAAUUUGUGUGUGGCUGAUUUUUCAGAUAACAAUGGCAACUGGAAUUGGCAUUUAUUUGCUCAUUUGCUUCCCAACCACAUAAUUCUAAAGAUUGCUUCAGUUAAAGCUCCUUGUGCUCUUAGUGGUGAGGAUCAAUGUUACUGGGCUUACUCUAAUACAGGUCAAUUCACGGCGAAAUCUGCGUACCUCUCUUUGCACCAAUCCAAUAAUGUGGCCGAUAAAUCUUUGUGGAAUUUGGCUUGGAAAUGGAAUGGACCUCAAAGUAUCAUAACAUUUAUUUGGCUCGCCAUGAGCAAUAGGCUGAAAACAAAGUCGGAGCUUUUUCGAAGGCACAUUACUAUGGAUGCCACUUGUUGUAGUUGCGGCCAACACUUGGAAGAUACCAUUCAUGUGUUGAGGGAUUGUAUCAUUGCCCGGCAUGUGUGGCUCAGUUUGGUGCCUCAUACUUUAUGGAAUAAUUUUUUCGAUUUGGACUUGACGAGUUGGAUCUACUACAAUCUCAAGAACACGGGUUUGAUUAGGAGAGAUGAUAAUUGGCCCUGUAUUUUUGGUGUUGCUCUGUGGCGGAUUUGGUAUUGGAGAAACCAAUUCAUUCACAAUAAAGAAAUCAUCAGUAUUGCAAAUAUUGUGCUGGACAUCACGCACCGCGCGGCCGAAAUCAAUGCUUCCAUGGAGAAUAUCUGUAGACCAGGCCAUGAAAGGAUAAUCAAAUGGUUGAAGUGGAUGGCCCCACCUUGGCCUUUCUUUAAACUAAAUACAGAUGGUGCUCGGAAAAUUUCAGGAAAUGCAAGUGCAGGUGGUCUCAUUAGAAAUUAUUGCGGAGAAUGGGUUCACGGUUUUGGCAUGAAUAUUGGCCAUUGCACUAUUACUGGGGCGGAGCUUUGGGGUCUUCUUCAAGGAUUGCAACUUGCCUGGAAUAUUGGGAUUAGACAAUUACUUGUUGAAGUUGAUAGUCGAUGCAUCACUGAGAUCUUAGCCACAGAUACCAAUCAUCCCAAUGCUAACUCCUCUCUUAUUCAAGGAAUUAAAAGACUUCUCAACAUGGAGUGGCAGGUUUCUCUGUCACACUGCUAUAGAGAAACAAAUUAUGCAGCUGAUUACCUCGCCAAUCAAUCUCUUCUUUUGCCUCUUGGGGUCCAUGUGUUUCCAACGCCUCCAUCCGGAACUGACAGGUGGCUGCUGCACGAUGUAUGUGGGACUGCUUACUCACGAAUGAUCUUUGCUUAGUUUCUUAACUUCGCCCUUUUGUAUCAAAAAAAAAAAAAAAAAUAGAGACUUAUUAGAAAGUUUCUUACUACAAUGUUAAUAUUUCCUCUAUUUUAACGUUUACAUAAUUUUAAUUUAUUUAAAAUCUACGUCGAUCAACUUUGGGCAUGAUGAUUUUAGCUUUUACGAGAGUUUAUUGGAAUAUGCAUAAGGAGUGUUAAAAUAUGAUGCAUCCAACAAAAGGCAAGCCAUGUGCAGUCUUUUAAUUUAGCCGAAGUAGCAGCUCAAACAAAUGACACUUUGACCAACAUGCAAGCAUGAAGUAGCUAGAAAAAGGACAAAUGCUACUUUGGCUUAAAUAGAAAAUAGCACGUGACUCGACUUUUGUUGGACAUGAAUCAUGUUAUUACAAGACAACAUAAAUCAUUAUCAUUAUAAUAAGAGUUAGCAAUAAGUAACAUGAAGAUAAGAGGCAGAAUGUCAACACAUGCAUAGGCAUACACAAGAAAGUAUUAACUUCUAUACCAUAGCAAAAAGUCUUUGAUAUGUCAUUUGUUGUUGCUGUGAUUCAACUGACAACAUGGCAACUGUCGCUGCUCUACCAAGAGCCAUUACUGUAGAUUUAAGCUCGGUCAAAUUUGCUUCUGCAUUUCGAAGCUUCAUAACACUCUCUGCUGAUAUAUCAGAUUCCCUAAUCUUUGAUCAGCUCCUCAAUACUUCAGCUAAUUCUCAUCUCGCUUUAUACAUGCAUAUGUUACCUCAAAGUUGACCUGGGCUUCAACUUCAUGGCGGAGUUUGUCAUAACGAUGAGUCUGGUGCCGAGCAUCUUCCAAAGGUGCUCCGUUGAUUAAUGCCCGUAGUGGCUCAGAUACCUACAUGUCCAAAAGCCAGUAAUAUAAUUAGAAAAUUGGAAAAAAAAGAUCGAAACCUUAAUUACAAAGUUCCUCCAGCAUAAUCAUGGAAUUUGGGCCUACUUUAAGAACAUAUAUAAGGAUAAUUUAAGCAAUUUUGGGUCUUAGGAUGAUUGGUCUUAAGUUAGGGUCUAUCCUUCUGUUUUUAAGGUCAAAAUAGAAAUAAACCUAUGCAAAUAUUUAAAUUAGUGCUGUAAGAGUUCCACAUGCAUCCUUCAGUCUCAUGGAUUUGAAUUUACUAUAGAUGCAAGCGUCUUUAUCCAAAAUGCCUGGAGUCAAUUGAGAGAACUCACAACCAAUAACUUGUCCCACGGUGGUCUUCACUAGUGAUGUAAGAAGCGACAAGGUUUCUUCAACAUUUGAACAAAAAAAUUAUAAAGUCAUGGAUGUCACUAGCAAUUGUUAAAACAUUAAAUAUUUCAGAGUUGUAACGUUUAAAUGGAUUCUUUUAUUCAAUAUCUUAGAACUAAGUUUCCUUAUGAGAAGAUAAUAGUCUUGAAAGUAAUUUUACAUAUAAUUUUCCAUAUUUGAAUUAUUUUCUCGUUAGGGAUGAAUUUACCUGAUCACCAAGAAUCCCAAGCAAAGUUUCCCUCUCAUUUUCCAUCAAAUCAUGUGAAGUGCCAAAUUGAAAAGCAGCCCUUGCAACACAAGAAUUGUCGCUUUGAUUCUGCGCUCCAUAUUUGCAACAAUCUUCGGCCAACUUUCUCGCUACAAUAUUUGAAUACAAAAAUAUUAUACGCAAAAACUAGUCAAGAACAUUAAAAAAAAUAAAUAAAUAUUAUAACGAAAGCAAGAGCAAACAAACAACCUAUCUCCAUUUGUUUCAAGUUUAGUGCAAUUCAACACCACGGACAAUAUUCCUCUAAAAAUGCUGUGUUACAUAGCAUAUAUUCCAAAUUAUUGUUCAGAUAAAACCAUAAAAACCAUCAUAAUUAUUCAACAUACAUUAAGCUCUGUUUGGUAAAUACUUGUAACUCCAGUCUAGAAAAUAUAGUUGUUUGUACAAUAUUCGACAAAAUUAUUAUUUAAAAAUCAUAUUUAAUUACCAAAAGCCACAACAAAUCAAUAUCAAAACAGAGAGGGUAAUACCUUAGCUGCCCUGGUGGAAUUGUAUAGAUUUUGAAGUUGUUGGUGACACUCAAUUUCAGCUUCAUCAACCGCAACAUUUUCAUUACCAAGACGCAUGCAGCAAAUGCUUCAAUACUGCCUGUACAAAUCAUUAAAAAAUAAUAAAAACAUAAAAUUGAGAAAUUUCACUAAUUGAAAGUUUAAAUAAUUUUUAAAGAAAAAGAAAGAGACGUGCUGCUGCCUGGCGAUUUGUUCGCGGAGCUUGAUUGCCUGUUUCUUGAUAGCUUCCAUAUUGUUUCUUCGGGCAUUGCUGCAAUUGUUUCUUCUAUGUCAGUCACACCCACAUAUCAUUGACACAAGAAAUAAAAAUCUUAGAUCACUUGUUUAAUUAAAGAAUCACUUACAAAAAAGUUUUGCCAUUUUAAUUUGAGGAUCCAUAUUUUGAACUACCAACUAAUGUUCAUCAAGGGCAGAGUAAAAAUUACUUUUGGACAAAUUAUUUUUGUUGAUAGAAGAAUUUCUCAAGGGACUAUUAAAAUUAUUAAUAAAAAUGUCAAACACAUCCACACAUCAUCCCACAUAUCAUUGACACAAUUGAUUUUGAGGAUCCAUGUUUUGAACUACAACCUAAUGUUCAUCAAGAACAAAGUAUGGCUUGUGAGUAGAAAAUUUUCUGAUUUUGCAAAAAGAAAUUAAAUUGAAGGAGAAUCUUUUACUUUCUCAUUAAGAAAGGCAUACGGGGCAUACCAUGGCACCAUACAACACAAGGAGUCUCCAUUCUCUGCUUUUUCAAAAUCUAAAGGGGGCAAUAUUUCCCAAUUUCCCCUUGAAAAUUCUGUUUACAACAUUAUUCAUCACUUGAUUCGAUCAAAGUAGUGACAAAGUUUGGAAAAAUAUGAGUCCUAAGUAAUUACCAAGCAAGGUCCCUGAGGGCAACAUUGUCCUAGGCAUUAUAGACAUAUAUGGUGUGGCACAUGGAGCACAUUGAAUUCCAGACUAUAACACAAACCCUGAAAGACAAGUAACAACUCAAAUGAUACAAAGACAAGAAGAAGUUAAAAUGAUAUAGAACAAAGAAUUUCAAAGACAGAGCAACAUUCCAUACACAGAAGCCACUUGAUCUACUCGUUGAUUGCAGCCUCAAACUUGCAAAUAGUUACUGUAGGCUAGCGCUCUAAGAAAUAAAAUGAUGCAAAACCUUGAUUCCCUUUUGUCUUCGAUUUACUGUCAAACUUAUUACUAGCAUCCACAAUUAAUUUUUGUUCAGCAAUCAGCUUAUUUUAUAGAAAUUGAUUUAGUCAGCAGCAAACACUAUAAUUCUUGAAAUUAAUUUUUGUUCUUUGUAAUUUUCUAUGGUUUUUCAUAAAUCAAUUAAUCUGCAGUGCCAAGAUGAGGUUUAGCUUUUCAAACUAAAUAAUCAAGUAAGCAAAAAUAUAAAUUCAGAGAUUAGAGGGGUAACCUAGCUGGGUGGUUUAGAACUGGGCUAGCUACCUCACUGUAUUCCAAUUUAUAGAGUGGAUUAAUUGAAUCAUGAGAAAACAACGUGGUCAUAGCUCAAUAGGAGAUGACUGCGGAGAGGCAUAUUGUUUUCAAUGAUCUAUUAAGAGAUGAAGUGGAUUGAUGUGGAAAGUUUAAAUAACAAAUCCUUGUUUUUGAGUUUUACGACGUCGUUACUCCUUCCAAGUGGCAGAUUAUGCAAGUGAAUGCAGAGACACAAUGCAUCAUCCACGGGGAUGAUACAGUAAUAGGCGGGAUCAUAGUCUAUGCAUUGAACAGUUACAGUUGCUGCUACCCAUUACCUUGGCAAAGAUCAAGAAGACAGAACAGGAAGCUAAUGCCAUCAAUGUCGUCUUCACUAAAGCUGCUGGGAAUGUAGGUGUAGUUUCCUCAUUUGAAGCUGUCUAUACAUGGGCCUUUCCCCUGCUUAAGUACAAAUAAAUGAACGGCCUUGAAGGCUUUACCAUUCACCCCAAAAAAGAUUACUAAUUGAAGAUGACUAUACAGAGUUAAUCUCACACUUUUGUUCUCUCAAUUUCUUUUAGAAGUCCCUCUGAAAAUAGCUGCCAAAACAGUUAGUCAGCUUUUAUACUCUGUUUUCUGGAAACAGGGUCCUAACUAACUGAGCUGACUGUGCAGAGUAUGUCAAUAUAGCAUAUUUAAUCGUUUUAACAGUAUUUUCGAAUUGUCUUCGCAGUGAUCAUCAACAAACUCAUCACAAGAUUUUUGGAGCACCCUAGGACUAUCACUGGGUUUCUCUUCUGGUUGGUUAAUUAAUUAGUCAAAGAACGGUUGGAUAUCCAAGCACAAUUACUAGAUUCUAAAAUGACUAGUUCACUAUUCUUUUACAGCCCUUUCACCAGUCAAAUUAUUCGACUUCUGGAACUGGGAAUGAAGUGCAAUGAUGAAGCAGCAUUUACAAUGUCUCCGGUUUCUCCUGAAUAUUAGAUUUUUGCAGUGAGAACAUAUAACAAAAAGGCCUCCAUCAACGUAGGUAGAAUCCGGGAUAUGGAUUGGAUCGAGUUUUUGUUUGAUAUUGAAGAACCUCUUUACUAUCCCGAUAUAGAAAAUGUUCUUUGCCUUGUGCUAUGAUCGGUGCUUUUGAUGUUGUCCUGAAACGGUGGAAAAUACUUCGAUAUCCUCCAUUUGAUGAUGCAAAGAACUGGUUAAUGUACUAUUACCUAAUUGACUCAGGAUCAAGUAACAAUGACAAUUUAUUAGUAGUAAUAUCACAAACUAAGAAGAUUUCGGAGAGGGGGAUGUAUGUGUAUACUGUUUACAGCUUUGAUCCAUUGGGGAGGAAGUAGUCUCAAGUUGAAAGUGACUUAUUAAAUAACAAAACAGAGUUGUUCAAUUUACAACAGAUAUUCUCCUCAAGUUCAACGUAAAUAUGGAUAUUAAUUAGAAUCCAGAUUAUUAUGACACACAUAACUUGCUUCAAAAUUAUUAGAAAUUACAAUUGCUGAUUCACAAUGCAUAUAACUUGUAUAUUGAGAUGGAUAAGAUGCUUAAUUUAAUUAAUUUACUUACUUUCAUACACAUCGUCUUUCCAUCUAGAGAAAACUUGGGGGUGAGAACGAUAUGAAGUUGCGAGUUGCUGCCGAUAGCUUCUGAUUAAUAAUAAAACGAGACAAAUUAUCUGUUUGUUAAUAUUCAUUCUUAGAGAGGAGAGUAAAUCACAAAUCUUUAAUAACAAGGAGUUUGCCAUUAACUUUACUUGGCCUUAAUAUUAAUAUUGCCCACCCAAGAAAUAAGAGUGAUUUAAAGUAUUACCAAGACUUCAUUGAGAGGAGCAACCAAACCAACUCCUUAUCAAUUGCGGCAGCCGUCUGUUAACUAAAAUGCCAAUUUCAUACUCGGCAAUUGUGUUUGUUAAGAAGUGACACAGCACUCAGGUGAUGAGUUUACUGUGACCACUAUUCAAGGUAAGCGAAAAUUACAGAUGUGGCAAAAUCAAUAAUUAAAUUCAUAAACUAAUUAAAUUCAUGGAGUUGCACAAUUUCAUCAACUUUGCAAGAAUUGACAUUAAUGGACUGGCGCUCUCCCCAUACAAUUAUAAUUAUAAUCUUUCUAGGAAGCAAAUUUUUAUAAAUUAUUUGUUUUUAAGUUAAUUUCAAUUUCAAAAAAUAAAUUUUUUAAGUUAUGUAUACUCUAAUGAGAGUUUCUUCAUAACAAUUCCCCUACUCCAAUAAUAACGAAAAGGUAGUUACUUAGAAAUAAUUAAAAUAAACAGGGGUUGAUUGUAUAUCCUAAUUUGCAUCGAUUUUUUUUUACCUUAAUUUCAGGAAUUUGUGAAUGGAGGAUGAUCACGCGUGUAUUAAUUUUUCAGUCGUCGAUUGUCGUAUUCUAGACUUAACGAUAGUGUUCUUGAUCAAGGGCAAUGACUCCCACCCCUCUUUUAAAAAUAUUGUCAAGUAUAUUAAUGACAAAAUCUCUUAUAGUUAAUAGUCUUUAAAAAUUUAUAGAAUUACUAUUGUCAUAACUAAAUUAUUCAUGUUUAAUGAAAUACUAAUGCAUCAAAAUAAAGGUGUUCACAAUCCAAUUCGAUCCACUCAAUUCGUUUGAUCUGCAGAAGUGCAAUCCGCAAAAAUUUAAUCUGUGAAUUAGUGGAUUGGAUUGCAUUGAAAAUUUAAAAAUCCGUAGUCGAUAAAUUGGAUAUUGAUAUACUUUUAUAAAUAUACAAAAAUUCACGAAUUCACAAAAAAAAGUAUUUAAUUAAAAAAUAAAACUUAUAAAUGUUGCAUGACUACUUACUAAUAAAUAAAUAAGUUAAAAUGUAGUUAGUUAAUUUAACACCAUAUUAUAUCUUAUUCGAUAACAAUAUAAAAUAAAAAUAAUUAAAAAAAUUAAUAAUUGGAUAAACAAAUGUGGCUUUCUAAACAGUAAAAAUUCUAGACUUAAAAAUUUAUAUUGUUAUUCUAUUUUUUUUAAAUUGACAUUUUUCUAUUGUCUUACAUGUACAGAGAUUUUGAGAGUUGAGAAGAAUAUAUUUGAUGAAGCUUGAUAGCAUUUGAUGGGAUAGUAAGUAAGGGUAAAUAUUUAUUAAUUAUUUUUAUUAAAUAAAAUAUUUUUAUUUGUUAUUUAUUUCUAUUAUAUCUAUUUUAUUCAAGUUAAAAUACUAAAUAUAAAUUGGAGGUAGACAUUUUAACAGAUCAUCUAAGCUCUCAAAUCUGAAAUUUUGUGUAGAUUUAAAUUCAUAAUUUUAGUUAAUUUUCAUAUAUUCAUAUAAACAAAUUUAUGAGAUUUUUUCUUUUCAUCAUGUUAUAUUUUAAAACUUUCAAUGUAUUAUUCUAGCUUUAUUUAAACAAUUAAUUUAUUUUAAUUUUAUUUAAUUUUUGAUUUGAUCAGCAGUAAAAAUAUUUUUAUAUCAAAUUUUUUUAUUUAUAUAGUUCGUGGAUUGGGCAAAAUAAAAAAUUUUUAAUCCACAAAUGGUGGAUUGGAUAUGAAUUGGGUCAAAUCCAUCUUCGAUCUGCAGUCGCAUGGAUUGGAUUUGGAUUGAAUUUUAUCAAUCCAUAUAUUAGAUUGGAUUGAAAAUUUAUAAUCCGCAAAAUCAUGGAUCGGAUAUGGACUAAUGUCCAAUCCGCAAAAUCCGAUCUCCGAACACUCCUCUAUAAAAAUUUUCAAGAAUAUGUUUUAUCUUACAAUUUUUUUUUUUAAAGUCAUAGUCUAAUGGCAGCCCAAUUUCUACCCCAUCCAUAUAAGCGGAGUUCAAAUCUCAUACCUCUUAUCUCCACACAAGAGAUUUAACCAAUUGAAAUAGCUAGCACCCACAAAUAUACUAGUACAACAUCUCUUAACGUUUAACAUACAUAUAAUUAACGUUAUAGCCAUUGAUAAACUCAUUGUUCAUUAUGUGAUCAAGAAUUUGAUCCUGCGAGUAAUAGCGGUAAGAAGAACCAUUAUUGUUGGGGGGACUUAGCAUAAGAUUUCUAGGUAUCUAACCUAAAAGACUAGCCUUUUAGGUGGAGUGACCUACUACCUUAUAAACCCAAGCAUCUUCCCUUUACUAGUCAAUGUGAGACACAACUCAACAAUCCCCCUCUCGGACGAAACCACCGCCAGACUCCGAUCCUUUCGUCUGACACACCAGAGUUGUUCCACCACCACAUUCGGGCUAUUAGGGUUUAGCUCUAAUACCACUUGUUAGGGGGACUUAGCAUAAGAUUUCCAGGUAUCCAACCCAAAAGACUAGCCUUUUAGGUGGAGUGACCUACCACCUUAUAAACCCAAGUAUCUCCCUUUUACUAGCUAACGUGGGACAAAACUCAACAAUUAUAAUGCCUAGCUCUUAUCGUAGUUAAUUCUCUGGCCCGAUGCUUCAUCAUAGUGAUUUAAAAAAUCAACAACAGCUAUCUAAAAGAAAUGAAGAUAUCAUCUACGUAAAGAACAUGAGACAGAGAUCACAACCCAUAAGAACUGAGAUAAAUUGGACCAGACCAGUAAUCUUGAGAUAAGUUAAACCGUGACUUAAGUUGAAAUCAGAUGAUAAAUGGCUUUUGGCCACUUAUUUCUAAUUUCCACAAUUAAUUUCUGUUCAGCAAUCAGCUUAUUUUAUAGAAAUUGAUUUAGUCAGCAACAAACACUAUAAUCCUUGAAAUUAGUUCUUGUUCUUUGUAAUUUUCUUUGAUUUUUCAUACAUCAAUUAAUCUGCGGUGCCAAGAUGAGGUUUAGUUUCAAGCAAAAAUACAAAUUCAGAGAUUAGAGGAGUAAACUAGCUAGGUGGUUUAGAACUGGGUUAGCUACCUCACUAUAUCCCAAUUCAUAGCUCAAUAGCUCAUACAUCAAUUAAUUGAAUCAUGAGAAAAUGUGGUCAUAGCUCAAUAUGAGAUGAUUUCGGAGAGGCAUAUUGUUUUCAAGUUAAUUUGAUCCAUUAAGAGAUGAAGUGGAUUGAAGUGGAAAGUCUAACUAACAAAUCCUUGUUCUUGAUUUUUACGUCGUCUUUACUCCUUCAAGUGGCAGAUUGUGCAAGUGAAUUAAGAAACACAAUGCAUCAUUCACAGGGAUGCCACAUCAAAAGACGGGAUCAUAGUCUAUGCAUUGAAUAGUUAAAGUUAUCUCAAAGAGGACAGAACAGGAAGCUAAUGCGAUCAAUGUCCUUUUCACUAUAUCUGCUGGGAUUGUUGGUGUAGUGUCCUCAUUUGAAGCUGUCUAUACAUAGGCUUUUCCCCUACUUAUGUACAAAUAAAUGAAUGGCCUUGAAGGCUUUACUACUGACCCCAAAAAAGAUUACCAAUUGAAGAAGACUAUAUAGGGUUAAUCUCACACUUUCGUUCUCUCAAUUUCUUUCAGAAGUCCCUCUGAAAAUAGCUGCCAAAACAGUUACUCAACUUUUAUACUCUGUUCUCGGGAAACAGAGUCUUAACUAACUUAACUGACUGUGCAGAGCAUGUCAAUAUUCUUAGUAUAUCUAACCGUUUUAACAGUAAUUUUUUACCGUCUUCGCAGUGAUCAUCAACAAGCUCAUCAUAAGAUUUUUGGAGCACCCAGGACUAUCACUUGGUUUCUCUUCUGGUUGAUUAAUUAAUUAAUCAAAGAACGGUUGGAUACCCAGGGACAAUUACUAGAUUCUAAAAUGACUUAGUUCACUAUUCUUUUACAUUCCUUUCACCAAUAAAAUUAUUCGACUUCUGGAACUGGAAAUGAAGUGCAAUGAUGGAGCAACAUUUACAAUGUCUCCGGUUUCUCCUGACUAUCGGAUUUUUGCAGUGAGAACAUAUAACAAAAAGGCCUCCAUCAACUUGAAGAACCUCUUUACUAUCGCGAUAUCGAAUCUGCGCAAGGAGUUGUCCAUUGUUCUUUGCCUUGUGCUUUGAUCGGUACUUUUGAUGUUGCCCUGAAACAGUGGAAAAUACUUCGAUAUCCUCCGUUUCAUGAUGCAAAGAACUGGAUAAUGUACGAUUACCUAAUUGACUCAGGAUCAAGUAACAACAACAAUUUAUUAAUAGUAAUAUCACAAACUACGAAGAUUUCGGAGACGGAGAUGUGUGCGUAUACUGUUUACAGGUUUGAUCCAUUGGGGAUGAAGUGUUCUCAAAUCGAAAGUGAUUUAUGAAAUAACAAAUCAUUGGUCUUGGGUUACACCUCAUUAUGUCUUCAAGUGGAAGAUGAAGAUUAUGCAAGAUGAAGAUCGAGUUUUGGUUUGAGAUUGAAGAAUUUGAACAGAAAGCCCAUAGAAAGUACCUAAAUAAGCAUAUUCUUGGGGUAGAAUAUGGAGAAAGGAGUUGUCUACUGUGUGUUGCGUAAUUAUGCUAUGAUCGGUGCUUUCAACAUUGCCCUGAAAACAGUGGGAAAUACUUCAUAUCCUCGACAUGAUGAUAAAAAAUUGGUUACCGAUUACGUAACUAACUCAGGUGACAACAAUCCAUUAAUAGCACAAUUUGAGGUGAUGUCGUUUAGGUAUAUGGUUAACAGGUUUGGUUCAUCAAUGAUGAAGUGGGCUCAAAUUAAAAGAUCAUAUAAUAAGUCGUUCUUCUUGGGCAUAUCGUCAUUACUACUUCAAGUGAUCAAAGAUGAAGAUGAAGAUGAAAAUUGUGCAAGUGAGUUCAAGAAUACCAUACAUCGUUACUUGGGAUACUUCUUCAAAUAUGGAUGGGGUUAUAAUUUACUCCCACGAAUUUCAACCCAAUUUUAUGAUUGGAGUGUCCCACCAUGACUCAGAAAAAUUCUGUUUCAACCUCGUCGACCAAUGGAUUUUGAUUAGUCACUUUGUGAUCAAGCAACUUAAUUAAACUCAGAGUUUAAUUUUGUUGGUACUGCAUUUUUUUUAAAAUGUGGCCAUGUAAGGAGAGCGGCACAUAGUGUCACUUCUUCAUCAAGCACUUUAAAGAGGGAUUUUAGAAGAAGAUACAACUGCAAUUGUUUUCGUAUGUAUAUACAUAAACAACAGAACAUUCAGUUCAUAAAAGAAACUAGUGUUUUUUAGGCAAUUUAGAAAUAGAGUUGUUCAACUUACAACAGAUAUUCUCCUCAAGUUCGACGUAAAUACAGAUAUUAAUUAGAAUCUAGAUUAUUAUGGCACACAUAACUUACUUCAAAAUUAUAAGAAAUUACAAUUGCUGAUUCGCAAUACAUAUAACUUGGAAGAUUUGAUGUUAAAUUUUGUCAUUAAAAUUGUAGUAGUAUUUCUAAACACCUCGCAUUUGUAUCCACAUUUUGCAGGAAUUUUGAGAAAUACACGUGUCCGAAAAAUCACACGCAUAACUUGGAGAACAAUUGCGACAGCAGCCGAGUAUAUAUUAACUAACUAAAAUGGCCAACCAGAUUUGCUUAAGAAAUAAAAUUUUGUCUUGUAGUAGUAUUUCCAAGCACCUCGCAUUUGCAUCCACAUUUUGCUGGAAUUUUAAGAAAUACACGUGUCCGAAAGUCUAAUCAUCGUUUUUACUAUUCGAGUAUUGGUAUGAUAAUGACGAAUUUGAAAAGCCACACUGUAAAAACAGUUUGUGAUCUGUGCAUGACGAACCACCAACAGUGUAGUAAGAGCACAGGAAAAAAUCUAACAAAAUUAAUUGCGUCCAUAGAUAUUCAGACGCAAACAAUAAUUUUAAAUAAUAGCAAUUAGUAUUAAUAUUGCCCACCCAAGAAAUAAGAGUGAUUUAAAGUAUUAGCAGGACUUCAAUGAGAGGAGCGAUCAAACCACCUCCUUAUCAAUUGCCGUAGCCGUCUAUUAACUAAAAUGACAAUUUCAUACAAGAAGAAACAACAAGUACAUACUCGGCAAUUGUGUUCGUCAAGAAGUGACAUAGCAUUAAGGUGAUGACUUUACUUUUGUUAUCUUGCUAACAAUGGUAGUCUAAUUUUAGUUUUAAUGUGAUCACUAUUCAAGGUAAGCGGAAGUUACAGAUGUGGCAAAAUCAAUAAUUAAAUUCAUAAAAUAUUAAUUGUUUUCAACAAAUUUUGAGGUAGGAAAAGCCAAAACAAAUCUAGAACAAUAAAUUUGUAUUUUUUGGGGAGACGGGGUACCUCACUAGUUUGUUGUGUGCGGUGUGGUGUAUCUGAAAUCUGGGGGAGGUGAGAAGGGGAGAGGGAGUGGCAAAAAUGGUGAAAGGUCAAAACCAAGAGAGAUAUCCUUCAAAAUGAGCUUCACGCCUGCAAAACAGUGAAAUAGAGGUUAGAGGUGAAGCCGGGGUACCCCGGUGUUCACACUCCGACGCUCAAAUUAGCAAACUCAAGCUUUUAUGGUAAAGAGAGCUAGCUAGCCCUCUAUAAAUUAUGGUUUAAGAUUGAAGAAAACCUAUUUUUUAGAGUGUGAGUGUUAAUGGUGAGUGAGAGCAUGAUGGAGAAUGAAACCUAAGCACCUUUAUAUAUGGAGUACCUCAGCUGACACGUGGCGUACCCUUUUUGGCUAACGUCCUUUUACCUUUUUAUGAUUUUUGGGCCGUUAUGUGCAUGUUCGCGGCGUAUCUCAUCCUUUGGGAACAUGGUGCGCGCUAGAGAGUGGUCCAGGGUACCUCUGCAGUAGCUGUCGGGUAGGCGGCUGAGGACCACUGUCCUUGGGAUAGUGUCCUUCACUUUUGGCAGAGGUAGCAGGCGGCUGUCCCCCCUUUUUGGUACGACGUUCUUGAUUCUUAAUUCUGACAAAAUUGAAUAAUAUCUUUUAAGAUAUGAAGACGUUUCUUACGGCGGAUAUUUUCAGAGGGUUCUCUUGCAUCUGAUUUGCCGGGUACCUCGAGUUACGUGGGGUACCUCAAUUUAUGUGGAGUACCCCUAAUUGUGCGGGGUACCUCUAUUUGUGUGGGGUACCUCUAAUUGUGCGGGGUACCUCAAAUCACGCCGGAUACCUCGGAUUGUGCAGGGUAUCUCGUAUCAUGUCGGGUACCUCUAUUUGUCCGGGGUACCUUAAAUCAUGCCGGGUACCUCGAAUUGUAUGGGGUACCUCAGAUUGUGCUGGGUACCUCUAAUCAACUCGAGUACCUCUAAUCAGACCGGGUACCUCUAAUCAGGCCGAGUACCUCUAAUCAUGCUGGGUACCUCGAGUUAUUCCGAUUACCUUGAAUUAUGUUGGAGUUAUUCUGGGUACCUUGAAUUAUGCUGGAGUUAUUCCGGGUACCUCGAAUUAUACAGGGUACCCCAGUCUAUGCGGGGUACCUCGAGUUAAUCUGGAGUUAUGCGGGGUACCUCUGACCGUGCCGGGUACCUCAAAUCAUGCCGGGUACCUCAAAUCACGCCGGGUACCUCUAAUCUUACGGGGUACCUAUAAUCUUGCGGGGUACCUCAGAUUGCACUGAAGUUAUUCUAUUCGUCGACACAUGGCGUUCUGCUAUCUUUCUUAUUUUUCCCUCAAACAAUAUCCCCCUAGUUUCUUUUGGCGAGAAGUAUUGGAGGCAAAAGAAACUUACAUAAAAAGUAGGAGCGACACGUGGCGAUAUGAAGUUUAGCUCGAUGGGUAGCUGAAUAGAGGAUGCCUCUAGGGGUACCCUCAUGAAGGGAAGAUCUCUGGAGUGAACAAGACUUUGAGGGGACACUUUGAUGAAGUUUCAGAGGAGAAUGCCCAUAAGGUGGAAGACCCUGAGGAGCUUUAAGUUAAGCUUGAGGACUUGAUACCUCGACAUAAGAACAUAGUUGACAAUGCUUUUGAGUGCAUCAUGACCGAAGAAUGAAGUGCUGAUAUGGGGCUGGUGGUGCCAAGAGUAGAGAACUAGGUAGAUAAGCCGGCUAUCUUGAAGGCAAUUGAGAAUAGUAGGGCUCCCCACACAUCUUGGUUUGAAAGCCCAUGGAGAUCAACUAGGGUACCUCAGAUGAAGUCGCCAUAAGGUACCCCUGAUACCGACGCUUGUGUUUUUGCUAUUUCUAACACUUUUGUUGAUCCCCUUAUCCUAAAUAAUGAAGGUGAAGAUAACCAUCCUAUUAUGUAACCUUGUUCGGCAUUACCGACAAGGCGUAUGGGGUACCUCGGGUACCCAUAAGCUUGGAUAUCCCCUGAGCUAUCUGUUACUUCAUGGCGGGAUAACCCAAUUUUAUCAAACAUAUGGCGAUUCCUUCAAAUAUGCUUGCUGUUUAUCUCAGGCUUUCUUAGAGUUCCUCUUGGUGUACACGAGGAAUGGUUUUCUGUCAUAGGGUACCCUGAGUACUAUGGGUACCCUUAAUCUUGUCUCAUCAGUGUAUCGCGGUUUACUUAGACAUGCUUGUUGCGGUUAAUUCAUGGCGGAACAACCCAAUUUCAUCAAACAUAUGGUGAUUCCUCCGGAUAUGCUUGUUGCUUAUCUCAAACUUUCUUAGGGUUCCUCUUGGUGUAUUUGAGGACUGACUUUCUGGCGUGAGGUACCUCAGAGGUACCCUUAAUUAGUGUAUGGCAAUUUUCAUAGAAAUGCUUGCCGCAAAUCUUCACAAAACUUGUGGCGAUUCCUUUUGAGAGAUGAUGGAAAACCUCAUGAUCCACCAUUCUCUCUACAUCAAAUAUGCAAGACAAAUAGUCAUAAAGGUGGGCUGCUCGCCUACCCUUAUGUAAGAUGGUAAAAAAUAUCAUGAUCCGCCAUUCGCGUGGAAUCAAAUAUACAACAUAGAUUGAGAUAAAGGUGGCUGCUCGCCUACCCUUUUGCGAUAUGGUCAAAAACCUCAUGAUCUACCAUUCGCUGGAAUCAAAUAGACAAUAUAGAUUGAGAUGAAGGUAGUUGCUCGCCUACCCUUAUGUGAGAUGGUCGAAAACCUCAUGAUCCACCAUUUGCAUGGAAUCAAAUAGACAAUAUAGAUUCAGAUAAAGGUGGCAGCUCGCCUACCCUUAUGCGAGAUGGUCGAAACCUCAUGAUCCACCAUUCACAUGGAAUAAAAUAGACAACAUAAAUAAAAAUGAAGGUGACUGCUCGCCUACCUUUAUGCGAAAUGAUUGAAACCUCAUGAUCGACCAUUCGCUCAGAAUCAAAUAUGGCGAAUAAAUAAUGAUAAAGGCGGCUCUGAUGUUAAGUAGAUUAGCAUGAUUGGGGAUAAGUCAGGUACCUCUGGUACCCUGGAGUAAGGUGAUCUCUGGAUACCCUUUUGCAUCAUAAUAAACAAUACUUUUACUAGUAGUGUGACUUUUCUUUGUUGGAUCGGUGGCCCAAAUCGAGACUGAAACCGAGUCUUCAACUGGGGUACCCUAUUUUUCAUCUUUGGGUAUUCGAGGAUCCAAAUGUGCCUCCAAUUCACAUUUUGGCUUAAUCUGGUCCCCCUGGGGUACCCCCGCAUAACUCUAGAGUAACUAGUUAUGGGGUACCCUACCACCGAGGCCUCGGUGGUGGCUCUUGCUGCUCUGGUGGUGGCGAUCUUGGAGGUUGGGGUACCCGUGAGAUACCCUAAGUGUUAAACACUCGUCCCCACAGGAUAACCCUUGGAGGGCUCCGCAUUCAGGGUACCCUUGGUAUUGGGCCUUCCAUCAUCUUCGGCUUCUCCUUAUUCUUUGUGACCUCGACCUUAUCUUCUUGGCAAUUCAAAUGAAAUUUCUCAUCCAUCUCCACUUGCUGCAACGCCCAAGAACGGGCUUCCCUAUAUGAAAGUGGGUGCUUAUUUUGAAAGGAACGUCAUAACUUGCCCAACCGUAAAUUUUUCUCGAAAUGGGUCAGUGUUUGUUGGUUUCCAAAUGCUCCGGUUCGCAACACCUCUUGGUGGAAACGGCUCAUAUACUCCGCCAAAGGUUUGGCUUCCCCUUGCUUGAUAAAAGCGAGUUUGGAGGCUACCCUAUCUUGAGUGGAAACAUAGGAAAACUCUUUAGUAAAUUCGGAUAAUAAUUGGUGUAGAGAAUAUAGGUUACCCACCUUCAAGGACUGAAACCAUGACUUCGCGAGGCCCAUGAGUGUGUGUGUAAACAUCCUACACAUGGCAUUCUCAUAUACACCCAUGAUGGAGAAUGAAACCUAGGCACCUUUAUAUAUGGAGUACCUCAGCUGCCACGUGGCAUAUCUUUUUUGGCUAACGUCCUUUUAUCUUUUUAUGAUUUUUGGGCCGUUAUGUGCAUGUUCGCUGCGUAUCUCAUCCUUUGGAAACGUGGCGCGCGCUGGAGAGUGGUCCAGGGUACCUUUGCAGUAGCUGUCGGGUAGGCGGCUGAGGACCACUGUCCUUGGGACAAUGUCUUUCACUUUUGGCAGAGGUAGCAAGCGGUUGUCCCCCCAUUUUGAUACAACAUUCUUGAUUCUUAAUUUUGACAAAAUCGAUUAAUAUCUUUUAAGAGAUGGAGACGUUUCUCAUGGCGGAUAUUUUCAGAGGAUUCUCUUACAUCUGAUCUGCCGGGUACCUCGGGUUACGUGGGGUGCCUCAAUUUAUGUGGGGUACCCCUAAUAGUGCGGGGUACCUCUAUUUGUACGGGGUACCUCUAUUUGUGCGGGGUACCUCAAAUCACGCCAGGUACCUUGGAUUGUGCAAGGUAUCUCGUAUCAUGUCGGGUAUCUCAAUUUGUCCGGGAUACCUUAAAUCAUGCCGGGUACCUCGGAUCGUGCGGGGUACCUCAGAUUGUGCUGGAGUCAUUUCAUUUGUCGACACGUGGCGCUUUACUGCCUUUCCUAUUUUUCCCUCAAACAACAUCUCCCUAAUUUCUUUUUGGCGAGAAGUAUUGGAGGCAAAAAAAACUCAUUGUAUGAGUGACACGUGGUGAUGCGUCUGGACCGGGGAUACCUUGCGUAGUUUCUUCCCUUGACAAAACUUUGUGUACUGUCGAGCUAAAAAAAUCUUCUCUUUGUCUUUUCCCUUUCCCGCCACUUUUCUUUCUUUUUUUUUUACUCAACUGCUGAUGAGAACGAACAGUUGUCUUUAUGUCUCUCUCCUGUUUUCUUGGGAAAUGGCAGCCUUCUAACACACAGUUUGAAUUUUAAAAAUAUCAAUCUCACACAAACAUCUCUUACCUCCUUUCUUGUGCAGUGUGUUCUGUCAUGUUGAAUUAAAAACCCCUGACGUGAAUGUCAAUCUCCUCUCAUUUAUUUUGAAAAUCCCCAAACGAUCUCCCAAAAGUUGAUUAUCUCCAGUGGCCUUCUUCUUUCAACAUUUCGUCUUUUCUCCUAACUGCAUCAAUAUUGCUCACAGGAAAAAAUUUCUUCUUUACUUUUUUUUUUUGCGUUCGUUCGUCUUCCCUUGGGCUUUAUUUUCUCUUUACUUUCCUUUUUUUCUUUUAUUUCCUUCUUCUUCCUUUUUCCUUCUUUCCUUCUCUUUCUCUCUCGGUCGGUGUUCAUCUGGUGCGUUUUCCGGCGUUGAUCUCGGCUGCUGCAGUGGCGGUUUUGGCUUCAGAUCUGGUCGGUUCAAGGCAGUUUUUCGACGGCUCAUGACGAGAUCCGACCUGGCGGUAGAUACGGUAACCUCCCUCCCUCGUGUCUUCAUUUUAUCCUUACUUUCUCUCUCUUCUUUCUCAUUUUCUUCUCUCUUUCUCUUCUCUUUUUCGUUUCGGCCGGCGUUCUCCUUGGCGAUUUCUGGCGUCAGUUCGGUGGCUGCAGUCGCGGCAGCUGGCGUCGGUUCAAUGGCUGCAGUCCCCCCCUCCGUGUUGUCUUCUCCGUUCUUCCUUUUCUCUUUUUUCCUUUUUUUUAAUUUUCGGCAGCGUUCUCCCUUGGUGGUUUCCGGCGUCCUUCUCGCGAUCUCCGGCGUCGGUUCUCGGUGGUUGCAGCCACGACAGUCGACGCCGGUUGCUGCAGCUUCCCCCCCCCACCGCGUUGGUUUGGUUCGGUAGCUGCAGCUUCUUCAUUUUUUUAUAAAUAAAAUGAAUUGACUAAUUUCAUUUGUGCUUGAAUAAAUAAAAUAAAUUUGCAGCUUCUUCGUUCUUCACACCAUUGGUUUUUAUACUUGCAUAUUCUUACUUACUGGUUUUGGUUGCCUGCAGCUUUGUCUUCCCACGAUUACCAAUCCUGAUCCGUCAAGUUGGUAAAUCAUAGGUAUCCUUCCUCGUUUCUCCUCCUUUGGCGCAUUUACAAUGGCGUUAUUUUGCAUACUCUGAGAAAAUUUUGUUUGUUUGUUUGUUUUUUUUUUUUUUUGUGGUUGGUGUUUGCAUUUGAUGGUUGAUGUGUGGUGGGUGGUGUAUGGCAUGAAAAUAUUGUUGGGGGAAUUGUGGCUUGGUGGUUACAUUGUUGGGAGAAUUGUGGCUUGGUGGUUACGUUGUUAGGGGAAUUGUGGCUUGGUGGUUAUGUUGUUAGGGGAAGUAAAUAGGCAAGAAACAUACGGGACCUGUGAGGAAGCGACGUGCAAUUGGGGCUAGUAGGUUUGACAGCCCUCCUGCGCGUUCUCCUUCCCACAUCUCCAUUACCGAGAGGGAUAGGUCCCCCCUAGUACCUCUAGGAGUUGUAACUCUCAUUUUGAGCUCCCUCCUCUUAGGAGUACUCCUCGUGUCAGCCCACGCCACUAAACGGCCAACCCCCCAUCCUCGAAAGAAGGGUAGGUCAUCAAAACCUAAGGUUCCAGCUCGUUCCUCAGACCGGCCUCCCAAAUCUCCCCCUGCCACACCUUCAAAAUCUGGCAACCUUUAUUCCCUAGGCACUAGGAGGGCUACUUUGGGGGACUUAGAACAAAUUAGAGCCAAAUACAAUAUUCCUCCGUCUGUCCAGCUUAGGGUACCCCAUGUGGAUGAGCGACCUGAGUGUCCGAAGUCUGAUGGGAUUGCUCUCCACAUUGACCUCUUUCAUCUAGGACUUCGCCUGCCCCUCCAAUCUUUCUAGAUGAAGAUGUUUAGUUUUUUGGGGGUAGCUCAUGGGCAGCUGUCCCUUCCAGGGUGGAGGACACUUACGGGCUUACAUGUGUUAUAAUUGGAGGUAUUGAGGCGCAACAUUUCUAUUCAGGAAUUGAGGGGCCUCUACCAAUUCAAAAAGCCCAAGGGUUCCGCUAUUGCUUACUUCUCCGCUUGGGGUGAUCAUAGUCAUAUUGUUGAGGGGGACCCUACCUUGAAGAAGGGUUACCGAAAGGGGUGGUUCGUUGCUGAGGGUAGGUGGGGGACAGAGACUCUAGGUGAAAAGGGCAACCCCGUGGAGGUUCCAAAUUCCUUCAAUGUAGACUGUAAGUAUCUUCCUUGUUUACGGUUCUUUAUUGUAAUAUUUCGCAUGAAUGUCUCGUUAACCUUGGGUUCCAUGCUUUUGUAGGUGUGACGUGGGCUAAAGGAUCAUGCCUACUUCAGGAGGUGAAAGAGUUUGUGGAGAGGCUCCGAGGUGCACAGAGGGGUAGUGAUGUGUUAGAGGAGAGCAAAUUACAGAGAGCGGGGUUGAUUGACCGAAGUCCUCCAUCUGCUUCUGGGGAUGACUCAUGUAUGAUUCUGAAGUCGGGGGGUACCCUAUUAUUAUCUACGGGACUGGGGUACCCCGUUAUCACCGCAUUCUUUAUUUUGCUUCCCCGCUUUUAAUUUCCUAUUUUUGCUUUUAUAGUACUUAGUACUUGUCCGGCUAACAUAACGUUUGUGCAUUGGGUGCAGUUAUGGAGUCGGCGGGUGACGCCUUUGAUACCUUUUUCUAAGUAGUUGUGUGAGGUGCUUCUAGAUCUCAGGAUUCGGCGGUACCCCAGAAAAGUUCCCGGCCACCUCGAGCUCCCGGACUAAAGGGAAAAUUCCAGGGUACCUCCCACAGUGGGUCGAAGGGUACCCCUCGUUCAAAAAAGAGAAAAUUCGGGAUGGUUUCUGCUUUCCCCGAUGAAUUGCGUGAAGGCGACCUAGACCCGGCCUCCAACAAGGAGGUUUCACACUUGGCUCGGUGUUUCUACUAUUCUGCUGAAAAUGUUACCUCCGAGGUGGCUGAAGAGACAGACAAGAUGAGCUUGAGCCAACACUAUGUCAGGCACUCAGGGCUACCCAAGAGGUAAGCUUUAAUAGGGUACCCCGGGUGUAUCCUCCAUUUUUUAUUUAUUUACUCCUAUUGCCAUACACAUAUAUUUAAAAUGUCUUUUACGACCUGCAGGCAUCCUAUUUUCUCAGCCACUGUCUUUCAGAUCUCGACUCCCUUGUUGCCGCCCAAUCGGAGGUUGACAAGUUAAGGGGUGAGCUUCGAAGUCGUCAGUCUUACGAGAACGAGCUUGCUCGAGAAGUCAAGACUUUGCGGGAACGCAUUACUGGCCUUUCUGGAGAGAAAUCUCGAGUGGAGAAAGAUUGCGACGAGUUGAGGGCCACAAACUAGGAUCUGUUAUCCCGACAAAAGACGAUGGCAGAGGAUGCAUUCUCACUCAUCAUGACGGAGGUGUGGAGUGUGGAUCCGAAAUUAGAGGUACUCCAUGUGCAGAAAUUCGUCAACAAGGCCACGAUUCUGAAGACGAUUGAGGAGAGGAAUAAGUCUUCCCAUGCACGGUCAGGUACCCCUUCCGAGUCGCCUAGGGUACCCCGCGCGCUUCAGCCGUUGCUCGCCUCAGAUGCCCCUACUUCGGCUGCUCAUAUUCCAGGUACCUCAGAGUCCUCUGCUGAUCGCCCUCUGGAGACGGACGGUAGGGAUGGCGUUCCACCCUCGGUGUAACCUUUUCACUGUGCUCUUAUUUUUUAGAUCUAUCCACAUUUUGCUAUUUCGAACUUGUUUCUUUCUUUUUGGUUUCUUGGGAUAUUCUGUAUUAUUGGGACUUCUCUUUUGUUAUGAUAUCAUGCCACCGAGCCCUUUUGUACUUUGCAUUCUUGUUAUUCUGCAAAUGAAUGUUUGGCUAAACUGUUAUCUUGUAAAUUUUCAGGGUACCUCUCAUUUUUCUUUUUUCUUUUUGAAAUGGGGUACCCCCGGUACCUUAACAAAUAUUCGACAUCAGGCGCCUGCUGGUUUAUACAGAUUAGCGAAUUUGGUGCAUGCCCUUCUCGGCAACCAUGGCGGAUUUCCCAUAAAUAGGUAAUCAAAACAUCAUCGCGACAUCUCGAUCAAAAAUUGAAAGUGCGCAAUUGGUCCAACCAAUCAAUUUCUUAUUCUUUCGAAGUUCUCUCCGAAUUUUUGAAUAGCUUACCCCCUACUUUGCUCAAGUAAGAGGACGGAGGUGUGGGUGUUCUCAUACCUAAGCUGAACCUCGUGCCGCUGGGGUAUGCCGAUUUUACUCCAUCCUCGGCUCCUCUUUGACCCUCCCUCUCUUUGUCUAGGUAGUUUUGUCAUGCUUCCGCAGAAAGACUACCCCUGGGCUGUUCACUCCGUUGCCCAUCUUGGCUUUACAUAGAUCGUCAUGAUCUAGGCAUAUCAGGUACCCUGGCUGGUCCUGUGAUAGGUUAGUUAUAAUUGACAAGCGUAUGGCGAGAAUUGCAUAUAACCAAAUGCGAGGGUAUAUUAAUGGCGAUAAAUGAAUAUAAUCCGCAUUCUAAGAUCGAAGUGGCGAAAAAUAAAAAAGAACCCACAUCAUAUUUGUUGAGAAAGAAAAUGCAUUUAUAGAUAACGAAAGCGUUGAUCAAUACAUGACUUAGCGUUGUUACCCUGAGGAGAAUGAGAGACCGCAAGACCUCCUAUCCUUUUCAUUUGAAAAUUAAAGAAACUUUAAAGUUGCAACUGACCAACAUAAGGCAUUCGGGGUACCACAUUUGGCCUACCACGCAAAAACAUUAAAUAAAGCAAACAACAGCAAAAGCCUAAAGGUUAAGACACUAUCCUUUAGUAAUAUUUCCGUAGCAUUGCAGCAUUUCAGGGGUGCCUCACGAUUGUCUUAUUCAUAUGGAGUAGCUAUGCCAAGGUUGGUGACGACUGCAAUGGUGUGAGCUUGAAAAUAUGGUCUGAGCUUCCGUGCGGAGACAACCAAUGCCAAAACGACCUUUUCACAGGUGGGGUACCUCUUUUCGGCAUCAACCAUAGCCUUAUUAGUGUAGUAAAUAGGUCGUUGUACCUCAUUAUCAUCCUCUCGGAGUAACACGGAGCUGGUGGCAUACUCGAAUACGGUGAGAUACAACAGAAGCACCUCUCCCGGCUCAGAUUUGGCAAGUAGUAGAGCAUUCACGAGGUACCCCUUCAGUUCUUGAAAAGCCUCUUCGUAAUCGGGUGUCCAUUGGAGCUUCUUGCCGGUCUUCAAAGCUUUGAAAAAUGGCUUACACCGGUCUGUAGCCUUGGAGAUAAAGCGGCUCAGGGUAGCUACCCGGCCUGCCAAGCUUUGAACCUCCUUGAUGGUGCGUGGCGAUUUCAUGUCAAGAACCGCGUGAAUUUUAUCGGGGUUGGCCCAAUCCCCCGUUAUUGUACCAUGAACCCAAGAAAUUUCCCCAAGGUAACCCCAAAUGCACAUUUUUCAGGGUUGAGCCGCAUCUGGUGUCUUCUUAAAACUGUAAAAGUAUCUCUGAGAUGCCCCAGGUGUUCCCCCAUAUGUACCGAUUUAGUGAUCAUGUCAUCUAUGUACACCUCCAUGGUGUGCCCGAUUUGUUUCUUGAAAAUUUUGUUCACUAGCCGCUGAUAGGUAGCCCCGGCAUUCUUCAAACCAAACGGUAUAACCUUAUAACAGUAUAACCCGCGGUUGGUGAUAAAGGCCGUUUUCUCUUAAUCGGGUUCAUACAUUGGGAUUUGGUUGUAACCGGAGAAGGCGUCCAUAAAACUAAGCAUCUCAUGCCCCGCUGUUGCAUCAACUAGCUGGUCUACCCGGGAAGCGAGAAGCUAUCCUUGGGGCAGGACUUGUUCAAAUCGGUGAAGUCCACACACAUACGCCACCUUCUGUUUGAUUUCCUGACUAGAACAACGUUGGAUACUCAAUCGGGGUACACUGCUUUCUGGAUAAAUCUUGCUGCUAAUAGGCAGUCUACCUCUUGUUCAAUUGCAUCGUACCUCUUUUGGUUGAAGGUGCGACGCUUCUGUUUCACCGGUUUAUUAUGUGGGCUGACAUUGAGUUUGUGACAAGAGAGGAAAGGUGGGAUACCCGGCAUAUCUAAGCGGGACCAGGCGAAUACAUCGUGGUGCUCGCGUAGAAAGGUGAUGAGCCCCUCUCUUUGUUCCUCCGAAAGAUUGGAGCCUACUUUCACGAUCUUUGUUGGGUCGGUGGUACAAAUCGAGACUGAAAUAAGGUCUUCAACUGGGGUACCCCGUUUUUCAUCUUUCAAUAUUCGGGGAUCCAAAAGUGCCUCAACUUCACAUAUGGGCUCCACCUGGUCCCCGUGGGAUACUUUUGACCUAUCCCCCGCAACUGCUUCUACGCCCAUUGGUGAGGAUUCCAACUGUUUUCGUGGGUGGGCUACCUGAGGAGAUUUUUUGAAUACCACUCUCCGCUGUCUAGCAAGUACUCGCUUUGAGGGAUAAGGUGUGGGCUGGCUGCCACUGGGGUACCCCUUCAUUGGCGGAUCAGAAGCGAUUUGAUAAGUGACUUUGGAGGCCAUGAAGUAACAUCCACGAGCCGAUUGCUGGUCCCUUUUAAUGGUGAUAACUUCUUGGGCGGACGGGACUUUCAUGGCGAGGUAGUGCAUGGAUACCACCGCUUUAGUUGCUAUUAAGAACGGCAUACCCAAUAUGAUAUUGUAGGCACCCGGGUGAUCUACAAUAAGAAAAUCAAUCAUAUGAACAACACGGUAAGGUACUUUACCAAGUGUAACGGGCAGUGUAAUGAUGCCUUUUGGUAUAACCAUAUCUCUGGCGAACUCAAUAAGAGGCGUAGCAUAAGGGAUGAUCUUUGGCGACUCUAUCAGUAGUUGAUCCAAGGCGCUUUUGAAAAUGAUGUCAACGGAGCUGCCGGUAUCUACAAGAGUUCUUGCUACCUUACCGAUGGCAACCUUCAACGUAAUUUACUAAGGCAUCGUCAUGGGGGUACGAGAUACCCUCCGCAGUUUUUUCUGUAAAAAGGAUAGGCGGGGGAUGGUGGGGUACUUUCGGUGUACCCCAUUCAUUAAGGUUGACUUCUCUGUCAAUAUUAGUGGUUAUCGACAACGAUCUACCAUAGCCUUUGAUAGCCCUCCUAGAUUGGCCCGCUAAAGUAGGUCCACCCAUAAUCAUCCGGACAUACACGCCUUUCUUAUGUCCCGGGAGUACCUCUCGUUCAGGACUGCCAUCAGCUACCCGCUUGCCCUUAUCCUGCUCCGUGGAUUUCCGAGCUUCUCUCAUGCCAGCAACAAAUUCUUUGAGGUACCCGCUAAGAAUCAAAGAUUCAAUUUCCUCUCGCAAGGUAAAAUACUCGGCUGUGCUAUGACCGAAGUCCUCAUGGAACUCACAAUACUUCAAGUUAUGCUUCAUGUUGGGGUACUUCUUCAUUGGCUAAGGAGGACGAAGGAGGCCGCUAUCCCGAAUAUGGUAGAAGAUCUGCUCUGGGGAUCGAUUCAGUGGAUGGUAAGAUUCGUACCAAGGCCUCGGUGGUGGCGAUCUUGGAGGUUGGGGUACCCUGAGCGUUAUACCCUCGUCCCCGCGGGGUAGCCUGUGGAGGGCUCCAUGCUCAGGGUACCCGCGGUAUUGUGGCCUCCAUCCUCUUGGGAUUCUCUUUGUUCUUUGUAACAUCAGCCUUAUCUUCUUGGCGCUUCAAUUGGCAUUUAUCGUCCAUCUCCACCUGCUGCAACGCCCGGGAACAGGCUUCCCCAUAUGAAAGUGGGCGCUUCUUUUGAAAAGAACGCCAUAACUUGCCUAACCGUAAAUUUUUCUCAAAAUGGGUUAAUGUGUAUUGGUUUCCAAAUGCUCCGGUUCGCAGCACCUCUUGGUGAAAACGACUCAUAUACUCCGCCAAAGGUUCGGCUUCCCCUUGCUUGAUAAAGGCAAGUUUGGAGCCUACCCUAUCUUGAGUGGAAGCGUAGGAAAACUCUUUAGUAAAUUCGGAUAACAAUUGGUGUAAGGAAGAUAUACUACCUGCUUUCAGAGAGCGAAACCAUGACUUCGCAGGGCCCGUAAGUGUGUGUGUGUAAACAUCCUACACAUGGCACUCUCAUCUACACCAUUGAUAAGCAUUUAGUCGCGGUAUAGCUCAGCAUGCUCCGAGGGAUCAGUGACACCCGAGUAUUGGGGUAUUUGAGGCAUGGCGAACGCCUCGGGGAGAGCUGCCUUCCGAAUCUCCAUAGUGAAUGGCGAUUGGUAGGUCAUUGGCGUUGGAGCAGCUGUGAUGUUUUGCUUCUCGGAGAGGAGCUUCACUUGGGCUUCCAGGUUCUCCAUUUUUUUCACAAGUUCGUGGGGUACCCUCGGGGUACCUGAUGAUGUCGCCACCAUUUGAGAAGCCCUUUUGGCGUUUAACUUUUCAUAGAGAUCCUCGUGGGUAUGCUUUGCACGCCUCGUACCCUGGCUGCUGCAGGAAUUGCAAGAGGCGGUGGAACACUCGUCUCGGGAGCCCACGGUAUGAAACUUAAAAUGGGUACCCGAUGGCCUAUGCUUUGGCUUGUUGCCCUCGGGUACCUUUUUUCUGAUCAUAACUUGGUCGUCCUUUUGAGGUGGUAGAGCAUCUAGUGUCACUGGUGGAAGUGAACUUUCGGGUGCCCGAGAUCCAACCGCCCUAAGUAUUGCAUGGGCAAGAUCCUCAAAAUGCUUGUGGGAGAUGGGUUCAUCAUCUUGGCGGAUACCCGUUGAUUGCUUGAUACCCUUGCCCUUGCUGAGAUGGGCUACCCUUCUUACGGUAUCACUACCUUCACCGCUGUUGUCAUCUCCCAUCCUUGUAGGAUCCGCCAUUAAACCUUCGGGAGGUGCGUCAGGUGCCAUGUAUUGGAGUACACACAACAACUAGUUUGGUAACUGCGGUAGAGGCUUUUUGUACGCUUCCCCACAGACGGCGCCAAUUGUUUUCAACAGAUUUUGAGGUAGGAAAAGCCAAAAUCUAUCUUGAACAAUGAAUUUAUAUUUUUGGGGGAGAUGGGGUACCUCACUUGUUUGUUGUGCACAAUGUGGUGUAUCUAAAAUUCGGGGGAGGUGAGAAGGGGAAAAUGAGUGGUAACAACAGUGAAAGGUCAAAACCAAGAGAGAUGCCCUUCAAAAUGAGUUUCACGCCUGCAAAAUAGUGAAAUAGAGGUUAGAGGUGAAGCCGGGGUACCCCGGCGUUCACACUCCGACGCUCAAGUAAGCAAACUCAAGCUUUUAUGGUAAAGAGAGCUGGCUAGCCCUCUGUAAAUUAGGGUUUAAGGUUGAAGAAAACCUAUUUUUUAGAGUGUGAGUGUUAAUGGUGAGUGAGAACAUGAUGGAGAAUGAAACUUAGACACCUUUAUAUAUAGAGUACCUCAGCUGCCACGUGGCAUACCCUUUUUGGCUAACGUCCUUUUACCUUUUUAUGAUUUUUGGGCUGUUAUGUGCAUGUUCGCGGCGUAUCUCAUCCUUUGGAAACGUGGCGCGCGCUGGAGAGUAGUCCAGGGUACCUCUGCAGUAGCUGUCGGGUAGGCGGCUGAGGACCACUGUCCUUGGGACAAUGUCCUUCACUUUUGGCAGAGGUAGCAGGCGGUUGUUCCCUCCUUUUGAUACGACGUUCUUGAUUCCUGAUUCUGACAAAAUCGAAUAAUAUCUUUUAAGAGAUGGAGACGUUUCUCAUGGCGGAUAUUUUCGGAGGAUUCUCUUGCAUCUGAUAUGCCGGGUACCUCGGGUUACGUGGGGUACCUUAAUUUAUGUGGGGUGCCCCUAAUUAUACGGGGUACCUCAAAUCACGCCGGGUACCUUGGAUUGUGCAGGUAUCUCGUAUCAUGUUGGGUACCUCAAUUUGUCCGGGGUACCUUAAAUCAUGCCGGGUACCUCGGAUUGUGUGGGGUACCUCAGAUUGUGCUGGAGUCAUUCCAUUUAUCGACACGUGGCGCUUUACUGCCUUUCUUAUUUUUUUCCUCAAACAAAUAUUAAUUAUUGUGAUUAUUUAUUCAAAAAACUAUAAUUAUUAAUAUAUUAUUGUUAAUAAAAUAUUAAUAUAUUAAUUAAUAGUAAUAAUUUUAUUAAUAGUUAUUAUAAUAGUAUAUUAACUAAUUAAUUAUAAGCUAAACCGUGACUUAAGUUGAACUCAAAAGGACCAGAAUUUAAAAACAUUUCGGGUGAGCCCUUUAGGAAUUUUCUAAAGUACGGCUUCUGCUUAGCUCUGUUUAAUUUCUCUUAUAUUUUUAUACAAAAAGUCUCCGUUCUCUGCCUUUUCAAACUCUGAAGGGGGGCAAUAUUCCCUAAUUCCCCCUUGAAAAUUCUGAUUACGACAUUAUUCAUCGCUUGAUGCAAUCAAAGUGGUGACAAAGUUAGGAAAAAUAUGACUCCCAAGUAAUUACUAGGCAGGGCUCCUGAGAGCAACAUUGUCCUAGGCAUUAUAUGCAUACACGAUGUGGUACAUAGAGCACGUUGAAUUACACACUAUAACACAAACCCAGAAAUACAAGUAAUAACUCAACUGAUGUAAAGACAAAAAUAAUAUAAAAUGAUAUACAAAAAGAAUUUCAAAGAGAUAGCAACAUACAAUAGACUGAAGCCACUUAAUCUAUUCGUUGAUUGCAGCCUUAAACUUGCAAAUAGUUACUGUACGCUAGUGCUCUAAGAAGUGAAAAUGAUGCAACUGAUCCCCUUUUGACUUCCAUUUACUGUCAAAUAUUCUAUUCAUACGAAAAAAAUGUUCAGAUAUCUUGCUAUAAAUAUAGCCGUUUGACUGUCAAAAGUCACACACAACCAUUCUUAUUAAAUUAGCAAAGAUCAAACACUGCCCUAGAUCUUGAACAGACCAACACAAGAUGCACAACUUACGAUUGAAUCCGGCCAGAAACAAUCAACUCUUUAGCAAGAACAAUUAAUCAGAGUCAAGAAACAAGUUUAAUGAAUAUAAACCUAUAAUUGAAACAAACGUAGCCAAGAAACAAAUAGAGAUUUUACAUGUUUCAGUUGUACCAAGGAUGGCACAACCUACACCAUGGGAGAAGCUUUCUGGUGAGAUUUUAUUGAUGAUCAUAGAAGAAUCUAUAACCCUCUCUCCCUGUUCAAUCUCUUUCUAUUUUGUUCCCAGUGAUGACCCCAAUCUGCUUAGUUAGCCAGCUUUAUAGCUGCAUCAGUAACAAACUAGCAAACCCAGAUUGAGCAGAUUGACGACACGUGGAUAACGGCUUUAACGAACCUGGCGAAGAACUGCUCACAUGUUCGUCACGUGUGUUACUUUAAUGAUGGCCAAAACGACUUCAAACAAAUGCCGUUUUGAAGCGUAUGAAUCAUAAGUGAAAACACGUGCUUGUCUCGUGACAUUUAAAUGCAGCAACAAACCCAAAACGCUGUCGUUUUACUCUGUUGAGUUUGAUUCAUCACUAAGCUUCACGACUAGCAAUGGAGAAGAUAUAAUUUAAUUGACAUGAACAGUUUUUAUAUGACUUUUGUAACAUCCUAUGUAAUUGUGAUAUUUGGAAUCAUGGGUGUUCUAUAUGUGAACCCUAGUUGGCAACACUAGUGAUUUUAUCCUUGUUGAAAUGUUACUAUUUUGUUGUAGAUAACUUUAUUCCCACGAGAUUUGUCAUUGUUGUAGAUAACCUUAUUCCCAUGAGAUUUGUCAUUGAAAUUAACACGUAGUUUCAUUGCAUUUCUGCUUCAUUAAAAUUCUCAAGUACCAGUCAGGUUUGCUUAAUUAAGAAAUAAAAAUUUUGCCCACCUUGCAUUUUCUAUUAUUUUUCAUAAAUCAAUUAAUAUGCAAUGUCAAUAUCAAGUUUAGUUUUUUAUACUAAAAAAUAAAGAAAGGAAACACACAAAUUCACAGUUUAGAGGGGUAAACUAGAACGUUCAUCAUACAUAAUUGCAUAUCAUGAGACAGUGCUACAGUCUACUGAGAUCUAACUUACAUGAUAAUUUAAGCUACUAAUGUUUGCAUAUUUCUACAUGUUAAAUUAACACGAACAUCUAUAAUCACUCCAAAACGACAGAUGAUAAGCGGCUUUUGGCCACUUAUUACUAGCAUCCACAAUUAAUUUUUGUUCAGCAAUCAGCUUAUUUUAUAGAAAUUGAUUUAAUCAGCAACAAACACUAUAAUUCUUCAAAUUAAUUUUUGUUCUUUGUAAACUAGCUAGGUGGUUUAGAACUGGGCUAGCUACCUUACUAUAUGGGAAAUUUUUAACCUACCCCAAAUAAAUUGAUAUUUUGCACCGCGCCCCUAAUUCCGUUAAUUUUUCAAUUAUUUCUAACGGCUCCGUCUAACUUUUGAUUGAAUGACAAAAAUGCCCCUCUAUAUGAAAAAAAAAACAAAAUUUUUAGCUCAUUUAAUUUUUUUAAGGUUUUUAUUUCAAUUGCAAUAAAAAAAAAUUUCUUAUUACAUGUACAUUUGUCACCACUAUUAUUUUUCCUUUAAUUUUUUAAAGAUUUUUAUCUCAAUUGCAAUAAAAAAAAUUUCUUGUUACAUGUACAUUGUCACCACUAUUAUUUUUCCUUUAAUUUUUUUUAAGAUUUUUAUUUCAAUUGCAAUAAAGAGAAUUCCCAUUAAAAUUAAUUUAAAGAAUGAACUUUCAAUUUUACCCCUCCACUAUUAAACUUAACUGAAAAAUUAACGUAAUUGGGGAUGCAGUGCAACACGUCAUUUUUUUUUUGGUGCGCGGUGCAAAAUAUCAAUUUAUUUGGGGGUAGGUUAAAAAUUUCCCUUACUAUAUUCCAAUUUGUACGGUGAAUUAAUUGAAUCAUGAGAAAACAAUGUGGUCAUUGCUCAAUAUGAGAUGAUUUCGGAGAGGCAUAUUGUUUUCAAGUUGAUUUAAUCCAUUUAUAAGAGAUGAAGGGGAUUGAAGUGGAAAGUUUAAAUAACAAAUCCUUGUUCUCGAGUUUUACGACGUCGUUACUCCUUCGAAGUGGCAGAUUAUGCAAGUGAAUUAAAGAACAAAAUGCAUCAAUCACGAGGAUGCUACAUCAAAAGACGGGAUCAUUGUUUAUCCACUGAACAGUUACAGUUGCUGCUACCAAUUACCUCGGCAAAGAUCAAGAAGUCAGAACAGGAAGCUAAUGCCAUCGAUGUCGUCUUCAUUAUAACUGCUGGGAACGUAGGUGUAGUUUCCUCAUUUGAAGCUGUCUAUACAUAGGCUUUUCCCCUGCUUAAGUACAAAUAAAUGAACAGCCUCGAAGGCUUAAGUACACUUUCGUUUUCUCAAUUUCUCUCAGAAGUCCCUCUGAGAAUAGCUGCCAAAACAGUUACUCAGCUUUUAUACUCUUGUCUUCCGGAAACAGAGUCCUAACUAACUGACUGUGCAGAGCAUGUCAAUAUUCUUAGUAUAUCUAACCGGUUUAACAGUAAUUUUUUACCGUCUUCGCAGUUAUCAUCAACAAACUCAUCAUAAGAUUUUUGGAGCACCCAAGGACUAUCACUUGGUUUCUCUUCUGGUUGAUUAAUUAAUUAAUCAAAGAACGGUUGGAUACCCAGGGAGAAAGGAGUUGUCUACUGUGUGUUGCGUAAUUAUGCUAUGAUCGGUGCUUUCAACAUUGCCCUGAAAACAGUGGGAAAUACUUCAUAUCCUCGACAUGAUGAUGAAAAACUGGUUACCGAUUACCUAACUGACUCAGGUGACAACAAUCCAUUAAUAGCACAAUUUGAGGUGAUGCCGUUUAGGUAUAUGGUUUACAGGUUUGACUGAUCAGUGAUGAAGUGGACUGAAAUUAAAAGAUCAUAUAAUAAGUCAUUGUUCUUGGGCAUAUCGUCAUUACUCAUUACUACUUCAAGUGAUCAAAGAUGAAGAUGAAGAUGAACAUUGUGCAAGUGAGUUCAAGAAUACCAUACAUCGUUACUUAGGAUACUUCUUCAAAUAUGGAUGGGGUCAUAAUUUACUCCCACGAAUUUCAACCCAAUUUUAUGAUUGGAGUGUCCCACCAUGACUCAGAAAAAUUCUGAUUCAACCUCCUCCACCAAUGGAUUUUGAUUAGUCACUUUGUGAUCAAGCAACUUAAUUAAACUCAGAGAGUCAGAGUUCGAUUUUGCUGGCACCGCAUUUUUUUUAAAAUGUGGCCAUGUAAGGAGAGCGGCACAUAAUGUCACUUCCUUAUCAAGCACUUUAAAGAGGGAUUUUAGAAGAAGAUACAACUGCAAUUGUUUUCGUAUGUAUAUAUAUAAACAACAGCACACAUUCAGUUCAUAAAAGAAAUUUUUGCUAACCAUGAUAUGUGGUAGUGCUUUUUAGGCAAUUUAGAAACAGAGUUGUUCAACAUACAACAGGUGAACUCCUCAAGUUCGACGUAAAUACAAAUAUUAAUUAGAAUCCAUAUUAUAAUGACACACAUAACUUGCUUCAAAAUUAUUAGAAAUUAAAAUUGCUGAUUCAUAAUGCAGAUAACUUGGAUGAAUUGAUGUUAAAGGAAAAAUCACACGCAUAACUUGGAGAGCAAUUGCGACAGCAGCCAAGUAUAUAUUAACUAACUAAAAUGGCCAAUCAGAUUUGCUUAAGUAAUAAAAUUUUGUCUUGUAGUAGUGUUUCCAAGCACCUCGCAUUUGCAUCCACAUUUUGCAGGAAUUUUAAGAAAUACACGUGUCCGAAAGUCAAAUCAUCGUCCUUACUAUUCGAGUACUGGUAUGUUAAUGACGAAUUUGAAAAGCCACACUGUAAAAACAGUUUGUGAUCUAUGCAUGACGAACCACCAACAUUGUAGUAAUAGCACAGGAAAAAAUCUACCAAAAUUAAUUGCGUCCAUACAUAUAUGCAGAUGCAAACAAUGAUUGUAAAUUCUUUUUUUUUAAAGAAAAAAAAUAAGAAAAUUGUAUAUUGAGAUGGAUAAGAUGCUUAAUUUAAUUAAUUUACUUACUUUCAUACACAUCGUCUUUCCAUCUAAAGAAAACUUGGUGGUGAGAACGAUAUGAAGUUGCGAGUUGCUGCCGAUAGCUGCUGAUUAAAAAUAAAACGAGACAAAUUAAAUUAAGGACAAUGAUACAGAGCAUACUUAUCUGAAUUGUGCUAAACUUUCAAAGAUUUUGUCUCACGCGUGCAUGUAUAUCAUUUGUGUUUAAGAUUUAAUUAGUUAUAGUUAUAAUUAUUAGUCAUUUUAUAUUUAUUGAUUCAUCUAUACUGGAUAAAUUUUGAUGGAUUUAAAAAAAAAAAAAAAAAACUCGGUUGCCGAAAAAAUAAAAGAAAAGAAAAUGUUGAAUCUUACAUUUUAAUAUUUAGUUAAUUCUCCUUUCGAGCGUCUUCUUAGGCUUAGCAAACUAACUUAAAUUCUGCUAAUUUCUGUUAAAAAAAUUUGAUGCUGGCACUAAAAUGUUAAAAAAAAAAUGGUUUCUUAGAAAAGAACAAGAAAAGAAAAAUUUCAGCAUCUUCUACUCAGAAUUCUUUUCGUUGUUUAAGACUAUGUUUAUGUUUUCCAAAGAAAAGAAGAUUUUUAUUUUUAGUGACUAAUUUGAUUCUUAUUGGAUGAAAGGGGUGCGAUUUCAAUGAGAAAAAUGGGGAACAAAAUAAAGGAAGAUGAAAGAAUUGAGGGGAUCAUACACGUGGUCUUUUGAAGCUUCCUGAGAAUCGGAAAUGUAUCAACUGCAACUGUUUCUUAUGCCUUUUGCAGUAUUCUGAUAAUUUUAGUUUGAGUGGUUAAGAUAUUAAAUAAUCCAUUACAUUGCUUCCUAUUUUCUUGAUCGACUUACAUGAUCCUAGAUCUAAUGUAUGUUUCUUAUUGGCAGGGACCUCAAUAUGUUUGCACAAACUGCAGUGGAGUACAGUAAGUGUUGAUACAAAUUCUGAAAUUCUUAAUUCCGUCUGCAUACUGUGAAUAGCCUCUGUUUUAAAUUCCAACUUUUCCCAGUUUCAGCUCGACAUUUUAAAGCCAUUCUACGUGAUUCUUAAUUAUCUCUAUUGAAGCUUUAAUUUUAAUGAUGCUAGCUAUAUUUGUAUAAUUUAUAAUCGGUCCGGCCACCAUGUACUAUCUUUUUAUGAUUAAAGCAUCUUCAACAAGAUUUUCUUCAAUUUUCUCCAAGAGGAGCUGGAGCUGUGUCUCUGAUUAGCCAACGAAUUAGUUGCAAUUAAUAUUAACAUUGCCCACCCAAGAAAUAAGAGUGAUUUAAAGAAUUAGCAAGACUUCAUUGAGAGGAGCGAUCAAACGACCUCCUUAUCACCUGCGGCAGCCGUCUAUUAACUAAAAUGCCAAUUUCAUACAAGAAGAAGCAACAAGUACAUGCUCGGCAAUUGUGUUCGGUAAGAAGUGACAUAGCAUUCAGGUGAUGACUUUACUUUUGUUAUCUUGCUAACAAUGGUAGUCUAGUUUAAGUUUUACUGUGGAAGUUACAGAUGUGGCAAAAUCAAUAAUUAAAUUCAUAAAAUGUUAAAAAAUAAAACUUAUAAAUGUUGCAUGACUACUUACUAAUAAAUAAAUAAGUUAAAAUGUAGUUAGUUAAUUUAACACUAUAUUAUAUCUUAUUCGAUAAUAAUAUAAAAUAAAAAUAAUUAUAAAAUAAAUAAUUGGAUAAACAAAUAUGGCUUUCUAAACAGUAAAAAUUCGAGAGCUAAAAUUUAUAUUGUUAUUUUUUUUUAAAUUGACAUUUUUUCUAUUGUCUUACACGUACAUAGAUUUUGAGAGUUGAGAAGAAUAUAUUUGAUGAAGUUUGAUAUCAUUUGAUGGGAUAGCAAGUAAGGGUAAAUAUUUAUUAAUUAUUUUUAUUAAAUAAAAUAUUUUUAUUAAAUAAAAAAAUUUAUUUGUUAUUUAUUUCAAUUAUAUCUAUUUUGUUCAAGUUAAAAUACUAAAUAUAAAUUGGAGGUAGACAUUUUAACAAAUCAUCUAAGCUCUCAAAUUUGAAAUUUUGUGUAGAUUUAAAUUCAUAAUUUUAGUUAAUUUUCAUAUAUUCAUAUAAACAAAUUUAUGAGAUUUUUAUUUUCAGCAUGUUAUGUUUGAAACUUUCAAUGUAUUAUUCUAGUUUUAUUUAAACAAUUAAUUUAUUCAAAUUUUAUUUAAUUUUAAAUUUGAUCAGUAGUAAAAAAAAUUUUAUAUCAAAUUGUUUUAUUUAAAUAGUUCAUGGAUUGGACAAAAUUAAAAAAUUUUAAUUCACAAAAUUAUGGAUGGGAUAUGAAUUGGGUUAAAUCCACAUUCGAUCCGCAGUUGCAUGUAUUGAAUUUGGAUUGAAUUUCAUCAAUCUAUGUAUUAGAUUGAAUUGAAAAUUUAUAAUCUGCAAAAUUGUGAAUCGGAUAUAUAAACUGAUGUCCAAUCAGCAAAAUCCGAUCCCCGAACACUCCUCUAUCAAAAUUUUCAAGAAUAUGUUUUAGCUUACAAUUUUUUUUUUAAAGUCAUAGUCUAAUGGCAGCCCAAUUUCUACUCCAUCCAUAUAAGCGGAGUUCAAAUCUCAUACCUCUUAUCUCCACACGAGAUUUAACCAAUUGAAAUAGCUAGCACCCACAAGUAUACUAGUACAGCAUCUCUUAACGUUUAACAUACGUAUAAUUAACGCCAUAGCUAUUGAUAAACACAUUGUUCAAUAUAUAUGAUCAAGAAUCUGAUCCUGCGAGCAACAGCAGUCAGAAGAACCAUUAUAAUGCCUAGCUCUUAUCCUGGUUAAUCCUCUGGCCCGAUGCUUCAUCAUAGUGAUUUAAAAAACCAACAACAGCUCUCUAAAAGAGAUGAAGAUAUCAUCUACGUAAAGAACAUGAGACGGAGAUUCACAACCCAUAAGAUCUGAGAUAAAUUGGACCAGACCAGUAAUCUUGAGAUAAGUUAAACUGUGACUUAAGUUGAAAUCGGAGGACCAGAAUUUUAAAAUCUUUCGGCUAAGCCCCUGAGGAAUUUUCUAGAGUACGGCUUCUGCUUACCUCUGUUUAAUUUCUCUUUAUAUUUUUCUUUCACUUCAUUAAUAAAGUCAAAUAAUAAAUCAAAGAACGAGGGAAGAUUUUUCCAAGUCAUGCAUUAUUUGAUUACCAUCAAUCAAGAAACCGACCAAAUUAAUUUCUCCCCGUGAUUUUUAAAAAUUAAAAAAAAAUUAUUUGAACAUAACAUCAUUAAUUAUAGAGUGGAUCAAACUGCGUUAAUCAUGAAACUGAUACCUAUUAAGAGUCAUACUUUUUACUUAUGCAUACUAAAAGACAUCAAAUUGUUCCGAUCCCCAAUUAUUUGAUCAGCAACUAUCAAGAACUAACCAAAUUUAUUUCUUCAUGACUUCCAAACACUAGAAAAUUUUGUUAUUUGAUAAUAAUAUCAUUAAUUAGAGUUUAUCAAACCGCAUUAUUUUCUUUCAUAAAAUUGAUGCCUAUUAGUGUCACACUUUAUUUGUAUUACCUAGCGGACAUCAACUUUUUUUUUUAAAAUUAAAAAGACCAUUUGAUUUUAACCCAUGUCCUUGGCCUUAGGGAAGCUGACUUCUUUUAUAGUCGAUAUCAGCUUGAACUUUGUUGUGUAAAUUAUUUCAAUCCCCGAUUAUGCAAUUUUUAAAUUAUAGCCUAACGGCGGUCUCAUCACCAUGUGUGUGAUUUUCUUUUGCCAAUAGGAUCUGCAGAGAGCUUGAUCUCACCCAAUAGCAAAAUAAACUUCCUAAUAAGUGAAGGCAUAGUAUAAAUAUUUCACCCCCAUAUUAUUUAUUAGCAGCUUGAUUAUUUUAUAUGCAUCUUUGAUUUUUAUUUUUUUUUCCCAUAAUUGCUACUAUGUUCGAACUGGUCAUGAAUUAUCUAUAAGAUUUUUCAUGUUGCUUUUAGGUGCAUUGGAUUUUUUUUAGUUUAGUGGAAGAGCAGAGGAAGGCAAAUUAAGAAAAAGGAUAAAGAUCUAUAAUUAGCUUCUCAUAACAUAUUGAUGGUAACAUUAUACAUAUGUAUAUCUAAAUAAUGGGUUGGAUCAGGAGCCCAUUAAUAAUCAUAGAUUAGCUCAUAUAGUUAAAAAAAAUGUACCAUAAAGCAAUUUCACAAGCACUUGUUAGCCUAUGUUGAGCUUUAUUAUCAAUAGUUCAAAGUUCAUCAGUGCACUGCAAGUUUACUAUUUGAAGUAAAUGUUAUGGUGCGUGCAUUCUUCAUAAGGCCAACUAUUGAAUUUAGCAUUGAAACUUACAAAAUGUAAUAGAAAGAGGUAGAUAACAGCCAUAAAACACUAAGAUUGGAAAUCAGGGCUACUAAAUACUAUUACAAGCCCUUAGAAAAGACAGUGAUCAUCUUAAAAUGUAUAUACUAAAAGUAAGAAAUAUUAAUCGCAAAGUUAUGUGUCAACAGAACUAUUAACUACUUGUCUCUAGUAGAAAGUAAAUAUUUUUAACUUCAGCUCUCUACUUUGUUUUAAGAGCUAGGCAAAAGAAGGAAAUUUCGAUGUCUAAAGUUUGCCACUUGGAAUAUUUCACUGUCUAAACAUUCACUCACCACUUAUUUCAUCAACGAAUUUUGUCUAAUUAUAUGUUGAUAAAGAUAUUAGAGUAAUAUAAUGUGUUUAAAGCUUAACUUAUAUUUUUUAUUAGUAGAGUGUAGAACUUUUAAGAAAUAAAUUAUUAAAUUACUAUAACUAACAUAUUAUUUUAAAACAUAUUAUUUUAAAGCUAUGUUAAGGAAAAGAAUGAAACAAAAAUAAAUAAAUAAAUAAGGGUAUUCUAAAACUUUGAUCUUUUUAAAAGUAGAUUUUGACAUAGAUAAAAUAAUUUUUAUAUUUUUUAAAUCACAUACUCUAGUUAAAAUCAAAUUUGUAUUUAUAAAGUUUGUAAAUUUUUUUUUUUUUUAGCACUGAUAUUUGAACACUAUCAAGAUAAGAAAUAGGGUACUGGUCAUGCUACAACAUUAUUAUAGCACGUAAAAAGACAAUACCAUUUAUUUUAUUGUACUAUCAUUGUUGAUAUAAUAGUAUUUUGUUAGUGGUCAAAUAUUAUUUUUUUAAGUAAAAAAAGUGAACAAUGUAAAUUAACUUUUAAUCUCUCCUAAAAUUCUAAUUCCUAGUUACGAAACAAAAUUGUUUAAAAAUCAUUAGGCUAACUGCAUGGGUUCUUAAAACCAUAGGUGAUAGAAGUUACUAACACAAGCAAAUUUGACGGUCCAUUUUAUAAAAUUUGUUAUUUACCAUUUUACCACCUAUAUAAGGAGUGCCGCAUCGACAUAUCAACUCAUUUGCAGAUUAUUUUAAUUUUGUAAAAUUCAUUUAACCUGCACUUGGUCGCCCCUAUUCUCUGAAUGGUUAUGGCGAUAUCAUCAUUAUCGUUACUUGUACCAACGCUAAACCCUUCUUAUUCCCUUUCUCGCCUGUCAUACCCUAACAUUAUAUCCCGUGUCCACACUAAAGACAAGUAGUCAAUUCAGGCCAUCAGAUUAUAGUGGACCCACAUCAAUCCAACUGCUCACAAUGACCGACAGCCUCUCCAUCUCCAUUUCAGGUUUCCUCUUCAACUGGCUUCUGCUUCCGCCGUAUUUGCUCCAUUUCUUGGAUUCGGAGUCCGUAUUUGGUCGGUCGGUCCCGCACAGCUCCCUCUCACUCCAAUUGUCACCCAACAAGACCAAUUGCUUAAUCAAGGCACAGAACAAGAAGAGGAUGGGAAAUUGAAACAAGAAUUUGAGAAUUGGAAAUCGAAAACGUCCGCAUUGACCGUGCCUUUGAGGGCAAUUACUUUUCUUGAGAAUUGAAGUUUGGUAAUGUAAUUUGUUCUCCAUCUGUGUUCCCUUUGUAGUCAUUUCAUUUAUUUGUUUGUUUGCUUUUAUUUGCAGGAGAAAUUGAUCCUCGAGAUAAAAGUAAAUUGUCUUUAAGCUCAUUUAGUUUUAUAUCAAACAAAAUCAAGACUGCCUUUUUCUUCAAUAGUUUUGAUGAUAAUAUCUUUAGAAGCAUCUCAUUGACAGGUAAUCGUGGUACCCCUUAAAGAGUCUAUAAACUCAAGGAUAUUAUCUUCUGCAAAUGGUUCAUUAAACUUCUUAGAUGUAGUUAAAUGUACACUGAGAACAACGAGAAGCUAUGCCACUGUAGCAUGUAGUGAUGGCACUUAAUGAGUGAGUUGCUAGGAUAUGAACUAGAAAAAUUAAACAUUGUCUCCCUGGGUAUGCUAGCUUGUAAGUCGGUUAAUAUUAGAGCUUGAGAUACUAUAACCAUGAGAAGCUAUUGACCGCCGAUUAAAAUAUCCAUUAAAAUGUCUAGGGAGUUAUGAAGGUGGAGGUGUCUCCCAAUUUCUAAGGCCAUAUAGUAGACAUCAUCCAGGAUCCUAUUAAAGUGCAGUUAGCCUCCUGCUUGAUGCUAAUGUCAAACAAUUAAUAAAUUUGGUCAAUGUAACUGAAACUUGCUAACUGACGUCAGAUUGCGACUUGAGCACCUUAAAAUGGGAUAGACGAUUAGUAGCACUGAAUUCUUCUUGCCUAAGAUUGAGCAAUUGUUCUAACUACAAUCUCCUAUUGUAGGUUGAUUAUUAUGUUCUAAUUAUGUCGAUUUUGACCCAAAAAAUUACAUAAUCUUGAUCUGCAUAAUGUCACUGAACAGUGUCAAUUUCGUUUACCAACUAACUUGAGUUUGAUAUAACAAACACACGGUGUGUCUCUCAUGUCUCACCAUGAUGGAGAAUUUUUCUAAUGCAUGAAGCAAGCUUCGAUAUGUGGGUUAGCUUGGAGAAGAUAUCUUAAAAUGAAGAAUAUGGGGAGUUAAUGGGAAGAAACAGUUCAGUAGUUUAUAAUUCUGUCGUCGAGCUGUAUCUCUAACAUGGUCAAAAUUUAUGUGAAUAAGGACAGGGAAUCUUCAUUCCUCUUUCCCUUUUUAUACCCACAUAUCUCUCAACCUUUAUAUGUUGCUCACUGGAGAUCUGCUUCUGAUAACUAAAAUAAAAAUUUCAUCCACUCAAAUAAAUUCUGACCAAGCUUUCACAAGAAAAAGUAACAUCUUUAGUGAAGUAAUUUACAAGUAAUUUAGAGUUCCUUAUCAUCUUCUUGUGAGUCUAUCAGUAUGAUCCAAAAACAUAAUAAAUCUUGUUAGAUCCUGUUUAUUGAUGUUUAAACGCUGCUCAUUGUGAAAUGUAGAAACAAUGACGUGAAGUUUCUUUGGUCAUCAAUUAGUGAGAUCUUGUUUGAAGUUGUUUUCUGAAAUGAACUGCCAAAUGAUAGUUUUUUUUUUUUUUUUUCUUUGGACGCAUUUGAUGGCUCUUUUCUCCUCAUUUUAAGCAUGUGCCUGCUUGGUAUGGGAAGGAAUAGGCUUCAGAGUUGUUAUAUAUGUUGACAUGCUCUGGUCAUUACACAAUAUGUUCAAAUUGGAAAUUAGAAUGAGAUAUUUGUCGAUGCUUUUUGAGAGAUCUGCAUUCUAUGCAGCAUAACAUGAUUAAUGAAAACGGGUUUAAGGACUGGAAAGAUCUGUGGCAGCCCAAGCUUGCAGGAAGGAUUUCAAUGGUUAAUUCUCCCAGAGAGGUUAUUGGUACAGUUUUGAAGUAUAUGGGAGCAUCAUACAAUUCAAACGGCAUUAAUUAGCAAGUUGCUGCUGGGAGGAUUGCUGUUCAGCAGAAUCUGGCAUUACUGGGAAACCAGGUACUCUUAAAGAAACGAUAGCUGGUCAAUGCAUAUUAUUGCCUGACGGCUGAUUUUGUUUGUAAAGUGUGCCUUUUCAUACAUAUGAAUGCAUAUGUUAGUGUUGUCUUCUCCUUUCCAUAAAUAUGAAUGCAUAUGUUGGUGUUCUUUUCUGAGAUGGAUGCAAUAAAGGCUUUUUCUUCUAAAUGACGAGUUUUCAUUUAAAAAUGUUAUAAAUCUGCCAUGCAUAGUAUUCUAGUAGAAUCAUCUAUAAAUUCAAGUUAUUGAAAUUGUCUAUUUGUCCAGUUUGAGUUAAGGACGCAUGUAAUAUGAAAAAUAGUUGUCGAAUAUUGUAGGUUAGCUAAUAUUUGAUCAAUCCUAUAGGGAGGGCUUUAAGAUGUCUAACAACAUGUAGAAUGCCCCUGCUUCCCCCACAAUUUUUAUCUUAUACAAUUUUUAUCUAUAAACAGUAUUUGCCAGACCUUAACUGUUCAGAUUCCCCUUCUCGACUAUCAUACCCUACGCCCCGUCUCCGUGUCUCCGAUAAACAGUGCUCAAUUAAGGCCAUCAGAUUAUCCCGGUCCCACAUUGAUCAACGGCUCACAAUGACCGACAACCUCUGUCUCCAUUACAAGCUCCCUCUUCAACUCGCUUCUGCUUCCAUCCUACUCUUUCUCAGAUUCGGAGCCCGUAUAUGCUCGGCUGGUCCCACGAAGCUCCCUCUCACUCCAGCUGUCAACCGACAAGACCAAUUGCCUUAUCAAGACAGAGAACAAAAAGAGGAUGAGAAAUUGAAACAAGAAUUUGAGAAUUGGAAAUCGAAAACGUACUCAUUGACCGUGCCUUUGAGAGUUGUUUCUCUUCAGAAUUCAGUGCCUCAAUCUUGGGUUAAGGAUUUUAUGCGAAGUCAAGGAAAGUGAUUGAAGUUUCAGAUGAAUUUGUGUGCUAGCAUUGGUGGGAUCUUUAACAAUUUAUCUGCCCUUUAACAAAGUCAAGGCUAAUUCAGCUUCUUAUAUGGCUGCUGAUUUGGUUAGUGUUGGUGAUUCAUGGCUUAGUUUUGCCAUUAAAGAGAGAUUGAUUGAGCCAAUGGCUGGAGCUGAAGACCAAGAUUGGUUCAAAUGCUUAAGUCACAAAUGGAAGGUAACAUCUUUAUCUUUGGCCCGAUAAUUUUUAUUGUCUUACAUUGAAAUUUGGUAAUGUAAUUUGUUCUCUAUCUGUAUUACCCUUUUUAGUCAUUUUAUUUAUUUGUUUAUUUGCUUUUAUUUGCACUAACGAAGUCUCAGGUAUAUCUAUGCAGAAUGAUGCAGGAGAAAUUGAUCCUCGAUGUGAAAUAUGGGCGGCACCAUACAGGUGGGGCACAAUGGUGAUAGCCUACAAGAAAAGUAAAUUUCGAAAGCAUAAUUUGGCUCCGAUUGAGGUAAUAAUUGUCUUUAAACUCAUUUAGUUUUAUAUCAAACAAAAUCAAGACUGCCUUUCUCUUCAAUAUUUUUGAUGAUAAUAUCUUUAGAAGCAUCUUAUUGAUGGGUAAUAAUUGUAUCCCUGAAACAGUCUAUAAACUCAAUGAUAUUAUCUUCUACAAAUGGCUCAUUAAACUUUGUCGUUGUAGUCAAAUGUACACUCAGAGCAAUGACAAGCUAUGCCACUGUAGCAUGUAGUGAUGGCACUUAAUAAGUGAGUUGCUAGGAUGUGAACUAGAAAAAUUAAAUAUUGUCUCCCUGGGCAUGCUAGCUCAUAAGUCAGGGUUAAUAUUAGAACUCAAGAUACUAUAACCAUGAGAAGCUAUUGACUGCCAAUUAAAAUAUCCUUUAAAAUGUCUAGGAAGUUAUGAAGGUGGAAGUAUCUUCCGAUUUCUGAGGCCACAUGGUAGAUAUCAUCCAGGAUCCUAGUACAGUGCAGUUAACCUCCUGCUUGAUGCAAUUAAUAAAUUUGGUCAAUGCCACUGAAACAUGCUAACUGACGUCGCAAUGCGACAUGAGCACUUCAAAAUGGGACAGACGGUCGGUAGCACUAAAUUUUUCUUGCCUAAGAUUGAGCAAUUGGUCUAACUACUAACCCCUUUUGUAGUUGAUCAUUAUUUUUUCAAUUAUUUUCAGUUUGACCCAAAACGUUACAGAAUCUUGAUCUGAAUAUUGUCACUGAACAUUGUCACUGAACAUUGUCAAUGUCGUUUAGCGUAGCCAACUAACUUGAGUUUGGUAAAACAAACACACAGUGUGUCUCAUGUCUCACAAUUCAAAUUAUCAUUUGUAAUGAUGGAGAAUUUUUCCAAUGUAUGAAGUAUGCUUUGAUACGUGGGUUACCUUGGGGAAGGUAUCUCAAAAUAAAGAAUAUGGGGAGAAAACAGUUCAGUAGUUUAUUAUUAUGUAGUCAAGUUUUGUCUCAAAAAUGGUCCAAAUUUAAAUGAAUAAGGACCGGGGAUCUUCAUUCUUUUUUCCCUUUUUUAUACCUAGAUAUCUCUCAACCUUUAUAUAAUCCCCACUGGAUAUCUGCUUCUAAUAAUUAAAAUAAAAAUUUCACCCACACAAAUAAAUACUGACCAAGCUCUAACAAUAAAAAGUAACUUCUUUAGUCAAGUGAUUUACAGUUCCUCAUCACCUUAGUGAGACUAUCAGUGUGUUCCAAAAACAUAAUAAAAUUGGUUUGUUCCUGUUUAUUGAUGUUUAAAUGUUGUUCAUUGUGACAUGUAGAAAUGAUGAGGCGAAGUUUAUUUGGUCAUCAAUUUGUAAGAUCUUGUUUGAAGUUGCUUUCUGAAAUGAACUGCCAAAUGGUAGUUUCUUUGGGGCAUUUGAUGGCUCUUUUUUCCUCAUUUUAAACAUGUGCCUGCUUGGAACAGGAAGGAUUAGGCUGCAGAGUUGUUAUAUAUUUUGACAUGCUCUAGUCAUUGCACAAUUUGUUCACACUGGAAACUAGAAUGAGAAAUUUGUUGCAUUCUAUGCACAAUAACAUGAUUAAUGAAAAUGGAUUGUAGGACUGGAAAGAUCUGUGGCAGCCUGAGCUCGCAGGACGAAUUUCAAUGGUUAAUUCUCCCUGAGAGGUUAUUGGUUUAGUUUUGAAGUAUAUGGGAGCAUCAUACAAUUCAAACGAUAUUGAUUCGCAAGUUGCUGGUGGGAAGAUUGCUGCUCAGCAGAAUCUGGCAUUACUGGCAAACCAGGUACUCUCAAAGAAAUGAUAUCUGGUCAUUGCAUGUUAUUACCUGACAACUGAUUUUGUUUGUAAAAGUCUGCUUCUUCAUACAUAUGAAUGCAUAUGUUAGUGUUUUCUUCUCCUUUUCAUACAUAUGAAUGCAUAUGUUGCUUCUUUUCCUUUCCAUACAUAUUAAUACAUAUGUUGGUGUUCUCUCCUGAGAUGGAUGCAAUAAAGGUUUUUCUGAAGAAAUGGCAAGGGAUGUGAGAUUCUGUCUCAUAAAAUUAACAAAAACCCAAAACAAUGAAAACCCAUAAUAAUGUGGUGUGGGUAAAUUGACGCCAUUUGGUUCGUUUCCUUGAUGUGAAUACGCGGGCAAUAGAGACUAACAAAAUGAAGUGACAACAAGAAGUCAGUGUCCUUUGAUGGAUGCAUUUUUAGGCAGAAAUAGGUUUGUAAUUGACCAAAUUUGUCUGGCAUGCCAAUUUCAAAAAAAUUAAAUUAUGUGGUUAUUAGCUGUAAUGAAGGGGGAUUGUAGGUCCAAUCAGGUGGAUCCAUGAAAGUUCAACAAAGUUCUGGUAUGGCGUAGAAAUUGGUUUGUGCAACUCAAGAGUCUUUCUGGUGAACGAUGAUGGGUUUUGAUUUAUAAAUGUUAUAAAUCUACUGUGCAUAGUAUUCUAGUAGAAUCAUCUAUAAGUUCUAGUUAUUGAAAUUGUCUACCUUGUUCAGUUUGAGUUAAGGGCACAUGUAAUAUGAAAAAUAGUUGUUGCAUCUUUUAGGUUACCUAACAUUUGAUCAAUCCUAUUAUGAGGGCUUCAAGAUGUCUAACAAUAUGUGGAAUGCCCAUGCUCCUCCCCAUUGUUUAUCUUAUAUAAUAAUUUGUUUUAGAUGCUAAUAUCUUUGUCGAUACCGGUAACAAUAUUACAAUAUCUGCGUUUAUUGGGUUUUACAUAGGUUCGACUGUUUGACAGUACACACUCUCUGAAGGCAUUUGGAAAUGGAGAUGUAUGGAUUGCUGUUGGGUGGAGUAGUGAUGUUCUUCCUGCUGUCAAACGUUUGUCUAAUGUUGCAGUUGUUGUUCCCAAGUCUGGUGCUAGCUUAUGGGCUGAUCUUUGGGUAUACCCAUGCCUGCCAUUCUACUUCAAUAUUCACAUUGUUAUCUCCUUCAUAUUAGUGAUCAGUAAACAUGAUAAUGUGACUAAUAAGUUCGUAUUCUCUUUAUAGGCAAUCCCUGCUGACUCAAGACUUGAAACAAAACAAAUUGGAGGGUGAGUCAGAGGUGCAUUUCCAUUAAUCCAUCAAUGGAUAGAAUUCUGCUUGCAAACAGCGAGAGCAUUGCCUUUCAAGCAAGAGGUUAUCCCGAGCGCAUCUCCCUCUGCCCUUGAGAGUACUCUGGUUAAGUUGCCUGAAGAACUUUUGAAGGGUAAACCAAGUCUGGAUACUAACUUAAUUGCUGGAGUACCCCUGACGGAAAUUCUGGCCAGAUGUGAGUUUUUGGAGCCAUUAUCUGAAGCUACAUUGUCGGAUUAUGAGUGGCUGGUUGCUAAUCUGCAAAAAUCCACUCCUGUACUGAUCAACAAGAUGCAACAUUACAUGUCAUCAUUGAUCUUUAGCUAAAGGUACAUUGAAAAGUUAAUGGCACUGCAUACCAGUCAUUAUAAUUGGGUCAGGGCAAUUGGGUCAGGGCAAUUAGGUCAGAGCAUAACUUCAUUAGGAAAAGAGGCUUCAGCUACGUUAAAUAUUACAGGAUGUACUGAGAUGGCUGAAGUUGGUGAGGUUUUACGAGAAACGAAAGAUAGUGUUUGUUUGAACAAAGUUGUUGCCAAUCUUGCAGAGUUCGAGAAGAAAGAUCACGAAGCGAAUGCCACCGAUUUCUUCAUCAUUGUAGCCUCCAUAGUUGAAGUUUCCUCAUUUGAAGCUGUUUAUGCAUAUGCUUUUUCCCUUCUCAAGUACAGGAAAUUGAAGAAUUAACCAGAUGUGAUAUGCUGAAAGAGGGAAGUUUUCUUCCUUGAAUGUGACCUUUGUGAUUUGUCUUGAAGGGAUAGGGUGAUCACUGGCAAGAACCCUAUCAAGGUAGAUUUUAUGAUGUUAACAUAUUAUUAAGCAUUUUGUUACAUCAGCAAUGAUGCUUUCAUAGCAUGAAAGUGUUUAAAUUUAACUGAAUGAUCUUGAUUGAUCAAUUAUGAGUUUUAAUCGAGUAAAAACUAAAUACAAUAAUCGUUAACAAAUAUUGAAAUUGGGUAAAUAAGAUCUUGAUAGUGAAGAAUUUGAAAUCACACCCACACAGGAAAUCACCCUUCGCGUGGGGAUGGAGAUGUUUACUGCAGCGAUAUUGAAUAUGUCCACUGCUGGACUAAUUCUGAUUACCUAAUUGACUCAGGAUCGGCUGGCAAUAAUAACAGUUUAUUAACAAUGCACAGUCCGAGUACUUUUCCAGGAUCAGAUACGACGUGGUCUAAUGUUGAUAAUAAUAGAUUAUCAAAUGACAAAUCGUUGUUCUACUAUUGCAAGCCCCCAGAUUUAAGAAUCUUUUUCAGAAAUUAAAUACAUUCUGAGAGAUGCUGGUCUACUAUUGCAAGCCCCCAGAUUUAAGAAUCUUUUGACGGUAAUUUAUCACCUGUAACUGUGCCGGAAGAUUCAACUAGCACUGAAAAAGAUGAUAAAUUAAUUGAUAUGGAGAGUUUUCAUAUCACUUUUAAAUCAUCUUAUGUAAUUGUGAUGUUAGGAAGCAUUAGUGAUCUAUAUGUGAAUUAUUAUUGGCGCCAUUGGUGGUUUUAUCUUGUUAAAAUAUGGAUGAAUUCCAGUUACUAUUUUGUUGCAGACAAUCUUCUUCAAUUAACAUAUGGUUUAAAAUCAUUAUGUAAAUCAAUCUAUUAAUUUUCAAGAUAUUUAACUGAGUUAAAACUAAGUGCACUCAAUAAAUCUCUUUUCCUUUAAAAAACUGUUACGCUUUGAUUUUAGUGCUUAAUAUUUAUUGAACUCCGAUACAGGGAAUUUGAAAUCAAACUCGUAACUACAUAUUAUCUAAUUGCAAGUUUCUAUCCAUAGCUGCUGAUUUGUAGUGAUUAUCUAAUUGACUGAGGUGACGACAAUUUUUUUUUUUUAAAUUUUCAAUAGCACAAUGUGGAAUUCAAUAAUUAAAUUCUCCUUUUUAAUUUGUUUCCAGUUAAAUUAUUAAUUACUUAAACUCUGUUUUAAGUCUUUAAGUUUAUGUGUUUAUGCAGAAUUGGAUUCUUGAGCGUGUUGGACACGACCAACAAUGAAAUUGACAGUAAAAAAAACAAUACAACGUGUGGACUCCGGUAGAUGCCAUACAAGUCUACAACUUUACAAAUAAUAAUUGAGUAAGCAACUUUGAUUCUCGGGGCCCUUCAAUGAAUUUCUAGCCCCGUUGACUCCGCCAACUAAAGUUUGUAAAAUAAAAAAAUACAUAGAAUUCCACUAAAUGCAAAACGCGUGGAAUUUAAUUUUCGGCCAUGUGGACCAAAACAUAAUUUAAUGAAAAAGGAAAAAAAUGAUAAGAUUUCUAAAAUAUGUGAAAGAUGAUCCAUAUUUUACUGAAACGACUUAUUAAAUUUUUCAAAGAUUUAGAAUAUUUAGUCAUAAAUUACGUGCAUGUUAAUUUUUCCGCCAUUGACUAUCAUAUUCUAAACUUAAUAGUACAUUUCUUGUUGAAGGGUACUUAAUCUCUCUUCUCCUCUUAUAAAAAUUAUAUUGAUGGAUUUCUUGUUAUAGUUAAUAGUCUUUAAGAACGGAUAACUUUAUUGUUUUCGUGACCAAAUUAUGUCCGCCUAAGGUUGUGACUAUUAAUAAAAUUAAUAUUUAAUGUUUAUGUUAAAAGAUAUAAGAUUUUAUGCGUUCAUUAAUUGUUAUUAGCUAAAGGAUGAAUUAUUUUUUCAACCCAAUCAGUUGAUGCAUCUGCAAGAGUUUUUUUCUUUUAUUGACCAUAAUUAUGUUCCGGGUACAAUAAAUUGUCUUUGGUGCUUGGAAAAUAUGACUUCUUACUUCAAGUUUGAUAUGUCUCUCUCCAUAAACUUACUGGAAAUAUAUCCUCAUCUACUGUCAUUUAUCUAAUAUCAAUUGAAGAUCUCACUUUUUCAAACUAUCACUUCCAAGUCUCAUUGUCACUUGGCCAUUCUUGGACCAUUCAAAACCAAUCAAGUGUUGAAAUAAUCAAAUAUAUGCAAAAUUAGAGUCACGAUUUUUGGUCCCCCAAAUUCUAAUUAUAUAACUUCUAUAUAUUUCAUUGCCAGGUCACGAACUUGUUGGCACAUUUUCCAAAUUCCUCUUCCAUCAGCUCUCACACGUUAACUUAAGUGAAAAGUUUCCAAGUUGAUUGCUAGAAAGCAACGCAAAAUCAGACACACUUGAUCUGUCCCCUAAUUCUCUUUUCUACGUUGAAAAAGAAAAAAAAAAAUAAAAUACAUACAUACAUAUAUAUAUAUAUAUAUAUAUAUAUAUAUAUAUAUAUAUAUAUAUAUAUCUAUGUAAAAAUAAAUAAUAAACUGAGUAAAAGUACAUUUGUUUAAUUAACAUCUGAUCGGGGCAUUUUUGGUGUAAGCCACAACUAAAAUCAAACAGCCCCUUAGCAUACUUCUUCCAUUUUAUCGGCUACUUUUGUGGAUCUUAUAGGGUGGGCAUGUGGACAGAAUUUAAAAGUUUUAAUAGGCUCAAAGAAGAAGAUGUGUUAAAUCUAAAGUUGUUGCACCUUCUGAUUAAAUAAAGUUGUACAAUUUCAUCAACUUGAAAGAAUUGACAUUAAUGAACUGGUCGCCUCUCCAUGUAUGAAGCCUUCUUAAAAGUUAAUUUUUAUUUCAGAAAAAAAAAGUUUAAGUUACAUAUAUUACAGUAAGAUUUUUUGAGACCAAUUCCCUUCUUGAAAUAAUAAUAGAAAAGUAUUAAUUUAAAAAUAAAAUGAAUAUGUAUUGAUUAUAUCCUGAUUUUCAUCGAUUAUAGUUAGAGUUUCACCAAAUCAAUUCCCUUAUUCAAAUAAUACAGAAAAAAUAGUAAUUUAAUAGUAAAAUAAACAGGUGUUGAUUAUAUAUCCUAAGUUUCAUCGAUUAUGUGAUCAAAGUGGCAUUGUUGAUUUAUUUUUUGUUCAAUGUUAAUUUUUAGGUUAUAUAAAUUUCAAGGAUUUAAAAUCUUUGGCCAUGAAUUACACGCUUGUUAAUUUUCCUGCCAUUGACUGUCAUAUUCUAGACUUAAUGAUACCUUUCUUGAUCAAGGGUAAUUACUCUCUCUUCUCCUCUUAUAAAUUCCUCUUCCAUUAACAUCACUAGGAGUAUGUUGAUCUCUCAGACGUUAACUUGAGUGGAGAGUUUCCAAAUUGAUUGUUACAAAACAACACAAAAACUAGACACACUUGAUCUGUCUAAUAAUUCUCUUUCGGUAAAAUUAAAUAAUUUUAGGGGAAUAUUCGGCCAACCUCUAUAAUUUCAUAGUGAUCAUUAAUUAAUUAAUCGAUACAAAUAUCUAAAGUGAUUAAAUGUGACUUGAAAUUUGAUCUCUAUCGAUUGGUUUACAAAUGGACGUACUUGUGCCUUUGUGGCGAUAAUCGAACAAGUACCCAUGAUUAUUAUUUUUUCCAAAAACUUUUUUACAACAAAUUCAUCUCGUCAAAAAUUCUAUGUUGCUAACUAACAAUAAUUGAGCACUUGGCCGCAUUGACUCCACGUCUCCACCUCUUUCUAAAUUCUAAGUAAAAACAUGGAAAUGUAAUUUCCACAAAAUGCCAAAUGUGUGGAAUUUAAUUUUUUGCCUUGUGGAUCAAAAUACAAAUGAAAGAAACAGAAGAAAAAAAAGGCCCAAAGACUUCUAAAAGAUGAAGAAGUCUUUGUGCCUUUUUAUAAUGGUGAAUUUUUUUAAAGAAAAAAAAUAACAACAUUUUUAUGGUUUGUUUUGAUAAUCAUAUUUACAUAUACUCUCUAAUUUCAAAAUGGACACAUAAAUCUUUUUUUUUUACAAAAUAUAUAUUAUUCAUAUUUUUUUUAUUUUUUUAUUAUCAUAUUUUUAUUUAUUAUAAAUGUUUAGAGCAAAUUUUUAGGUUGAAAUAUAAUAAAAAGGUAUAAUUGUUCUCUUAUUAAACACACAUACUUUUAUUAGUUUCUAUCCAUUUGUCAUCUCAAUCUCUCUCAAUUAUUCUUUAUUGCUAGCUCAAAACGCGUUGCUGUUGCAAAUUAUAGCAAAAUGACAAAUAUGGAAAAAAAGGGAAGAAAAUUAAUGCAUGAAAGACUUGGAGAAAACAACAAAAUAAGCCAACUAUGAGCUAGUUGGGUGUAUAAAUUGUUAGAUGUGUUAUAUACAAAUAGCGUAGAGCCCUCUAGUUGGUUCCAGAGACAGAAAGAGCGUGUGUGUUUUUUCACAGUUAGAGAUAUAGUUAGAAUGGGUGGUUCAAAAUCAAAAAUGAUGAUAAUGUUUAUUAUGUUAUUAAUAAUAUUUAAAAGUGGGUGGAGUGAGGGAUGUUUGGAUCACGAGAGAUUUGCUUUUUUGAGACUCAAACAUUUCUUCAAUGAUCCUCUUAAUUCUCUUUACGACUGGGUAGAUGGUGAGGGAGCUACUGAUUGUUGUCAGUGGGAAAGGGUUGAGUGCAGCAACACCACAGGCCGAGUGAUAGCACUGGACCUUUCUUAUAUAUAUUCGGAGAGUACAGCUGGUAUCUGAAUGCUUCUUUAUUUACUCCCUUCCAACAACUUGAGUCACUUGAUUUAACUCAAAACAAAAUAGCCGGAUGUGUUGAGAAUGAAGGUACUUUGUUUAAUUUAAUUAAUUUACUUUCUCCCCCCUAAUUUAAGUUGAAUAUCAAGACCGAGCAAUUAUAUGCAUAUUCAUUUAGUCGACAAUUUUGACUUUUUUUUAAAUGAUUAAUUUUGAAAUUACACCAGUAUCUAUGAUCUUUUUUAUUUUAUUUUAUUUGCAGGUAUAGAGAGGCUAUCAAGAUUGAACAACUUGAAGAUGCUUAAUUUAAGUCGAAACUCAUUCAAUAAUAACAUUUUAUCAUCUCUAACUCAUCUUUCAUCAUUAAGAUCAUUAAAUUUAUUGUGGAAUAGAUUGGAAGGAAGUAUUGACGUUAAAGGUACAUAAUUAAAACUUCAAGCUCUUUCAUUAACUUGCUAAAAUAAGAUUCAAGGCUUUGAAUUCAAUUUUUUUUAUGAUUAAUAUUAAAAAAAACAGUUUUAAGCAAUUUAUAAAUACAAGUUUUAAUGUUUCUUGUAAUUUCAUCUUGUACUUUCAUAUGUCUUGAAUUUAAGAUUAAAAAAAAAAACUCUAAUAGCGAACCAAACACCUCCACAACUUAUUAUUAUUAUUUUAAUUUGUGGUGAGGUUUGAAACAUUCAACUCAAUUUGUACUUAUUACAGAAUUUGAUUCUUUGAGAGAUUUAGAGGAGCUAGACAUUGGCGGGAACAAGAUUGACAAAUUUGUGGUCUCAAAAGGUACUACAAAUACCAUAAAAAAAUAUGCUAACUUUUACAAAUUAGUUAGAUUCUUUGCCAUUUGGUUUAUUAUUUUACAGGUUUGAGUAAGUUGAAGUCUCUUGGUUUAAGUGGUAUCAAACUCAAUCGUAGCAUCUUAUCUUCUCUUUCUUCGUUAAGAGAAUUAGAUAUAAGUCGUACGGGAUUCAAAGGAACAUUUGAUGUUCGAGGUAAGCCUAAACCUUGCUUUCUCAUUUUAUAUAUGCCAACUAGAUUUGUGUAUCAUCGACAUAAUUUAAUAUUUAAUUUGAUAAGUCUGAAUGAAUUACAUGCUAAUUUAAACACACUUUUAUUUACUUUGUCAAUUAAUUAAUUAAUUAAUUACUAUUUGGCUUGGUUUGGACGAAAUUCUCAUGAUGUUUUUAAUUUCUUUAAAUUAAUUAAUUAAUUAACUCUGUUUUUAAGUCUUAAGUCUGGGCAUGUUUGCAGAAUUGAUUCCUUCAAUAACUUAGAAGUGUUGGACAUGAGUUGGAACGAAAUCGACAAUCUUGUGGUUCCUCACGGUAAACAAUUAAAAUGUUAUUCAAUUACAUUAUUUUAAUUCAUUUGAUUAGGGAAGGCCAAAAAGGUAAAAAAAAUAAUAAUAAAGAAACAGAGAAUUUGUAUUAUUUAAAAAACAGAAUGUAAUAAAGAUUUUGAUUCUGGUUCUUUAAUCUUUAAAGUGAUUGAAAACAAUGUUGCUCUUUUCCCAAAGCAUCAAAUACGAAUUGAAUGCCAAUUAACUUAAUCAUUCAUUUCGUUUAGCUCUAAAUUUAGACAAUGAAUUUUUAUAUUAUUUCAAAAACAUGACGUAAUAGAAUUUUUUUAAAAACAGAUUCUAAUAAAGAUUUGAUUCCAAUUCUUUAAUCUUUACAGUGAUUGAAAAACGAUACUACUCUUUUCCCAAAGCAUAAAUACGAAUUGACUCCCAAUCAAAUUAAUCAUUUAUUUCGUUCAUCUCUGAAUUUAAAUAAUGAAUUUUGAUCUUCAAUCGUAUUAUAAUUACUAUUAAAGAACAGGUUACAGAGGUUUGAGGAAGUUGAAUCAUCUUGAUCUAUCGGGAGUUGGAAUUAGAGAUGGAAGCAAGUUGUUACAGUCAAUGGGAUCAUUCCCAUCCCUCAACACUCUUUACCUUUCGUGGAAUAAUUUUAUCGAUACAGCGACCGCUACUCAAGGUAAGUAAAAGGUACAAAUGUGGCCAAAUUUAUAAAUAAAUUGUUAAUUAAUUAAUUUUUCCGUAUUAUUAAUUAAGCUAAAUUUGUUGCUCCUUCCUUCUAAAUCUAAACAGAGUUGCACAAUUUCACCAACUUGGAAUAUUUGACAUUGGACUUUUCCUCUCUCCAUAUAAGCCUUCUCCCAAAGCAUUGCAUCAUUAUUCCCUUCGUUAAAAAAUCUGUCGAUAUCUCAUUGUGAAGUCAAUGGUGUCCUACGCGGUCAAGGUAAAAGAAAAUCGUUGAUUGUGAACUCACUCAAUGGUGUCCUACGUGUUCAACAUUUUUAUUUAUUUAUUGUUUAAUGUUUCUGCUAGGUUUUCCUCAUUUCAAGAGUUUGGAACAUUUGGAUAUGGAUUACACGCGCAUUGCACUCAACACCGGCUUUCUUCAAAUCAUCGGUGAAUCGAUGCCUUCUCUUAAGUACUUAUCACUGUCAAGGUUAAUCUAUAAAUCGAUGCCUUCUCUUGAUCAAGGUUAAUCAGAUGCUCCCACUCUCCCCUCUUAAUCUAUAAUAUUAAUUUUCAAUUCAAUAUUUAAUUACACAAACGAAUCACUUAUUAUAAAAGAAUAAUACGCAUUCAUUAAUUUUUAUAUUGUAUUAAUAAUUGAUGAAUUUAAUAACUUUUCAGGUCUCUGUUCGUUGGUGCAUCUGCAAGUGUUGAACAUUGCAGGCAAUGAUUUAAGAGGUAGCUUGCCUUGGUGCUUGGCAAAUAUGACAUCCCUCCGAAUAUUAGAUGUUUCUUCCAAUCAACUUACUGGAAGCAUCUCCUCAUCUCCCCUCGUUCAUUUGACAUCCAUUGAAGAGCUGAUGCUUUCAGACAAUCACUUCCAGAUCCCAAUUUCACUUGAACCAUUUUUCAAUCACUCACGACUCAAGAUUUUCCAUGCUUACAACAACGAAAUAAAUGCAGAAAUAACUGAGUCACAUUCUUUGACUGCCCAAACUUCCAAUUAAAAUAUCUCUCAUUGUCUUCCGGUUACGGAGAUGGUGUCACAUUCCCCAAAUUCCUUUACCAUCAACAUGAUCUGGAGACUGUUGACCUCUCACAUAUAAACAUGAGGGAGAAUUUCCAAAUUGGUUGUUGGAAAACAACACAAACUUAGAAAUAUUUUUUGGUUAAUGAUUCUCUUGCAGGACCUUUCCGGUUGCCAAUUCAUUCACACAAGCGGUUAAGACUGUUGGAUAUAUCCAACAACAACAUCAGAGGCCACAUUCCAGAAAUUGGAGAUGUUUUACCGGGUUUAUUUUCUUUAAACAUUUUCAUGAAUGCUUUAGACGGUUGCAUUCCCUCUUCAUUUGGUAAUAUGAAAUUCCUCCAAUUUNNNNNUUAAUUAAUUAANNNNNGAUGGGAAAUUGAAACAAGAAUUUGAGAAUUGGAAAUCGAAAACGUCCGCAUUGACCGUGCCUUUGAGGGCAAUUACUUUUCUUGAGAAUUGAAGUUUGGUAAUGUAAUUUGUUCUCCAUCUGUGUUCCCUUUGUAGUCAUUUCAUUUAUUUGUUUGUUUGCUUUUAUUUGCAGGAGAAAUUGAUCCUCGAGAUAAAAGUAAAUUGUCUUUAAGCUCAUUUAGUUUUAUAUCAAACAAAAUCAAGACUGCCUUUUUCUUCAAUAGUUUUGAUGAUUAUCUUUAGAAGCAUCUCAUUGACAGGUAAUCGUGGUACCCCUUAAAGAGUCUAUAAACUCAAGGAUAUUAUCUUCUGCAAAUGGUUCAUUAAACUUCUUAGAUGUAGUUAAAUGUACACUGAGAACAACGAGAAGCUAUGCCACUGUAGCAAUGUAUGAUGGCACUUAAUGAGUGAGUUGCUAGGAUAUGAACUAGAAAAAUUAAACAUUGUCUCCCUGGGUAUGCUAGCUUGUAAGUCGGUUAAUAUUAGAGCUUGAGAUACUAUAACCAUGAGAAGCUAUUGACCGCCGAUUAAAAUAUCCAUUAAAAUGUCUAGGGAGUUAUGAAGGUGGAGGUGUCUCCCAAUUUCUAAGGCCAUAUAGUAGACAUCAUCCAGGAUCCUAUUUAAAGUGCAGUUAGCCUCCUGCUUGAUGCUAAUGUCAAACAAUUAAUAAAUUUGGUCAAUGUAACUGAAACUUGCUAACUGACGUCAGAUUGCGACUUGAGCACCUUAAAAUGGGAUAGACGAUUAGUAGCACUGAAUUCUUCUUGCCUAAGAUUGAGCAAUUGUUCUAACUACAAUCUCCUAUUGUAGGUUGAUUAUUAUGUUCUAAUUAUGUCGAUUUUGACCCAAAAAAAUUACAUAAUCUUGAUCUGCAUAAUGUCACUGAACAGUGUCAAUUUCGUUUACCAACUAACUUGAGUUUGAUAUAACAAACACACGGUGUGUCUCUCAUGUCUCACCAUGAUGGAAUUUUUCUAAUGCAUGAAGCAAGCUUCGAUAUGUGGGUUAGCUUGGAGAAGAUAUCUUAAAAUGAAGAAUAUGGGAGUUAAUGGGAAGAAACAGUUCAGUAGUUUAUAAUUCUGUCGUCGAGCUGUAUCUCUAACAUGGUCAAAAUUUAUGUGAAUAAGGACAGGGAAUCUUCAUUCCUCUUUCCCUUUUUAUACCCACAUAUCUCUCAACCUUUAUAUGUUGCUCACUGGAGAUCUGCUUCUGAUAACUAAAAUAAAAAUUUCAUCCACUCAAAUAAAUUCUGACCAAGCUUUCACAAGAAAAAGUAACAUCUUUAGUGAAGUAAUUUACAAGUAAUUUAGAGUUCCUUAUCAUCUUCUUGUGAGUCUAUCAGUAUGAUCCAAAAACAUAAUAAAUCUUGUUAGAUCCUGUUUAUUGAUGUUUAAACGCUGCUCAUUGUGAAAUGUAGAAACAAUGACGUGAAGUUUCUUUGGUCAUCAAUUAGUGAGAUCUUGUUUGAAGUUGUUUUCUGAAAUGAACUGCCAAAUGAUAGUUUUUUUUUUUUUUUCUUUGGACGCAUUUGAUGGCUCUUUCUCCUCAUUUAAGCAAUGUGCCUGCUUGGUAUGGGAAGGAAUAGGCUUCAGAGUUGUUAUAUAUGUUGACAUGCUCUGGUCAUUACACAAUAUGUUCAAAUUGGAAAUUAGAAUGAGAUAUUUGUCGAUGCUUUUUGAGAGAUCUGCAUUCUAUGCAGCAUAACAUGAUUAAUGAAAAUGGGUUUAAGGACUGGAAAGAUCUGUGGCAGCCCAAGCUUGCAGGAAGGAUUUCAAUGGUUAAUUCUCCCAGAGAGGUUAUUGGUACAGUUUUGAAGUAUAUGGGAGCAUCAUACAAUUCAAACGCAUUAAUUAGCAAGUUGCUGCUGGGAGGAUUGCUGUUCAGCAGAAUCUGGCAUUACUGGGAAACCAGGUACUCUUAAAGAAACGAUAGCUGGUCAAUGCAUAUUAUUUGCCUGACGGCUGAUUUUGUUUGUAAAGUGUGCCUUUUCAUACAUAUGAAUGCAUAUGUUAGUGUUGUCUUCUUCUUUCCAUAAAUAUGAAUGCAUAUGUUGGUGUUCUUUUCUGAGAUGGAUGCAAUAAAGGCUUUUUCUUCUAAAUGACGAGUUUUCAUUUAAAAAUGUUAUAAAUCUGCCAUGCAUAGUAUUCUAGUAGAAUCAUCUAUAAAUUCAAGUUAUUGAAAUUGUCUAUUUGUCCAGUUUGAGUUAAGGACGCAUGUAAUAUGAAAAAUAGUUGUCGAAUAUUGUAGGUUAGCUAAUAUUUGAUCAAUCCUAUAGGGAGGGCUUUAAGAUGUCUAACAACAUGUAGAAUGCCCCUGCUUCCCCCACAAUUUUUAUCUUAUACAAUUUUUAUCUAUAAACAGUAUUUGCCAGACCUUAACUGUUCAGAUUCCCCUUCUCGACUAUCAUACCCUACGCCCCGUCUCCGUGUCUCCGAUAAACAGUGCUCAAUUAAGGCCAUCAGAUUAUCCCGGUCCCACAUUGAUCAACGGCUCACAAUGACCGACAACCUCUGUCUCCAUUACAAGCUCCCUCUUCAACUCGCUUCUGCUUCCAUCCUACUCUUUCUCAGAUUCGGAGCCCGUAUAUGCUCGGCUGGUCCCACGAAGCUCCCUCUCACUCCAGCUGUCAACCGACAAGACCAAUUGCCUUAUCAAGACAGAGAAAAAAAGAGGAUGAGAAAUUGAAACAAGAAUUUGAGAAUUGGAAAUCGAAAACGUACUCAUUGACCGUGCCUUUGAGAGUUGUUUCUCUUCAGAAUUCAGUGCCUCAAUCUUGGGUUAAGGAUUUUAUGCGAAGUCAAGGAAAGUGAUUGAAGUUUCAGAUGAAUUUGUGUGCUAGCAUUGGUGGGAUCUUUAACAAUUUAUCUGCCCUUUAACAAAGUCAAGGCUAAUUCAGCUUCUUAUAUGGCUGCUGAUUUGGUUAGUGUUGGUGAUUCAUGGCUUAGUUUUGCCAUUAAAGAGAGAUUGAUUGAGCCAAUGGCUGGAGCUGAAGACCAAGAUUGGUUCAAAUGCUUAAGUCACAAAUGGAAGGUAACAUCUUUAUCUUUGGCCCGAUAAUUUUUAUUGUCUUACAUUGAAAUUUGGUAAUGUAAUUUGUUCUCUAUCUGUAUUACCCUUUUUAGUCGUUUUAUUUAUUUGUUUAUUUGCUUUUAUUUGCACUAACGAAGUCUCAGGUAUAUCUAUGCAGAAUGAUGCAGGAGAAAUUGAUCCUCGAUGUGAAAUAUGGGCGGCACCAUACAGGUGGGGCACAAUGGUGAUAGCCUACAAGAAAAGUAAAUUUCGAAAGCAUAAUUUGGCUCCGAUUGAGGUAAUAAUUGUCUUUAAACUCAUUUAGUUUUAUAUCAAACAAAAUCAAGACUGCCUUUCUCUUCAAUAUUUUUGAUGAUAAUAUCUUUAGAAGCAUCUUAUUGAUGGGUAAUAAUUGUAUCCCUGAAACAGUCUAUAAACUCAAUGAUAUUAUCUUCUACAAAUGGCUCAUUAAACUUUGUCGUUGUAGUCAAAUGUACACUCAGAGCAAUGACAAGCUAUGCCACUGUGUAGCAUGUAGUGAUGGCACUUAAUAAGUGAGUUGCUAGGAUGUGAACUAGAAAAAUUAAAUAUUGUCUCCCUGGGCAUGCUAGCUCAUAAGUCAGGGUUAAUAUUAGAACUCAAGAUACUAUAACCAUGAGAAGCUAUUGACUGCCAAUUAAAAUAUCCUUUAAAAUGUCUAGGAAGUUAUGAAGGUGGAAGUAUCUUCCGAUUUCUGAGGCCACAUGGUAGAUAUCAUCCAGGAUCCUAGUACAGUGCAGUUAACCUCCUGCUUGAUGCAAUUAAUAAAUUUGGUCAAUGCCACUGAAACAUGCUAACUGACGUCGCAAUGCGACAUGAGCACUUCAAAAUGGGACAGACGGUCGGUAGCACUAAAUUUUUCUUGCCUAAGAUUGAGCAAUUGGUCUAACUACUAACCCCUUUUGUAGUUGAUCAUUAUUUUUUCAAUUAUUUUCAGUUUGACCCAAAACGUUACAGAAUCUUGAUCUGAAUAUUGUCACUGAACAUUGUCACUGAACAUUGUCAAUGUCGUUUAGCGUAGCCAACUAACUUGAGUUUGGUAAAACAACACACAGUGUGUCUCAUGUCUCACAAUUCAAAUUAUCAUUUGUAAUGAUGAGAAUUUUUCCAAUGUAUGAAGUAUGCUUUGAUACGUGGGUUACCUUGGGGAAGGUAUCUCAAAAUAAAGAAUAUGGGGAGAAAACAGUUCAGUAGUUUAUUAUUAUGUAGUCAAGUUUUGUCUCAAAAAUGGUCCAAAUUUAAAUGAAUAAGGAGGGGAUCUUCAUUCUUUUUUCCCUUUUUUAUACCUAGAUAUCUCUCAACCUUUAUAUAAUCCCCACUGGAUAUCUGCUUCUAAUAAUUAAAAUAAAAAUUUCACCCACACAAAUAAAUACUGACCAAGCUCUAACAUAUAAAAGUAACUUCUUUAGUCAAGUGAUUUACAGUUCCUCAUCACCUUAGUGAGACUAUCAGUGUGUUCCAAAAACAUAAUAAAAUUGGUUUGUUCCUGUUUAUUGAUGUUUAAAUGUUGUUCAUUGUGACAUAGAAAUGAUGAGGCGAAGUUUAUUUGGUCAUCAAUUUGUAGAUCUUGUUUGAAGUUGCUUUCUGAAAUGAACUGCCAAAUGGUAGUUUCUUUGGGGCAUUUGAUGGCUCUUUUUUCCUCAUUUUAAACAUGUGCCUGCUUGGAACAGGAAGGAUUAGGCUGCAGAGUUGUUAUAUAUUUUGACAUGCUCUAGUCAUUGCACAAUUUGUUCACACUGGAAACUAGAAUGAGAAAUUUGUUGCAUUCUAUGCACAAUAACAUGAUUAAUGAAAAUGGAUUGUAGGACUGGAAAGAUCUGUGGCAGCCUGAGCUCGCAGGACGAAUUUCAAUGGUUAAUUCUCCCUGAGGUUAUUGGUUUAGUUUUGAAGUAUAUGGGAGCAUCAUACAAUUCAAACGAUAUUGAUUCAAGUUGCUGGUGGGAAGAUUGCUGCUGCUCAGCAGAAUCUGGCAUUACUGGCAAACCAGGUACUCUCAAAGAAAUAUCUUUGCAUGUUAUUACCUGACAACUGAUUUUGUUUGUAAAAGUCUGCUUCUUCAUACAUAUGAAUGCAUAUGUUAGUGUUUCUUCUCCUUUUCAUACAUAUGAAUGCAUAUGUUGCUUCUUUUCCUUUCCAUACAUAUUAAUACAUAUGUUGGUGUUCUCUCCUGAGAUGGAUGCAAUAAAGGUUUUUCUGAAGAAAUGGCAAGGGAUGUGAGAUUCUGUCUCAUAAAAUUAACAAAAACCCAAAACAAUGAAAACCCAUAAUAAUGUGGUGUGGGUAAAUUGACGCCAUUUGGUUCGUUUCCUUGAUGUGAAUACGCGGGCAAUAGAGACUAACAAAAUGAAGUGACAACAAGAAGUCAGUGUCCUUUGAUGGAUGCAUUUUUAGGCAGAAAUAGGUUUGUAAUUGACCAAAUUUGUCUGGCAUGCCAAUUUCAAAAAAAUUAAAUUAUGUGGUUAUUAGCUGUAAUGAAGGGGGAUUGUAGGUCCAAUCAGGUGGAUCCAUGAAAGUUCAACAAAGUUCUGGUAUGGCGUAGAAAUUGGUUUGUGGCAACUCAAGAGUCUUUCUGGUGAACGAUGAUGGGUUUGAUUUAUAAAUGUUAUAAAUCUACUGUGCAUAGUAUUCUAGUAGAAUCAUCUAUAAGUUCUAGUUAUUGAAAUUGUCUACCUUGUUCAGUUUGAGUUAAGGGCACAUGUAAUAUGAAAAAUAGUUGUUGCAUCUUUUAGGUUACCUAACAUUUGAUCAAUCCUAUUAUGAGGGCUUCAAGAUGUCUAACAAUAUGUGGAAUGCCCAUGCUCCUCCCCAUUGUUUAUCUUAUAUAAUAAUUUGUUUUAGAUGCUAAUAUCUUUGUCGAUACGGUAACAAUAUUACAAUAUCUGCGUUUAUUGGGUUUUACAUAGGUUCGACUGUUUGACAGUACACACUCUCUGAAGGCAUUUGGAAAUGGAAUGUAUGGAUUGCUGUUGGGUGGAGUAGUGAUGUUCUUCCUGCUGUCAAACGUAUGUCUAAUGUUGCAGUUGUUGUUCCCAGUCUGGUGCUAGCUUAUGGGCUGAUCUUUGGGUAUACCCAUGCCUGCCAUUCUACUUCAAUAUUCACAUUGUUAUCUCCUUCAUAUUAGUGAUCAGUAACACGAUAAUGUGACUAAUAAGUUCGUAUUCUCUUUAUAGGCAAUCCCUGCUGCCUCAAGACUGAAACAAAACAAAUUGGAGGCGAGUCAGAGGUGCAUUUCCAUUAAUCCAUCAAUGGAUAGAAUUCUGCUUGCAAACAGCGAGAGCAUUGCCUUUCAAGCAAGAGGUUAUCCCGAGCGCAUCUCCCUCUGCCCUUGAGAGUACUCUGGUUAAGUUGCCUGAAGAACUUUUGAAGGGUAAACCAAGUCUGGAUACUAACUUAAUUGCUGAGUACCCUGACGGAAAUUCUGGCCAGAUGUGAGUUUUUGGAGCCAUUAUCUGAAGCUACAUUGUCGGAUUAUGAGUGGCUGGUUGCUAAUCUGCAAAAAUCCACUCCUGUACUGAUCAACAAGAUGCAACAUUACAUGUCAUCAUUGAUCUUUAGCUAAAGGUACAUUGAAAAGUUAAUGGCACUGCAUACCAGUCAUUAUAAUUGGGUCAGGCAAUUGGGUCAGGGCAAUUGGGUCAGGGCAAUUAGGUCAGAGCAUAACUUCAUUAGGAAAAGAGGCUUCAGCUACGUUAAAUAUUACAGGAUGUACUGAUGGCUGAAGUUGUUGACGUUGUACGAGAAACGAAAGAUGAGUGUUUGUUUUGAACAAAGUUGUUGCCAAUCUUGCAGAGUUCGAGAAGAAAGAUCACGAAGCAAAUGCCACCGAUUUCUUCAUCACUGUAGCCUCCAUAGUUGAAGUUUCCUCAUUUGAAGCUGUUUAUGCAUAUGCUUUUUCCCUUCUCAAGUACAGGAAAUUGAAGAAUUAACCAGAUGUGAUAUGCUGAAAGAGGGAAGUUUCUCCCUUGAAUGUGGCCUUGUGAUUUGUCUUGAAGGAAUAGGAUGAUCACUGGCAAGAACCCUAUCAAGGUAGAUUUUAUGAUGUUAACAUAUUAUUAAGCAUUUUGUUACAUCAGCAAUGAUGCUUUCAUAGCAUGAAAGUGUUUAAAUUUAACUGAAUGAUCUUGAUUGAUCAAUUAUGAGUUUUAAUCGAGUAAAAACUAAAUACAAUAAUCGUUAACAAAUAUUGAAAUUGG
This 241979-nucleotide long non-coding RNA is filed under the name Citrus maxima (pomelo). Its description in RNAcentral is "long non-coding RNA (CMAX_LNC001469)". The stretch from base 171687 to 171795 matches the Rfam family "Plant small nucleolar RNA R71". The record is from RNAcentral. Lineage: Eukaryota; Viridiplantae; Streptophyta; Magnoliopsida; Sapindales; Rutaceae.